AAAUUUUCUUACGAUCAAGCUCGACCGCAACAACUACCCUCUCUGGCAUGCUCAGUUUCUUCCCUUGCUGCGCAGCCGCAACUUACUCUCUUAUGUUACUGGCGAAACUCAAUGCCCCUCUGCCUUUCUUCUUGAUGACAAUGGUAAAUUCACCGACAAAGUCAUUCCAUUAUAUAAUGAAUGGAUCCAGACUGACCAGAUGAUCCUAUCUUGGAUUACGAGUUCUCUUACUCCCAAGGUUCUUGCUACGAUCGUCAACAAAAUUGAUUCGGCCUCUGCUUGGUCGUCAAACCCGAAUUAAUCUAAUUGUGGGGGUUUUGUUUUAUAUCAAUAUAUUGCAACAGAAGUCACACUUUGAAGAGUUCAUGCUGCACAGAAAGAUGAUGAAAUGUUACCCGUUGAGUCUAUCAUUGCUCCAUUGGAGACAGAGCUGAAGCUUACUGCAGGAGUUAUACAGUUGUUAUGCAAUAUGACCCCUUUAAUUUUAUUUUAAAACUGAUACAAAAUACUACAAAAAUUUAUGUAGUAUUUUUGUAUUAGUUUUGAGUGUCUAUUUUGGCUUCCAUAUAUCGUCUGUACAUGUGAGAGGUAUAGUGUUCAAUAUGUAUUUGGUUUCUAUAUUGUUAAUGGAUCCUUUUUUUUUUAAUUUAAUUUAAUUUUAUUAAGGUAACCAAGUUGCAGGAUGACAUCAGAACACUUGAUCUGCAGGUAAACCUUCAAUUUCCAUAUGAAGUUUGCAUGUUCGUUGUUUCUGGAAUUUGAGUUUUUAUUAUUUCUCAAUUCUAUCACAUAGAUUAUGAUUUCACAUAUGGGAUUAUUAAUGGCAAUUAUAUGAUAGAAGAAUUGGGAUUAGAAGAAGAUAUUGAGUUGUUUUAUUUAUGGGGAUUAGAAAAUGAUUAUCAUACGAGUGAUAUUUAUUUUUGUGUGGAUUGUUAAUAUAUAAAACUAUAAGCUUUUGAGAUUGGGAGAUAAAACCCACAAAUUCAAAUCAGACAAAAUAAAUAAAAAAUUUAACUGACUUAAAGAUCAAACUCCAAAAGGGUAUUAAAAACAAGGCUUAUUUGAUCCAUUGAGUGUGAAAGUUUUGAGCUUUGAAGAAGCAUAGGAGGAGAGUUGUUAACCAAGCUGCAUUAUCCAUGUAUUAGGAUGUUGAGGGUAGGCAGGAAAAAUACUUUUUGACGCCAUAUCCAGAGGAGCAUAACGACAGGCCUGCAUUUUUGCAGCAAGGACCAAAACAAGUAGAAGUGAAGGCUUGACUAUUUGGGUAUUAAUCCUAAACCUAAUUAUUCUUAUUUAGGUUUAGGAUAAAUGAUUGAGUGUGUCUCGAUGAUUGUAUUACCAUGUUUGAUGAAUGACUUGAGGAGUUGGAAAUGCUUUAUUGCUUAUGUUUUUCUUAGGUGUGUACUUUGGUUAUUUCCGAGCUUUUCACGACUCUUGAUACCUAAUAGAGAAUAUGGAAACCCCAACUUUAAUUUUAUGAAUUGGUUUUGGUGCCUAAAAUGAAAUCUAGCAUAGUGAAAUCUUGCAUAAUGAAAUUAUGACAAAUUUCCCUUCAUCUUUAGAUUUUCAUUUAGUUCAAUUUGUAUGCAAUUUAGGGUUAUUCAAUUCAUGAGUGAUCAAAUUAUGUUUUUAAUUCCUUCUUCUUUUGAUUUACAGUUCAGCAUUGUCGUACAAAAUGAAAAAGGUGCCAGUAACAGAGUUAUGGAUUUGGAUGCCUUUAGUGGAAUAAAACUGAAUUUUUUAACUUUGUAUAGUUGUAAACAUAAAAUACUCCAUCAGAUAGACUCAUAGCAUUUGAAAACAAUCCUUGAGGAUGGCAUAACAACAUCUCCAACUUUUGUCAUGUAAUGUAUGAAUGUAAAUAGCACUUUGUAAACAUAUGGAUGUAAUAUAUGUAUAUAAACAGUCUUUAGCAUGUAUAUUUUUCAAAACUUUCUACAUCUUCAACAAUGUUUCAAUGAUUUCUUGAUGUAAACAAUGAUAAUUUGAAGAACCAUUUAAAGUAUUUCGGUAAUCAGCAUACUUAAGCUUAAAUGUGAUAUAUCCGUUUAGUAUUUUUUAUACAGUGAUAAUACUCAAGUAUAAUUUACAUCAUAUAUCUUGUGAAGUACAUGAAACUAUGAAGAAAAAACCCUAAUUAAUCUGAUUAUGGGGGUUUUGUUUUAUAUCAAAAUAUUGCAGCAGAAGUCACACUUUGAAGAGUUCACGCUGCACAGAAAGACGAUGAAAUGCUAUCUGUUGAGUCCAUCAUUGCUCCAUUGGAGACAAAGCUGAAGCACACUCCAGGUGGUAUACUUUUGUUCUGCAAUAUGACCACUUUAAUUUUAUUUUAAGACAGAUAGGGUUGAAAAGAAUUUAUGUAGUAUUUUUGUAUCAGUUUUGAGUGUCUAUUUGGACUUCCAUAUUUGGUCCGUACAUGUGAGGUAUAGAGUGUUCAAUAUGUAUUUGGUUUCUAUAUUGUUAAUGGAUCUUUUUUUUUGUUUUAUAGGUAACCAAGUUGCAAGAUGAAAACAGAACACUUGAUCAGCAGGUAAACCUUCAAUUUCCGUAUGAAGUUUGCAUUUUUGUUGUUUCUGGAAUUUGAGUUUUUUGCAGGAUGAAAACAGAACACUUAAUCUGCAGGUAAACACUUGAUUGGUUAUUUCCAAGCUUUUCACGACUUUCGAUACCCAAUAGAGAAUAUGGAAACCCCAACUUUAAUUUUAUGAAUUUGUUUUGGUGCCUAAAAUGAAAUCUAGCAUAGUGAAAUCUUGCAUAAUGAAAUUAUGACAAAUUUCCCUUCAUCUUUACAUUUUCAUUUAGUUCAAAUCGUAUGGUUUAGGGUUAUUCAAUUCAUGAGUGAUCAAAUUAGGUUUUUAAUUCCUUCUUCUUUUGAUUUUCAGUUCAGCAUUGUCGUAUUUUGGAUGCCUUUAGUGGAAUAAAACUGAUUUUUUUUUAACUUUGUAUAGUUGUAAACAUAAAAUACUCCAUGAGAUAGACUCAUAACUUUUGAAAACAAUCUUUGAGGAUGGCAUAACAACAUCUCCAACUUUUGUCAUGUAAUGUAUGAAUGUAAAUAGCACUUUGUAAACAUAUGUAUGUAAUAUAUGUAUAUAAACACCACUCUUUAGCAUAUAUAUUUUUCAAAACUUUCUACAUCUUCAACAAUGUUUCAAGCCCCGCAGCAACGGGCGGGUACACUUGAUAGUAUACAUCUAAAAUUAUAAGACUAAAUCCUUUAGUUCUUGGAUUCAUCUAAGAACUACUUAUUCCAGCAGAUGCUAUGCUUGCACUACUAGAAUUUAUGGCUUGCCCUGUCAACUAUUGCGCGACAGAAGAUUUCGUCGGUUUCACUUUUUUUAACCGACAUAAUAUAAGUUUAGUAGGGCAAAAUCAGUCAACAAACUGGGUUGACUGAAUAAAUUUACAGGAUGGCUAGAGUUCGUAGGUUAAGACAUCAGUCGUUGGGCAAACAUUUGGAGCGAAGAUGUGAGUGUUUUAACUGACGAAUAAGCUGGUCGUCAUGUAGAUCUUCUUUCCCGACUGACGGUUCAACAUGUAGCUCUUUGGAUAAUAAUUCAUCUUCAAGGGGAACAGGUUGCCCCUCAGAUGAAUGGUUAGAGGCAAUUGUGAGACUAUAAUUUUCUAGGGCCGAAAUAAAAAAUACAUAAACCCUCACUCAUUCUGUCUCUGUAACCAUCCACCAAAUACCCUUUCUUCCCUUUCUAUUUCUCUCCUAGUAAUAUCCCCUGACCGAAUCACACAAUCCAACCAACUCUCUUUAAGCCUCCCUCACUGAUUCCAUGGAUUUCAUGGACUUAUCCCACCCUCUCUCCUUCCCUCUAUAUAUAGCAAGUCCCCUUGCCUCAGUGUCCCUGGCAACAGAAUUUAUGGCAUUUCUUCGUUCUUUCAAUUAUUUGAAAGCUUCCUAGCCCUGCAAUCUUGUACAAAGGCGUAUGGUGUUUCAUCAGUUCCAUUUGGUGGUUGGGUGGGAAAUGAAAUUAAAACACUGCAUUUCAAAUGCAUUUCAAAUGGUCUAAACCAAAUUGAAUCAAAUGUGAAGCAAAGGGCAAGAGGUGUAGAUUGAAGAACAAUGGCACCAAGAGCGAAAUUGAACUUGUUGACAGGAGGAAACCAAGUAAGGAUAACACGUCUAAAUCUUAUUUUGAAUCCAUUCAGCUCAUGAUGUUUUGAAUGAUGAUGAUCGGUAUACUCUGCUACAUGCUGUGAUUUUUCCGCUUUCAUGUAAUUAACGGCUUAUAUGUGGUAACGAUAUUGAUUAAAAAAGGUCGUACCCAGUGCAUAAGGCUCCCGCUUUACGCAGGGUCUGGGAGAGGUGAAUGUCGGCUAGCCUUACCCCCAUUUUAUGGAGAGGAUGCUCCAAAGUCUCAAACCCGAGACCUACCGCUCAUGGGCGAAGGCAUUUGCCAUCGCACCAAAUGCGAUAUUAAUUAAUUUCGAGAAAUGACAGUCUGAUUUUUGCAACUGUCUUUUGCAGGCAAAACAAAGACGUUUGCAAGGGUGAGUUGUGUAGGAGCUUUGUUUCAUGUCCAAAUGACACUUGAGAAUAAAUGUUUACACUCAUGGAUAAUAUCUAUCUAUUUGCAGGAGCAACCCUGGGUUCAUUUGUUCUGUAACUGCUGGUCAUUGCGGCAUAUCACGCCUAUAGCACUGACAAAAGUAAAAAGAGAAUCGAAUGAAAUUUGAUAAGUUUUCAGCGGACUACAAAGAUCUUAAGCCAAGCAUAUAUUCCCAUGCAGAUAUUAAGAGGUUUACAAAUCAAUUCAAGUACAAGUUGGGCCAAGGAGCAUACGGAACUGUUUUUAAACGAAAGUUUUUUUCUGAAUGCUUUGUUGCCAUGAAAGUACUUAACAUUUCCAAGGGUGACGGGGAAGAGCUUGUAAAUGAAGUGGGAACAAUGGGCCAUAUUCACCAUGUCAAUGUGGUUCACUUGGUUGGUUUUUGUGCUGAUGGAUUUAGAUGAGCUCUGGUUUAUGAGUUCUUUCCCUUUGGUUCACUCCAGGAUUAUAUUUCAUCAGCAGAUAGAUUUCUUUCCUUGGUUGGCAUAAGUUGCAAGAUCUUGCUAUCAGCAUAGCCAAAGGAACUAGGAAUGUGAUCUACAAAUCCUCCAUUUCGAUAUCAAACCCCAUAAUGUUUUGCUCGACCAAAAAAUCACGCCAAAAAUCUCUGAUUUUGGUCUGGCCAAGUUAUGCCAAACAAUUACAGACAACAGUUAUUCACUAAAUCACUUUAAGGCAAGAAUUUAAUUAAUAAUACAUUACUGCACUUUCUUAACCAUUUGACUAUCACCUAGCUGACAAUGAACACGUUAGCUCCGCGUUAGAACAUCUUGGGUUCAAUUCAUUGUCUUGAAUAUCACCCAUUGUCACAGGCGUCUGUUGGGGGCAUAGAGAAGGCCUGAGAGGCAUUUGCAGACAUUCAACAUCUCCUCCAAGCAUUUUGACAACUUUGGACAUCGAAGGGCGAUCAUUUGGUUUCAUUUGAAUACACCACAAGGCGGUUAUAACCAUCUUUCUUAUUACUUUCUUUUCCUCCUCUGUAACAUUGUCCAUUUCCAGGUCAUUUCCCACAAUAUAUUGAUCGUAUACCCACAUUGGGAAGUAGAUUUGGCUUGAAUGCUCUACCGUUGGAUUCAAAUUCUUCCUUCUGCUUGCCAUUUCCAUCAACAACAUUCCAAAACUAUAGACAUCUGACUUGUAUGAGACGCAUCCAAUAUUUUUGUAGAACAACUCAGGAGCAAUAUAUCCCAGUGUACCCCGUGCUGCCGUCAAAGAGACAAUGCUAUUAUCUACAGGAUACAAUUUUGCAAGCCCAAAGUCAGAAACCUUUGCUUUAAAGUUCUCAUCAAGAAGGAUGUUAUGAGGCUUGAUGUCGAAAUGUAGAAUUUGCAUUUCACAACCUUGGUGUAGAUAUUCGAUCCCUUGAGCCACUCCAAGAGAAAUCUCGUACAUGUUCUUGAUAGUUAAGGGGACACUUCCUUCUUUGGAAUAAAUGUAUUUAUCAAGAGAACCAUUAGGCAUGAAGUCAUAUACUAGAGCGCGUUUUGAUCCCUCAACACAGUAUCCAACAAGUUGUACCACAUUGGCAUGGUGAAUCCUUCCGAUUGUAGCUAUUUCGCUAAUGAAAUCUUGGCCAUCAGCUUUGGGCUUGCCCAAAACUUUAACUGCUACAAAUCGACCACUGCGUAGCUUUCCCUUAAAUACAGAGCCAAAGCCACCUUCGCCCAACUUGUCCUUAAACCUGCGAGUCAUUUUCUUGACGUCCGAGUAAGAGUACCUUAUAAGCAUGAUGUUGUUAUUGCAUUGCAGAAAAUCUUCUAUUGUGCUAUACAUUGAUAAAUGUCUUCUGCGCCAUGUGUAGAUUAGAAAUGCAGUCACAACUGGAACUCCAAAAACAAAUCUGGCUAGGAAAAAUAACCCUGCAUGCAUGGACAAUAAUAUGUUAGAUCCACUGUGUACUACUUUUUCUUCCCUUUCUUUCCAAAUUACUUUAUCUUUGAUGUAAUUAAAGAGAGAGAAUGGGAAAUCUACAUAUGUUGAUAAUAUAAUCUCGUCUUAGUCCUUACCGAUCCAUAUGAGUAUAAACCAUCCAAGUGCUGCAAAAAAAUCAAUCGACUAUGAGUUUGAAAAGUGCAUAAAGUGAAAAAAAAAAAAAAAAAAAAAAAAAUCAAAGGGUGCCUUUAUUGACACCCAAAUUUUAGUUAGUUUUACUCAACUAAAAAAUUUUUGUCAUCAAACUUUUUAAUUUGCCGUCGAAAUUGAGUUCACCCAACCACAAAGCAGCAACUACCACUCACAAAAAAACCAACAACACACAGCCACCAGUACCAUUCACCAAUAGAAAGAGAAGGAACACACAGACCCACCAAGGAGCCGGCAUCGACGCAUCUACGAGGGAGGGACCGGAGGGUGGUGUAGUUUUGUUGGGCGCGCGGUGGUUGUUUUGUUUGUUCAUUUUCUCUUUCUUUUGGUAGGUGGAGGCUGGUGUGGAUUUGGGCGAACUUAAAAAUGAGGGGAAACUAUGAAGUUUGACAAAAUGUUUUAGUUAGGGGAACUUAACUAAAAUUUGGGUGCCGAUAAAGAUACCCAAUUUCAAAAAUACUUGAGCUUAUAGACUAAUUAAAUGAAGUUGAUCUUACAGAUCUCGUGGCUGUAUGAUGAAUGCCACUUGCCAGCUGCAAUAGAUACCACGGAAAAGUGAAUAAAGACAUACAGUUACUAGGUUUAAGAAGUACAGAUAGAGCACACAAAAAAUAAAAGAAGCUUUUGGGAAGAAACUUCUUACGCCAAUAGUUGUGUUCUUGACCUACAGUAAAAAAUGUGAAGAAGAAUACACAACAUUAGCAAUAGCUCACCCAGUCUUCGGAAUUUAAAAAAUCAAGUUUGUCUCGAUCGAAAACUUGUAAAUAAAACAAAAAGAGGACCCCUUACGGAUUUGGUGCCAUAGAUAUUGAAAGAAACCUACAAAAACAAAGAAAGAACAAGACCACAUGCAUUAGCAUAACAAGUGUGAGGUGUAUAAGCCGUUAGAAAAUAAAUUUAAAAUUCUAGUGCUGUCAAUACAUUGAUAAUAUAUAUAUAUAUAUAUAUAUAUAUAUAUAUAUAUAUAUGUAUUAUUUUUCUGAAAAUUUAACUUUCUCCCUCCAAACUCAUUUUUCUAGUCUCUAGCCCAUCAUAUAAUAUUUAUCAGAAUAAAACCAAAUGAUUAGGAUCCAACUAAGAAACUUACCAAAUUAAGUUUGUGUGUCCAUUUUUAUAUUUUUUGGAUCCCUAAUAUACCCCAUCUAAGCCAGUAUGGAAAGUUCUUGUAAUUUUGCUUUAAGUGAUCACGUGCAUUGAAUUUGGCAAGGUCUUGUAGCCAUGAAAUAUGGUUCCAGAUGGAGGAAUGAAUUUGGAUUUUUUUUUAAUUUCGGCAACAAAUUUCAAUUUGAAUAUACCUAAUUUAGUGUUUAUUUUCAACAAUAUCUAUUGUUUAAUUUUAUGAAAAUAAUUAACCUAAUAUGAAAAUUAAUUUUAUGAAAACAAUAUCUAUUGUUUAAUUUUAUACCUACAGGAUAAUUACAUGAAAAUAGUUUACCUACUAUGAAAAUUAAUUUUUUGAAAGCAAUAUCUAUUGUUUAAUUUUAUGAAGAUAAUUUACCUACUAUAAUUACAUGAAAAAAUUUACCUACUAUGAAAAUUAAUUUUUUGAAAACAAUAUUAUUGUUUAAUUUUAUGAAAAUAAUUUACCUACUGUAUAAUUACAUAAAAAUUAGGGAAAAUUAGAAUCCCCUACAGUUUUUAUAUAUCAUUUAGAUUAAACAUUUGUACUUUUUUAAAAUUUGAUUAAAGUGCUUUGACCAAUAGUUACCUCUAUUUUUUUAAAUUAAAAUAAUUUUUGAAUUUAUCCUUUUAUCUGCACAAUGCACUUUUCCUUAUUUAGUGGAGAUAUUAGUAAUGAAACUAUAUUUUCCCUUCUUCCAAAUAUGUUUUUUCGAUCACAGUUUUUUUUUUUUUGGGUAUGCAAACAUUUGAUAUUAUUUUUUUUCCAAAUGGUUUUUUCUUUUUCAAAUAGUUGGUGAUCAACAUAUAAGCUCUGUGUAUUUUUUUCAAUGUUUUUGUGAAAUUAUAUUUUUUUUGCUGUUUUUUAAGUAUAGUUGUUGACGAAUUAUUAUUAGGUACAAUACAUUACGUAUAUAUUAUCUGCGGGUACGUUUGAAUUUACUAAAAUCAUUAAUUGGUACGUUUGAUUUGAUACAUAUUGUUAAUAUUGGUACAUUAUUUUUAUUUUGGUACGUUUUAUUUUGAACACAUUUUGUAUUGGUACGUUUAUAGUAUUCUCAAUCCUAUUUUCUCUUAACGUACUAAAAGAAAAACUCAUUUUGGUACGUUUGAUUUUGGGGGAUUUAAAAAUAUUUUAAACUAUUUUGGAAAAAAAAAAAUCUUAAAUCGUAGAUAAUUAUUGCUAAAUUGUAGCAUUAUUGUGAAAAUAAAUUGAAUCUAACCAACUUUUUUUUUUACAAUUAUCUCUAAUGGAGGAGAGUGUAAUCAAAAGGCUAGAUUAUAGGAAAUUUGUUACAAUAUAAUGGGCAUAUAGCACCAAAAUUAUGAUAAAAAAAAGUUUAAUCAAAUCAUUAAAAGGCAUGGAUGUUUGAUCUAGAAAAUUCAAAACUGAGGCGUCUAUAUCAAAAGAUCCCUAAAAAUUAAUGUGCCUACUUUUUAAAUUUGUAACAAAAUUAAUUUACCUACUUUUUAUGGUAUUAGUAUACAUAAAUGUAGAAUAUAUGUCCGUAUAUAUUUGAUCUAAUUAGGUUUUGGAUUGGAGGAGUUGACACAAAAUUAUAAAUAUAUUAAACAAAUUUAUCUAUUCUAAAGUUGGAGGGGAAUUGGUCUGUACAUUGCUACAGUAAACAAAUGCUACUCAAUUUCACGUUAUUUACAACAAAGCUAUCAGAUUUGGGUUGGGUUGGAGGGUAAUUUGUUAAAAGUUAGGAGGGUAAUUUUGUGCAUAGGGUUUAGGUGCCCUCCUAUACAUGACCCUUGAGUUUACUUUAUUUACACCACUGCCAUCAAAUAUGUGGCUGAAUUGGAGGGUAUUAUUAAAAGUUAAGAGGGUAGUUUUGUUCAAGGGGUGGGGGCGACAUUCGCAGACGGAGGCCGAUGGGAGCCAUGCCCAUUGCACAGAGAGAAAGGGAGUGAUGGGGGAAAUUACAGACAGAAAAGGAAGGGAUGGGAGGAUUUGAUGGAUGGUCACAGAGAGAGAUUCGGUGAGGGAUGUGAGGGGAGAUUACAGAGAGAUAAAUAAAAGGGAGGGAUCGGGGGAUUUGAGGGAUGGUCAGAGAGAGAAAUAGUGAGGGAGGGAGGGAUGGGGGGGCUGAUUUUCGGUUCCUCCUUCAGAUUUGUUCCGUAAAACCUGUUGGGUACAAUUCAAUUUCCUCCCCCUUUCCCCUGAACGAAAAAUUCGAAACCUACAAUUCAAUUUCCUCCCUCCUUGGCUUUCCGCUUUACUCAUCUCCCGGUGGUUCUUUCUCUCCAUACGAUUCGAUUUCGGUGAGUUCUUCGUUGCCCUCAUGAUUUCCCAGUUUGAUUUUUUGAGCGUCCUUAGUCGUUGUUUUUAUCUGGGUUUACUGCAUUGUUGCUUUUAGUUUCUGGAUUUUUAUUUGUUCCGCGGUUCGAUGAAUCGGUUAAUAAUUUCACACCAUGGGAUUUUCGCAUGGAAUUGAGCGCGGGGAUUCGGGGUGGGGUUUUACUGAUAAUUUGUCUUCAUUCAAAUGAAUGGUUAAAAUUUCUGAAGUGAGUGUGCAGGUGGGCCCGUUCACUAACUAAGCUUUCAAGGGAACCCAUCAGCGGUUUGCUUGCUGGGGGAAUUCGGAGACUACCAGUGUAUGAUUUAGUUAUCAUUUAUUUUUUUACUUAAAUUUAUCCAUAUAUAAUAUGUGGGUAAAUUUACACUAAACAAUUGUGAUAAGCCAAUAUGCCAUACGACUUUGAAAGCAUUGAUUUUGUGUUUAGUUUGCAUUUUUGCAUUGUGAAUGUUGAAUUUUGUGUUUGAAUUUGUAGCAUGAUCUUCCGCUGCAGCAUCCAAAUUUUGCAUUUGUAAAUUGUCAAAGAAAAACGAAGUAUGAGGAAAUUAUAGGAGAUUGUGUCGGCUUUGGCCAUGAAGGGUAUCAGCAGCUUGUUCCCCCAUACAGGUGAUUAAUCGUUUUUCAGUCUGUGUUCUAUUUGGAUGAGAAAGUGAUUGAAAAUAUGAUUUUUUUAUUUGUUGGUUGAUUUUGUAUGGACGAUGUAUUAAUUUUAUUUUUUUUGGGAUUUUGUGUAUUGGGCAUUGUGUAGAACCAGCAAUGCAAGAGCAGGAUCUGAUCAGUCAUGCCUGAAAAGGGGUUUGUUUCUCAAAUCACAUUAAUUAAUUAGAUUAUUAACGUGCGUUGGAAGGCUCUUCAAUAUGAUUUCUAAUUUCUCCUUUCCAGCAUUCUCUUUUUGGUUUUUGGAGUAUGUAUGUGAUUUGUAUUUUUUUAUAGAAUAAAAAUUAAUAAAACACGAGAUGCAGCAAUUAAUUUGCAUCCUUAUGACAACACAUAUGAAAGUGCAUUCAAUUUCAAUGUGCGAAUGUGUGACAGGAUGUGCCUGCCCGCUGCUGCUGGUAUGCUUGCUGUUGUUUCUCGCGUUGUUAAUUUUUUGUGUGUGUUGAUUUGAUUAACAACUCAAGCGUAUCUUUUUUUUUUGUGUUGGUUAGCAGCCAGUUUUAUGGCCCCGAUCUAGUGAUGCUUCUCAGUGACUGUGGUAAUUGCAGUUCAUUGCCACCAGUUGGUCAGCUACCUGCUCUGAAAGAGCUAUACGUAGAAGGGAUGAAAGUUGUUAAGAGUGUUGGUGUUGAGUUGUACGGGGGAAAUCAACCAUUUCAAUGUUUAGAGAAGCUAAAGUUUCGGGAGCUAUAGCAGCCUAGUCCAAGUGGAUGUGAAAGUCCAGACUUUCCUCAUCUUAAGGAGCUGGGGUUAUACGAAUGUCCGAAGCUGAGAGGAAACUUGCCCACUCAUCUUCCCUCCUUGAAAACACUUCAUGUGAACAAGUGUGAGGUUCUACAUAAAAACAGGGCCAGUAAUACCCUGAACGUGGAAUCCUUACGAGGAUCUCUUGAAAAACUGACAAUAAAUGGAUGCCCGGGUCUCUCAUUGUUACUAGAGUCGACGGAGACGCUGCCGUCGCUUCAGAAGCUUGAUAUUGAUAAUGUGGUGGGAAAGAGUUGUUGGCGCAAAUGGUGCACAACAGCAAUCGUCUUCAAAGUUUGACUUUAUAUAAAUGUUCCUCACCCUUGUCGUUCCUUACAAAUGGUCUGCCCACCACGCUGACAUCACUGAGCAUAACAGAUUGCAAGAAAUUAGAAUUCCCAUCACGUGAGAUGAUGGCCAAAUUGACUUCCCUUCAGUCUUUGCGUCUAUCCAACAGCUGUGAACGCAAAGGCUUGAGUAUUUGCAGUUUAGUUUUUUUUUUCUUCAUUUUAGAGAUUUUUCUACUGUUUGGUUUUUGGGUUUUGUCUAAUUUUUGUGGUCUGCUUUAUAGAUUGUUCUCUUUGGAAGCUUCUUUCCAGCCUUGACCUUCUUCUUGCCUGGUGCCUUCUCAUUGAGUAUUGGAGGAGCAUUAAAACACAGGUGUGUGUGUUUUGUCGACAUAAGAGAUGAAUGACAUAAAAACAUCCGUCUCUGUAUUUUUUUGUGCUUUUUCUAACCCAUCAAUUUCUUUUGAGUCAACCAAAUAGUCCCAAAUUGCAACUUAUGUUGUGAGGUAUUAUUGUCUAAAAUUAAGUAUGCAUGUAUAUUUUAUGUUUGUGCCCGCGCACACAUCCGCAUGGUGUUAAUCUCUGUGGGUCAUCUAUGUAUAUGUAGAUAUAUCUAUAUGUGUGUGUGGAAUGCAACAUAUCGGAUUUAGGUUAUACUGUGCAUAGUUUUAUUGCCUGUUAUUAUCUACGAUAUCACUAUGCCAUUUCUAUGCAGGCUCUGAAAGUUAUUCAUGAGCUUUAUAAGCACUUACCAUAAUUUAAGCAGUCUGUUUUGGGUUCUUUUUCAUUAGGUCAUUAGCUACAGAUUAAUGGAGAAACGAGGACCAUGCCACUGAUUUGGGUUCUUUUUCUAAUUUUCUGAUUUUGGGGUUUUGCAGGGAGAACUCCGCCUAUGUACUUACAUUGCCGAUCCCAAGCUCGGAUAAAGGAGGAGGGGGAGGGCGUCAGGUAGUCGACAGUCGGCACUCCAUGAUCACGUCGAAUCCUUAUGAAAAUGAAUUCAGAAUAAAAUUGCGCUAAAGCUAGGGCGUCACCCGUAAGUGGCGCGCUGUGUGGCCCGAGCACAGUGAUAAGUGAGCAAGGGUCGCUGUAUCUCCAUCGGCACCCGGAUGCAGUGUUAAAUGAGCAAGGGGGGCAUAGGAACUUCUUUUCGAACGACUCCACUCAAAGUUGUUUGGGAGCAUAUGCUCCUAUCAACUUUACACGGGACACACAAAAGAAGUACUUUGAUCCUAUUAGACGGGGGAGGGUGAAGAAGCUAGGACAGAAGGGUAGAGUUCAAGAAAGCAAAAUGCGUUUAGGAACGUGGAAUAUAGGAACCUUAACGGGAAAAUCUAUGGAAGUAGUGGAAGUUAUGGUGAGGAGAAGGAUAAAUAUUAUGUGCCUACAAGAAACUAAGUGGGUUGGUAGUAAGGCAAUUGAUCUAGAAAACUCAGGGUUUAAACUUUGGUAUUCGGGCACAAAUAGAACGAGAAACGGUGUUGGCAUCAUCGUGGACAAGACCUUGACACAAGAUGUUGUAGAUGUCAAGAGGGUAGGAGAUAGAAUCAUGGCAAUCAAGAUUGUAAUAGGACAAGAACUUAUCAAUGUGGUUAGUGCGUACGCACCUCAAGUAGGGUUGGAUACGAGUUCGAAGGAGAAAUUUUGGGAAGACCUUGGAGACUUGGUGUAAGGAAUUGCUCAGACGGAGAAGUUAUUUAUAGGAGGAGAUUUAAAUGGACACGUGGGCAGAGAGACAGGCAACUAUGGAGGUUUUCAUGGUGGCCAUGGUUUUGGGGAGAGAAAUGAGGAUGGGGAAGCUAUCUUGGAUUUUGCAAUGGCAUAUGAUCUCUUUUUAGCCAACACCUUCUUUAAGAAGAAAGAAGAACAUGUGAUCACCUACAAGAGUGGGUUGUCAAAAACACAAAUAGAUUUUCUUCUAAUGAGAAACGAGGAUGGGGAAGCUAUCUUGGAUUUUGCAAUGGCAUAUGAUCUCUUCUUAGCCAACACAUUCUUUAAGAAGAGAGAAGAACAUGUGAUCACCUACAAGAGUGGGUCGUCAAAAACACAAAUAGAUUUUCUUCUAAUGAGGAAAGGGGAUCGUAUAACUUGUAAGGAUUGCAAAGUUAUACCAGGAGAGAGCGUGGCUAAUCAACAUCGCUUGUUGGUGAUUGAUGUACAUAUCAAAAGAGUGAGACAAAAGAACAAGACUUGGAAGUGCCCAAGGACUAGAUGGUGGAAUCUAAAAGAAGAAAAACAAGCCAUUUUCAAAGAGAAAGUAAUCAUCCAGUGUGUGGGAUAGAGAUGGGGAAGCUAGCCAAAUGUGGGAUUCAAUGGCUAGUUGUAUCCGAAAAGUAGCAAAAGAGGUAUUAGGAGAGUCAAAAGGCUUUGCCCCACACCAAAAAGAAUCUUAGUGGUGGAAUGAGGAGGUACAAACAAAGGUGAAGGCUAAGAAGGAAUGUUGUAAAGCCUUAUACAAGGAUAGAACUGAUGAAAAUGGUGAAAGGUAUAGAAAAGCGAAGCAAGCUGUGAGAGAAGCUAAGUUAGCGGCUUACGACGAUAUGUAUAAACGACUAGAUACCAAAGAAGGAGAGUUGGAUAUCUAUAAACUAGCUAGAGCAAGGGAAAAGAAGACAAGGGACCUAAACCAAGUGAGGUGCAUCAAGGAUGAGGAUGGAAAUGUUCUUGCUACAGAGAACGCGGUUAAAGACAGAUGGAGAGGUUAUUUUCAUAAUCUUUUCAAUGAAGGACAUGGAAGGAGUGCUUCUUUAGGGGAGUUGAGUAACUCAGAAGAGUGUAGAAACUACUCUUUUUAUCGUCGAAUCCGGAAGGAAGAAGUGAUUGUAGCUUUGAAGAAGAUGAAACAUAGAAAAGCAAUAGGCCCAGACGAUGUACCAAUCGAAGUGUGGAAAGUUUUGGGAGAGACAUGUAUAACAUGGCUCACUGACCUUUUCAAUAGGAUUUUGAAAACGAAGAAGAUGCCAAAUGAGUGGCGAACGAGCACUUUGGUGCCUAUCUACAAGAAUAAGGGCGACGUACAAAAUUGCAUGAACUAUAGGGGUAUUAAGCUAAUGAGUCAUACAAUGAAGCUCUGGGAGAGAGUCAUUGAGCAUAGAUUGAGGCAAGAGACACGGGUUUCGGACAACCAAUUUGGGUUCAUGCCAAGGCGCUUAACCAUGGAGGCAAUCUAUCUCUUACGAAGAUUGGUGGAAAGAUAUAGAGAUGGGAAAAAGGAUUUACACAUGGUUUUUAUAGAUUUGGAGAAAUUCGUAUGAUAGGGUCCCAAUAGACAUUCUUUGGAGGAUUUUAGAGAAGAAAGGAGUACGAGUAGCAUAUAUCCAAGCUAUAAAUGAUAUGUAUGAAUGAGCAAAGACUGCUGUAAGAACUCAUGAAGGACAAACUGAAAGUUUUCCCAUAACUGUAGGAUUACACCAAGGCUCAUCCUUAAGUCCCUACCUUUUUGCGUUGGUAAUGGAUGAGUUAACAAGACAUAUUCAAGAUGAUAUUCCUUGGUGUAUGCUUUUCGCAGACGAUAUAGUGUUGAUAGAUGAAACACAGGAAUGGGUAAAUGCAAAGCUUAACCUUUGGAGAGAAGUGUUGGAAUCUAAAGGUCUUCGCCUAAGCCGAUCAAAGACAAAAUAUAUGGAGUGCAAGUUCAGUGCAAAUGGAGGCCAAAACGAGUUAGGGGUGAGGAUCGGAGAUCAAGAAAUACCAAAGAGCGACCGUUUUCGUUACCUAGGAUCUAUCUUGCAAAAGAACGGAGAAUUAGAUGGAGAUCUCAACCAUAGAAUACAAGCUGGAUGGAUGAAGUGGAAGAGUGCAUCCGGCGUGUUGUGUGACCGCCGUAUGCCACUGAAGCUCAAGGGAAAAUUUUAUAGGACGGCAAUAAGGCCGGCGAUGCUGUAUGGCACAUAAUGUUGGGCGGUGAAGCAUCAACACGUACACAAAAUGGGUGUAGCGGAGAUGAAGAUGCUUCGUUGGAUGUGUGGGCACACGAGAAAGGAUAAGAUUAGGAAUGAGGAUAUCCGGGGUAAAGUAGGAGUAGCCGAAAUUGUAGGAAAGAUGAGAGAAAAUCGGUGACGGUGGUUUGGACAUGUGCCAAGAAGGCCUACUGACGCUCCGAUUAGAAGAUGUGACUACUGGACAGAGGUUCAGGGCCGAAGGGGUAGAGGAAGACCUAGAAAAACUUUGGAAGAGACUCUAAGAAAGACUUAGAGUACCUGGAUCUAACGAAGGACAUGACACAGGACCGAGCAUAAUGGCGUUCUAAGAUUCAUAUAGCCGAUCCCACUCAGUGACUUGGAUUUUCCAAGUCUCCAGCCGAGAAGUUUUCCUCACUCAGGAAAUUAAGGGAACACUACCCCAACCUACAUGCUCCACUCACAAAGCUUCAACAAAAGAAAAUUCAAAGAACUUAGCGAAGAAGGCUUUGAUGUAUUUAACACAAUACGUUGAAAUGAAGGAAAGCUUAUUUAUUGAUAUCAUCGAUAAGCUACAAAUAUGUACAUAUACAUAAGUCAAAAUAAACAAACAAGAGGGAGCCUUCACAAAGGUUGCUUAGGAGAAGUCUCAGCAGUCGGUAGAGCCCCAGAAAGAGAAGGCACCGGAGGGGGAUCAUUCGGAGCCUCAGUACUGGACAGAACCCUAGAAGGAGGAGGCAUAAGAGGUUGAUCAUUUGGUGCUUCAUUACGCGGUACAGCCCCAGAAGACGAAGGCAAUAAAUGCCUUUGGAACAAACCCACAAAUCUCUGAUGAUCAAGUAAAACCUGACCAUCAGAUUCCUUCAUCUGGUCAAGCUUCCUCUUCAUGUUUGUAGCAUAGUCAUGUGCGAGCCGGUGCAACUGUUUAUUCUCAUGCUUGAGCCCUCUAAUCUCCUGUUUGAGACUCAUCACUUCAGCCGCCAAUGAUUCAACUUGGCGGGUUCGAGCAAAUAGGUGUUGGGCCAUAUUAGACACAGAACCUGCACACUGAACACUGAGAGCCAGAGAAUCCUUAACAGCUAACUCAUCAGACCGUUUGGAAAGUAGUCUGUUAUCUUUGGGAGUGAGAAGGUUCCUGGCCACCACCGCAGCGGUCAUAUCAUUCUUCAUCACGGAAUCCCCAACGGUAAGAGGACCAGUAGGGGAGACGAAGGAUGGGCGCCAUAUGUUGUCUGGAGAAGGCGGGGCUUCCUCUUCAACAAGGUUCAAGUCAAAACGACGGUCGGAGGGGCCAGACAUUUUCAAAUGUGUUGAAGAGAGAAGAGGUCGGACAAAUCAAGAUCUUAGAAGUGUAAGAAUGGAGCUUCUACUGGUGGAGAUUCAAGUGUGCUUUGGAACUUAAUGUCAGCCCCUAUAAAAAUCUGCACUCAACGGAGCUUCAGAAAUCGAAGAGGCGCCUGCUCAGAAAUCGAAGAGGCGUUUGCUUUCUCAAAAGCAAGGCUGCUCAGAUACCACGAGGGUCGAUCUCAGAAAUCGAAGAGGCGUUUGCUUUCUCAAAAGCUGGGCAGCGCAAAGACCACGAAGGCCGAUCUCAGAAAUCGAAGAGGCGCUCAAAAGUUGGGCUGCUCAGAGACCACGAGGGCCGAUCUCAGAAAUCGAAGAGGCACCUACUUUUCCAGCCUUGUCAGUACCUGUCACACACACACUCAGCUUUGCGAAAAUUAUGGGGAUUCGGUCGAAGACUUCUGGUGAAGUAGAAAGCACAUGAGUCUUACUGUUCAAUCACCCACUUCCCACACGCAACAGUAGCUCAUGGGUACCACAUAUAACUUUUCCAAAGUUCUCUGCCAAAGUUGAACACGUGAAGUUUGCAGCUCCCACUACAUCGCUCUGAUCAAGAAGGGUAAAAGAAUAGCAAAGAAACAACACUAACAAAGUUUAGACACAUAAAUUUUGAUGGUCGAGCUACCAUAUUAUUACCCACAAGGGUAAAGGAACAGUACCACUGCUGGAUAAUUGGAAAGUCCCUGUGUGUCAACCUCUGUGCUUCGUGGCAAGGUAGACUAUCAAACAUGCCCAACCUUUACUCACAUUCGAGAAAACACUCCCAACAAGAUUGCUUGCUCCAAAAUCGAAGAGGCACCGUCCUUCGAAUCUCGAGAGCCAGACUCCCAACAUGACUACUUUCUCAAAAAUCGAAGAGGGUAAAGGAACAGUACCAUUGCUGGAUAAUUUGAAAGUCCCUGUGUGUCAACCUCUGUGCUUCGUGGCAAGGUAGACUAGCAAACAUGCCCAACCUUUACUCACAUUCGAGAAAACACUCCCAACAAGAUUGCUUGCUCCAAAAUCGAAGAAGCAUCGCCCUCCGAAUCUCGAGAGCCACUCCCAACAUGACUACUUUCUCAAAAAUCGAAGAGACAUCGCUCUCCGAAUCUCGAGAGCCAGACCCCCAGCAUGAUUGCUUUCUCAAAAAUCGAAGAGGCACCGUUCUCCGAAUCUCGAGAGCCAGAUCCCCGAUAGGAUUGCUUGUUCGAAAACCGAAGAGGCAACACUUUCCCAAUUUCAAGAGCCGGAUCUCCUUGGAUAAAGCUAUCUGUAAUCUUCACUCGCAACAUUAGCUUUCCAGCUACCACAGACCACUUUUUCAAAGUGAUCUGACAACGUUAAAACAUGUGAAGCUGGCAGCUUCCACUACCGUGCUAUGACCAAGUAGGGUAAAGGAAUAGCAUUACUACUUGUUGUUAAGGAGACUCCUAUAUAUGUCGACCUCCAUCCCCAACGGAUAGGCAGACCUGCAAAAAUGCUCAACUCUUCCUCAUAUCUGAGAGGGCACUCCCAACGAAGCCUUUCGAAAUAUUCAGCUUUCUUUCCCCCCGAUAAUACCUCUGCAAACAAGCUAUACUAGAGCAAGAAUAUCUCAUAUCAUCAGGGUUAAAAGCAAGAGUAUCCCAUAUCAUGCUUUUUCCUUGUCUUUUUCUUUGGCCUUGUUCUUACCUGCAAGACAAGAAGAAAGAGAGCAAUCAGUCAGUACUUGGAAUCAAGCUUCCAGCCAGGAACUGACUGCCUGGAACCCCUUACCUGAUUACUUACCUGACAUUGUUCUCGAGUACUCAUCUUCAACAUCUUAUGCUUCCAGGGAAGAUACCGCAUCUGCCUGAGGAACAGAUAGGGCAAGGGAGAAGGAUAUAAGGAAGCAUGUGGAGACAAGCGUAACAGCACACGUGCCGAUACAUCCAUUACUCUGUCAAAGCAAAAGUAUCCCAUAUCAGUAGGGUCGAACGUACUCUAGAUUUGAUGGACUUGUUUUGACCCUCAAAUUCUUCAGUCGGCCUUAUACUCUGGAGGAAACCAGAAAUUUCUCCAGCUCAGUGCAAGAAUAAGCUUGUGGAAAGUUACUUCUUCAAAAGCAAAAGUAUCACAUAUCAUCUCUUCUCAUUUUCUUCUCUUUAUCCUUCAUGCUGCCUGCAAGAUAGGGAGAUUGUGAACAAUCAGCUGGAGCUAUGAUUGCUUACCUUGUCUGUCACCUCUUUCAGCAGAUCCCCUAGCUCGGCGAUUUGGGGGACUCCUACUACAUGGUUUGUAUCGCGCUUGACCAAGCCUGAAACUACAAGUAAGCUUCAAGUGAAAUUGAUACAUUACCUUGUGCAUCUCCACCAGUUAAAGAUACUACCCCUGGAUGGAGGAAGAGUACUUCCAGAGAAGAUGCCCCAUCUACCUAUGAGACAGAUAAGGCACGUCAAGACGAUACCACACUCUGAUACUUAGAAGUUUCGUGAUUACGAGAUCAUUCUCCCACAAUAUUUCCUAAUGUCAUUUGUACUAAAUCAUUCACUUGUACUCACUAAAGGAGAGCUUGAACCUAUGUACUUGUGUAAACCCUUCACAAUUAAUGAGAACUCCUCUAUUCCGUGGACGUAGCCAAUCUGGGUGAACCACGUACAUCUUGUGUUUGCUUUCCUAUCUCUAUCCAUUUAUAUACUUAUCCAUACUAAUGACCGGAGCAAUCUAGCGAAGAUCACAAAAAGCGACCGUUUUCGCUACCUAAGAUCUAUCGUGCAAGAGAACGGAGAAUUAGAUGGAGAUCUCAACCAUAGAAUACAAGCUGGAUAGAUGAAGUGUAAGAGUGCAUCCGACGUGUUGUGUGACCGUCAUAGGUCACUGAAGCUCAAGGGAAAAUUUUAUAGGACGACAAUAAGGCCAGCGAUGUUGUAUGGCACAGAAUGUUGGGCGGUGAAGCAUCAAUACGUACACAAAAAUGGGUGUGGCGGAGAUGAGGAUGCUUCGUGGGAUGUGUGGGCACACGAGAAAGGAUAAGAUUGGGAAUGAGUAUAUCCGAGGUAAAGUAGGAGUAGCCGAAAUUGAAGGAAAGAUGAGAGAAAAUCGGUUCCGGUGAUUUGGACAUGUGCAAAGAAGGCCUACUGACGCUCCGGUUCGAAGAUGUGACUACUGGACAGAGGUUCAGGGCCGAAGGGGUAGAGGAAGACUUAGAAAACCUUUGGAAGAGACUCUAAGAAAAGACUUAGAGUACUUGGAUCUAAUGGAGGACAUGACACAAAACCGAGCGCAAUGACGUUCUAGGAUUCAUAUAGCCGACCCCACUUAGUGGGAAAAGGCUUUGUUGUUGUUGUUGUUGUUGUUGGGGUUUUGCAGGGAGUACUAAUGUACUGAUUUUCUGGGAUUUUUUUUGUCCUUGCAGGAUUUUUGGUCUUUGAAAUGGGUAUGUGUUGUUUUUAAUGUUUCAGUUCUAGCGUUUUCCGUUCUUCGUUGCUUCGUGAUUCUCAUUUUUCAGUGUUGGGUGAUGGAAAUUUGUUAAAGUAGUUGGUAGUUUUUUGAGAAAGUUGGCAUUUUUAGUUAUAUUUUCUGUUUAAUCCUAAAUGUUUUGAAAACUCAUAAUUUUUUUGUUCUGGGAUUUAAAAGCAUCUUUUCCAGAUUGGUUACAAGGGUUAUGUUCUCUUCAAUUGGUUCACCUAAUUUUGAUUAGUUUUAAGUUUUGUCCUUUAAGUUUGUCUUUUAAGUUUUGUUCUUUAAGUUUUGUCUUUUAAGUUUUGUUCUCUAAGUUUUGUCUUUUAAGUUUUGUCUUCUGUGCUGUAAUGAGAGAUUUCCGUUGGCCUUUCGGAUUUUGGCAUGGGAAAGUUCACUUAUUUGCAAGGUUCUAAAAAACGCUAGGCGUUAGUUGGGCGGUGGGCUAGCGCCUAGCGGCUAGGCGGCUAGGCGGGAUCUAGGCGGGAUCUAGGCGGGCGCCUAGGCGGCCUAGGCGGAUUUAGGUAAAUUUCUUAUAUAUUUUAUGAAUUAAUUAAAUUUACUAUAUCAAAUGUAAAUAAUUAUUAACUAAUAUGUUAUUUCUUAUAGAAGAACAUACAUAGUGAAUGUUUUAUGUACAUAUAUAAUAUAUUUGUCUAGGAAAAAAAAAUAUUAUCUAAAUAAUUUUUAUAACAUAUAUAUAUAUAUAUAUAUAUAUAUAUAUAUAUCCCAAACUUUUAAAAAUAUAAAUAGCAUUGGGAGAGGGGCGUAGGGUUUCUAAAAGCACACUCAGAAAUAGAGCAUAUUUUAGUCUUUAUUUUAGAAUCCUAAGGAGCACCCUACUCGGAUGCACGACAUGUGUGCAAAUCUGGAGAUUCUUGCUGUAUCGGAUACACCAAUGCUUAGUCAAAAUUUCCUGCUAGGGUUUAUGGUGGACAUGUGUGUGUGGUCUUCAUUAUUAAACCCAUUAGCACCUCACCUUUUCACAUCACCCGUCCAUCACCUUGGGUGGUUUUGAUAAUUAAAACCAUCAACAUCCAUGGUUUUGAUAAUUAGAACUACCAACUUUUCCUUGGAUUUGAGAAUCUGAGAUCCCAUUCAUCGCCAUCAAAUAUUGAAAUGUUUCAUUGUUCAUCUCUUUCUCCCUCUUCUCACUCUCUAUUCCCUCAUCUUCACAGAGAUGAGUUACAGAAAUUCUCCGGUAAUCUCUCUCUCUCUCUCUUCGUAAUCGACGAGCUCCUCGACUUGAAGUCGCAGCCAAGUUAUGAAGAAUCGAGAUGCGAGAGCAAGUGGAGAGUGGAGACUCUGGAAAUUGGGAGUGACGAUCGACGACGAUGAGUCGAUGACCCAGGAAACCUCUUGAAGUUGCAGCAGGUGAGUGCACUGCAGUUGAGGAAGAAGAGACGAAGAGACUUAGUUUCUGAAAUUAGGGUAGCUGCAAGGCACGGGAACUUAAAAACAAAAAAACAAAAAGAAAACCGCCUAGCUCCGCCAGCCGCCUAGCCUGCCUAGGCGCCUCCUAGCCCGCCUAGGUGCCGCUUAGCCACCGCCUAGAGCCCAGCCGUUUUUUCCCACCGUUUUGCACAAAAACGCCUUGGCCACCCUCCGCCUAGCGCCUAGGCGGCCGCCUAGGCCGUUUUUUAGAACACUGCUUAUUUGUCUAAUUAGAUUGUGGAUGCCUUCGAUUCUUUAUUUAAUUGUUCUGUUUGCGUUCGGGUGUGAUGAUCUAAAUUUCAUAUGUUUGGAAUUAUUUACUUAACACCAAUUUGUUACAUUCAGAUCUCCACCCCACAUUUCACUAGUUCAAAUUCCAUAGAAGUUGGUUAUUGCAGAUUGCGUCUACAAUUAGAUCAGAGAUCAACUACUCUUUUGUUAUCCUGCAGAAGAUUGCUUUUGGGAAGGAUCUGAAGUAGUUUCUCUCUGUAUGUUUAUUCCCAUGUAGCUCUGUCUUUUCUAAUUGAUGGUGUUGAUAUUACACUGUAAUUCAUGAUGAUGAUUUAAUUGUUUAUUGAUUUGUAAUUGUUUGUGAAUAAUGUGGCAUAUAUGAAUUGCAAUCUGUGUUUGUAUGAAAGGGAUGGCAUAUUAUGUUGCUGACUUAAUUGUUUAUGUUUUUCAUAUUUGCGAAUGGUGUUAUGAUCAAUUAGGUGAUUGCUGACCUGUGACUUUGUUUGGAGCUCAAAUUUUGUGAGCAUUACAUUGGAUUGUUUUGAUGUUGUUUUGGUUGACAAUGCAGGGAUAGGAGAAACAAAGAGGAUGACACUUAUAACUGCCAUUCCCCAUCGGCCGUCUUCAAAUUUGGAUCACAAGAAGGGAGCAACAUAGGUGUUUUCCUUCUUUAUUUAGAUAUGGUUAGUGUAAAUAAUUGGACAAAAGAGCCAAACAAACCCUGUUCUCUCAAAUGGAGUUGAUGAUGUGGUCGACGGCCACCAGCCCCAACUCAAGAGUUUGGCCUUCAUAUAAUUGGAUUGUAGUAUAAUUUUAUUUUUGUUCAUUUCUUUUUUCCUUUAUAUAAGUGCAGGUGUUGUGAUGUUUUGAAUAAAGGGUGAUGAAAGGUGGUUCACACUUCCUCCUUACUUAAAGCAAGUGGAGAUGACGGUUUGUAUAAAAAGAAAAACUUGCCACGUACUUCAAUUUUCUAUUUUAUUAAUUAUUGUUUGGUUUUCCAAAUGUUGUAUUCACAAAGAGAGACCAAUUAUGUCUUUGAGAAACAAGUUUCUUUGUCUACAUUGCGAGAAUUUGCAGUUUGCAACUUUCAUUGGUUAUUAUAUUUGAUUGAGUUAAACUUGGAUUUCUGGAUUCUGACUUUUUCGUUUGUUUCUUUGUUGCAGAGUUGGCUUCAUUUCAUUCCAGGAACUCUCUAAAUAGGGCCAAGAACUCACUAAAUAGGUAGUCAAGAGGAAUUCAGUUUUGCCUUCAAUUUUUGCCUUCUGUUUACAUUCUUCCUGGAUGCACUCUCACCGCUUCUCUCGCUUACCACUUUUUUCUCACUCACCGCUUCAUCUCUUCUGUUGCUUACAAGGUCGUGUCAUAUAUUUUUUAAUUUUGUGGUUUAAUUUAUUGAAUAUUUGAAAAAAGAGAUAAAAUUAUAAGAUACUAUAUAAGAUACUAUAUAGUAUCUUAUAAAUAAAUGAAUCACAAAUGAUACUAUAGUUGUUAAAAAAUCCCAUUACUCAAAACUCCAAUUCCCUCCCAUUACUGAAAGCUCCAAUUCCAUCAAAACCGAGAUGGUAAAAGUACAAACUGGCUAGUUUCCACCAAAAAAAAAAGUACAAACUGGUUACAAAAAUAUGUUUUGUCCCAUCCAAUUGACGAAAAGAGAUAAAAUUUUCAAUUUACAAUUACUGAUAUGAUGUUUGUUUUGAAAAUCAUUAAGGUGAAUGGAGAGAUUUACAACCAUGAAGAGCUGAGGAGCCGUUUGCCAAAUCAGAUUUAUAAGGUCUCAUCAAUUAUGAAUAAACGACUUUUCAUUCCCAAUGACCUUUAUCGUUUUUCUUAAUGGGUUAGCUGAACAUGAGGUAGAUGCUGACUUUAUCAAAUAUGAGAAUGUUUUAGGAUUUCAUUCUAAUUUUUUGGCUGUUUGAUUACUUUGCUUUUCGUAAUUUGUUUUGCUUAUCGUCAAUUGGAUGGGACAAAACAUAUUUUUGUAACCAGUUUGUACUUUUUUUUUUGGUGGAAACUAGCCAGUUUGUACUUUUACCAUCUCGGUUUUGAUGGAAUUGGAGCUUUCAGUAAUGGGAGGGAAUUGGAGUUUUGAGUAAUGGGAUUUUUUAACAACUAUAGUAUCAUUUGUGAUUCAUUUAUUUAUAAGAUACUAUAUAAGAAACUGUUAUUAGCACUCUAAAAAACUCAUUCUACACUCGCGACAAGUGUAUUUUUCUUUUUAAUUAUGGAAAGUUUGAAGGGCAAAAUGAGAAUUUUGGAGUGCCAAUAACAAUUCCCUAUUAUAUAUAGCUCUACUGGGAAGGCUACUGUAUAUGUCUUCAUCCUGUUAAAUUGUAUAUGGCUCUUGAUGUCGGCUGAAUUAAAUCAAAAUGAAAACCAAGCUGAUCUUACCAGCCGAUAUCACUUAUCACUUGCUUAUUUAAAUUAUUUGAAGAUGCGUAUGUGGAUUGGUGAUUUUGUUGGAUUCACUUAGCUCAAAUAUAUGUUAUCUGAGUCGCUACAUUUGAGAAUGUGAUUCUGUUCCUACCACCAUUUUGCCCACUUUUUGUGGAAAUUAUUCAUUCCUGUUGUGAAUAAUACAUUCAUCCCCGGCAACGAAGUGCGGGCACAUUUUAUAGUUUAAAUUAAAUCACACAAUGGGUCAUCAAUAAUGACAAACUCGUCAUUUAUGCGAGUCAAACAUGAGGCCACCUACCUACUAGUUUAGUGGAAUACCACAAAGUGACAUGUUGAUACCUUUAAGUCUCAUAUAAUGGAUUGCAGAAUUAGGAUAUACCUAGACUAAUUUAGUCAGUGCGUGAACCCGAACAAUUAACAAGGGUUUUAUUCUUGCUUGAAUGUUUGUUAUAUGUUCCUAGUUUGACAAGGCAAUUAUAUUUCCGAUUACAAAAGUUAUUAAUUUAGUCGAGAAUUGACGCACCUGAAAUGGUGUGAGGAAAACAUGUAGACACAUCAACCGCAGUCCACUGUCCUGGGCAUCUAUCUUCCCCGAAACGAAGCUCAAAGCCAUACAUGAGGGCAUUGUGUAUGUCUUUAUAAGAGAAGUUGCUGUAGUCUUCAACGUAGCCGGCAGCCAAACUCAUCCACUCUACACUGCAACCCUCAUCCAAAUCCCAUGCUUCCAACCUGCCCCCGACAUAGUCAGCGACCAUGACAUAGCUAUACGUUUUUGGUUGACUCGAAGAAGAAGAAGAAGUAUUAUUCAAGCAUGGAGCAGUGUCCACGUACAGAGAAGAAUUCGAUGGAUUCGAACACUUCAAGUAAUAUAUAGAUAGAGAAUUGAUGUCAUAGGUGGGCCAAUAUGGAGAAUUGAUGUCCUCGGUGGUGGGCGGAAUAUUUUGAGACAUGGAAGAGCAAUUGUUGUUGUCAAGCCCAGGAUCUAGAACUCGGAUUGUAUUGUUAAUGUAGUUGAUUGCCUGGACAUAGUAUUUUCCGGAAGAAGGUACGUCUAGUACAGUAAUGUUGCUCUCACAGUACAGAGUAUACAUUAUGUUGCCACAGUACUUUGGAUCAUCGUUCAGUCGAAAAGGAUGGCUUAUGUAGUGGAUAUGGCCGCAGGAUGAAGUGCAGGACUUGGCACUACUGUUGUCAGCGUUACAAGUUUCACUGCAAAAGCAAAGAAGAAGAAAGGCUAAACUUAAGGUGAAGGACCUGCUUCCACUAAUUUCCAUUGAUCUGAGAGAGAGAGAGAGAGAGAGAGAGAGAGAGAGAGAGGGUACUAUAGCUUGAACACCAAGGAGUUAUAUAAUAUGGGAGGGGUUAAAGCGCUUCGCUUAAAGUUGCAGUAAGCCCGGCAAAUAUCCUAGGGAAAAGUCGGUCAAUGGUGUCCUAUAGAGAAAAGUCGGCCUUGGUGUUUGACACGGUCACUCACUCUCUCUCUCUCUCUCUCUCUCUCUCUCACAUUGACGAGGGACACUGUAAUUAACAAAAAAAUUGUUCUUCAGAGAUAGAUUUUGAAAUUCUUAUUUUAUAUAAAAAAACACCUAAUAUUAAUCAUUCAAAUGAAAUUCCUAAAAUUAAGUAUAAAUAAUACAUAAUAAAAACUGAACACAUACAAUCAACGGUCACGAUCAUGAAAUCCUUCGGAUCCUCAGAAAAAAAUCCGACGAUGAUCUUUUUCUGUGUAAAAUAAUUUGAGGGUAUAAUACUGGAUGUGCGAUUAAACCGAAGAACCCACCCACCUCCAUCUUCUCCGACCAACUUGAACCCAGCCACUACUACAUGUCAUCCCGACAACCCACUCUCAGCUUCCCAAACCGCCAUUUUUCACCCAUUCACCUACCACUGCCAUUAUUCAUUCAAUCAACCCAAAACACGAGAGCCACCCCCAUCUCACCAGUCGAACAGAUGCAGCCACCCACCCAUUUAAUCCCAGUCCAAAAUCAAACCCUCUCCUAAACCCACCCCAGAAUCCAAUAAUUUCAAAAAAUGGCUGAUUAUAUCAUUUCAAGAACCUCACAAUUCCAAAAACUAAAAACCCACUUCAAAGAUGUAAUAUUUUUCUCUCUUCCUCUUUUUGGGUUUUUUUUUCUUUUUUUUUAUCAAUUCUCUUCUGGGUUUUUGUUUACAGUGUAAAAUCAACACUAAUUUACUAAUUUUGCUUUGAUUUCAAACACUAUUGAGGCGUGAUAACCUGUUGCAAGCUCAGCCAUGGCGGCUACUGCGAAAUCUAACGGAAAAACCAUCACAGACUCUGCCAUUUCAUCCAAGGUUCCGACAAUAGCAAAACGAAUAGCUGUCGCAGAUUUCUUCCAACAUCAAUCACUACGCGAAAUUAAUUGUCAAUGAAGACGAUCCCAUUCCCCUUCGAAAUCUGCUGGGGAAAGAGACCUUCUUUCAGAUCUGCUCUGAGACCGGUUUAUGCGAGAGAGUGGUGAGCCUGACGACAGAGAGAAAUAAGGGCAGGAUUGGAAAAUUGGAAAGUUCAUUUAUUGGUUACUGUUUAUCCGUGUUUCUUCGAAAUAAGCUGCUUUUUCCAGCUUUGGGUUUCAGUGUUUUUUAACCCAUAAUUUUGAAAGAAAAAAAACUGAUUUUAAAUGUUUAUCAAACACUUAAAAUGUUCCAAUCUUUUUUCAUACCUACUUUUUAUUAAAAGUUAAGCUAAACAAAAAUCAAGAUUAAGUUUACUACUCUGAAGUUUCUUGCUUUUCAACAUUUCAUACAUUGAAUUUUUCUCAUCCAGUGUCAUAUCUAAGGUGGGAAUUGUGGGACACUUUUAUACAUCCGUUAGAUUUUAUGUGAAUUGCGUGGCACUUUUAUACAUCCGUUAAAUUUUUUGUGAGAACCUUCGCUGACCCACGAUGCGGCAUGCAUGUGGACAUUAAAAAAAUUCAAAAAAUUCAAAAAAUUUUAAAAUUUUAAAAUUUAAAAUUCAAAAAUACUAAAAACCUAAACUUUUCAUAAUAUUGAAAGACUGAAUCUUUUCACAGUCAGCCAAAUUUUCUUCAAAUUUUAAUUAGAUGAAAUAAUGAAUCUUGAACAAAGCAAAACAAAACGUAAUAUUGAGAGAUUCAGUCAUUGAAGUGGACGUGGAUGUUGGGUACUCAAUAGUCCAAGAAUGAAAACUCUCAUAUCAGUUUCUAUCCAAAAUUUUGGAAUUAUGUGUGUUGCAACGAUUGUCCAAAGGAUUAUUCUUCUUUUAUUAAAUUUCCAUGAAAAAUGAGCAUGGAGCACAAAAGUUGAACGAAUGAUUAUUCUUCUUUUAUUAAAUUUCCAUGGAAAAUGAGCAUGGGGCACAAAAGUUGAACGAAUGAAAUUUCAACGAUUUGAAAAGGGAUUGUGAGUUUGACAUGUCAUUUUUCUUCCUCUAAUGCAAUCAUGUUUAUUAAAAGACAAAAAUAAAUAUGACUUUACAUAAGGAGAGAGAAGGAGUAGUUUUCUUUGAAAAAAUCAACCAUUUAUUGAAGAGGAUGUGGAUGUUGAUUGAUGCGUCGUGAAUACGAAAAAAAGGACCUUGAAAGGAGUUGAGACAUUCAUUAAAAGCUAGAAGAAAAAAAAGUUAAAAGUGUUUUAGAAAAAAAGCAAGAAAGCCUCAUUUUCAAAGUUGUGGUCAUUGCACAAUACUUGAUUAGAAGAAAACUCAUAGUAUUGUAUUUACAAUUUCAAGUCUUUAUGGGGAACGAGAGAGCAAGUUUUCCAAUUGGAAUAUGAUAUGAAAUUUCUACAUAACUAUAUAUGACAAUGAAAGAAGUCUAAGUUUCUAAAUGGAAGGGCUUCCAAUUGAUGUGAGUUUGUUGAGAAAUUAGUGAACAACAGAACAAGUUGCUUCUCCUUUGGCCUUCUAACAUGAUAUCACAGAAAACAAGUUGUUACUAAUAAAUGUAUCUGAUUGGUGGACUUAGACGUGCGCGGUACGAUUUUUGAUAACUAGAGAAGAUGGGCAGUGUCAUGACAAAAUUUAUCCAAGUAGACCCAAAGGAAUGACUUAGGAACUUCAUAUGCAGUGGGAUAAAAUCUUAAGCUAAUUUCCUUACCUAUCUUAUAGGCAUUAAGUAAAAUGUAUAUGCAUAUUUCUAGACACACCAAUUUACUUAAUAUUAACUUCUUUCAAAUACCCAUUUGCAGAAACGCAAAGCUCUCUUGCAUGCUUGUUGUAAUGCUUAUGUAGUGCGUAUCCUAUAUCUUAUAUAUAUAUCUUACUUUUUGUGAUCCAUUUUUUCAUCACUAUGCCAAACGAAUAGCAAAACGAAUAGCUGUCGCAGAUUUCUUCCAACAUCAAUCACCACGCGAAAUUAAUUGUCAAUGAAGACGAUCCCAUUCCCCUUCGAAAUCUGCUGGGGGAAAGAGGCCUUCUUUCCGAUCUGCUCUGAGACCGGUUUAUGCGAGAGUGGUGAGCCUGACGACAAAGAGAAAGAAGGGCAGGAUUGGAAAAUUGGAAAGUUUAUUGGUUACUGUUUAUCCGUGUUUCUUCGAAAUAAGCUGCUUUUUCCAGCUUUGGGUUUUCAGUUUUUUUUACCCAUAAUUUUGAAAGAAAAAAAACUGAUUUGAAAUGUUUAUCAAACACUUAAAAUGUUCCAAUCUUUUUUCAUACCUACUUUUUAUUAAAAGUUAAGCUAAACAAAAACCAGGAUUAAGUUUACUACUCUGAAGUUUUUUGCUUUUCAACAUUUCAUACAUUGAAUUUUUCUCAUCCAGUGUCAUAUCUAAGGUGGGAAUUGUGAGACACUUUUAUACAUCUGUUAGAUUUUAUGUGAAUUGUGGGGCACUUUUAUACAUCCGUUAGAUUUUUUGUGAGAACCUUCGCUGACCCACGAUGCGGCAUGCAUGUGGACAUUGAAAAAAUUCAAAAAAAAUCGAAAAUUUUAAAAUUUUAAAAUUUAAAAUUCAAAAAUACUAAAAACCUAAACUUUUCAUAAUAUUGAGAGACUGAAUCUUUUCACAGUCGGCCAAAUUUUCUUCGAAUUUUAAUUAGAUGAAAAUAAUGAAUCUUGAACAAAGCAAAACAAAACGUAAUAUUGAGAGAUUCAGUCAUUGAAGUGGACGUGGAUGUUGGGUACUCAAUAGUCCAAGAAUGAAAACUCUCAUAUCAGUUUCUAUCCAAAAUUUUGGAAUUAUGUGUGUUGUAACGAUUGUCCAAAGGAUUAUUCUUCUUUUAUUAAAUUUCCAUGAAAAAUGAGCAUGGAACACAAAAGUUGAACGAAUGAUUAUUCUUCUUUUAUUAAAUUUCCAUGGAAAAUGAGCAUGGGGCACAAAAGUUGAACGAAUGAAAUUUCAACGAUUUGAAAAGGGAUUGUGAGUUUGACACGUCAUUUUUCUUCCUCUAAUGCAAUCAUGUUUAUUAAAAGACAAAAAUAAAUAUGACUUUACAUAAGGAGAGAGAAAUAGUAGUUUUCUUUGAAAAAAUCAACCAUUUAUUGAAGAGGAUGUGGAUGUUGAUUGAUGCGUCGUGAAUACGAAAAAAAAAGACCUUGAAAAGAGAUGAGACAUUCAUUAAAAGCUAGAAAAAAAAAAGUUAAAAGUGUUUUAGAAAAAAGCAAGAAAGCCUCAUUUUCAAAGUAGUGGUCAUUGCACAAUACUUGAUUAGAAGAAAACUCAUAGUAUUGUAUUUACAAUUUCAAGUCUUUAUGGGGAACGAGAGUGCAAGUUUUCCAAUUGGAAUAUGAUAUGAAAUUUCUACAUAACUAUAUAUGACAAUGAAAGAAGUCUAAGUUUCUAAGUGGUAGGGCUUCCAAUUGAUGUGAGUUUGUUGAGAAAUGAAGAUGAAGAUGAAUAUUGAUGUUGAUGUUAGUGAACAACAGAACAAGUUGCUUCUCCUUUGGCCUUCUAACAUGAUAUCACGGAAAACAAGUUGUUGCUAAUAAAUGUAUCUGAUUGGUGGACUUAGACGUGCACGGUACGAUUUUUGAUAACUAGAAAAGAUGGACAGUGUCAUGACAAAAUUUAUCCAAGUAGACCCAAAGGAAAGACUUAGGAACUUCAUAUGCAGUGGGAUAAAAUCUUAAGCUAAUUUCCUUACCUAUUUUAUAGUAUUAAGUAAAAUGUAUAUGUAUAUUUCUAGAUGCUGACACACCAAUGUACUUACUAUUAACUCCUUUCAAAUACCCAUUCGCAGAAACGCAAAUCUCUCUUGCAUGCUUGUUGUAAUGCUCAUGUAGUGCGUAUCUAAUAUCUUAUGUGUAUAAUUUUUUGUGAUCCAUUUUUUCAUCACUAUGCCAAAAUCCCUUUAGAAUUUGCAAUUUAUCCAUUUGGUUAUGGUAAAAAAAAAAACUCGGAAUUUCAUUUAAACUCGAAAAUCUAGAAUUGGGAAAGCAAUUUUCCCUUGUUCGGCAACUUGUAGCGAUAGCAAAGGCAAAUUGUACCGGAAAAAAGUGGAAAUUGGGGAUGAAGAUCCAAUUUUAAUUUCGUCAAAAUAAGUGUAAUUUCACAAUUCCAACAACGUUGAGAAUCACAAAUGCAUUGUGGGGAAAUCUUGCGACCACCAAACUUUACGAUUAGAGCGCCAAAUUUCAUGAUAAAACGUAAUAAGGGUUUAGGACUGCAUCGUUCGCUCUGUUAACUCUCCAAUCUUCGACGGGAUUUUCAACUCGUGCAUCAUUUUUUGCUUUGUUCUAGGUCAAAGCCUACUCUUUUCUUUCUUGAAUUAUUUUAGCUUUGCGGGUAUACUCUUUAGGCCAAUUGUGAAUUUUGCUAGUUAUUUUUAUUUUCUGAUGGUCAUAUGUUUGUUUUUUUUUUCUUCCAAUUGAGCUGUGUAUUGGUUGGAUCAGUAACUUUUUUUUUGGAUUUUUAUUUUUAUUUUUAUGGAUUUUGGUGUUAGUUCCUUGUUAUAGAUGUAUAGAUGUUGUGGAGCAAAAAAUAAUCUCAAAAAUCGUGGAGGUGACACACGGAUUUUUGGACAAGAAUGACAAAAUUAUCCUCGAAGCACAUCAUGAUUCCCACGUGCAUGCAACGGACAAUAACGGCUCAAUCAUGGAAGAGUCAAAGGUGAUCAAUAUGGUAUUUAUUCAAAUCCCUCUCAUCACUCCUCAUCAAUCCCUUUUUGAUUUUAUUCAAAAGGUAACUCCCAAAACUUCCUAUUUAAUUUAGGGAUCAUUGUCAUGUUAAUUGCAAGAUAUUAUUUCACAAAAUAUCUUGUAAUUAUUCUUCAAUUACCACCAUGUAUGGCCGGCCACUCCUCACCCUAUGGGCCGGUCACUCCUCACCCUAUGGGUCGGCCACUCCCUAUAAAUAGCCCUAUUAUUCCACUAAUAAGGAAGCCAUUUGCUACCCACAAACUCCUAAACACAUUCUUUCAGAAUUCUAACUUUGGCAUUGGAGAUUCUUAGGCCAAAUCCCCCCUCCCAUUCAUCGUGGGCGCAUAAGGCUUUUGGCCUUAGUCUUAGGUAUUAUUAUUUUGCAGGUGCAUUUUCGUCAAAGACGAAGAUGGUGGAAAUUUGGAUCCACAAAUUGGUGUUUUCAUUGAGAGUUUGAUUCACAAGCUCGAAGAAGACUCUCGCAUUCAAAGUUUCACAUUUCUCAUUCAUAAGUAAAUUUUUCAUACGUUCUUAUUCCUAGAAUUUUUUUAAAUCUUUGAAUAGACGUAGGAGAGAAAUACAAUGGCUAGAAAUUUAGAAACCACGACGAACGAAACUUCCUACGUUCAAAGAUCCAGAUCAAAUGAUGGAAAUUGCGAUGUAGCCCCACCACGACGAUCCACGAAGCUCAACGUAGUGGCAAAAUGAGUAACUUGGCCACCACGGAGUACCACCACCACCAUAGCCAAGGCAACCCAUGUUGCAGUGGGGAGUGGGACAACUCCAUGGCAGCAAGGCCACGAAGCAACAACAGAUGCCAUCUUGCAGUAAUGAGCCCAAGCCUGUGUCACAAGGUAGUCAACCCAGCGCUAGGUAACCUAGAUCUAGUAGGCCCACGACGUUGCCAUAGUAGCUGAGGCCUAAAGCAAGGCCCAAGCAGCUGCGACUGCGGCAAAUGGAGCAACACAACACUGGCGGGGCCAAUGCACCCUUGGCCUAAUGCCAAGCAGGCUAAAUCGCACCACACCCACUAUUCAAACUAACCCUAAGUUGAGUAAGUAGCAUUGAAGGUUGUCAACCGCAAGGCGUUGAAGUACGAAUAAAGUUACACACCCCGCACAUGACUUGGCCCACUUCCGCGGCCCAACUUGCUCGCAAGGUCCACCUAGUGAUCCCGACCAGUCGAAGGCCAGUUCAAUCAUCCCAUCUUCAGAUUUCUGGACUGACGAUUGAAUCGGGGGUAUUUUCACCCCGAUUUUCUACAGAUUUGACAUAUCUCAACACAAAUCUCGCACUUGGAGUCCAUUGCACUUCCAUUACUCAAGGAGACGCAUACCAUUUAAGAUCUUCCAUCCCAAAUGGCGAACAACACUUGUCUUGACAAGUCAUAGAGUUGACAUGCACUUUUGCGCAGUAGACGACCUUAGUGAAUCAGCUUUUGCAACGCACAAAGAUGCAGUAUGCCCCAGACGAUGUGUCCCGAAGCAGGACAAGUAUAGACGACGAUUCUCUCCAGCAGCGUCCCAACAAGCAGCCGCUCGACUAGCCACGAACCGAGCAUUCUGGCAGUGUACACUCCCGUCUAGGUCCUCAAGAAAGCAUAUACUCUCAUCUUAGCGCGCGGAUGAGCGUGCACUCCUGGUUAGGCCUACGGACGAGCAUACAUUCACGGUUGGGACCAUACUCUUAUAAUUAACAUGGACAACCUGCUAGACGAAGUGUUCAUUCGCGGCUAGGCUCGCAAAGAGCAUUUUCCACCUCAUAUUGGAGUAAGCAGCACAGAAGACGAAGAUAAGCAGUCAAUUAAUCUGGCUCAAAUUCAAUCGGCCACCUGUAAGUAACUAGCUCGCCUGCCAAGAACGUACCAUAUGCAAUGUAGCCACGACAUAGACUAGCUGAGCACAACGAUGAGCAACCUAGACUAACAGGUUACGACUGGGGGUAGCCAGAAGCUUCACUGCCCCAAUAUAGGUAAAUUUAGAAAGAAGUUGAGAGGCUUCUGACAGAACGAUUGUGCGAUUUCCAACGCAAUGAAGCUACUGACAAGGCGCUUAAACGAUACACGACCAACAUAAACGGGUCACCUUUUAUUGACAAGAUUGAGCAGACAGAACCAUCCUACAUACACUGGCGGAUACAAAUAUUACUUCUAUUUUAACAUACGCAUCAACUCAGCCUAAUGGCGUGUCGAGGGCAAAUGGGUUCCAGAAUGGCACACUAACCCAACCACCAAGAACCAGGGCCAAAUCUUAUUUUCAUCACUCCACACGAUUCAAUGCUUGAGCAUCACAUCACCAGUAAUAGAGCACCGCAGACCUAAUGGUCCAAUUCCUCCUGAUGCACACAAGCUCACCCCAGCUCCACGCUCAAAGCCGUGCCUACCUGCUCCACAACACUCAGCCACCCUUGAUUUGUCACCAUGGCUCACAGUUAUGCCAAUUUUGCACCACAGCUCCCAGCCGUGCUAAUCUUGCCAUGCGGCUUUUAACUACGUUAACCAAGCCCACGAUACUUCAUACUUCAAAACAUCCAAUGACGAAGUAGAACAUGAGGCUCUACUAGCAGCCCCUGCUAGUGAAAGGCUUUGCGGUGAAGAGGCUUCCAAUCCAUUCAAAUUCUCAGUUGACCACCUGUUGGGUUUUACGGCUCAAAAUUAGGAUGAUGCAAAAAAAAUUGUGUUACCUAUUUGGUUUUGGUGUCGUAUUUGGGUUUGGAUUUUGACCUCUUAGUUGGUUUCCUUGGUGGAGAGAUUUUGUUAAUUACCUAUUUGAUUAGGAUUUGGAUUUACUUCCUAUUAAGAUUCUUAUUGUAACCUAAGUCUUAUGCACUAUAAAUAGGACCUCAGGGUUAGUGUAUUUUGUGUGGCUCAUUCGUGUGGCAAUUUGGUGAGAGUCAAUUUGUGAGUUUGUGAGUUAGAGAGCAAUUUGGGAGAAUCUUCUCCGUUAGUUUUGGGUUCUCUACUCGUUUGGUUUAGGGUUUGUAAUUUGUGGGAUUUGGAUUGUGAGAGUUUAAACACUAUUUUGUAAUCUCCGUUUGUUUAGUGAAAUUUCUUGUCAUGCUUCGCUCGUGGACUUAGAUUUUACACCGAACCACAUAAAUCUCUUGUGUUAGUUUGAGAUUGUUUGUUUUAGUUUUCACCUACAACGUUGAUAUCGGUACUUUGCUAUAAUUUGCUUUCCUUUGCUCAUAAAAGUACGACAAGUGGUAUCAGAGCCCAGCUUUCGGCUUGGGCUUUUCUUGGCAAUCAAUAUGAAGCCUUCUGUGUCGUCGGUGAAAGUUGAUAUUGAAAAGUUCGAUGGCAAUGACUUUGGUAUUUGGCAAUUGAAGAUGCGUGCUUUGUUAAUUCAACAAGAGCUUUUAAAAACGCUAAAGGGUGUGAAGGCUUUCCUGAAUUCGUGGACUGAUGAAGAAAAACAAAGAAGUUAUGGAGCGGGCACUUGGAACAAUCCUGCUGACUUUAUCGAAUGAAGUCUUGCGUCAAGUUGGUAGCAUCAAAUCUGCACCGAAGUUGUGGCUAAAAUUGGAGAGUUUGUAUAUGACCAAAUCCCUUGCUAAAUGGUUGUAUUUGAAGAAAAGUUUGCGUACUCUUCGUAUGGAUGAAGGUACGUCAAUUCAUAAGACCAAAUCCUUAUUGCUGCCAAAAGUCCUCAACAGUUCCAAGGGAGAUGGGUAAGAGUUCGUAAUAGUGAGAGAUUGAAUCUUUUCACACUUGGCCAAAUUUUAAUUUUAAUUAGAUGAAACAAUGAAUCUUGAACAAAGCAAAACAAAAUUUAAUACUGAAAGAUUGAGUCAUUGAAGUGGACGUGGAUGUUGGGUACUUAACAGUCCAAGAAUGAAAACUCUCAUAUCAGUUUUUAUCCAAAAUUUUGGAAUUAUGUGAGUAUUGCAACGAUUGUCCGAAUGAUUAUUCUUCUUUUAUUAAAUUUCCAUGGAAAAUGAGCAUGGGGCACAAAAGUUGAACGAAUGAAAUUUCAAUGAUCUGCAAAGGGAUUGUGAGUUUGACAUGCCAUUUUUCUUCCUUUUAUGCAAUCAUGUUUAUUAAAAGACAAAAAUAAAUAUGACUUUACAUAAGCAGAGAGAAAGAGUAUUUUUCUUUGAAAAAAUCAACUAUUUAUUGAAGAGGAUGUGGAUGUUGAUUGAUGCGCCGUGUGAAUAGGAAAAAAAUGACCUUGAAGGGAGACAAGACAUUCAUUAGAAGCUAAAAAAAAGUUAUAGUGAUUUAGAAAAAAGAAAUUUUAACGAAAUAUUUCCGGUAUUGUUCACUCUUUACGAAAAACCACAUUUUUACAUUUCCUGGCUACUAUUCACUACACCUUUAUUUAUCAUUUUUCAUUAAAACUAAAUUUGUUUUUGAACUUUUCGUUAGUUUCCUUUAGAAAAAAGCAAGAAAGCCUCAUUUUCAAAGUGGUAGUCAUUGAAACAAUACUUGAUUAGAAGAAAAGUCAUAGUAUUGUAUUUACAAUCUCAAGUCUUGAGGGGUAACGAGAGUGCAAGUUUCUAAUUGGAAUAUAAUAUGAAAUUUCUACAUAACAAUAUAUGACAAAGAAAGAAGUCUAAGUUUCUAAGUGGAAGGGCUUCCAAUUGAUGUGAGUUUGUUGAGAAAUGAAGAUGAAGAUGAAUAUUGUUGUUGAUGUGAGUUAGUGAACAACAGAACAAGUUGCUUCUCCUUUGGCCUCUAACAUGAUAUUACCGGAAAACAAGUUGUUACUAGUAAAUGUAACUGACUGGUGAACUAAGACAUGCGGUACGAUUUUUGAUAACUAGAGAAGAUGAAUAGUGUCGUGACAAAAUUUAUCCAAGUAGACCCAAGGGAAAGACUUAGGAACUUCAUAUGCAGUGGGAUAAAAUCUUAAGCUAAUUUCCUUUUUAAUCUUAUAGUCAUUAUGUAAAAUGUAUAUGCAUAUUUCUAGAUACAUACACACCAAUGUACAUAAUAUUAACUCCUUUUAAGUAGUCAUUUGCAAAUCCCUCUUGAGUGCUCUUUGGAAUGCUCAUGCGGUGCCGUUCUAAUCUCUUAUAUAUAACUUUUUGUGAUCUGUUUUUUCAUCAAUAUGCCAAAAUCCCUUUAGAAUUUGCAACUUAUCUUUUUGGUUACGGUAAAAAAAAACUCGGAAUUUCAUUUAAACUCGAAAAUCUAGGGAUGUGAAAGCAAUUUUCUCUUGUUCGACAACAUUUAGCGAGAGCAAAGGCAAAUUGUACAGGAAAAAGUUAGAAAUUGGGGAUGAAGAUUCCCAAUUUUAAUUUCGUCUAAAUAAGUGUAAUUUCACAAUUCUAACUACGAUGAGAAUCACAAAUAUAUUGCAGGGAAAUCUUGCAACAGCCAAACUUUACGAUUAGGGUGCCAAAUUUCGUGAUAAAACCUAAUAAGGGUUUAGGGCUGCAUUGUUCACUCUGUUAACUCUCCAAAUCUUCGACGGAUUUUCGGCUCGUGCAUCAUCUUCUUGCUUUGUUCUAGGUCAACGCCUCUACUCUCUUCUUUCUUGAAUUAUUUUAGCUUUUUAGGUAGGCUCUUUAUGGCUGUUGUGAAUUUUGCUAGUUAUUUUUAUUUUCUGAUAGUCAUUUGUUUGUUGUGCGUUUUUCCUUCCAAUUGAAUUGUGUAUUGGUUGGAUCUGUAACAUUUAUUUUUUAUUUUAUUUUAUGGAUUUUGGUGUUAGUUCUUUGUCAUGGAUGUUGUCCCUUUGAAGGUUAACAAUAGCCAAGACUAAACAUGAUGAUAUUGUUAAUUACUUUCUCAUGAUACUAAUGCCAUAUUGUUCUCUCUUUUGCACUUACAAGUGAAGAGAAAUAUCCUAGACCCUAACUGGAUAUGUUAUUGUCAUGGUCAUGCAUUGGUAUGGUAACAAUAUGUUUGGAUAAGGAAAAUAAACUUAGAAUUUGACAAAAGAUAGAAUUUAUAAAUUGAUACAAUCAAUUCCUUUGUUUAGAUUCAUAAACAUAGAAAUUUAAACUUUCCGUGUGAGAAAAAACUUGGAAUUUGGGACCUUCAAUUCUCAUGUUUAAAUUUUAUGUAAAUAGGUGUCAUUUCUAAAUUUCAGCAAGUGAGAAUUUAAAAAUAACAAACAUGUAUUCAAAUUUCAUUCCUCUUUUAGGUUAACCAAACAAGAAAUUUUAUAAAUUCUAGAAAAUAAAAUUUCGUUAUUUCAAUUUCUGUUAUUUUAAAAUUAGUAAUCUUAAAUUUUCCCAUCCAAACAAAGAGUUUCCUUGUCAUAGAACUUUCAAUUGGGAUCAAGGAAGACAAUCUUUUCACAACUGAUUAUUCUCACCAAAUUUUAUUAUUAUUUUAAAGCAGAUCAAUACCAAACUUCAAAAGCAAAGUAGGAAGGCUAAAAUUAAGGUGAAGAACCUACUUCCACUAAUUACCAUGGGAGGGGGAGAGAGAGAGAGAGAGAGAGAGAGAGAGAGAGAGAGAGAGAACCAAGCGAGAGAGAAGAGAGAGAAAACACCAAGUAGUAUUAUAAUAUAGGUGGGGUUAAAUCACCUUUCGUGAAGUUGCGGUAAGAGCAGCUCCAGCGGGAGGUCCAGCUUGAUGGACCGGUGAGAUUUCCUACCCAAUAGCCCCAGCUCCUUGCUCCAGCCCAUGCGGGCGAUUGGGCUGAGGGGGUGCCCGAGUGAGAGGCCUGACUCGAAUCGGUAGCCUGAGAGCUUGAGGCCAAAUGAUGCAUGGACGUCAGCCACGUUAUAAGAAGGAAGCAUAAACUAUGAAUAAUGAUAGAGAUUUAGAUUUUGGUGUGUGAUUUCAUCGGAUGGAUGGUGGGUUAUAUGGAGGAAAAAAAAAAGAUUAGGUUGUAGAUAAUGCCACGUGGCAUGCCGUCAUUCGUUAAAAAUCUGAUCGAAAUCUAUCAUCAAAGAUUUUAAACAGAUUAUGACACGUGACGCAACGUGAUUGGUUAAAAAUCUUAUCAGAAAUCUAUCCUUAACGAUUCUGAAAAGGUAACGAGAUGGGGCACGACGGCAUUGGAUAAAAAUCUUAUCGAAAUCUAUCACCAAAAAUUAUCUUUUUGGAUAAUGACACGUGGUGCAACGAGAACGAUUAAAAAUCUUAUCCGAAAUUACAAAUAGAAUUAUUUUGUAUUAUUUUAUAAAAUAAAAAUACUAAUAUUUUAUUGCCUAUUGACAUGACUAUUCAAUUAUGGGUGUGGAGAUGCAGAAGAUAAUUAUUAUUAAUUAAAGGUAAUUAUUGUUCAUUGGAGGGGAUUGAAUAUGAAGUUGCAGUAGAAGGCCUUUGUCACAGCAAUAGGCAGUUACUGUUCUAAGGACUUCUAUCCUAGAACAGAGACAAAAACACCAAGUAGUAUUAUAAUAUAGGUGGGGUUAAAUCACCUUCCGUGAAGUUGCUGUAUGGACUUCUAUCCUAGAGAAAAGUCGGUCAAUGGUGUUUGACACAGUCAGUCAACGACAAAGACAGAAUUGUGUAACCAUAAUUCUCUCUCUAUCUCUUUUUCAUUAACGGAGGACAGUGUAUAAUUACUACGUAUAUAUCUCUGCUCAAUUAUUGAAAAGAAAAAUCCAUGUGCAUUAUUUUUAUUAUUAUUAUCUCAGAAAUGCAGAAAUUGAUUAUCUCUUCCUUCUGCAUAUUGAUACUGGUUUUCUUCAAACUAGUUGAAGCAAGCCAAUAUGUGUGCGCGAAAUCCAACUGUAGCAAUGAUCAAGGCCCGGCUAAUUUCCUUAGGAGGGAGAGAGAGAGAGGGGAGAGAGAACCAAGUGAGCGAGCAGAGAGAGAAAACACCAAGUAGUAUUCUAAUGUUGGUGGGGUUAAGUCACCUUCCAUGAAGUUGCAGUAAGGACUUCUAUCCCAGAGAAAAGUCAGUAAAUGAUGUUGACACAGUCCGUCAACGACAAAGACAGAAUUGUGUAACCAUAAUUCUCUCUCUAUCUCUUUUUCAUUAACGGAGGACAGUGUAUAAUUACUACGUAUAUAUCUCUGCUCAAUUAUUGAAAAGAAAAAUCCAUGUGCAUUAUUUUUAUUAUUAUUAUCUCAGAAAUGCAGAAAUUGAUCAUCUCUUCCUUCUGCAUAUUGAUACUGGUUUUCUUCAAACUAGUUGAAGCAAGCCAAUAUGUGUGCGCGAAAUCCAACUGUAGCAAUGAUCAAGGCCCGGCUAUCCAUUUCCCAUUGAACAUCAGGCGCACACAUCAUUGUGGAAAUUCUGGGCUUGAAUGCAAUGGGAGAUAUGAGCAGCAAAUACUAAUAAAAUUAUUUGUCAAAGACACAGAUUACAAGCGUCAGGAAAUCCAAGUCUAUUCCCCAAGUAACUGCCUGCUGCUAAAGCUUGUUGAAAUCCCAAACAUGCCACCCUCUCCCUUCGUGCCAGUAGUCGAUUACAUGAUUAAUUUCAUAAACGUUACCUUAUUCAGUUGUCCUACUUCUGUUGCAAUACGAGAUACGUAUGGUUGUCAAGUCCCCUGCCUUGGCGACCGUGGCAAGAGAACUUAUGCCAUUGAUUCUGGGGUUUAUUUUGAAACUCUCUUCCAGAAUCUAGAAUCCUGUACAAAAAUGUAUGAUGUUUUAUCAGUUCCAAUAGCCGAUGAAUAUUAUGUUUUUCGUUUCAAAUGGUCUAUACCAAAUUGCAGAAAAUGUGGAGAGGGAAAGAAGUGUGAAUGGCAGAACAAUGAAAUUAAAUGUCUUCCCUGGAGGAAACCAAGUAAGGAUAACAUAUGUAUUCAUUGCUAGUUUUAAACAUCUUUACAUUUAUGUCUUAGUAAUUAUUAUUUGAAGGAUGUUGUCCAAUCCAUUUUUACUAGGAAUAUUACCUGACAGUCUCGUUUAAAUUCGCAAUGAUCUUCUACAGGCAACACAUGGAAAAAAGUGGUUACAGGUGGAAUCCUGUGUGCUUUGCUUCUUGUUCUACUGACGAUUGCAGCAUAUCGGGUAUAUAGCGCUGAUAGAAAGGAGAAAGAGAGUCGAUUAAGAAUUGAAAGAUUCUUGGAGGACUACAAAGCACUCAAACCAAGCAGGUAUUCGUACGCAGAUAUUAAGAGGAUUACAAAUCAAUUCAAGGACAAGUUGGGCGAAGGAGCCUAUGGAACUGUCUUCAAAGGAAUGCUCUCUUCUGAAUUCUUCAUUGCUGUCAAAGUCCUCAACAGUUCCAAGGGAGAUGGGGAAGAGUUCGUAAAUGAAGUGCGAACGAUGGGUCAUAUCCACCACGUAAACGUGGCUCGCUUGGUUGGAUUUUGUGCUGAUGGAUUUGUACGAGCUCUUGUUUACGAGUUCUUCCCCAAUGGUUCCCUGCAGGAUUUCAUUUCAUCUGCAGAUAGUAAGAAUUCAUUUCUUGGUUGGGAUAAGCUACAAGAUAUUGCCCUAGGCAUAGCCAAAGGAAUUGAAUAUCUUCACCAGGGAUGCGAUCUACGAAUCCUGCAUUUCGACAUCAAACCCCAUAAUGUUUUGCUAGACCAAAACUUCACUCCAAAAAUUUCUGAUUUUGGUUUGGCCAAGUUAUGUUCCAAGGAUCAAAGCUUGGUGUCCAUGACUACAGCAAGGGGGACCAUGGGCUACAUUGCACCUGAAGUGUUCUCCAGGAAUUUCGGAAAUGUGUCGUACAAGGCAGAUGUUUAUAGCUUUGGAAUGCUACUGCUUGAGAUGGUAGGAGGAAGGAAGAAUAUUGGUUCAAUUACGGAUAACACUACAAAUGAAAUUUACUAUCCACAGUGGAUUUAUAAUCUUCUAGAGGAAGGGGAUGACCUACGAAUCCACAUUGGGGAAGAAGGAGAUGGUAAAAUUCCAAAGAAACUUGCAAUUAUAGGGCUAUGGUGUAUCCAGUGGCACCCGUCGGAUCGUCCUUCCAUGAAAAUAGUGGUUCAGAUGUUAGAAGGAGGAGGAGAAAGCUUGAGUAUGCCGCCUAAUCCCUUUGUGCCUACUGGUUCUACAACUAGGAAUGCAAGACACCUAGAGCUAGAAGCUAUUGCUGAAUUAGAGUAAAAUGUAUAUGCAGAUAUGUAGACGUAUAGAUAUAGUAAUAUUUAUAUUGAAUAAGAGGCCGUUUGAUAACCAUUUCGUUUUCAGCUUUUAAUUUUUAUUUUUCACUUUUUUGAAAACUAAAAACUAAAAUCUUGUUUGGUAAAUACUUUUAGUUAAAAAAAAAUGAAGACUGAGAACUAAAAUGUGAAAGCUCAAAGGAAGUAGAUUAAAAGUAGUUACCAAACAAACCGGAAUCUCAAUAAAUAAAAAAGAUUGAAUUGCACAAUGCAAUCCAAACCAAUCAAAACAUUUAAAAUAGCAAAAAAAAAUUAAAAUUCUAGUUGAUUAGAUUCUAAACAUAGUAAAAAUGAACAGAUCCGAUGAAAAAAACAAAAAAUUCUCAGAUAAAAAUAGGGAUAAAGUAAAAUAUUUAUAAAUAGCUCUUUGUCUCUUAUGCCAUCAAUUAUUUCUAUAGUAUAUACACGUUUUUGGAAAAAUUAGGUUCCCAUCCCUUAUUUUCAUAUUACAUUGAUUGAAAUCUUAUUAUUUUUCUAUUUUAGAUCAAGGUCCCUUGACUUAUUCUAUGUCAUCAUUUUAGUAUUUAAAAUAUUACACGUUAUCAUAAACGAAAUCUCAUCCCUUUCUGCAUUUAAGGCAAAAUAAACUAUAUGAGUAAGUUUAAAACAAGGAAAAUCCAUUUGAACUCCUCCAUUCUUCUUCUUCUCUUAUAAACAUCUGGAAUCUACAACACCCCAAACCCAAUUUUCUCCAUUUUUUCUCCUUUCCUGAAUUGAUCCAAUGCAUAUAUGUUGAAUAAACCUAUUGUGAUUAAAAUACAAAUUAGCAUCAAUGGUUUUAUUGGCUUGUGAGAUUUGUGUGGCAUAGGCAAGGCAAUGCAGGCAUCGUUUUCUCAAGGAAUCUGGUUGAUUCAAACAUGCAGAGACUGUAGAGUGAGUGGGCUAUGUGAAAACUGUACCAUUCUGAAGUCAUUUUCUUUUGUUCUUUAUAUUUUUUUUUCUUUUUCUUUUAUUAUUAUAUAUUAGUCUUGGUUAUUCAAUGCCUGGUUGGCUACACUUAUAUCCAUGGGUACAUUUUUAAUCUACAUGUUUCGUUCUAAUAUAUCUAUUGCUAUAAUAUGUUUUGGUUGGUUCAAAUUUGUUUUACAUAAAUAUAUGGGUACAAAGUUUUUGGAGAAUAUUAUGUAAAUGGUUUUUAAGGUUGCUGCAUUUUACGUACCCACAUAUGCAUGUCUAUAAAACAAUGUGGUAUGAUGUACAUUCUUUUCUUUGAGUUUUUAAAUGUACCCAUGAGUUUUUUUGUAAAUUCGGUAUGUACCCAUAUGCUAUUUAUGUUAUGGGUACAUACAUUAUUUUUGGUCUAAGUUCAGGGUACAUUGCUUUUGUAUGUAUGAAUUCAAGGGGUACAUUAUUUCCCUUAAUACUACUCAAUAAAAUUCACAAAAUAUGUGUAGUGUGCAUGAUUUUUUAUUGUAGAAAUUGUUUUUUUUUAAGUCUCAUAAUUCAUGAAAUUUGUACAUAUAUGAUCCCAUAAAUUUUUUAAUUUUAUUAAAUUUCUUUUAGACUUGAUCGAUUGAUUGAAUCUCAUCAUACUAGGAUUUUGAAUUACAUAAAUUCUUGGAUUUAAAUCCCUUAAAUGUUGGACUGCAAUCAAUAUUUUAAAUUAUAGUUUUUUAUUUAAGAUAUCAAAAAGAUGACAUGGAAAUAUAGUAAUACUAAAAUGCUGAGGUGUACAAAGUCAAAGGACUUUGAUCAAAAAAUAAAAAACAAUAAGAUUUCAAUCUAACAAUUAAAUUGACUAGGGACCGGAACCAAAAUGACCCUAGAUUUUUAUUGAGUUUAAUCUUAAUCAAAAAAAGACUUCUUGUAUCACAGAAAAUACAAGAACCAUUAUUUGAAUGAAAUAAAAGCUAUGGGAUGGAGAUAUAAAUGGAUCAUUUUAUUCACAAUCGGAUUAUAUUUAUUUGAUACACUAUUGUCAAUAUGAAUGUUGAGAAAAAGACUACAAAAGAAAAAACAAUUUAUAAAUAUAACUAACAAUUCCAAUUUCAAUCAAUUAGACAAUUAGAUAAUACAUCAGUAAACGCGGGGUGACUCAGUGGUUAGAAACGAAUUUUAGGCUCGUAUUCUAUACAAUACGUCUUGGGUUCGAUUCCUGACAAUGGUGAAUCACGCGACGGUAGAUAUAGGGGUGUUGUUGGAAGUUUUGAGACUCAAGUCCUUUAUAUAGAUUUAGUGCUUUAGUUUAGUAAUUAGAAUAUGGGUCAUUUGGAAAUGGAUUGAAGGUUUGGGCCUUAUGGUUGUGUGGAUUAGGCUUGUAUAAUAUAGCCUAAAUACAAUUAAUAUUAAUUAAUCAAGACAAGGGCCUUGGGCCUUACUUGGGGCCUUGGAAUUUAAAAUUAAUCUGAUUCAUUAAUUUUAAUUUUCGGAUUAAGUUUUUAAUUAAUUUAUUAUUAAUUAAAAACGUUUUGAUUAAAAGACACAGCUCUUAGAAAAGAGUUAUGAACCUUCAAAUACACUGAACUGGUAUUUGAAAGGGUGUGAAACAACCUAUAUAUCUGCAAUCCAUGGUAUCCAAAUAAAUCAUCUUUUCUUCUUCCUUUUCUUCCGUACAAACUUUCCAGAGAGAGUAAACACACAAAGCAAUUCGCUAGAAUUCUAUAAUUUAGUGCGGGUUAUAGGAUUAGGUAGUUGUAUCCUGGUCGAGCAGACGUUAUAGAACCACAAGCACAAGAGUGGGACGGAAUUACUGUUCGAAUGACAUAGCUUUUACGUUAGCCUCUACCUUCUGUAAUCAAGUUAGUACCGUUGACAUUCUUAUAUUAAUUUCUGUAUUUAUUGUAUACUUUUCAUUUUGUAUAGCAAGUACCUUUUGUUAAAUAAAAAUUGUGAAUUUCAAGUUCUGUUUAUUUCUGUUAUUCUGUUUAUUUCUGAAUUGUUCUCCAACACCCCUAUAUCUACCGUCGCGUGAUUCACCAUUGUCAGGAAUCGAACCCAAGACGUGUUGUAUAGAAUACGAGCCUAAAAUUUAUUUCUAACCACUGAGUCACCCCGCGUUUGAUUAUAUUUCACUUAGACUUAUCUUGCGGUAUAGCAUGUCAUCCCCGCCCAAGUUUUUCUGUUGGCAUUGAGUUUGGGAUACCAAAACUUGCCAAACAAAGUAGAUUGAUUAGUAAGCGAAGCUAAUUAUUCGACUAAACAUUGUUUAGAAUUUUAAUUAAAAGAAACAAUAUGAAUCUGUUUAUUUUUUUUUUUGACAAACUAUAACGUUAAGGAGUUAAAUUGUUAGUUAUUAAGAGUACAAUGAUAGGUGAGGAUCGAACCUCCACCAGAGUGCAUAGACAUUAUUGGUUCUACAACUGCGGUAAAUCACAUAAAACAAAACGUAAUACUUUGAGGAUGGAAGACACUUCGUGGAUAGCGGGCAAUCAACACUAUCAGUUGCUAUCCAAAACUUGGAAUUAUGUUUAUUGUCCGAAGGAUUUUUCUUCCAUUAAAUUGCUAAGGAAGAUGAGGAUGGGUGGAGUGUCUAAAUGUCAAGGUUGACAAGAACGUGUAUGGUGUUCAGCUUGCGAUUGAGAUUUGUUAGAGUGGCACAACAAACCACAUAAAAUUUUCUAAAUGAUAAGCUUGAGUAUAAUUUUUUAUCACGUAUUUAUCUUUAAAAUCAUUAUAAUUAGAUUUUCUCUUAAUUAAUAUAGACCGUUAGAUUCAUCUAAUGACCCAAGUUUUUUUCCUCUUUUCUUUCCACUCUUUUCCAUUCACCGUGUAGCAGUCGUUCUUCCCCAACUACGUUUCUUAUUUUUCUUCACAAAAAAUUUGUAGAAAAUAUUAAGAAAAGAAAAGUCAUCAAUAUCAGACUCGACCAGGUAAUCGUUCCAACCUUCCCAGCAACUCUCAGUCUUAACUAGGCACCAAAUUUUCUCCGCCACCUAACUCGUCAUUCAUUCAUGGGUGUUUCAAGCUUGGUGAAAAUUGAUAGAGUUCCAUGUGUGUACACGGAUGUGAACAUAUUGGCCACUCUCUAAGAAUGAGUCAUUGGAAAAGUUGAAGGAAAGAUGUAACCGAUGAAAUUAAUGGAUUGGAAUUACAAUGAAGUCUGUGUUGGUUUAUCACAAAGAACCCAGAUACAAAAUUUUAAAAGCAAACAAUUUCAACUUCUCAAAUAUUAUCUAACAAACUUUCAAUGAAAUGUUGCUCAUAAUUGAAAAAAGGUUGACGAAGGACGGAGUUGGGGUUAUUUUAGAUGAGGAAGAGUUAAAAGAAGGAAGCACCAUUUAAUUAAUAAAAGUGAUUGGAGAAAUGGUAAUUCAAUGGUGGGCGUUUUUAAGGUGUGGACCUUGUAUCACACCCUGAUCCCAACAUACAUUGAGGAUCGACACGUGACAUGGGGACAUAGGGGACAAAAAUCUUACAUAAGAUACAGAAUGAAAUACUAUAUAAUAUCCCAAAAUGAAUAUGAUAGUGGGUUCACCCCUAUAAAAUACAUACGAGUUUGUACAUUCACAAAAAAAUAAAAAAAAUAAAAAUAAAUAAAAAUAAAAAACACACACACAACUCUCGCUAGGCCAAGACUUGCCCAUGGUGCUCAAAGGAAAGUCCCAAAAGAAAUAGUACAAUGAAGGAUAAAGGGGUAACCUAAACACUCCAAGUCUCUGAUCUCUGCACUGCUACCCCCACCGGCUCCUCGUAAUCUACUCAGACCUGUCACAUGUACAAACAGUGCCUACAUUGUGGGAAUGGUGCACCAGGCAAACAAAAACCCGGAUAAGCUGCAAAACUCGUGUGAGUGACAAUAAUGCAACGUAUGUGAUAAUCAAGAAAAACAGACCAUCGAUCACAGUUUAUAAAUCUCAAAUAUAACUUCAUACUUAUGAAAUCAUAAUCAAGUCACUGAAAACUUCGAAUGAGUCACCCAGACAUCUAACGACUUUUCUAAAUCAAAUCUCAGAGAUUCCCAAAACUAUCGUUCACAAAUACACUAAAAACUAGGGCUAGAGUGACACAGUUCAGCCAAAGCCUACAUAAGUAACCAAAUAAGAAGUGGCCCCCCAUAGCGGAUUAACCAAGCAGAGCCACUCCUGAGAAAGUAACCAAGUAGGUAGUGACCCCCAUCACGGAUUAACCAAGCAGAGUCACUCCUACGAAACUGUUAGGUAGUGAUCACCCAUUACGGAUUAACCAAGCAUGAUCACCCCUAAGCACGUAUGGCCAUACCUAAGAAAUAAGGAUCGCCCAUCGCGGAUUAACCAAGCACGAUCCAAAAAUAUUAUGGGUCCCCUAUCGCCGAUUAACCAAGCAUGACCAUCCAUGUACCACUGCUACAUGGUGUAAAUUCGGUGUCACCUAACCUCGUGACACUAGGGUAACGGUCCUCUAGUAGCCCUCACGUUUUUCAAACAUUUCAAAUAUAUAAUUUAAAACACAAUUCAUAAACAUUUCGAAUAGGGAAGUCACAUAGUGUUUAAUAAUGUAGGUCAAUGGCAAACUUUAAAAACAAUUAUUUAGCAUAAAACAUAUUUUAGAAAUCCAUGCUGUAUCCACAAAGUAUACUAGCACGGGAGAUUUUCAGGGUAAUAACUCUAUCACAUAUAUUAAAGUCACUCACCUGGAGUCCGCACUAACGCACCCUGGCACGAAUAUCAAGACGUCGCGUACUAUCAUCUGCAACAUCCCACAUCGACCAACGAAGAGGGGGUGAUGUGCCUUCUAUGUACAUGCCCACCUCCAUAGCAUGAGGCAUUUUGGGAGCUCACUGGCUUCAUAUUCCAUCGGAACUCCAAAGUUAAGCAAGUUUGGGCGAGAGUAGUCCCAGGAUAGGUGACCCAUUGGAAAGUUAUUGUGUGAGUCCUAGAAACAAAACCGUGAAGGCGUGGCCCGAGGGGGCCCAAAACGGACAAUAUUGUGCUACGACGGAAUCGAGACUGAGAUGUGACAGAAUGGUAUCAGAGCCACUCUGCCGUGUGGUGCGAGUGUGCCGACGAGGACGUCGGGCCCCUAAGGGGGGUGGAUUGUAACAUCCCACAUCGACCAACGAAGAAGAGGUGAUGUGCCUUAUAUGUACAUGCCCACCUCCAUUUAGCACGAGGUCUUUUGGGAGCUUAUUGGCUUCGGGUUCCAUCGGAAAUCUGAAGUUAAGCGAGUUCAAGCAAGAGCAUUCCCAGGAUGGGUAACCUACUGGGAAGUUCUCGUGUGAGUUCCCAGAAACAAAACUGUGAGAGCGUGGCCAGGGCCCAAAGUGGACAAUAUCGUGUUAUGGCGGAGCCGAGAUUGGGAUGUGACAUUGUCACCUAAGACAAAGUACAGAUCCACAUUUAGAGUUCUUCAAGUAUUCACAUAAUAAAAAAUUUCCAUACGCCCCCUACAACUAAUGAACAGAAAUCGAGACACGUUGACAAAAAGUCAACCGUCGAUCAACGGUAGGGUCCACAACCCUACAUAACUCGAUCCGCAAUAUCCAACCACUGUAUUUGUGAUUCAUAAGUUCAUAAGGUCUUCAAAUCCUACCUACAAUAACAUACUAAACUUUGGUGAUGAUCUAAUGGUCGAAUCAUCAUUUGCUAUAAUGUUCAAAUGACGCAAAUUCAUCAAUCAGAUGUCAAAUAUGGAAUCAGACAUCGAAUUUAGCUUAGGAAUGUCAAGUGGUGUCUCGAGCACGCACCGCCGUGCGCAACAGCUGGCAACCUAGAUUCGUCGGAAAAAUCACCUAAUUCCAAAAUGAAUGUUGUGAGACGUGGAGUAAAUUGUAUACCUGUGAAGAAGCCCAAUUUGGCCGGGAAGUGGCCUGAAAUCACUUUAGACCGUCGGAAACCCUAAAAUAGGUGAAUCUCGAUUCGUCAUCCCCGGUAUUCCACCGUUCUCAAACUUGUUUAGGGUUUGCUCAUGGUCUCAAAAGAAUGCUAAUGAUGGUGGUGAUUGAAAGAGAACGUUUCAGAAAUAGUGAAUCACCAAUGAGGGUUUCACGAAACCGACAUGGGUGUUCCUCGUGGAACCAAGACCAAAUCUCAACGGUUUUGGCUAGAAAUGGAUGCUGGGAUGUCAUGGUGAAGUUUGGUAGUGAUGGGAGGUUGAAGAAAGACAAAAAAAAUCGACAAAAAAAUCGUCGUCGGAGUCGCAAGAAACGAGUUAGAAAAAUGAGUCGUCGGGUCUGAAACGUCGAAGGCUUUUGAGACAACUACUUACUCUCUCUUCUCUGAUUAGUCACUCCACUCACUCUCUCAUUUGAUUGGUCCAGCCUUCCCACAUGGUGGGAGUUCCCUCAUAUAGUAACCCAAAAUUUACUAUUUAAAUCUGGUAUUGAACGUCCGUAACUUUUUCGUUAUGGUUUCGAUUCGCAAACGGUUUUCACCUAUGCGCUCGUAUGAUCGAAUUAUACUCAAAAACAUUAAUUAUGACCUCGAAAAGGUCUACGAGUUUUAAAAGAUUAAUUACAAAAAUUCACACCUUGUAACUAUACGAUUCAAAUCCUAAAAUUAACGGAAUUAAAAUAAACUAAAAAUAAUGUAAACACGAAAUACAGACUUUAAUAAUGAAAUACGUAAUUAAUAGUGGAAUUCCGGGGAUGGGAUUUCACAACUUGCGUCCGGACCUUCAAUGCGGAUCAAAAUCCAAAGGUCGUGAUCUGACGAGCUCAUGCAUAGAACAGAGUUGUUGUGACCCAAUGCAAUUCAAAACUUUUAUGUUUUUUUAUUUACUGGGUACGUUUUUUAUUUACUGGGUACAUUUUUGCAAGACGUUAAAGAAAGCGCUUCUUGGGAGGCAACCCAUGUAUUCAAAAAAGGAAGAUCUAUGAAUCGCUCUACAAUUAGUUUUGCGUUUCUAAAAACCUUCCCUUUUCUGCAUUUCUAUUUUGCCAUGAUUGUCAUUUUUUAUUUUUGUUGUUUAUUUAAUUAUUUUUGGGUGUGGGUUUAUUUUUGAAACAUUGACAGAUAUGCAAGAUAUUCUUACAUUCAUUUUCAUGAAAAAAAGAAAAGGGAACAUUAAGCAGGAAAUUACAAGAGGGAGCCUUCACAAAGGCUGCUUAGGAGAAGUCUCAGUAGUCGGCGGAGCCCCAGAAGAAGGAGGCAGCGGAGGUUGAUCAUUUGGAGCUUCAGUACGCGGUGCAGCCCCAGAAGACGAAUGCAAAUGUUGUUGGAACAAACCCACAAACCGCUGAUGAUCAAGUAAAAUCUGACAAUCAGAUUCCUGCAUCUGGUCAAUCUUCCUCUUCAUGUUUGUAGCAUAAUUAUGUGCGAGCCUGUGCAACUGUUUAUUCUCAUGCUUAAGCCCUCUAAUCUCCUGCUUAAGACUCAUCACUUCAGCCGCCAAUGAUUCAACUUGACGGGUUCGGGCAAAUAGGCGUUGGGCCAUAUUAGACACGGAACGUGCGCACUGCACACUGAGAGCUAGAGAAUCCUUUACAUCCAACUCAUCAGACCGUUUGGCAAGUAGUCUAUUAUCUUUGGGAGUGACAGGGUUCCUGACCACCACCGCAGCUGUCAUAUCAUUCUUCAUCACCGAAUCCCCAACGAUAAGGGGACCAGUAGGGGAUAUGAAGGAUGGGCGCCAUAUGUUGUCUGGAGAAGGCGGGACUGCCUCUUCACCAAGGUUCAAGUCAAAACGACGAUCGGAUGGGCCAAACAUUUUCACAGGUGUUAAAGAAAGAAGAGGUCGGACAAGUCAAGAUCGUAGAAGUGCAAGAUGAGAGUUUUUACAGGCAGAAAUUCAAGUGUGCUUUGAACGUCCUACGUACUUCUAUAAAAAUCAGCACUCGAUGGGAUUUCAGAGAUCGAAGAGGCAAGCUCAGAAAUCGAAGAGGCCAACUAAAAAAAUUAAAGAGGCGCUAGCUUUCUCAAAAGCUGAGCUUGCUCAGAAACCACGGCCAAUCUUCUUUUCCAGAUUUGUCCGCACUUGUCACAUGCAACUCGACGGGAUUUCAGAGAUCGAAGAGGCAAUUCCAGAUAUCGGAUAGGCAUCUGCUUUUGCAGACGUGUCAACAUCUGUCACAUGCAGAGUAAGCUUUGCGAAAAUCACGGGCAGUUUGUGAAGCGCCGAUUCCAACCAUCUGCUUUUGCAGACGUGUCAACAUCUGUCACAUGCAUAGUAAGCUUUGCGGAAAUCACGGGCAGUUUGUCGAAGCACCGAUUCCAACCAUCUGCUUUUCCCGACGUGUCAACAUCUGUCACUUGCAGAGUCAGCUUUACGAAAAUUACGGGCAAUCUGUCGAAGAUCUCUUGUGAAGUUUACUAUUAAAUCAUCCAACGGUUGCUGACAAGAGUGAAAGAAUAGUACCGACUAUUAAUUCCUAUAAAUGUCAUCCUUCACCCUCAAUUGCAAGGCAGACAUACAUAACCCCCUUCUUCUCAGAAAAUGCCUUUCCAACACACCCUCUCGAGUCACUCAGUGUUCCUAAUUCCUUGGGGUACCUCUGCAAACAACUCAUCCAAAGCAAAAGUAUUUCAUAUCAUGAAGGUUGAAAGCAAGAGUAUCUCAUAUCAUGCUUUCUCCCUGUCCUUCUCCUUGUCUUUGUUUUAGGACAAGGAGAAAGAGAGCAAUCAGCCAGCACUUGGUAUCAAUCUUCCGAUCUGGAACCGACUGCCUGGAACCCCUUCCUGAUUGCUUACCUAGCCUUGCUCUCGAGAACUCAUCUUCAUCAUCUUAUGCUUCCUCUUCGUCUACCACAUCUGCCUGGGGAACAGAUAAGGGAAGUGAAAAUGAUACCUCGAAGCAUGUGGAAACAAUUUACCAAUUCAUCCUUAGCUAGGGACAAGGAGAAAAAAAGCAAGAGGUGGGCACUUGGAAAGAUUGAAGAAAGAAACAGACCAACACCUCUACCUCAUGCCUGCCCGCCGUGCAGAAGAAUCAAGCAGAGAAGAAUACAGACUGCACAAUCAAAUCAGGGAACUCUCAUAUUUCUCGCUCAGAAUUCCAAACCAGUUCAAGAUCAACGCUGUGGAAAGUCAACAAGAUCAUCUAUCUCCAAAACCAGAUUUGCGUUCUUAAACUCUACUCUGUCUGGUUUUUACUUUGCUAUACUUGUCAUGUUUAUUCGUUGUUUGUUUGUUUGCUUGUUGUUGUGUGAGUUUAUGUUUAAAACAUUGAGGACAAUGUUUGAUUUAAGUGUGGAGGGAUAACCAUUGUUUUGCAUGAAAUUCGUAGGAGUUUAUCACCCAUUACUUCUAGUGUUGUUCCUUGCUGUUUUAAGUGUUUUAAGCUGUUUUGGAGUGUUUCAGUGUGUUUUGACAUAAAAAUCCGAAAAUCUCAUAAAAAUUUGAAAAAUUGUUUUGAAAAACCAAAAAAGAGUUGUUUUUGUAUGUUUAUUUGUGUUUUAGGGUACCUUCCAACACAAUGAUGAGGAUUUGGUUUUUAAUUACAUGACUGUUAAAGAGAAUUAUAAACAUGGAUGAAAAUUUGAUUUACUCUUUGGUGUAUGCUUGGUUGUGGUUAUAAUUUAUGAAUUCACAUGCAAUCAUAAAGGAAAAAUCAAUUUUGUAACAUGCUUGAAAGAAGGAACUCAAAUGUACGCUACAACCUUGUGAGACUUGAGCCUAGACGUUUAUUUGGAGAGUUAAUAAUGUGCAUUUUUGUUUUCUAAAGUCGUUGUAUGAUCUCAUUAUUCUUUGCUUGGUUGCUACCUAGAAUGCGUUCAUCAUUAUAGAUCCACAUACUAGAACUCAUGCCCGUUCCAUUCAAAGCAUGACAUUAAUUUGCAUAACACAUAUCCAAGAUGAAGUUGUUUAGUGAACCAAAGCCAAAAUAGCCGAACCCACCUUUGUCAUUUGUUUUGUAGGUUUAAACCCCGUUGAGCCUUGUUUAGCCUAUUUUCUUUGUUAAACCACAUCAUCUCUACCUAACCUAGAAUAGGACUAUCCAUACCCUUGUUCUUGAAGUAUAGUGGAGCAUAACUUAGAAAGAAUUCAUUUUGAAACUUAUUGGGGGAAUUUAGAUUUCAAAUUUUUUGUGUGCCAAAGAAAACGGCAAGAGAAAAAAUUCGUGAAAAAAAAGAAAAAAGAAAAGAAAAAUUUGCAAAUUUUCCUGUGUUUAAAAGUAGAUGCCUAAAUUAACCCUUACAUUAAUUUUCCUUGAAUAAUUUCUCAUUCCAUCUAAUUUAGAUCCAUCUUGCUCACUAUUCUUUUUAAAUUUGUGGAUUUUGAAAUUUCAAAUGAGAAUGAAAUUGGAUGAGUUCAAUUUUCGUUUAAUUCUUACAAUUAAUAAGAAAUUCCGUCGAAAACAUUUUGAGUAUUGUUUAAUUUUUCAAUAUUACCGUAUUGUGUCAUUGAAAUAAUUAUCAGAGGAAUUAGGGAAUUCUCUUAAGGAACAACUCAAAAUGUAGUACAUGAUUAAAUAAUUCCUUUGAAUGGUCAACUAUGAUCAACAUAUCUUGUAUCAGAUCUUAGUCAAAUACCUGUUAAGAGUGUAAAUUUCUUGUGUGAAAAUGAGUGUAUCUAGUAAUUUUGGCAUUAGGAUGUUACUACAUUCUCAAAAUGCUGUUUUUUGAUUAAAUGAGCUGUGAGGUACUAAUCAAAUAUGCUCGAGGGUAAGAAUGGCUUAAAUUAUGUGAGUGGUGAUCUGGUUCAUGUUUCAUUAAAAAUCCCUGAGGCAAAUGUUGGAAGAUUUAGGUUAUGUUUUGUUUGUUUCGUUUGUUUUGUUUUGCUCGAGGACUAGCAAAAGCUAAGUGUGGGGAAUUUGAAUUUGAUAGGAGCAUUAUUAUGCGACUGAGUUAGCUUGUUCUCAUGCAUUUAUGUUGUUAUUUCUUAGUUAAUUAUGUAUUUUAAGCUAUUUUCGUGUGUUUGUAGGUCCAUAGGCCUUAUAAAGCAAUAAGGUGCAUUUUGGAGCAGUUUUGGGCUUGGAAUGGAUAGCACAUGCAUGGAGUAAGGUGAUGGACGAAAUUGAAGACUAAAGAGGCUUGGAAUGUGUUAAAAAGAAAGAAUAAUUAAUGACAAAGAGCUCAGCAACCAAACAGGGAACAUGAGUCAAGAUUACCUUAUUUUGAUUUAAUCUUUCCUAAUCUUCAAUGUCCCUAAGUUCCAACAACAUUCCUUGUCUAUUUCAUUCACUCAUUGCCUAGCACCACCCUUGUUCCCUCCAUCAUUCCAAAUUUCUUGCAUCAAUCAUCACUCCACCUUAACCCUUGACUCAUUUCUACACCAUUCCACCUCCCUUUCCUUUCUCUACCAUGUGCACAAUCAUUCAUGUUCCCUACUUGCAUUCAUUGUUGCAACACCACUCCAUUUUACCCCUCAUGCUUUGCAUCAUUACUUCACUUUCACCUUUGAAUCAUUUCAACACCACUUCAUUUUACCCAUGGUUUGCAUCAUUACUUCACUUUCACUUUCACCUUUGCAUCAUUACUUCACUUUCACCUUUGAAUCAUUUCAACACCACUCCAUGUCCCCCUCCAUUGCCUUGCCCUUCCUCUAUAAAAGGAAGUGUGUGUAACAUAAAUUUAGUUCAUAUAUUUUUUUAGAUCAUUCACUCCCAUUUCAAUACAACCUUCAUCCAAACACAUUCAUUCAUCUUCACAUCCAUUCCUCCAUACAAACAAACCUUCAAACACUCACCAACACCUUGUGCCAUAGCAAAGGAAGGAAAGGAAAAUGCUUGGACGUGCGUGCUGUCAACUUGGAUCGUUGGAGCGUUUAGGUGUUUUCUUUCUUUUGUUUCCAAUGUUAAAUUCAUUUUCUGAUUUUGUUGCAAUUAUGAGUGGCUAAAACCCUAUUUAGUUAGGGGGAAGUUUGAAGCCAUGAACAUGCUUGAGAUAUGAAUUGAUUUCUUCCAAUUGUGAUUUGAUAAGUUGUGAUUGCAAUUCAAUUAUCUAUUUUAUUCAUAACUGAUUCUUGUAUGUUUAUUAAGGAUGCAUACUUAAUUUUCAUGCAUGAAUUAGAUGCUAGAAUAUAAAUGAGUUUCACCUAAUCGUUACAAGUUUAUAUUCAUGAGUAGUGAAGGUUGUUUAUCACAAUCUGACACACCCCGUCCCGAAGGAGGGCGUGCUGGCCGUCACGUGAGAGUGACGUAACCAUUUACACAGUUCGGAAGCUUUAAAAAAAAAUUCCAAUUACUAAUAUAACACACCCGAGGGUGAGUCCUACUUUUGUGAAUUCUGUCAGAACACCGUUGGAUUCCUCGUGGCCACCAAAGCUCUGCUAACUUGAACCUGGGGCGCAAAACAAAAGCUUGAACUUGAACCUUUCAGGCGCAAAACAAAAGUUUUUUCGAAAACUUUUCAUUUAAAACAUUUCUAACCCCUCACUGUAAAACCUGUAUACUUUCCCAGAAAAUAGUGUAUAUAUAAACAUAUAUAUAAGCAAAAAUCUCGAAUCUCAAACCUUUAACACUUUUCAGAAAUAUAUAUAUAUAUAUAUAUAUAUAUAUAUAACCAUUUGAAAUCUCAAGACUUGAAUCCCAAAUCUUUAACAUUUUUCAAGAAAAGCAUGCCAUGCCAUAAAUCAAAAAUAUAAAUCAGGUGAAAUAAGGAAUCAAUCGGAGACCCUGCAGUUGGUCCUAUACGAUUAAUUCAAUAGCUCAUUAUCUCACUAAGCCGGAGUCACCACAGUAACCUAUACGGCCCUACUCUGCACAUCACUCAGAACUACGUAAGGUAGUCUAUACGAUGAAAGGUGUAAAAAUACGCUCUAGUGCUUCUCUCAUCAUAUCAUCAGCGCGCAUAACUAAGAUCACCCACUAGUCGGAAUCACGCCUAGUGAUCUAUACGACUAGCAUGUCGGAACCCUCACAUGGUCUGUACGACAUCCACCUACUUGGAUCCAAGGCGAGCGUGCGGUGUGGUGAAUAAAAUAAGCACUAACACCUAGGGUGCAGGUUAUGAGCUUAAAACAUCUUAUCAACAAUCAAUUAAAUGAAUAAAUGAACUCACCUGACUUACCUGUGCCUCCACCGCACCAUGCAACAUGUAUGCAUCAAAUAUCAAUUCGUAUAACUCAUACGCAAUUCACAUUUUUCAAUUAAUUCUAUGCAUGGCAUUUUUAAAACAUAUUUUCAUAUAAAUUCAUUUUAUGGGAAAAAUCAAUAGUAUAAAGGUAAUACAAAAACAAAACUGCCCACUCACCUGGAGUUCGCCCAACAACUCCCUAGCACCACACAUCAAGGCGUCAUGAAGAUUAGUGCCUAGAACAAUAAUCAAACCCAACCUCAGAAAUCAUGCCGAUAGAAUACAUAACUUAUAUAAGACGCGUCCCUACGUAGUUCGAUCCGGAUGAUCUGCAACUCGGAUUUCAAAUCCGUAACUUCCAGAGGUCCACAAUAUACCUCUAGGACAACAUCCUAAAAUUUCAUUACCAUCCAACGGUCGGAUCUCCGUCAAUUUCCAAAACUAAGUGCCGGUUAACAUUCUAUUUUAUGAACUUACAACUCCAAUUCCGGAAGAUCCGUAAAUCGGAUUCCCAAUCCGUAAGUUCCUAUAAUCCUCAAAUAUUACGUAUUACAACGUAUCAACGUUUGGUGACGAUCCAACGGUCGGAUCGUCAAUUCACAUUUUCACCUAACUACGAAUCGUAACCAACUUAGGUUCAAUUACUCAAUUUACGUCCAUCAAUUAUCAAAACUGAACCUAGAGCCUUAAUCACAUGCUAAUAAUGACAUUGGCGGGCCAUUGGCCAUGCGCCGCCGCGCGGGCCGCCGCGGGUGGCGGUUGGCCGCCCCCGGCUCGCCGGAAAAUUCAACUAUUUCCAAAAAUUACCAAAAUUUGCAGAUUUGAAGAUAUCAAUGAGUAGAACAACUUUCAUACCUGUGGCCAAGGCCAAUUUGGCCUGGAAGUGCUUCAAUUUCACCAAAACCGUGAAGAACCCUAGAAUUAGGUGUUUCCAAUUCGACCUUCAAACUUGUUCCAACGCCUCAAUUACCUCUUAGUAUUUGUUCUAGGUCCUAAAGGAAUGCUAAUGGUGUUAGUAAUUGAAAGAAAACAUUUCAAAAUUUCAAGAAUUUAAACAAAAGGGUCGCGGCACCCGUGUGGGUGUUCUUCGCGAAAUCACCAUGAAAUUUAAUGAUUCUUGGGGUGAAACGUGAAGAGGGAAGGCCUAGAUGUUGAUUAGGAGUGGUACCUUGACUCAAUUCGUCGGAAAUUUGGACGAAAAUGGUGAGAACCCGCCGAUUGGAAGUCGCGGGUCGCACGGGUAUACGGGUUGGGAAAACCCAUUUCUUCCUUCUCUCCUCCGCUUCUCGCCCUCUCUCCUUUCCUCCUUUCCUUCCUCUGGUUGGUCAGCUUCUCCCUCUCUCUUCUUCUGAUUCGCCUCUCCUCCUUCUUCUCCGAUUGGGCAGUUUUUGCCCAAUCUCUCUUCUUCUUUCUGUUUUCUGGUUCUUCUCACGCGCACACACACACACAACUUCCUUUUUCUCAUCCCAGCCAUCUAUUUCAUUCAUCAUUAAAUCUGGGUCGUCCAUUUUCAUAAAAGAAUUUCUAUUUUACUAAAAUUAUAAUUCCUUAAAAUCCCAAAUUUCAAACGUUAAUAACUUCUUCGAUAUAACUCCAAAUCACGAACCGUCUACGCCCACGCGUCCGUAACGACGAGUACUACGAGGAUAUGUCAAGAAAACAAAUCUUAGAUGGCACGACACAACGAUUAACCUCGAAUGAUGUGCGUGCCUCAAAGGGCAUUUUUGUAAAAUCCUUUAUGAAAACUUUAAAAAUUCUUAAAAUUAGGGACGGGCUGUCACACAAUCGCGUUAAUUGAAUUCUUGGCAAUUGUAUCAUGCAUUCAUAGUUAUAAUUGUCUCGUCAACACUUAUGAUUUUCAUUGAACGUAAUGAUCUCUGAUUGUAUCUCUAUUAUGCAUUAAUAUAGGGGACUUUUAGAGGAUGAUUUGGGUUGUCGCAUGCAUUCAUCCAAUUCAAUGAGUAAAGGAAAAUCUGAGGGUUAAUUUGUGCAUCACGGUUAAUCUGGGUGUUGAGCAUAAUAGUUUAUUGAAAAGCAAUUGGAAAUCGAUUCAUGUACAAGUGUGUCAUGUGUGAAGAACGGACCUCUAACUAAUCCAUCCAUCAUUUUAUUUCUCAAAUUCAUUUUAUAAUCUGCCUAGUUUUAUAACUUGCUUGUUUAUUUCAAAUUCAUCCAAACCAAAAUCCCCUUUUUACUUUCUUGUUUCAAAGUGUUAAAUUUCUGUUUUGUUUGUGUUUUUGAGUGUUUUGAUUCAAGCCAAAACACUAAAUUCAUCCAAAGUUGAUUUAAAGUCCAAAUCUGACUAGUUUGUGUUUUUAGGCAGUUUUGAGUGUUUUUAAGUUGUUUUGAAUCUUUAGAAUCUGUUUUGAGUCCCUUGAGUCUAUUCAAACAUUUUUAAUUUUGUUUUUAUGUUUUUGAGUCAGUUUAAAGGUUUUAGCAAGCCCUCCUAAUCCCCGGUUUAGAACGAUCCCUACUUGCAUUUAUACUACAAUUUGACAACAAGAGGGUUUAAUUUGAGUGCUUAACUUUCAUCGCAUCAUGUGAGUUCCCAGAAACAAAACUGUGAGGGCGUGGCCAGGGCCCAAAGCGGACAAUAUCGUGUUAUGGCGGAGCCGAGAUUGGGAUGUGACAUUGUCACCUAAGACAAAGUACAUGUCCACAUUUAGAGUUCUUCAAGUAUUCACAUAAUAAAAAAUUUCCAUACGCCCCCUACAACGAAUGAAGAGAAAUCGAGACACGUUGACAAAAAAUCAACCGUCGAUCAACGGUAGGGUCCACAACCCUACAUAACUCGAUCCGCAAGAUCCAACCACUGUAUUUGUGAUUCAUAAGUUCCUAAGGUCCUCAAAUCUUACAUACAAUAACAUACUAAACUUUGGUGACGAUCUAAUGGUCGAAUCAUCAUUUGCUAUAAUGUUCAAAUUACGCAAAUUCGUCAAUCAGAUGUCAAAUAUGGAAUCAGACAUCAAAUUUAGCUUAGAAAGGUCAAGUGGUGUCUCGAGCACGCGCCGCCGUGCGCAACAGCUGGCAACCUAGAUUCGUCGGAAAAAUCACCUAAUUCCAAAUGAAUGUCGUGAGACGUGGAGUAAAUUGUAUACCUGUGAAGAAGCCCAAUUUGGCCGGGAAGUGGCCUGAAAUCACUUUAGACCGUCGGAAACCCUAAAAUAGGUGAAUCUCGAUUCGUCAUCUCCGGUAUUCCACCGUCCUCAAACUUGUUUAGGGUUUGCUCAUGGUCUCAAAAGAAUGCUAAUGAUGGUGGUGAUUGAAAGAGAACGUUUCAGAAAUAGUGAAUCGCCAAUGAGGGUUUCACGAAACCGACAUGGGUGUUCCUCGUGGAACCAAGACCAAAUCUCAAUGGUUUUGGCUAGAAAUGGAUGCUGGGAUGUCGUGGUGAAGUUUGGUAGUGAUGGGAGGUUGAAGAAAGACAAAAAAAUCGACAAAACAACCGUCGUCGGAGUCGCAGGAAACGGGUUAGAAAAAUGAGUCGCCAGGUCUGAAACGUCGAAGGCUUUUGGGACAGCUACUUACUCUCUCUUCUCUGAUUAGUCACUCCACUCACUCUCUCAUUUGAUUGGUCCAGCCUUCCCACAUGGUGGGAGUUCCCUCAUAUAGUAACCCAAAAUUUACUAUUUAAAUCUGGUAUUGAACGUCCGUAACUUUUUCGUUAUGGUUUCGAUUCGCAAACGGUUUUCACCUACGCGCUCAUAUGAUCGAAUUAUACUCGAAAACAUUAAUUAUGACCUCGAAAAGGUCUACGAGUUUUAAAAGAUUAAUUACAAAAAUUCACACCUUGUAACUAUACGAUUCAAAUUCUAAAAUUAACGGAAUUAAAAUAAACUAAAAAUAAUGUAAACACGAAAUACAGACUUUAAUAAUGAAAUACGUAAUUAAUAGUGGAAUUCCGGGGACGGGAUUUCACACCUUGCAUCCGGACCUUCAAUGCGGAUCAAAAUCCAAAGGUCGCGAUCUGACGAGCUCAUGCAUAGAACAGAGUUGUUGUGACCCAAUGCAAUUCAAAACUUUUAUGUUUUUUUAUUUACUGGGUACGUUUUUGUAGGAGGAAAAGGGGAAGUCGAGAGAUUCUUUGCGCAUUAAAGAGGGAAAGAGAGAAAGGGGGAGCUAAGAGGUUCUUCGCGCGUUAAAUUUUUGCUUCUGAUUUUGCAACCUAGAAAUAAAGUAUUUUCUUUAUGGUUUAUGGUUCAAGAAUAUAAUGGAUACAGCCUAAAAAUGUUUCUUUUUUUAUUUUUUACUUUUUUUUUCUUAUGUUGGCUUUUGGUUUAUUUUUAUAAUGCACUAUAUAUUAACUAAAUUUAUAAACAUUUUGUAUCUUUGUUGCAGUCAAAUUAAUCAUAUGGGUCGGCAUGACGAAGUUCGACUGAGACAUACAGAUGUUUUGCAAUCUUAAGUCUAACCUGACACACCCCGACCUCAAUAUCUAGUGGACACCAAAAUUGAGGUGUGAUGGCCAUCAUCCGGAUGGGUGAUGAAACCAUAAUAUGCAUGAAACAUAACUAAAUUAUCAACCAAUAAAAUCUAUUGAAAAAUUUGGCAGAACAUCCCUUAAAAUAGGGAUAUGCCCAAAUUAAAAACACUUGCACAUGAUCAAAAUUAUUCAACACUUCCCCGAAGGGCCACACUUAAUGGGACUUCGACCAUCUAUUACAUGCAUGAGAAUAUGUUCAGAGCAUAAUUACCCAAACACGUCUUAUUAAAAUAUUGAGUAAAUACCAUACAAGAUAGAAUACGUCAGAGCUGUUGCAAAAUACCUCAAUGUCCGAUGUAAUCACUGAUAGAAUUACUGAAUCAUGUAUAGAUGGAAAGCUGAUAAAUACAUGUAAUUUGAGUGGAUACUUACCAGCAGCAUGGAUACAAUAUCAUCCACCGGUCGUAACUAAUGACAAGCUGAGAGUAUAACUGUAGUACCUCUUAUUAGUGCAAUGCAUGAUAUGAAUUCCAUCUCACAUAUAUAUGCAAGCCAUAAUCAAACCAAUAAACAUCCAACAAAAGCCACAAUCCUUUUAACAUUCGACCACAAGAUCAAUUUUCAUAUUUCCCAAACCUAGGUUCCAAAGCAUUGUUUCGAAUUAUUAAUACAAGAAACCACCACCACCUCAAUCAACUCCUAUUCCCAAGUGUAAGCAAUUACUAAAUGCAUCACUUUCGACUCUAGUCUUAAUUAGAUUACUUGGGAUACUCAUUCACACCAUCAGAUCCAAGUACUAUUUUGAUAAACUUUAAAUAGCAUGGUUAAAAUAAAUGAAACACUUUUAGAAAAUAAGUGAAGAUGUUGUUUACAAAUAUAGAUGCAUCUGUAUAUAAAAGCUUUGGCGGUUGAUCCGUAUACACUUCCAAAGAUAUAAGCAAGUUCAUUGGAAUAUACAUGCAUAGUUAAUGUAUUACAGUAUAAUUAAUAAGAAAACAAUUGCAUCCCUUUAAGAAUAUAUAUAUAUAUAUAUAGACACACACACAUACAUACACACAGGCCCUUUAUGCAAAGGAAUUUCCAUUUUUUUUCAAAAAAUGGGGAUUAGUUGUGGGGCCCACGUUGCAUUGAACUUUAACGAUCCGAACAGUCUAUUUUGUAAGUCUCGAUUCAUAUAUCAUCCUUGUAAAAAUUCAAUUCAAUCCGAACCCAUUUGCCUAUUUAAUUAUCAAGAUAAAAUUUUAUUGUUUCUUAUAUAACAAAGUAUUCGUUAAUUUCUUUGAACUCAAUUAGAUAUCUUAAACAUUUCCGAUUUGGUUAAUAUUUUGUAAGGAUGAUCUAUGUGGUGCAACUUGAAAAAUAGACGAUUACGAUCGUUAAAGUUCGAUGUGGUGUAAACCCUACAAUUAAUCUUCAUUUUUAUAAAAGAAUGGGAACCCCUUCCCUUAAAGGUUUCCUAUGUAUAUAUUUGUUCUCCAGACAUAUGCAGAAGGUAAUGUAAAACUAAUGAGAACUUAAAUGGAUAUUCCAUACAUAGGACAAUUCCAUAUAUGCUUUUUCAACAUUUAUAUCGAAAAGCCAAAUUGUUUUGAGGAAAUUAAUUGUAGCAAUGAUCCCUUAACUUUUAUCUUAUUGGAACAAUGGUCUCUCAACUAAAAAUUCAUGACCAUUGGUUCCUUAACACCACACAACGUGUAGUUAUGGUCAUUUUCAUUAACUCCGUCAGAACUUUUGUUAAAACAAGUAAUGUUAGAAGAAUCAUUGCUACAAUUAGGUUAAAGUUGGGGACCAUUGCUCUAAUUAAAUUAAAAUUGAGGGAUCAUUUCUCCAAAUUGCUUAAAGUUCAAGGACCAUUUCUACAAUUUUCUCAUCUAGUUUCCCAUAUUUACCCCAUGAUUCAGCUUCACAUGCAUUGCACAUGACUCAUUUUGACAAAAAAUUUAACAAAAUUGACGAAAAUGACCAUAAAUGCACGUUUUGAAGAGUUAAGAGACCAAUGGUCGUGGAUUUUAGUUGAGGGAUCAUUGCUCCAAUUUGGUUAAAGUUGAGGGAUCAUUGCUACAGUUUUCUCAAAUGUUUCGUAUGCGAAAAUAGGCAUUUGUAAAGUUUGGCUUGUUUAUGGCAUUAUUACUUUAGUCUAAAGUAAGGCUGGGAAUGGCACUGUAGAAAUGAAUAGUGUUCCAAUCCGAAUUUCAGUUUAAUUACAACAAUGCCAUUGCUCUUUGUGUUGCCUUUAGGUGAGCAGCCCGGCUUGCAGUCAGGCCCAAAUGUAUUGGUUUUAGCUGAGAAGCCCGGCCCUUGGUCAGGCCCAAAAUUUUAAAUUACAGUUUUGCCCAUACAAAAUAACAAUCCGAUUGUAUCGGGAAGGACAAUUUUGUCCUUUCAGUUUUGGGUGAGAUAAGGGGUAACAGGGUAAGUUUCAUUUGCUGUCGUUUAAUGAGGGUUUCGGGGAUGAGGGCUCUGUGUGUGUGUGGAUGAGAGAGAGAGAGAGAGAGAGAGAGAGGGAGAUGGCGAUGGAAGGAGAGCGAGGGGGAAGGGAAGGGUUCUCGGCACUGUUGCUGCAUGUGGAUUUCACAUGUGGGAGAGUGGGUAUGGUCAGAGAAAACCAUAUAGGUCAUUGGGAUUUCAGGGAAACGGGGUAGGGGUCAUGAAUGAACUCUGCUGAGAGUGUGGGUACCGGAUCUUGCGCUGCAUGCCUCAAAUCAAAGAUAAGUUCGUUUUUUUAUUGUAUUUUUUGUGGUAGCUUAGCUUUUGGAAUUGUUUAGUAUGUUAGGUCCGAUUUUGGGGGAUUUAUCUUUUUAGAGAGAGAGAUGGACAGGGAGAUAGAGAGAGAGAGAGAGAGAGAGAGGAGGAGGAAGCAUGACUGUGUGCAAUUUUUGGUGUUAAUUAAUGGGUUGGUGCGUAGGGUGAGUGACAGAGUGACAGAGUGAAGGAGGGACGUGUGGGAGGGUAUGAGUUUUCAGUUCUUUCUUUUGAUUCAACAGGUUAUACAUUGUUUGAAAAACCUUUUUUUAUUAUUUUUUUCUCGUUUGCUUUGUUAAAACCAUCAUUUGAAUUUUUGGGUUUCACUGUGUUCAUUUCUCUGCUUCUUCAUAAUUUGCUGGUGUUUGCUUUUCAUCCCUCUAUUGGUAGAUCUUUUUCUCAUUUCUUGGUUCCUUAUGUAUUCUUUGGUACAAAUCUAUUUACUUUUUGGCUGUGUGAUAAUCUUAGCAGGUGAACUAUAUGAACGUUUUUUUUGAAACGAGUUAAGAAGAUCCAGCUGAAAAGAGCAUGCAAGAUAGAGAACUGGUAUGCUGCUCGCCAGGGAAAGGCUGCUGGAGAGGCUGAGACGGAUGCCUCCUUCAAAAACCAGGUCAGUUUCCUGCUACUCGGCGUCUUAAUGUAUCCAAAUUGUUUAUCUUUUGAUGAAAUUAGCUGGCUUUAUUUUCUAUUUUAUUUAUCUGCAUAUUAUUUUGGUUUGUUGAAAUUUUGACUAUAGUCAUUGUGUCACAUGGGCGCCCAGCCCAACCCAAAUUAGUUGAGGAUAUUUAAAUCUUCACCAUGGUAUUAUAGUACUCACUCACAGUUGUGAAUACUAAGGUGCAGGCAUGGCAUGAAGAAGUGGACCGUGCACGCCAAGGUCAGAGGGAUGCAGAGGGCAAACUUUUUUCUUUGGAGGUAAGUAUCCUUUGUUUAUUGCCCAACAGUGUUGUUAUUAUCAAUUUGUAGCUUUGCGUUCUGAAUUUUUUGCUUUGUCAAACAACCUUUUUGAAAUGCUCGAUUUCAAGCCGAAGUCCAAAAAAUGAGAGUUGAGAUGGCUUCCAUGAAGAGGGAUGUAGAGCAUUACUCGCGCCAGGUGAAAUCUGCUUCCUCUCUUUUCGUAUAUCUUCAUAUGAAGAGUUUUACUAAGUUAUAUUGAGAACUAUGUUAUUUAUAGGUUAUAUUUUCCAUUUUGCAAGAACACAUGGAGCUAAGGAAGAGCUAUCGUGAACUCACUGAUCUACUGGUAAUGUCACUCAAACUGCUUUAUUUGUGCAUGCUGCUACUAUGCGCUUGAAUGCAUUUUAUUACUGGCGGGAUGCGAAGAAUGCUAGAUAUAUGUGCUGGAUCGCUUGAUUAGUGUUAGGGUUUUAACAACUAAUUGUUAGCAGCUAGAAGCUCUGGUUAGAUGAAUGCUAAUUUGAUUUUCCUUACAGUACUUGAGUGCCAGUUUCAUAUUGUUUGUUCCCUGCUGGAUACAUGCUGUACAGUUUCAUUUCUGUUUCUUCAUAACUUUCUUGGCCCUGCGAUAUAUGCAUAUUGAGUACAAUGAAUAUCCAUUGUUCUCUAACUGUUGGGCUUUACUAUCUUUGUAGCAGCCUGCCUAACAUUUUUUAGGCUCUACACUCUACCAUCCAAUUUAUGAAAAAUUCAAAGAUUGGACGGUAUUGAUUGCAUAAAUGAAAAAAAUACUAUGAUAUUAGAAAGGUGAAUGUAAUUGUGUUAGAAGAAGCGUCUAGCAUGAUGGGUAAUAUUUUAAGUUUGUAUUUCUAAAAUUUUUUCGUUCUGGAGUAUGAUUUACCUCAAUUGUUUUGUACUUUAAUCUUUACUAAUUUUCAUUGUGGAGUAUGAUUUGCCUCAACUAACAACUUUUCAUUGUUUAACUUUUUCCUCCCUUAGAUAGUUGCAUAUGUUUGAUUUGUUAAUCUGCUUCUUACACAUGUUGUUUCCUAAUGGUGUAGGUGGAUUGCCGGAUGCAUGUGCAGAUUACUUGAAUAGACGAAGCUAAGAAUGACUUAGUAUUAAGUGAGAAAGAAGCUUGGGUCAGUUGGAUUUUGACAUUUGAUUUAUUCAUGUUUUUUUGUUGCUUGCAAUGUUCUCUCAUUGUUUGUUCUGAGAUUCUGUGAUCUUAUUUUUCAUAGGAACUGACAUUGGUUUGCCAUAUAAUGUUUCAGGAACUAAUACAACAACUAAUCACCUUGCUUAGGUCUCAAGACACAUACUUAACAGGUUAACAAACGCUAACCUAUAAACUUAUCUACUAAGCUGGACCAUUAACCUCUGUUUAUAUCCCUGCCACUCAUCUUUUGGCACUUAUCAAUAGCAAAAUCUAGAGUUGUUGAAACCCCAAUUUUAAUGAAUAUUAUUUUUAGUUGAUAAUUAAAAUUAAUUGAUGAUUAAUCUAUUCCAUUGUGCAUUAUUUUAUCGCCAAAUACUUUGAAUAUUCAUUAGCAAAAGAUAUAGGGUUCACUAUUUAAUGAAUAGAAUUUUGAUGGUGGAUUGCAUUUCCUGAGUUAUAAAUGUGGUGAAUCCAUUAUUUACUAGCUGAAUAAUCAUAAUGUUUUGGCCACUUACCUUGAAUUUUGUUCAAAUUGAAGAAGUCACAUGUUUCUUUCUGUUGUUGAGGUAAUCUCUCUGUUGAAAGCUUCUAUUUCUUUUUUCUUUUUCUUUUUUUCAUUUGGGUAGAUUUUUUUUUUAUGGAUUUAUGUAUUUUUUUUCUUCAGAGAAUUCGAAAUGAAAUAAGAAUAGCGGAUUGAGCAUAAACAAAUUGAUGAAAUUUUUAUUUGAGUGUUUGUGUUGGUCCUUUUUUGAUUUGUUGAGGUUUGGAAUUAUUUGAGUUUUUUUGCUGUUAGUACUGUGAAGGAUGCUUGGCAAUCGCGAAAUGGGGGCUACCUCUUUGGAAAGAGAAGUCUCGCUAUCCAACCUCUCAUGAAUUACAAACAGGGUGCUUUCUUGCUGAAAAACCACUGAAUCAGUAGAACUUUCCUCGGUUCUUCAAUUCGAUUCGAAUAAUUUUUUUACCCAGAAAAGCCAGCGUUUCCUGGUGAGUUUUACAGCUUUCUCAAUGUUUUUUUUAUUUUGGAUUUGCAAAUUUGUUUUCUGUUCAAAUUUCCUUUUGUGAUUUUGGAGGUUUUGUUUAUCGAUUCUCUCACUCAUCUCUCAGCUCUCUCCCACUUUUGAGGUACAUGUCGUUGGAUUCCGUUUGCUGCUGUUGAUCUGCAGGUAAAGCUUCAAUUACCAUACAAAGUUUACAUUUUUCAUGAUUUCUUGAAUUUGGGUUUUAAACAAAGGAAAUAUUGCUAGAUUCUUAUCUUAUGUGCAAAUUACUGGCUAUUUGGAUUGGUGCUUGAGAUUUAGAGAAUGUCUCGCAGCUUUAAUUUCUUUUUCCUUCAUUAUUACUGUUUUCAAAAUUUUUAUUGCUGGGUAUUGAUAAUUUGUAGUAUGUGAGGGCUUCAAUAUGUUGGAAUUUUGAAUGGUUAUUGCUUCAUCGGAAUUUGGGUGGUCCAAAUUUUGAAUUAGAAGAAACCCAUUUGAUUAAUAUUUUUGGUGGAUUGGUUCUCUGUGUUUUCUUUGCUAUUUCUCCCCCAGUUGGAAAUUGGAAGCCCCAACUUUGAGCUCAGAGCUUGAAUUUCUCAAUCGUUCGUUUCUCUACACUCUCAUCAGUCACUCUUGAUCCUCUAUCUAAAGAACUGGGUAAUUUUCCAGCUCUAUCAAGUAAUACUCAAUUUAAUUGCUUAAUUGAGGUUUUUUGUUUCUCUUUUUCGCUCUUUCAUCAGUUCAUUGGCUUUGAUGUUGAGCUUAAGUAAAUGGGAGAUCAUUAAUUGGCAUUGUUCAAAAUAUAAUUAUGUGUUUUUGGAUUUGUGAAACGAUUUGCCUAAUGAUGAUAGUGGUUAAAAUAAAUUUUUCGUUAUGAAAGAGAACAUUGUUCUUCAUUUGCCUACGGUUUUAACUACAAAGUUAAACUACUAUGCUUUUGUUCAAUUGAUUGCAACUCAUGCCGCAGUUUGCUUCACAAACCUCUAUGGUUAGCUUCCAUACAGUAUGUUGCAAGUUUGAGGAUAUCUUUACAUCUUAAUUUUUGCUCUCUCUGGUUGCUUCAAGUUUGUAAUUUUACGUGUUACAUUGCUACUUGAUUUGAUUAUAAAAAUGCAAAAGAAAAUCCAUUUUGCUUUUAUUCAACUUAAAUGUAUCCUUUUGUUUGUUCAUAAUUGUGUUGAAUUUAUUCAACUUAAAUGUGUUUUAUUCAUCUGUUUACGCUUAAAACAACUGGUUCCCCUAGCAAUGCGCGGACCUAAUUUCUAGUACAUAUACUAAAAGCCAGCAGAAAAUUACUGUUCAUCAUGGGAGAUAGAGCACUGUUCAUUAACAGUGAAAGGGAAAAAAUGCCCUCGGUUUCUUCUUUACUUCACGUACUGUUUACGAAUUGCUACAGUAUAAAGUCCGUUUUGUCAUUCCUGUCCACGCAUCUUUCAUCGUCCGUUUCUCUUGCUUCGACCGCAUCUUUUUCGCUUUACCUUUCCUCUUCGUUUUUCGCCUUCGCUAGGCUGCAAUUUUCGGAGGUGGAUUGUUUGCCCUUCUAUUUCCAUGCUCUCCCCAUGCCCUCCAUUGAUGUGUGGUCACGGUUAAACUAUGUCAACAUUUUAUAUUAAUUUUUUUAUAGAAAUAAUAAAAUAAAAAGUAAUAGGUAUCCAGGAAAUUUUCGUCAAAAUAUCCAGGAAAUAGGUAUCCAGGAAAUUUGCUUUACCGAUAUUUUAAUAGGUAUCCAGGAAAUUUGCUUUACCGAUAUUUCGCCGAUAUUAUCGGUUUUUUGCUUUACCGAUAUUUUAAUAGGUAUCCAGGAAAUUUUCGUCAAAAUAUCGCGAUAUUAUCGAUAUUAUCGAUAAUAUCGCGAUAUUUUAGAUAAUAUCGAGACAUUUUGGUUUCUCGACAGUCAGUCACAAUCUCGCCGGAGAAUCAGAAUAACUCCGAGCAAGAACAAAACCUGCAACCAAACGGAACAAAAUCAUCACUAUCUUUCAACAAAAAUCACCACUUUAUACCAAAAUCAGUGACAAAAUUACACUAAUCCGAGAAGCAAGGGCUUGAAUUCGAGCAAGAUCUGGAAGAAAACAGUAGAAGCUGAGAAAUCGAGUACCUCACCGGCAGUUACAGUGCUAAAGAUCAUCAUCUUUGGAAGGCCGCGGAUCAGACGGAGCUGAGAGAUCAAUGAGUAAGCAUUUCAUAGAUCGUAUUCGAUGAGCAGCUGAAAGAGAGGAGAGAGAAAGCAGAGAGAGACGCGGACGAGGAGGAUCUCGCUGAUGGGGACGACGAAGGAGAGGUAGAGGUCGCGGCCCGCGGGACAUGGUGACGGGCUCGACGAGGAGGAAGGCGAAGGAGGAGCAGAGGAGAUGGGUGCGUGCGUGCUGCGGUGCAGAGAAGAGAGAUGAGGGAGAUAUGAGAGAGAGAGAGCCGAGAGGGAGACAGAAGAAAAAGAAAAGAAAACAGAAAGAAGAAGAAAAGAAGAAGGGAGUCGCGGGGGAACAAAGAGAGAAAAGAGAAAAGUGGAGGGGCUGCCACGUGGCCACUUCAGAAAGAAAGGGAUCCAAUGUUUUGGAUCCUGAUUGGGUAGUCAAAGAGGACCAAUUUGAUAUAUUAAAAUGUUUAGGGGAUAAUUACACAAAUAUAUCUUUAUAAAUGGGGGUGGGUGUUACAUAUUGCCCUAAAAAACUCCAAGUAAUUACAACAUCGUAUUAGAAUUGUAAUUGAUCCUUGUUAGAUUUGGUUUAGAAAUUCUAUGUAAUUUAGUGAUUGUUUCAUAUUAGAUUUAGAUUUGAAUUUUUUACUCCAUUCAGAUUUUAAAUGAUUAUAAUAGAUUUAAAAAUUUACGAACUUUGAUGAAGUUUAAUAAUUUUUAAAACUUUUAUGUAAAAUUUUAAGUGAAUUCCCUCAAAUUUUCAGGUAGCGAUUUGAGAAUGUUUAAAAUAUUAUGUGAAAUAUUUCUAAUUUUUUCGAGUUUCCCAGCUUUUUAAAAAUCUCUUUGAAUCAAUUUCUAAAUUAAUACAUUUGGAAUGUAUGAAUUUCUUAAAAAUCAUGAUCGAAUACCCCUUAAACUUUAAAGAAUCACUUAAAAUCCUAAUUAAAUGCCCUUAGAUUUUUAAGGAGAAUUAAAAUGUUUAUAAGCCCCAAUUGGAUGUACCGCUUAAUUUAACUAAUUGACACAACACAACAUAACCAGUUAAGAUUACAAAUUAACACAAAAGACGACUUGAUGCGAGGUCAUAUCUACAAAACUUGCCGCAAUAAGCCCCAAUUGGUGUGUUUAAACUUCUUUCAUUAAUUACUACAUAUUUUCUACACUCAUAAUGUUUGUCAGCUCGCUAUAUAAUCAACUUGAUAAUGUUAAAUCCAUCAUGCAAUGCAUUUCCUUCCAAUUUUUUGUGAUAAACUAAUAGAUAAUUGACUAAAUAAACAUCCUGCAAAGUUUCAAUAAAAAUUUUCAAGUUUUUUUUACAAUUUCCGUGAUUUUCAUGUAAUUUUUAUCGGUAUCGAUAUUAUGCCGAUAUUUUUAUCAAUAUUUCCGUGUUUUCGAGUACAUAUUUCCGAUAUUACCGAUUCAUCCGCGAUUUUCUCCCUUUUCGCCAGCCCCUCUUUUGCUCUCAAAUCCUUGCUCUUUCUUUUUCAAACUAGUCUCAGAAGAGAUCCUGGGUUUAUCUAAUCCUUUGUUGUUCGGCGUUUUGUUCUCAUCUUGCGAUCGUCGGGGCAGCAGCUUUAAGGUAAGUUUGUUUUUAAUGAUUUAUCCUCAAUUUACGAUGUCUGGGCUAACAAAUUUAAGAUCUUUAUUUUUCUUUUUGCUGUGGAUCUGCAGGUUUUGACAAGUUUUUUGUGAAAUUGGUGCUGUCAGUGGGUGUUAAUAUCAGGUACCCAUGUUCAGUUUUUCGUUUUGAUUUGAAGGAAUUUCUUGCGCAGAAGAGCUAGGUUUCUUGGUGAGUUCUUCGGGUUGUGCAUAUGGGUAAUUUUCUUUUAGGUAUAACCCUCUGCUUCUGCUGCUCUCUCUCUCUCUCAUCCCUGCCUGCUCCUCUCCAAUUGUUUGCUGUUCUUAAAUAUUGUGUUCAUUGCCUGAUACAAGGAGCUGCAGCAAUCUGUUUUAUCCUACACGGGACAACGAGGCAAUGGCGUGACAACAAGUGAGCUUGGAUAUCCAAAGAAAAAGAACAGUUGGUUCAUCUGCUGGAGUCUGAAGCUCAGAGAAGUGGAGGAAAAUUGCAGGUGUGCGAGAAAUUUUAUUUUGCUGAUAGGACUCCUUAUUUACCGAUGCAUUUUGAAUUAAUUGAAAAGUUGGAUUUGAGUUAACAGCUAUAAAAAUGUAGACAUGAUUGCUGAGAUUAUGCUAUGAAAGUGGAAUAAAAAAAUGGUAGUUUAUAAUAUUGCGUACCAAUUUUUUUCUCUCUUUUUUACCAAAUGAUAAGGGUGGUGGCUCAGGCCGCCCCCCUACGCGUCCCCACUCUUCGACAAGUUGAAAUCAUGGUGAUAGUUUAUGGGUUGCGGUCUUGGGAUUCUGCAAAUAGAAUAAAAAACAGACACUUAACUAUCUUGUUAUUAAGCAUUUCUGCAUCAUUCAGUUGCUCUUGAUUUUCGUCUUUUAAGCGCUCUUAUUUCUGCGAUCUGACUUGAGGAGGGGUUUUAGACCUAUGGUUGUGGGUGUUUUGUCUGACCCCAUUAAAUUGGUUUCCGAGAUUUGUAGACUUGCGAUCGGCGGUCAAACAUUUCGUGAUUCUUGCUUUUUUUCCGACUGGGAUUGACGAAUUUUGGCCGAAUCUGUUUCCUGUUUUCUUCUCUGUUUGAGCGGCCGCUGCCUUUCGGUCGUUGAGCGCCGGCAGUCUUUAGAUCUUUGGCAAAUCAAUUUAAUACAACCGAGGUAUGUUUUAUAACUGCUGUCUUUCAAUUUUUGUUCUGUAUUUUUGUUAAUUUGGAUGAAGCUCUAAUAAUUUUGUUUUGGAUCAGUUGUGGUCCUCUGUUAGGAUUUUCCUGGCUAAGAGGGUAUUUGCAUUUUUGUUGCUUGGUUGGUCGAUCCAGUGUAUUAAAAGCGUGAGGCGUGGGCGAGGCGUCCGAGGGAAGCUCGGCCUAGGCGUGAGGCGUGAGGCGAAGCCUCAUGGGACCUAAAUUUUUUAAUAUAUAUACAUUGAGCGUACACAUAUAUUAUAUUAAAAAUAAGAAGAUUAUUAAUCAAUAAUCACCUUGAGCACACACAUAUAUUAUAAAUAUAUACACACACACAUAUAUAUACAUAUAUUAUAUUAUAUAUGCAUAAAAUAGAGGAUGAAAAACACAAUGAGCACACAUAUAACAAUGCACGCAAACAACACACACAUCCAUUAUAUAAAAAUAAAAAUCAGAAAAAAGGCAUAGAGACAAAAGUGCAAGGAAGAUGUAUGAGACAGUUAAAAUCCUACCCAAAAUUUGGGUUUGGGAGUAAAGAAAAAAAAAAAAAAAAAAAAACUCACUGAGGCGCGCCUAGGCGGCUCCGGCGACGCCUAGGCGGCCUUUCGCCCACUCCAGCAAAACUGAGGCGUUAGCCAUGGAGCCAAGCCUCAAGGGCGCCCUAGGCGCGCCUCGAGGCGAGUUUUUUAAAACAUUGGGUCGAUCACAAAUUUACGAACAGCUGUGGUGGUCCUGUUAGAGCCAAGCCUCAAGGGCGCCCUAGGCGCGCCUCGAGGCGAGUUUUUUAAAACAUUGGGUCGAUCACAGAUUUACGAACAGCUGUGGUGGUCCUGUUAUUUUUUUGGUAUGUUUUUUCUCCUUUUUGGUUUUUUCCCGGUUUGAGCACCCAUUCAUGAAGAAUUAAAAUGUGUUUAUAGUUUUUCAGGAGAGAUUAGAAAAGUGAUUUCAAUUUGGGAAAAUUUAAUGUUGGUUAAAAUUUGUUUAUAAUUUUUGGGAAGGAAUGAGAGGACCCAUUGAAGUAUGUGUUGUGAUUAUUUUUUAUUCAUAUUUUUAACAAAUUGGGCAUGAAUUGGUAGGUUAACUGUGUGUGUUUAUUAUUUGAAUCGGCCAUGUUUGUCUUUCUAUGGUUCUAAAAAAUUUGUAAAGGCUGUUAACUUGGAAGAAAAUGGGAUCGAGGGUGAGGGGAAAACAGCAGAGAAAGCAUGGAAGAGAGAUUUGGGAUUAGGGGUAGGAAAACAGAUGAAAAGAAUAUGAUAGAGGAAUGGGUUCAGUUCAUUUUCACUAUUUUUUUUAACUGAUUUGGAUUUUGUUUGGGUUUGAGGCCAUCAUUGGCGUUAAGACGUUUAUUAUCAGAUCGUGUGUGUUUUUUGCUAACUUUUAUUGGUAAUUUUUAUGUUGUUCUUAUGAUUUUGUGUGGUAGGGUUUCUGAAUUUUAUCGUUGUUCAUUUGGUUUUUUCUGAAUUUUAUCUGAUUUUGUGUGGUGAGUUUACAAAAUAAUACUAAAUAAAUUUAUUUGUAAUUUCGGAUGAUUGUGAUUCAAUCCUACUACAAUUGAAAUUCACAGAAAGAAUGAAAAACCAGAACAAAACUGCAGCACCUAAAAAGUUGUCAUACAAAAAAACAUGGAAUGUAAAAAUAUGUUAAGAAAUCUAGUUCGUUAAUUUCCAGCUGGUAAGCGGCAUUAUGUAACUUUAGUAGUAUAACUAAUUAACUACUUAUCUAGUGGGUUGCACUUCUAUCCUUGAUCUCAGUUGUGGCUGCAAAGUGCAGGCCACCACCAAGUCUCAGUGUUUGUGUAUUAGCAAAACACUUAAAUAAAUUAAAUUCUGAAAUGUAAAUUAUAUUCCUAUAACUUUAAGAUGCACAUAUAGUAUUGUUGAAGUCGAACUGAAAGCACUGACAAUUCCAAGCAACAGAGCAGCAAUUAUUAAGAGCCAAAACUCAUUCCUAGUCUCCUCAUCCUGGUACUCUACUCCGUAAUCUUCGUUCAGCAUCAUUGACUGAAAUUAGGAGAGAAAAAGAAAAGGAAUUUCAGAAAUUGUCUAUGAAGCAAAGGAUACUGCAGUUACUUCAAGACAUGUAAAUUGCAUAUGUAUAAAGUAAUUUUCUACAUAAAGUAACGAGGCAUAACUCUCUCUCUCCUCUUCAAACCCUAAACAGAGCAAAGCCACAAACUUUACAGAGAUUAGAAUGAGAACUGGAAUUAAUAGAACAAUGACUGAAAAGUAACAUACUUGAGGAGUGAAUGAUUUAGUGUUUCCAUCAUCGGAAAGCCGGAGUAAGUCGCUAAGAGAGGUCGCAAACAGCCCAAAGGGACAAACCCAGACCCCCGGCCCCGAUCCAUACCCUUCCCCCUCAAAUCCCGACGGCCCCCAUACUUUUCUCUGACUGUACCCCCUCUCCCACUCAUGAAAUCGAGGAUCUGUAGCAAUGGUACUGAGAUCCCCACUCCUCCCCCUCCCUUUCUCUCUGUCACUCUGUCUCCCUCUCCCUCUGUCUGUCUAUCUUUAUCCCAGAGCGGCAUGGCCUCGCAUCCCUGAAACCCUCACCGAAAGGUGGCAAUUUUGUAAAUAACUUGAAAUCCACCAACAGCAGGGGCAGAGAAUUGAAACAGACAUUUAGGCUCGUUCGAUAACCAUUUAGGCCAAAACUGAGCACACCUAAACCAUUCCUACUCGUGCCAAAUGUUAGCGGGGAAGCAAGAUGAUGACUUUAUUGUUCAAAACCAAAAGAAAAAAAGAGAGAAAACAAAAUAACAAAUCUAAUGGUUGUAGUGUAAAAGCUGAGAACGUAAAUAAACAUGCAGGGAAAAAAAUUGAAGAUACAAAGUAGCUGCAUCAUGAAACACUUGCUCCAAUUAGACGCAAAAAGUGAUGGUGAUGAGAAGAGAGAGAAAAUGCAGUCGUUUUGAUUUUUCUGGCUUUUAAAGGGAGCAGCUUUCUUCGACCACCAAAAAAAGGAAGCUGCUUUUCGUGUGGUUGUGAUUUCCUGAGUGUAUGUGAGCGGGUCUAUGGCACUUGCACUUUUUGUGUCGGUUACGGUAACCGGGCGAGGUGGACACGGCGGCGUGGGACUGAAUUCGGAGAGGUGAGAAAAAUUAAAAACACAAAAAGAAGGUGUUCAUUUUGUCACAUUUUUAUUACUAAAAAUUCAAUAAAGUACAUUCAUUAGUAUGGUAACUUAACUAUUUAAUUCCAUCUCAUUAAACUAAAAAAAACAAUUACAUAAAAAUAAGGGAAACCUUGUCCAGAGAGACCUGAGAGAAAGUGACGACUUCUCCUCUCAUUCCACUCCAUACUUGAUCUCUAAAGUCCAUUUGGCAUGUAAUUGAUGUUCAAUUUCAAAUUUAGUGGUAGCAAUUAGCAAAGCUAAUGAAAGAAUAAAAUAAAAUGAAAGAAAAAGCAUCAUGAAAUAAAUCAAGAUGAAGAAUGAAAUUUUGGCAACUCGCCAUUCUCUUCUUUUAUACAAAAGAUACAUCCUAUUUGUAGUGAAAACAGGUCCCGACAAACCCAGUUAUCGUCAAGAAGUAUUUUGUAUGACUUUAAAAACAUAUUCCGAGAAAUUAUCUCUUGGCUGAGAACAACAACAAAUCUUCAUGCAUAGCUUGUAGAGAAAGACAUCAGGCAUACAAAAGAACACGCAAGCAUAAAAUAAACGACGCAGGGAAAACCAAAAAUACAAUUGGAUACGCUGUCAAAAGAACAUAAAUAAAUGAAAAUUACAAAACAAAGAAGUGAUGAGAAACCAAAGUACCCAUUUCAUAAUCUAAUUGCUUUUUAGUUUGCUUGCCAUUUUUAGUUCUUCAAUUUAGAGAGAAACCAUAAUUCAGCACAUGAAUAAAGUGAAAACAUAAAAGAUAUGUGGGAUAAGCUAACAGCCAUCCCUGAGUAAUGCAUUCACUUCUGAACCCCAAACACACCAAAACAAAAAUUCACACACAUGAACUACAGCUCUGCUAUGUAACAAGAAUUAAAAGCAUCUCAAAACAAAAUGGCAAACUAUAAGAGCAAUGUAAAAGUAAAAUUGCAAGAAAUCUAAUACUUGGAGGGCAAGUACUAAUCAGACGAAAAUGAAAGAUUGAACUACCUCGCGUGGAACUGUGCCUUGGUUUUUUCCCAUGCUUACAGGAAGCUUUGCACUGAGCUCUUAUAGCCCAAAUUUUCUCUGAAGGGAAAAAAACACAAUUUUGAAAUAAGAUUUUCAUAUUAUACCUUAAAGAGAAGAAUUAGACAACAAAAAAGAGAACAAUGAGUACUUUUCAUCAUAUAUUGUUAGAGUAUGUGGUCCUCUAGUCCAAUGGUCCUGCAGCCAUAUUUACUUUAUAACUCUUUCUUUAGUCUAAAAACAUCUUGGAUCUCAAAUUAAUAUGAAUACGGAUUCAUACGCAUGCAUUGCAUUACAAUCACAAUGCAACAUCUCAUUAGAAAUCCCCACACAAAAUUCUUUUAUUGCUACUUUGAUUUUAGUUUAUAUUUUUUCUGAAGCACGAGGGAGCUAAUUUUUUUUUAAAAAUUUUUUAUUCCAAUAAUGUUAUAGGGUUGAAAGGAUAUUAUCAAUUUAAUUGAUUGUAUUUGAUUGGUGGAACUUCUAUAUCUAUAUUUCAGGUUUUCAAAUUCAGCACUGGGAGAGUCAUUCAUAAAAUGUUUGACAGUGAGAUUACCUCCAUGGAUUAUGCUCACAAUGGACAGCUCAUUUUCCGCGGUGAUGGGACAAUAUAUUUCAGUCAUUCGCCAUUCAAUCAAUUCAAACCGAGGAACAAGCAACAUCAAGAAGAGGAUCUGCCAUGUCAGGAUCACUGUCGUCCAAUUAAUACAAAAAAUCUAGAUAAAAACGAUCAAUUUACAUAAAAGCCUUUCAUUUUCUCAGCAACCAAGCAAAAGAAAAUACCUAUCCGUUAAACACUCGAUUUGGGAGUAAACGUUGCUGAAACUGGACUUCAAUCCCCUCAACCGCAACAAUCGAAUCGAGGUGUGCAAGUCAUUGAAAAACUCACCCAAGAUUUCAAAAUCUGCAUAAAGAAAUAAAUAAGCACAUAAAUUAGCCAACCCUGUUAUGAUCCCACAUCGGGUACACAAGAAAUUGUGUAGUGGUACUUAAGUGCAAGGGGUCAUCCCACCUAUUGGACUAGUUUUUUGGAUUGGGCUCUUCCCUUGGGCUUGAGUACCUAACAUUGGUAUCAGAGCCUAGGUUCCCGACGCUGCGAGACUUGGCGAGUGGUGCCGCCUCAUGGUGCCGCCUUGGGAGUAUGGGCUCCCAAGGGUCUUGGAGACGGGCAAGGUAUGAAAUGUCGAUAUUAUCGCGAUAUUUCGCCGAUAAUAUCGGUUUUUUGAGUUACCGAUAUUUUAAUACUUAUCCACUGAGUUUUCGUCAAAAUAUCGCAAUAUUAUCGAUAAUAUCAACAAUAUCGCGAUAUUACCGAUAAUAUCGCGAUAUUUUGGAGAUGUGCGAAUCGGAGAAGAAGGCCGGAGCUUCUACAGCUCCUGCCGACUGUAAAAGAGCACCCUAGACUCCGAUCUAGGUAUCAAAAUGAAAUACAAGACGAGAGGAAUGUUUUUAUAACUUCCGUUUGCCGUGAAACGGUCGAAGGUGUUCGGAAAGUUCGUCGACACCCACGGCCUCGCCAGAGAUGGGUGUGCCUAUUCUCGAGCCGAUUUCGUCCCAAAAACCUUGCAAAAACACGAGAUAGAACUUAAAUUUCACAUCUAAGCUUCAAUCUAGAAUAGAAUGAGGUAAACCCGAAGCUUACCUAACCGGAGAAAUUCAAGAAACUCGCCAGAGGGUUCCUGCGUCGCCGAGUUGCAGAGACGAGAAAGAGAUGGAGAAAGACGAGGUUGCUGAUAACGAUGGGUGUCUUCCUCAAGCAGGUGCGAUGGUGUGCGUGUGUGUAUGUGGGUCUCGGUGCAGAGAGAAAGGAGAGAGAUGAGAGUUUCAAGAAAGAGACGGCGCCAACGAGAGCUAUUUGUUUUUUUUUAUCUUAAAAAGAGAGAGGUCUAAGAGAAAUGGGAAGAGAGGGCCGAGUGAAAUGAAAGGAGGUCCUUGAAUUAUUGAGAGAUAUCUCUGAGAGAGGCCUAGGAUUUCUAAAAGGUAAUUAGAAAUGGGAAAAAUGGGGCACAUCUUAGCCUUUAUUUUGGAAUCCUAAGAAGUUCACCACAUGGAUGCAUGACAUGUGUGCAUGCCAUGUCUGUUGAAUGGGAAAAGUCUGACAUGGAAAGACAAAGAGUCGUUUGGUCCUCUGGGCUCGAGGCAAGAUAGAAAGUGCUAGGGUUUUUUUUUCUGAAAUGAACAUAAGCUGCUAAAUUCGCAUAUAUUAUAGUUGUUGCUAAAGAUUGACACUAGUGCGGACUUGGACGUGUUGGUCAACAUGUCCUCACAAUCCCCAAGUUCUCCGGUUCGAACCCUUACGCCCAUCAAAUUUUUCUUUCUUUUCGAUGCGCUUUUUCCAUGGCUCUAGGUCUUGAUUUCGAAUCCAGGUGAGCCCUUUCCUUUUUCUUUUUUUUUUCUUUUUGUUUUAUUAUUUGUUUAUUUUAAUUUAUUUGUUUCUUUUAUGUUUUUCCUUUCUUUUAGUUUCUUUGUCUUAGGCGUUCGUGUUUAUUAAAGUAGGAUGUAAAAUCAAUUAUCUUAAAAUUAUGUGUUUUUAAAUUUUGGACUUGUUUGUUGGAUACUUUUUUUGCAUUUUAUCAUUAUUUUAUUAUGAAAAUAUGCUAAAAUAUGCUAAAAUAUCACUUAUGUUUUUGUGAAAAUAUGCUAAAAUAUUUAUAUAUAUGGUUUUGUUUUGAAUUCUUUUUGUACUAAUUCAUUAUAUAUAAAUGAUUAUGGUGUGUUUAAACUUCUUUAAUUAAUUACUACAUAUUUUCUAUACUCACAAUGUUUGCUAGCUCGCUAUAUAAUCAACUUAAAUCAGUAAAAUCCAUCAUGCAAUGCAUUUGCUUCCAAUUUUUUGUGAUAAACUAAUAGAUAAUUGAUUAAAUAAACAUCCUGCAAAGUUUCAAUAAAAAUUUCCAAGUUUUUCUUACAAUUUCUGUGGUUUCCAUAUUAUUUUUAUCAAUAUCGAUAAUAUCCCGAUAUUUCCAUCGAUAUUUCCGUGUUUUUGGACUACCGAUAUUUCCGAUAUCAUCGAUAUUUAUACCUUGGCGACGGGGGACUUGCCGACUGGUGCCGCCAUGGACGUUGGGUCUUUCGAAAGGUGGUGUAAUGUUAUGAUCCCACAUCGGCUACACAAGAAAUUGUGUAGUGGUACUUAAGUGCGAGGGGUCCUCCCACCUAUUGGACUAGUCUUUUGAGUUGGGCUCUUCCCUUAGGCUUGAGUACCUAACAAACCCAUAAAUCAAAGAAAUCAAAAUCCACCCAGAAUCAAAGAAAUCAAAAUCCAUCCAAAACCAAAGAAAUCAAAAUCACACACAGAUAUACAAGGUGUACAGUAUUGACAUGCCUUAAAUGAUAUUAUUCACAAGAUUUAUAAAGCUCAUGUUGUAAUACUUGUGCAGAAUCUAUCAUUCACGGCGUCACUUUUGUGCAAGUCGUAAAUAAAAUUAUUCACGAUUUAAACAUUGUGUGUCGUAUUUGACAAUUUAUACUACGCACUUUCUUUUUCUUUUAAAGCUUUGCGUUAUGUCGUAAAGUUGACUUUCUAUAUAUUUGGGUUGUACCUUUUAUGGCGCAAAUAACACGUCGUAAAUAAUGGCUUUUAGCACAGAAGUUUUGUGGUAAAGAAGCCCGCGCACUAAUUCAUUCUCGCGCCUUCUCUUUUUUAUUUAGCCGCUUCUUUUUUUGGUUUUUUUUUUUUUUAAAAUUCCCCUCAAAUCUUAAAAGGGUUUGUAUUUUCUUUGGUAAACUUGAAAGAGAAACAUUGCAAUUGCAUUUUCAUUUACCCAAUAUUAAUUGUCGAGAGCCCACCCCCUUCCCUUCUCUCUGACAUCGUAACUCUCUCCUCUCCAUCGAUCUCGCUCCAUCUGCUCGCCGUCGCUCUAUAUGCUCGUCAUCGCCGUCGAUUCGUCUGCUCGUCGUCACCGUCGCCCAUCUGCUUUCCGUCACCGUCGAAGUGCCCCGCCAUUCAAAAUCUGAAAUCCCCAAUACAGGGUGCUUUGCGGCAUUUCGUUCUCCAAAACUUUAGGUAUGCUCUCAAUCUGUAUCAACCCUAUCCUGUCACCUCUACUUCAAGGUGAACAAUUUAUAGUUUAUAAAUUUUACUUGUGUUAAUAUAUAUUUUUUGGUAAAUGUUAUGGAUAUUUUAUCAAAUCAGAGAGUAAAUUCGUAUUAAGUGAAGAUUGGCAAAGAACAUAUUGUUUUGAAAGGUUGAAUAAUGUUUGCAGAUCACAUAAAUCAGUAGUUGUCAAGUCCAUAAGAGAAGCAAGAAAUCGGAAAGCAAGGCUUCGACUAAAACCAAAUAAUGUCAAAUUAAUUCAAGAUUGGAAGACUUUCCUUGCAAAGUGUAAGCUCAUUUUCAUUUUCUUUCAUUUCUAAGAUUAGUUAUCUUCUUUUGAGUUCAAAAUUGGGUCAGAGAAAUCAAACUGAUAGUAGUUAAAAGUCUAUUUCAACACCAAGCCUUGUCUACACAAGAAUUUGGUGUUAGUUAAACAUGUGUAUGAUUCUAUCUUGAUUGCAUGUUAAUUUAGUUUGAAGAUAGAUUUGGUACAUGCUAGCUAAUUGAUACGUGAUAUGAAUCUUUGGUUUCCUUUUGAUAGGACAAAAGUGAAACAUUCAGAGAGAUGAAGUCUAAGCAACUCCGCACACAUGUAGUCGCAAGGGAUAUGGUAGGUUGGCCGAGGAUUUGGUAAUUACAUUUCAUUCUAGUGCCUUCUUUUCUACAGGACAAGAACAAUUUACUAAUUUUAUUCUGUGUUCUACUGUGUGUUUACUACAUAUAUGUUUCUAUUUUGUAGAAAAGAAAAAGUGUAGACCCUUCUCUAGUUUCUAGAGGUGAUGUUUGGAUUGCAGCACAUACUAAAAAGGGUGGUGGACCAUCCAAUUUGCUUGCUGCAGAGACUAUUGUAAGUAAUUUUUAACCAUUUAUUUCUUCUUGUUUGUUGAUAUGCAAUGACGGAUGAGGUCUUAACUUUGAUGUGCAACGUUAGGAAAAAAAUUAAGCAAUAUGGAAAUGGAUCAUCAUCUGGUUUUCGAGGUGACGUUCUUUCCAAAGUUUUUGGUGCUGAGCGACAUGGUCGUGCAAGAGGAGUUGGAGGUGGUGUUCCUCCUACAAAGCUUGGAAUAUUUUCACAACAAAAAUUGCGUAAUCACCAAAUGGAUGAAAAGGUGCACAAUUUAACUAAUCAGGUCAGAGCACUGACAGAAUUGGUGCAUCUUUUUAUGAAAAAUCAGGUUAGUGAUUUAAUAACAUUGGUAUCAUAUUGAAUAUUUGUGAAAUCAGUUGUAGUGACACAUCAAAUCACAGGGUAAUGAUCUACCAAGUGAGGCAUCUCCUGACACACAGGUUGCAGCUCCUGAGGCACAUGUUGAUACUGUCGCAAGAACUGAAACUCGUCUUUCCCAAUGCGCAACAAAUGAAUCGUGGUGGCGAGGUUGAUACACUUUUUCAAUGAGCCUUCUAACUAUUAAUGCUCAUUGACUCUGUUAAAAGCUCUGCCAUUUUCAAUCUAACUAGACACUAGAAAUGAUCAUUGACUCAGUUAAAAGUUUUGAUGCUUUGGUCCUUUUGCAUAGUUGCGCAUCUACUGAUUUCUAUUUUUUUUCAAAUCCUGCAGGUUAUUUCUGAAAACAUUGAAACAUCGUGGUGUGCCAGAUGGUUUGAUUAUAAGACACCUUCCUUUUGGUCCACCAACUUAUUUAUAACUGCUAAAUGGUACGUAGUGUGAUAAUUUUCAAAUAUUUUGAUAUUAAGACAGGUGUAGGACAACAUAGAAAUUCUUAGGGCCUUCAGCAACAAAAUUAUGAAAAAGUGAGUGAGAUACAAUUAAAAAAAUGAAAGAGAAGGAUCAUGAUUCAUGAUCUAAAGGUUUGAAUAGGGUAGAAAGGAUUUAGUUUCGUUGUUAAAAUCGAUUUGUGAGUCUAUUGUUAUUGUAUUGUCAAUUUGUUUAUUUACUUGAACUUCCUAGUAUCAAUUUGGUUCGAUAUAUCUAGCACCACCAUAGAUAUAUCUAGUAUCAAUUUGGUUAGAUAUUGUCAAUUUGUUAUUUUAUUGUCAACUAUAGAAUGUGCAUCAGUUGUAAAAGGAACAAAACAAUUCAGAUUUUUUGUUUAUGUCCAAACUUAGAAUUGUAUUGUAAUUGACAAUUUCUACUAAUUAAUCCAAGUAUUUGGAGUUUAAUAUGUUUAUGAUCAAUAUUGUUAUCCUUGUAUUGUAUCAGUUUAGAUGUUAUGAAGUGAGGUCUGUCUAAAAAUGAUAUGCUAAAUAUAGAUGUAAAUUACGGCAUCUAAAAUCAGCAAUAAUUGUUGAUGGUAGUCUUUUUUUUACGAUGUAUGCCGUAAUCACCUUCACAAUAUUACGACACUCAACAAAUGCUGUAUCAAAUAUAAAUUACUGCACACUAGUAUGUCGUAAUUGUUUUUCAGUAUUACGACACCCUAUUAACGCUGUAACUAAUACCAAUUAAGGCACGUAGGACAUGCCUUAAGAACAUUUAUGGCGUGUUUUACUUAAAUUAUUCACGACUAUUAGAGUACGUUGUAUUUGUCAAAACAUCUUUUACAACAGGGGCUUUUACUGCUUGGAGGCUCAAGCCGUGAAUUUCCAUUUAUGGCACCCUUUGUGCGCCGUAAAAGGCCAAUUCUAUUGUAGUGAUCCAUGGGUACAUUUUUAAUCUACAUGUUUCGUUUUAAUAUAUCUAUUGCUAUAAUAUGUUUUGGUUGGUUCAAAUUCGUUUUACAUAAAUAUAUGGGUACAAAGUUUUUGGAGAAUAUUAUGUAAAAUGGUUUUUAAGGUUGUUGCAUUUUAUGUACCCACAUAUGCAUGUCUAUAAAACAAUGUGGUAUGAUGUACAUUCUUUUCCUUGAGUUUUUAAAUGUACCCAUGAGUUUUCUUGUAAAUUCGGUAUGUAUCCAUAUGCUAUUUAUGUUAUGGGUACAUACAUUAUUUUUGGUCUAAGUUGGUGGGUACAUUGCUUUUGUAUGUAUGAAUUCAUUGGGUACAUUAUUUCCCUUAAUACUACUCAAUAAAAUUCACAAAAAUGUGCAGUGUGCAUGAAUUUUUAUUGUAGAAAUUGUUUUUUUUUAUUUUUAAUUUUUAAGUCUCAUAAUUCGUGAAUUUUGUACAUAUUGAUCCCAUAAAUUUUUGAAUUUUAUUAAAUUUUUUUUAGACUUGAUCGAUUGAUUGAAUCUCAUAAUAAUCCCUUAAAUGUUCCAAUCAAUAUUUUAAAAUACAGCUUUUUAUUUAAGAUUUCAAAAAGAUGACAUGAAAACAUAGUAAUACUAAAAUUUUGUUUUAAAUUACAUUUGUGUAACAAUCAAUGGUAUGUUAAAACUGGGCAAAAAAAAAAAUGGUAUAUUAAAAAAUUAUAAUUUAUUCUUUUUUUCAUAACUGUCUUCUGCUUAGAUUAAUUUUUUCCAACGUUUCUCUUCGGGAGAAUUAGUUCUUACCAAUAUAUAUGCACAUUAUCUGCUUUUUACCUGGUCUUAACACAUGAUUAAUUACUUUCCUACCUGCUAACGCGUUGACUUGCGCAUCCAAAGUAUUAUCAAAGUCACUGCCACCAAAAAGGUGCCCACUCCACAACCUUUGGUUGAACCAAAGAACAUCACAACAAUAAGGAAAUCGUUAAAUCUAUCUCCGCAACAUUUUUAUUAAUCAUUAGAUAGAUUAAACGAUCCCCCUAUUCAUAUUGUGUUCUUUUGUUGAACCAAACCAUGUCAACAAAAUAUAUCUAUGGUUAAAGCAUCUAGAUUCAAGCUUUUGGAUGUGCAACUUAAACCCCUCAAUGAAUAGCCAAGCAAUUUAUCAUGUGUUUACAGUAGGUCAAAAGAAGAAAGUGUUUGUCUAUAUAUUAAUAGGAACUAAUUCCUCUGAAGAGGAGAGAUGGAAGUGAUGAUAAUAAAAAAAAAAAAAGUCGUAUUCAGUGCACAAGGCUCCCGCUUUACGCAGGGUCUGAGAGAGGUGAAUGUCGGCUAGCCUUACCCCCAUUUUAUGGAGAGGCUGCUCCCAAGUCUCGAACCCGAGACCUACCGCUCAUGGGCGAAGACACUUGCCAUCGCACCAAGUGCGACCUCUAAGGGAUAAGAGAGUAAUCAUGAAAAUUUUGAAAGUGAAAGCAUUGCCUUGGAAUAUAUAUUCUCUUUAGGAAUUCUGUGCCCAACUAAAUUCUAGAUUCUCAAAAUAUGAAAUUAGCAACUUCACCAAACACUUGGACAUGUAACAGGUCACACGUAUGGUACCAACCUUACCAACCUUACCAACCAUCUAUAUACCUAUGUUUUCGAACAUCGUUAGAUAAUUAAAGUACAGUUCACACAGCAUUUCACAUAAAAAUGGCAUCAUACAACACAUGAGAAGUACUUCUUACAGUAGCAGUCUCGUAACAUGACUAUAGUUUUUGUUACUUCUUAAGAAAAAAGAGUUUAAAAUCCUAUUGAAAGAUAAUUGUAGAGACAGAAACCCAAACUAGUUAAUUAGGUUUCUUUACAUCUCAAUAAAAUUGAAGGGAAUGUAUCUAAUAUUAUCUACUAGAGCCUCUACAAUCAUCAUAGAAUCCACAACCCACAUUUUAAUUAAUCGAAAUUCCAUGAACACAAAUAAGCAAAAGUUGAGUGAAGCCUAAGCAAUAUGUGAUCAUUUAGAGAGUCAAACUCCAUCUUUUUAGAAUUAGGGACUUUUCAAUAUGAAAAGGUAACCUCCACAAUCCAAUAUCAUAUGAAAAGGAAAACCCAAGAAAAAUACAGUAUAAUUGUGUGCAAGAGCAACACAAAAAAAGUUGAAGAAUUAGAAAUCAUAAAGAGACUUGAGACGAUUGUUGCUCACUUAGCUAAAGAGCAUUUGCACUUGAGGUCUCGAGUUCGAUUGCCCCCUUUCUUUAGAUCGCUUGAGAGGAAAAACCUACCAUUCUCUAGUCUAAAGAUAUAUGCAUCUUUGACAUGAAUGACUAGAGGGGAAGAAAGUGCAGACAAAUCACACAUACCUUCAAAAAAUUUUAUGGGGUUGGUGAAUGGUGAUUAGGGAUACUGACUUUUAAUAGCCGUUGAUCAGUGUAUAUUGCACACGCCUUCAUCAAUGGCUAGCGUCGGUACAACUGUGAUUGGGAGGGCCUUUUUACGAUAAUAGAUGGGUAAAGGUUUCAUUAGAAGGGGAAUUUUGUUCUGGUUUGCCAUAAUAACUUGAAAUUAAUGGUUUUUUGUAAUCCUUAAGUUAUUGUCAUUUUAGGUUAACUUUGUACCUGGACUCUUUACUGGAGCUAUCAAUUGAAACCCCCAUUUUCUUACCAAAAUAUGAAAAACAAAGAGUCCCAUUUUUACAGCACAGUCCUACUCUAGUUGAAAUCCGAUCGACGGUCAAGAUUUUCUAGUCAUGUGAAAGUAUCACAUAUAUAAAAUUGACUGGAGAAGGCAUGCCACAUUGCCAUGCCCUUGACAGCUUUACUUUGUUUACAAACUUUCUAAAAGAAAGAAAGAAAAAAAUCUAAAAUGGAAGGUGAUAGCGAUUUUACCACUUGUAAAACAAAGGGUUAAACCAUAGAAAAUUCUUGCAAGAGAACAAGUGUUUGUAGUAUAGAAUGGCUCAAGCAAGGUCGAUCUCCUCAGGGACUGAUAUAAACAAUUUACGAGUUUUUAUGUAUUUAACUUAUUUAACUCUAAGAAUUACACUAAUUUAACGAAACUAAAUAUUAUUGGAUGUGACUUAAACAAAUAUCUAAAAUGGGAAUUGGUUUUAGGGAAUAAUGAUUCAACUUAAACAAAACAAGUAAAUGAGGAAAUUCAAGAUAAAAUAAAUGAUUAAGAAAAAUAGAUUGACAAUAUGCUAGAGUUCAACAUUUACCAACAACACUCUUACGUAGCUAUUCCAAUUGCUUAAAUAAUUGAAAACACAUAUGCUUUGAAUGUUGGAUUUUCCUUGUGUAUGUUUUACUUGUGACAUUCAAGCUAAAACGCAUACCACUACAUGCAACUUAUCCAUGACAUUUGAAUUAAAUAUAAACAUGAGUGAUUCAUUAAUCUUGGUGAAAAUCCUUUUGUUAAACCAUAUAAUCCCUAAGAGCAUGAUAUUUACCUUAGGAGAUUACAAUUCUCAAUCACAAGAAGCACAACCAAUUUUAACGUGACAUUCGUUCAAAAUUGCAUCCGAUAACUUUUCUAAGCAUCCUAAUGGUGAUCAAGCAUCAAGGUACAUAGAUAGUUUAAUUCAGUGAUUGAAAAUAUCAAAACAAGCAUGUAACAACACUUAAGCAAUUGAAAAAUAAAACUACGUAUUCAUGUUGCGGCUCAUGGCCUCACUCUAGCAUAAUACUUUAAAUAAUUAAAGCCCAAACAAUUUACCAAAUUUCAUCUCUGUACUCCGCAGAGACGCUAAACGAGACAUAUUUGGUCCAUCUCUGAACAUCUUUUCUUACUGUUCUUACAAUAGAAAGGGCACAAAAUUGACUUACACAGUCUUGCACAAUACUCACUUUGCUUCAACCCAUAUUUCACUUUGUCAAAUCAUACACGUUCCUGCAACAGGUGAACUCAUAUUUAUCUACCACUUCUUGCUAAUUUUAAUUUUUCCAUUCCCAUUUUUACUACAAGUUUUCACAUAAUUUUUUUAUUGCAUUUGUCAAUUCUUUAUACUUUUUAAUUGUAUUUUUUUUUUUGUCUUUUAUGUGUUUUCUAUGUUGGCACAAGGUUACAACAGUAUUAAACAAUUACAGGUCCUCCAGAGGUUUGCUUAUUGCCCUAUUUCAUCAAGCUCGGUAUAAAUAGAUCUUAAUUUUUUACUACAGUUAAAUACAUGGACAUGCCUCCACAAAUACAAAUUAGUUCUUGCUUAAAUACUUUGUGUGUUUACAUAGAAAAUGUUCCCAUCGUCUACCAAAAUCCUCCACACAUGAAAACAAAAAUUCUUACUCAAAAUACUUAUUACAAUACCACCAUAUCUGUUGUUUUUUAUUAAAUUAACACACUGUUUUCAAUUUUAUCUUCAACACAAAAGAAAAUGCUCUUACACAAUGUGUUUGCUUACAUUUUAUAACUUAUCUACCACAUGUUAAUCGCAGUUAUAUAAAUAGGAAAAUACGUGUUCAAUAGAAGUGUGAUGCAUGUCACUUCGUUAACAAUAGUGGAAACUAAACAAUUAAAUAAUUUGUUUCAAUUAGUUAGUACAUUUUAUAAAUUUCUCAAUUAGAACUGUUUCAGUAUAUUUAAUACAUUUUUAAACAACUUUCCAGUUAGUUGCCCAAACUAAUUAUUCCAGCUUAUUCACAGUAUAAUACCAACAAUUUAACAACCAAUGAUACUUCGUUUAACAUAAACUUCAUUUGGAAAAAACAAAAAAAAUCUUUUUCUCUGCUGAAAAAAUCAACAGAUUUAAUGAUGUAGAUCAGUUAUACCAACAAAUUACCAUAGUUUACCCAAUGCUAUACAGGUUUGACUUUUGUUUAUAUUCUUGGAUCUGUUGCUUGGUUGUAUAAUUUGGCUGUGUGUUUUGUUUCAGGACAAUUUGUUCUUCGUUUCUUGAGGCUUCUAUGUGUAGAUUUGAACCGUUUAGCUUUCAAACCGUUUAUACUCAAGGUAAAUAAUUUCGUUUGUUUCUUUUUAACCUUUUUUGUAAGAAUUUUUUAUUUAAUGUUGUGAGAGUUGUGUUUUCUAUAGUAUGGAAAUUGAAUCUUUGUGAUCUUAUAUCGUUAGAUACGUUGCUUGGUUAAUGUGAACACGGAAAAUUCCCGAAACGAAAAAGACAAGAACAACGUGCACAAACAAAUAUUUUGUAUUUGAUGAUUAUUUUGGGUUACAAUCUCUCUCUAAUUUGAUCCUCUGAUUCGAUCUCCGUAAGAUAUUGGUUUGUGGAUGUGCGAUUGAUCCAAGGGCCGUCGAGGCUUGAUCUUGGAUGAACGGUGAUGAACGGAUCUUCAAGGGCUUUUGGGCUUGAUCUUGAAGAAUAGUGAUGAACGGGUCUUCAAGGGCUUUUGGGCUUGAUCUUGAAGGAUGGUUGGAUGUGUGGAUUUGUCGACGUUGUUAAUCCAAAGGGCUGUUGGGGCUUGAUCUUAGGAUGAACGGAUGAUGAACGAAUAACACUUUCUUCAAGGGCCGUCGGGGCUUGAUUUUGAAUUGGUGAAAGUUCUUCAAGGGCCGUCGGGGCUUGAUCUUGAAGGUAGAUGAUUGUUGAUCCAAGGGCUGUCGGGGCUUGAUCUUGGAAGAACGAUGAACGAAGAACGAAGAAGGCUUUCUUGAUUCUUCGGGAACCUGGAUGCUUGAGAGCUUCGGAGUUUCAGAGCUUCAGAGCUUCAAGGUGUAAUAUGAAUUUGGUUCCCUUAAAUGAAUGAAAUUGGCUUCUAUUUAUAGAAUUUUCCAAGGCCUAAUUUUGAAUAUAAUAUUCCAGAUGAAAUAAGUCGUUUCUGCCAAGUGUUGACACGUGUCCUAUUUGAUGACUUUUCCGACUCAUUUCAAUUUUUCGUCGAGUCACACACUACGUGUAAAAUUUAUGUAAUACAUGAGCGUUGAAACUUUGAUUUAUCAGUCAACAUUUAUUUACCAAAAUUUCGAUGUCUACAAAUGCCCCCACUUCAAGGCGCGUCGUAUACAUGUGCUUGUCACGUGUAGGAGAUGCGUUUUGAAGUCCCCUUACUGUAGAUGUCGAUCCAAGGGCCGUCGAGGCUUGAUCUUGAACCGGGCUGGAGAUUUCUUCAAGGGCCGUUGAGGCUUGUUCUCGAACUUUGUUCGAAAUUUCUUCAAGGGCCGUUGAGGCUUGAUUUUGAAUUGGGCUGAAAGUUUCUUCAAGGGCCGUUGAGGCUUGAUCUUGAAUUGGGUUGAAAGUUUCUUCAAAGGCCGUUGAGGCUUGUUCUUGAACCUUGUUUGAAAUUUCUUCAAGGGCCGUCGAGGCUUGAUCUUGAAUUGGGCUGGAAGUUUCUUCAAGGGCCGUCGGGGCUUGAUUCUUGAAGGUGGAUGAUUGUUUAUUCAAGGGCCGUUGAGGCUUGUUCUUGAACCUUGUUUGAAAUUUCUUCAAGGGCCGUCGAGGCUUGAUCUUGAAUUGGGCUGGAAGUUUCUUUAAGGGCCGUCGGGGCUUGAUUCUUGAAGGUGGAUGAUUUUUUCUUCAAGGGCCGUUGAGGCUUGUUCUUGAACCUUGUUUGAAAUUUCUUCAAGGGUCGUCGAGGCUUGAUCUUGAAUUGGGCUGGAAGUUUCUUCAAGGGCCGUCGGGGCUUGAUUCUUGAAGGUGGACUCGAACACAUGGCAAGCAGGCACGAGGUGAAGGUGACGGUCUGUUUCUUUGCUCAAUCUUUCCAAGUGCCGACCGAUUGCUUUUCUUUCUCCUUGUCCCGCAGGCAAGAGCAAGGGUAAAAGAAAAGCAUGCCAUGAGAUAUCUUUGUUUUUGACUCUGAUGAUAUGAGGUACUUCUGCUUUUGAAGAAGUUGCGGAUGAAUCGACACGUGCUUUGUUGUGCUUGUCUCCACAUGCUCAGACUCUUGGCAGAAUGUGAAAGGUGGCAUUUUCUCGAGUUACUCAACUCAGACUCAUUCUGCUGAGUUGACUGUGCGGGCCGCAUUCUUCUCUGCUUGUUUCUUCUGGCAGCCUUGCUCUCGAGUACUCAUCUUUAACAUCUUAUGUUUCUUCUUUGUCUACCACACUGUGGAAGACGAGUACUCGAGAGUAAUACCAUGUAAGCAAUCAGAAAAGGGUUCCAAGCAGUCGGUUCCAGAUCGGAAGAUUGAUACCAAGUGUUGGCUGAUUGCUUUCCUUCUCAUUGUCCUACAGGUUAGAACAAAGACAAGGAAAAGGACACGGAGAAUGCAUGAUAUGAGAUACUCUUGCUUUCUCCCUUCAUGAUAUGAAAUACUUUUGCUUUUCAAGAUUUGUUUGCAGAGGUAUCCUAUGGGAUGAAGAACACUGAGUGAGUUGAGAGGGUUUGUUGGAAAGCCAUUUGUCGGAGAUGACGGAAUGUUAUGUAUGUCUGCCUUGCCAUGGAGCGUGAAGGUCGACAUUUGUAGGAAAUAAUAACUGGUACUGUUCUUUCACUCCUGUCGGCAACCGUUGGAUGAUUGAACAGUAAACUUCACGUGAUUUCCUCAAAGCUUUUUCUGCAUGCGACAAGUGCUGACGAGGCUGAGAGAGACAUGCGAUUGGAAUCGGCGCUUCGACAAACUUUUCCAUGAUUUUCGCAAAGCUGACGAGGCUGAGAAAGACAGAUGGUUUGGAAUCGGCGUUUCGAUAAACUGCCCGUGAUUUCCGCAACGCUGACGAGGCUGAGAAGGACAGAUGGUUUGGAAUCGGCGUUUCGACAAAUUGCCCGUGAUUUCUGCAACGCUGAGUUUGCGUGUGACAGGUGCUGACGAGGCUGAGAAAGCUGACACUUCUUCGAUUUUUGAGAUCAGUCCGUGAUCCUUGAGUAGGCCUAGCUUUGGAGAAAGCAGGCGCUUCAUCGAUCUCUGAACUCGCCUCUUCGAUCUCUGAAAGCCCAUCGCAUGCUGUUUUUUUAUAGAGGUACGCAAGACAUUCAAAGCACACUUGAAUUUCUACCUGUGAAAAAAAACUCCCCUUUUGCAUAUCUGAGAUCUUUAAUUUGCCCGACCUCUUCAUUUUGUUGAACACCUUCGGAAAUGUCUUUCCCAUCUGACCGUCGUCUUGACUUGAAUAUCGAAGAAGAUAUUGACAUGUCUUCUCCAGGCAACAUUUGGCAGCUGUCCUUCGUAUCCUCCAACGAACCUCUUACGGUUGGGGACACUGUGAUGAGGAAUGACGCAACGGCUGCAGUGGUUGCUAGAAAUCUUCUCACUCCUAGGGAUAGUAAGAUGCUUUCCAAGCGGUCCGACGAGAUGGCUGUUCAAGACUCUCUGGCCUUCAGCGUCCAAUGUGCGGGCUCAGUAUCAAACAUGGGCCAACGCCUUCUUGCUCGAUCUCGUCAGGUUGAGUCUUUGAUGGCCGAGGUGGCUAGUCUUCGGCAGGAGAUCAGAGGGCUUAGGCACGAGAAUAAAGAGUUGCAUAUGCUAGCAACUAGUUACUCAACGAGCAUGAAGAAGAAGCUAGACCAACUGCAGGAGUGUGAAGUUCGGGCUCGAAAUGAUCAUCAAAGGUUUAUGGCGUUACUCCCGAGGCAUCUUCUGCCUUCGUCAUCUGGCGCUUCACCAAAUGUUGAGGCUCCGGAAAAUCAAACUCUGGCGCUUCGUCUUUCUGGAGCUUUACCAAGUGUGGAGGCUUCAGUUGAUCCACCUCCGGUGCUUCGUCUUUCUGGAGCUCCGUCGAGUACUGAGGCACCACAUGAUCAUCCUUGAAGAUCCUUUCCUGUAAAUUUGAUUUGACUUUUUUUUUAAGGUAUGUAUAAUGUAAAAUUUCUAGAAAAAUAAAAUGGACUUUAUUUCUCUGAACAUGUUUUUUUUGUUUUUUUUUUUGGCUGUAUAUUUUCUCUUUAAUCAUGGUGCACCCAUUUUCCACAUGGUGCCAGACGGACCAAAGAUCAAACAUUUCCUUUUUUUAUUUUUUUAUUUUUUCUUUAAUCAUGGUGGCAGACGCAUAAACAAUUUCAUUUAUAUUUUUUUUUCUUUUUGCUGGCACAUGGUGCCAGAUGCACCAUUCAUUUAUAUAUAUUAUUAUAUAUGUUUUUUUUAUUUUUUUUUAUUUGCACAUGGUGCCUGAUGCACCACCUCUUUUUUUUUCACGUGGUGCCAGCAUCACUUUGCUCCACCAUCCAUUUUUUUUAUUUUUAUUUUCUGUAUAAAUUUGGGUGAUGGGUAGAGGAUUUUGCAGGCAGGGAGCAAGGAGGCCGAGAAGAUGGUGCUUCGAACUUCAUGACCGGCUAGUCGUUUGACGGCGGUCGUUGAAGUCGUUGGCAGUUGCGAGGCAAAAGACGGAGGAGAAGGUGGAGUAGGUGACCUUGAUGUCGGAUCCAGCUAGAACCCAGAGCACAGCGACUGAGCCCAAUCACCGAGCACAACCGCUGCACACCCGUUGUACUGCCACCGAGCACUGCCACUGCGCAUCUGUUGCACUGCCAAUUGCUGCAAAGGAUUAUGUUUAACGGCGGAGACGCUGCCCUAUUUGCCAUGCUAUGCCGACGUGCUUCACAUAAUUAACCAUCCAGAAUUGUUAAACAUUCCAUCUGGGUUUAUCGCAAAAACAGAAGAAGAAAAAAACCAAGAUCCAUCCAUGCCAAACACCAAUCUGCCAUCUUUUUGGGAUUUGUACGACAUCAUCAGCCAAAACCUGCUUGGUCCGCUCGCAAAUUGUGGGAGAGGAAGAGUUGGCGGAGCAGCUGUAACACUGGAAAAUGGAGGACGUUGACGAGUCCUCCAAGUUGUUCUUGACGUUGGUGCUGGAGAAACCUGCCUCUCUCAUGACUCUGCUGACACUUGGGUCGUCAAGGAUGGGGAUGAUGAGCUGCUCGAGCUCGACUUUGAUGGUUAAGAGCGGCUGCUGCUGCUGCUCGAUGCAGUCUCUUCUCUGAUGGGCUUGGGCUCUCUUGAGGGCGUUGGAGAGAGAGGGCUGCCCGUGGAGGAGAGGGCAUGGAGUUGUUGGGAGAAAUCAGGGCCGGAAUGGAAAAUAUUCCCGAGCUGCAUCAACGAGGAGAUAACACCGCUAAGUUAUUCAUCUGGUUUGCUUUAGUCAAAUGGAUCAAUCCGCGGGUCAUGCUCGCUUGCCAUCAUCAUCCCAGUGCACAGGCAUGUCGGGCACAUGACCUUUCCAGCACCAGAGCAAUUUGGGCACCUCUCAGUUGUGGGCACUCGCAAAGGUUGGUCUGAUGCACUAGAUGCUGAUAUAGGAUUGAUGUUCAAGCACACUCCACUUGCAGAACAUCUAGCACAGGCCAAGUACCCAGUUCCAUGGCAAUAUUUGCACCUUUUCUUCUCUUGCUGCUCAACAUUAUUAGCUUCAAUCAACAUCAAUGCUGAAAUGACACCCACUGCCCCACCGGAGAAGGAUGCCACAAUAGGAUCAACCUGACUUAAUUGUAAAGGCAGAUGCAUGCUACGAAUGAAAUCUUCAUACGAGGUACCUCCUAUACCUAAUUUUAGUUCCAACGAUGGCGCAAUGAGACCCCCAAAUACAAUUACACUAGAUAUCAUAGAUAAGCUUGUGAGGUAGAGCUGCUUCAACGUCUUUGGUGUCAUAUGAGGGAGAAAAGGGAUAGUGGAUGGAAUGUCAGGCAUCUCAUUUGACUCUUCCUCACAAGCCUCAUCCAUAUCUCUCGCCAUCUUUAUCCGUUGCUGCACCCGCAAUCUCCUUAGCUCUUCCAUGAGAAGAAAAAUCUUGUUGUGCCGGCUUCUUAUGUUGUCCUAAAUUUCCUGUAGUUGCAUCUGCACAAAGUCCUGCACCGUCUCCGGCUCUUCUAUGAUACAAAAAGUGCUUGGCGUGUUAUCGCCGGGGAAUGAUUCCUUGGAAGCAGAACAGGAAAUUUGGGGAUGCGGGGAGGUGAAUUUGGACAGAGAGAGACGUCUAGGGAUUCCAUGGGAGGGGGGUUGAGAGUGGUUUUUUGCCGGCGCCUCUAGGGUAGUCGUCGUUGGCUAUUGCUAUAGAGAGGUCAAUGACUUCACCGGAGAUGGCGUUGUUCUGGAGCCCGAGCGUGAGAAGCCGGGUGAGAUUGUCUGGAAAGGGUCCCCAGAGGUUGUUGUCGGCGAGGUCGAGAAGCUUGAGCUUGGUGCAAUUGACGAGAGGAGAAACGGUGUCGUUGAGGCGGUUGUUGUGGAGGUCGAAGAGUGAGCUGGGCGAGAUCAGAGAACCUUGACGAAUUCGGAGCGUUGAGGGUUAUCAACACGAUCCCAUCGACGAAGAAGAAGCAGAAUGGGCCUCUUGCGGGGCCUAUGGCAUCAACCGGUCUUUGGGCUUCUGGGCCAGUAAAUUGGAGAGAAGCCUGGGCUUUUGACUUGCAGAGAGAUUAGGCUCUGGGAGCCGCUUGUAGUAUUGUGGCUAAAGGGGUUGCUUCCUGUGGCCACUUAUAUAUAUAUAUUUUGUAAAUACAUAAAACAUUUAUCUCUUUUUUUUUCUUUUUUUUUUGUACAAAGAAAUUGUAAUAGCAUCAAAACUUUUAAUAAAAUCUUUAUUCCUUAUUUUGGUGUGACUGAACUCAAAUUUUGAAUAUUCGAGUUGCCUACGUACCUCUCCAAAGAAGAGAUCAAGUCGUAACGUAGUUCAAAUGAGUGAUGAAUUUAACAGUGAUUUUGAUGAUGAUUUUGUCGUACACAGUUUAUGCUCUUGCGGGCCAGGAGCUUUGGUUCGUGCAGUUUAGGCUCGUGCGAACAAGGAGUGUUGGUGUUGCCUUUUAUGCUCGUGCAGACCAGGAGCGUUGGUGUUGCCUUUUAUGCUCGUGUAGACCAGGAGCUUUGUGCCAUGCAGUUUAGACUCGUGCAGGCAAGGAGCGUUGGUGUUGCCUUUUAUGCUCGUGCAGACCAGGAGCGUUGGUGUUGCCUUUUAUGCUCGUGCAGACCAGGAGCUUUGUGCCAUGCAGUUUAGACUCGUGCAGGCAAGAAGUGUUGGUGUUGCCUUUUAUGCUCGUGCAGACUAGGAGCUUUGUUGUGCCAUGCAGUUUAGGCUCGUGCAGGCGAUGAGCUUUGGUUCAUGCAGUUUAGGCUCGUGCGAACAAUGAGCAUUGUGCCAUGCAGUUAGGCUCAUGCAGGCGAGGAGCGUUUAUUGGUUCGUCAAGCGAUCCAGGAGAGUCGUUCCUCGCAAUCUUCAUAGCAAGGAGCCUUGACUGAGUGAUUGAAGAAGUCUUUGGGGAAGAAAUCGCGCAUCGUGAUGGGGAUGGACGAUAUUUGUGUCGUCAUUUCAUCAUCUUCAACACUUUCACUUUUCUUUGAAGGUUGACAAGAGCUGCUUUGCCCCAUUUCCGAUUGGCGGACUUGUGGAUGAGACGUAUGCUUCUUCUGCAGUUUCUCUAGAGUGACAUGAGUCAUUCCUUCAACUUCGCUUGGCUCAACUGGCAUGGUUUUGGAGCAUGCCCCCAGCGAUUGAGGUGAAGAUUUUGAGUUGACAAAGCCGGAAGUGACGUCUUCUUCCAUGAUUUCAUCUUCUUUGUCUUCUUGGGCUUGUUGGCGUGAAGAUUGGCCGGCGUAGAUGAUGGUGCGCCUCUUUACCUUCAGUGGUCCUUUUGUGUCGACCUCCCAAGCUGUUUGGCGCUUUAUCCUUGAAUGAAUCAAGCUUCGAACGUCGUCUUUUCCUGCUAGACCGUCGAGCUUUUCUUCCUUUGGCGUUGUCUUCCUAUUUCUAGAAUGCUUCUUGGUUUCUUCAAGUUUUUCCAAAGCCGAUCGUUGGGGAGGAGAGCCAGCCUUGCUGCUUUGUUUCUUAGGUUUUGACAACCUUUCAAAAACAGAGCUUUGGGGUGUUGGCGUGUUAAGCCGUUUGAAGAUGGAAGUUCGGUCUUGCCCACCAAUGCGAUCAAGUGCCGACCUUCUGGGUUUUGAACGAUUCAGCCUAUCGAAGACUGACACUCGAAUAGGAGGUUGAGGCUCCUCUUGAUCUUGUUCAAUCCUCAAGCUGAUGUGUCGAGUGCUAGCAUUUUUUGCUUUACUUGAAAUCUUCACGGGUGCAUUUGGUGUGAAGCCAAGUCUAGCUCUGUUGUUGUCAACUCCGUAAUCAUGCUUUUCCAACUUCUUCUGAGUCUCGGUGAAGUCAUGAUCUUUGUCGUUGAUGGUGUUUGAAACCUUCUUCUCAAGAUUUGAAGAGGAAGCAAAGUCGUACCCAGCCUUUAACAUGAGUUCGUAGGCGUUUGGGUUGAGACCUUCUUCGGUCCUCUUAGUUGGAAUGAAGCUUGGGUUCGCUUUGACGCCAUGAUGCGCCUCCAGACGGUUGAUAAGUCCAACGGUUUGCAAGUUUUUCUCCUCCGCAGUCUUUAUCAGCCUUGCAAUUGUUUCCUUCAUCUGAACUAGUUGUUCUUCAAUAGAGGUAGCGCCGAUGGUCAUGACUUGUUCUUUGUUUGAAGCCAUGAAGUGUGCUUGAAUUUCUUGAACAGAGAAAGAGAUGAGAGGUAGAGAUUGUCCCACUGGGCGUGCCAAUUUGUGAACACGGAAAAUUCCCGAAACGAAAGAGACAAGAACAACGUGCACAAACAAAUAUUUUGUAUUUGAUGAUUAUUUUGGGUUACAAUCUCUCUCUAAUUUGAUCCUCUGAUUCGAUCUCCGUAAGGUAUUGGUUUGUGGAUGUGCGAUUGAUCCAAGGGCCGUCGAGGCUUGAUCUUGGAUGAACGGAUCUUCAAGGGCUUUUGGGCUUAAUCUUGAAGAAUAGUGAUGAACGGGUCUUCAAGGGCUUUUGGGCUUGAUCUUGAAGGAUGGUUGGAUGUGUGGAUUUGUCGACGUUGUUGAUCCAAAGGGCCGUUGGGGCUUGAUCUUAGGAUGAACGGAUGAUGAACGAAUAACACUUUCUUCAAGGGCCGUCGGGGCUUGAUCUUGAAUUGGUGAAAGUUCUUCAAGGGCCGUCGGGACUUGAUCUUGAAGGUAGAUGAUUGUUGAUCCAAGGGCCGUCGGGGCUUGAUCUUGGAAGAACGAUGAACGAAGAACGAAGAAGGCUUUCUUGGUUCUUCGGGAACCUGGAUGCUUGAGAGCUUCGGAGUUUCAGAGCUUCAGAGCUUCAAGGUGUAAUAUGAAUUUGGUUCCCCUAAAUGAAUGAAAUUGGCUUCUAUUUAUAGAAUUUUUCAAGGCCUAAUUUUGAAUAUAAUAUUCCAGAUGAAAUAAGUCGUUUCUGCCAAGUGUUGACACGUGUCUUAUUUGAUGACUUUUCCGACUCAUUUCAAUUUUUCGUCGAGUCACACACUACGUGUAAAAUUUAUGUAAUACAUGAGCGUUGAAACUUUGAUUUAUCAGUCAACAUUUAUUUACCAAAAUUUCGAUGUCUACAGUUAAAUGAUUUGGCUGUGUGCAUUGUUUCAGGACAAUUUGUUCUUCGUUUUUUGGGGCUUCUGUGCGUAGCUUUGAAGUCCUUUGUAGUCAACAUAAAUAAUUUUAUUUUUCUUUGUUUUUAGUCUUCUAUGUAAGAAUUUCUUAGUUAAUAUUCUGAGAAUUAUGUUUACUAUAGUAUGAAAAUUGAAUCUUUGUGAUCUUCGAAGUGUAACGUCAUUGCAACAUGGACGACUGCCAUUAUCGAACAUGAAAAACAUUUUGAUUUCUGUACUCCGUCUAGUAGAAAACUCUCGACUUCUUCAGAAACCACGAGAAACUUAAAACUGAGAAAGCUUCGCGGUCUCCCUUCCAUCUCUGCUACGCGGUCUCUGCUUUGCGAUCUCUGCUUCCUUCGUGAUUUCUUCCUUCCUGAACGACAUCUAUUCGAAUUGAAAACCUUCUGGAGCUCUCUUCCCCAAAUUUCAGCAGCAACUUUGCUCCAGAUCUUUCCAAUUGAAAUUCCUCUCCUUCACAUUUUGCAUAUUGAAUUUCGCAUCAUCAUCAUCUCCCUAGAACCUAGGAGUUCGGUUCGGUUUCGAGUUUUCCGACGGAAAUCCGGCGACAGCGGCCAUCGAGGUUGGUCUGAAACUAUUCCUCAUCACCACAGGUACUUUCUACACCUAUUACAUUUUAGAAAAAGUUUCAUGACUUUGUGGAAUCCAAUUUAACGAUUAGAAAAAUUUUCAUUAAUUUUCUGGGUUCGUGAGUUGGAGGGGGAUUAGAAAUUUUUUCAUUAUUUUUCUGGGUUUGUGGUUUUUUUUUUCCAAAACGUUUUUCCUUUCUACUAAUCCAAGUUCCUUCACAUCAAUCUCUCUGUUUUGUUCUUGAUCUUCCUCGAGUAGAAUACCUCUUCUUGCUCUGGAGCGCGUGGGCAGUCUCUCUAAGGCAGCCCAUGACGUCAUUUUCCGAUUCGACUCGGAGGAGGUUGGCUGCUCUUCUUGGCUGAGCUUCAUGGCUGGCCGAAUUCCCCUAUUCCCUUCCUCUUAUACUUUUUUAUAUUCGUUCACCAAAACAAUAGGAAAACGUCUCCGUCUGUUUGAUUGACGGCGAAAAAAAAAAAGACGGAGAAUAAAAGCCUGACGGAAGCUGAAAGCUUGGACUCUGUUUGUAUUUUUAAUGGAUUUUCAGAACACAGGUCAAGAAUAUUGCGAUUUGAGAAAAAAAGAAAGAACCACGUUGACAUAAUAUAUUCACAAUAGGUGUACAAGGUUCAUAAAGCUUUACUGUGGUUCCAUUUUUUGUUAAUGGAAUUAGCCUUUUGUUUUAGGAAGAACUUGGAACCCCCUCCGUCCAUUCUAUCCCCAAUGGAAUUAACACUUAGAUAGUACUAUGACAAUGUGUCAUUAUUUGAUGCAUACCUGUAUAAAUUUAGGCUAAGUGUUUUAUACACAAAUUGAUACAGAUUAACUAUACAAUGAUAACUAUAUACCGGAGAGCUAACUAUACAAUGAUACAUUCUUAUCUGUUAAUUAUCUUUGGUUACCAGCUAUCCAUGUUGCUGUCAUAUUAAACUACACAACAUCAGUUGUAAUUUAUGUCUUAUUAGUAUCAUCAUUUUUGUUCAUUAUUUCAAUGUCUAACAUAACUCCGCCUAUGUCUUACAUGGCCGGUCCCAAGCCCGGAUAAAGGAGGAGGGGGAGGGCGUCAGGUAGUCGACAGCCGGCACUCCAUGAUCACGUCGAAUCCUUAUGAAAAUGAAUCCAGAACAAAACCCCACUUAGUGGGAAAAGGCUUUGUUGUUGUUGUAUUUCAAUGUCUAACAUGAUGAUCUGGUUUCAAUUUGCUACAGGCAUUAUUUCCAGACAAUAGCUAUGGUUUUGAUUGUAGCGGUGACUGAAAAAUUAUUCCGAAACUAACAUUUGAGGAAUUCAAGGUUUGUUAGUUAAUUUGUACAUCAGAAUACCAUGACAAACUAUGAAGUUGUAAUUGUUGACCUUACAAUGUAUCUUUUUUGGUUUGGAGCAUUAGACUUAUAUGUGUUGCUUUCACCUCAUGAAGGCUAACUCUUUAUUUUAGGCCGUAAGAGUAUAAUUUCUUGGAGAAUCUACAUUGUUGAUAAUUUUUUGAACAAUAUUAUCCCCAAAAUUUCUCCGCAUGUUACCCUCAACGUAGACAUCAUAUAACCAUCAUUGAACUUCUGAACCAAAAAUUUGAGUUUUAUGAUUAUAACUAAACGUCUAUAAACACAUGAUACAGAUUGAGACGAAUGUCAAAUUUAAAAUGGCAUUAAUACAGCUGCAAACUCUGAUUUGCGGGAUUUGAAAUGGAGCAGUUACUUCUUGCUUCACUUCAGCAGCAUAGUCCAGCUUCUAAAUUCAGUUCUCAGGUAUGAGGUUUCUCAGUUACCUCUUUUUUGUAAUAAAACAUUUGAUCAGUACUUGCCAGGAUAUCCAAUUAAUUAGGUCAGUUUUUGUUAGCAGUAAUAAUUUGUUUUUGCAGCUUUAUAUGUGUCUCUGUCUCCAAAUAUGAUGAUCUCUUAAUUUGCUUCUAUAGCUUUUGUAAUAUAAUGAUCUCUUAAUUUUCUUUUGCAUAUCUUCUUUGCUUCCUCUGCUAGCUCUAUAUGAGAUUCCAUCUCCAAAUAAUUAUUCCUUAUUUCCUAUUUUUACCAGAAGCAAAUCAUUGAAUACACAUGGUAAAUUAAAAGGGUUUUAGUUUUUGGAGUAGUUUAAAUUUUUUGUUUGUUAUUGCUUGUAUUGCUGUUAAAUAUUUGAUGGGUAGUUUGAAAUGGGGAACUUGGUUGAUUGAGUAUUAACUUUUAUUAAAUUAAUAUUCUUAUUCAAUAUUGAAUUAAGACUCCUCUUAUUAAAUUAAGACUCUUAAGGCUCUAAUCUAAUGUUCAUGCUCAAUAUCUCCUCUAUCUUUCUACAAUUGGUAAAACUUUUGUAUUAUUAUUCCAAUUUUGGUUACUGGGUUGUGGAAUUUUCCAUUUUUUUUCUGGGUAAUCAAUACUAUAUAUAUGCAUGACAAGUAUAAACAAUAUUUUGGGGCAAAUUUAGUUGUUUAAUUUUUAAUUUUUAUGUGACAGUGAGAUUAUGGUAGGAUUUCGUUUAGAUUCUGCGGCCCAAUGGGAGUCUCUGCUUUGAUAAGAUUGGGGUUGAUGCCAAGAAAGCCAAUAAGCCUACUGUGGACGCCGUAGCCGCCUGGCGCUGUUUUCCAAAAUCCUCUCUCACUUGGUUAAGCAAUUAAGACUUUUUGGUUCAGUUUUUAUUAUGCCCAAUUUUGUAUUUAAACCUUAAAAAAAUUUAAACUGAUAUGGGGAUACUGAAAUAGGCUGCAGAGCUGCCAUCCCUGAAUCAGAAGAUGUUCAGAAGGAAGAAGAAGAACAAGAAGAAAGUCGUGGAAUAUCAAAAGCUUUUAGCUUUGUGAAGGUAUGCUUUUUCCCAACUCACCUCUUGCUUUUGUUGCACUGAAUUGGUAGAUUGGGUUCAAAAAUAUAUAUAUGUGAUUUUUCGUGUAACUAUUUCUUUACAUAAUUACCAAUUGGAGGUGAUUUGAGAUCAUGUAACAUUUCCUCGCUAGAACCGAAGAUUGCCGUCGCUCAGAGCUGCGUUUCAUGAAACAAGUUCAUCUCCUGCCAAUUUUGUGUACCCACCUUUUAUUCAUGAGGGUUGGUGCUUGCUUGCAACACAAUUUGGUGCUAUUAAGUUUUGCGGUUUUACAAUUUGUUCAUGCUUAAACCUCUUUCAAAUUUUCAUUUCUAUGUAAAUCUUGCAGGUAGGACGACACACCUAUCUUGGCAAUGUCGGGAUGUCUAGGCUUGGGUGGAGACGUGGUCUUAUGGAAGAGGUGAAGUAGCUUAGCUCGAUCUCAUUAGCUCUUAUCUGUUCUAUUAUGCUAAGAUCAAUAGUAAAAAGUUCUAUUGAUUUUAUAAUCAAAGAUACAUAUAUUAUAGAAACAGAGGGUAUAUAAUUAAUUUCUUGAUGUAAACAAUUAUAACUUGAGGAACCAUUUAAAGUAUUUUGGUAAUCAGCAUACUUAAACUUAAAUGUGAUAUAUCCGUUUAGUAUUUUUUUUAUACAGUGAUAAUACUUAAGUAUAAUUUACAUCAUAUAUCUUUUGAAGUACAUGAAACUAUGAAGAAAAUGAUAAACCAAAUCCCAUUCCAUCUCUGUUUGCUACUGCACAAUCACAAUCCAAUUCCAACAUGGAAUCCUCAGACGACAUGCCUACUGCAGAACAAGUUUCAUCCUGACUUAACUUAUAUUUAGUCCACGUCCUGUUUAGAUUGUAAUCCUAGUUCUACGUGUGUUUGUAUAGUACUCCUAUAAAUAUCAAUGAACAUCGCUCACUCUAAUUAAGAGUUGAGAUUCUGCAAAUCAUAUUUACUAUCUUUCAUGGUAUCACGAGCCAGCGUCUAACGACAACGGUUCCUAUUAUAAUUUUUUUCUCUUUUGCAGAUCCUAAACUAUGGCAUCUUCUUCCUCCUCCGCUGCUCCCUCCAUCACAAAUUUUCUUACGAUCAAGCUCGACCGCAACAACUACCCUCUUUGGCAUGCUCAGUUUCUUCCCUUGCUGCGCAGCCGCAACUUACUCUCUUAUGUUACUGGCGAAACUCAAUGCCCCUCUUUCUUCUUGAUGACAAUGGUAAAUUCACCGAUAAAGUCAAUCCAUUAUAUAAUGAAUGGAUCCAGACUGACCAGAUGAUCCUAUCUUGGAUUACGAGUUCUCUUACUCCCAAGGUUCUUGCUACGAUCGUCAACAAAAUUGAUUCGGCCUCUGCUUGGUCGUCAAACUCGAAUUAAUCUGAUUGUGAGGGUUUUGUUUUAUAUCAAUAUAUUGCAACAGAAGUCACACUUUGAAGAGUUCAUGCUGCACAGAAAGAUGAUGAAAUGCUACCCGUUGAGUCUAUCAUUGCUCCAUUGGAGACAGAGCUGAAGCUUACUGCAGGAGUUAUACAUUUGUUAUGCAAUAUGACCCCUUUAAUUUUAUUUUAAAACUGAUACAAAAAUACUACAAAAAUUUAUGUAGUAUUUUUGUAUCAGUUUUGAGUGUCUAUUUUGGCUUCCAUAUAUCGUCUGUACAUGUGAGAGGUAUAGUGUUCAAUAUGUAUUUGGUUUCUAUAUUGUUAAUGGAUCCUUUUUUUUUUUUUAAUUUUAAUAUAAUUUUAUUAAGGUAACCAAGUUGCAGGAUGACAUCAGAACACUUGAUCUGCAGGUAAACCUUCAAUUUCCAUAUGAAGUUUGCAUGUUCGUUGUUUCUGGAAUUUGAGUUUUUAUUAUUUCUCAAUUCUAUCACAUAGAUUACGAUUUCACAUAUGUGAUUAUUAAUGGCAAUUAUAUGAUAGAAGAAUUGGGAUUGGAAGAAGAUAUUGAGUUGUUUAUUUAUGGGGAUUAGAAAAUGAUUAUCAUACAAGUGAUAUUUAUUUUUGUGUGGAUUGUUAAUAUAUAAAACUAUAAGCUUUUGAGAUUGGGAGAUAAAACCCACAAAUUCAAAUCAGACAAAAUAAAUAAAAAAUUUAACUGACUUAAAGAUCAAACUCCAAAAGGGUAUUAAAAACAAGGCUUAUUUGAUCCAUUGAGUGUGAAAGUUUUGAGCUUUGAAGAAGCAUAGGAGGAGAGUUGUUAACCAAGCUGCAUUAUCCAUGUAUUAGGAUGUUGAGGGUAGGCAGGAAAAAUACUUUUUGACGCCAUAUCCAGAGGAGCAUAACGACAGGCCUGCAUUUUUGCAGCAAGGACCAAAACAAGUAGAAGUGAAGGCUUGACUGUUUGGGUAUUAAUCCUAAACCUAAUUAUUCUUAUUUAGGUUUAGGAUAAAUGAUUGAGUGUGUCUCGAUGAUUGUAUUACCAUGUUUGAUGAAUGACUUGAGGAGUUGGAAAUGGUUUAUUGCUUAUGUUUUUCUUAGGUGUGUACUUUGGUUAUUUCCGAGCUUUUCACGACUCUUGAUACCUAAUAGAGAAAAUGGAAACCCCAACUUUAAUUUUAUGAAUUGGUUUUGGUGCCUAAAAUGAAAUCUAGCAUAGUGAAAUCUUGCAUAAUGAAAUUAUGACAAAUUUCCCUUCAUCUUUAGAUUUUCAUUUAGUUCAAUUUGUAUGCAAUUUAGGGUUAUUCAAUUCAUGAGUGAUCAAAUUAUGUUUUUAAUUCCUUCUUCUUUUGAUUUACAGUUCAACAUUGUCGUACAAAAUGAAAAAGGUGCCAGUAACAUAGUUAUGGAUUUGGAUGCCUUUAGCGGAAUAAAACUGAAUUUUUUAACUUUGUAUAGUUGUAAACAUAAAAUACUCCAUCAGAUAGACUCAUAGCAUUUGAAAACAAUCCUUGAGGAUGGCAUAACAACAUCUCCAACUUUUGUCAUGUAAUGUAUGAAUGUAAAUAGCACUUUGUAAACAUAUGGAUGUAAUAUAUGUAUAUAAACAGUCUUUAGCAUGUAUAUUUUUCAAAACUUUCUACAUCUUCAACAAUGUUUCAAUGAUUUCUUGAUGUAAACAAUGAUAAUUUGAAGAACCAUUUAAAGUUUUCGGUAAUCAGCAUACUUAAGCUUAAAUGUGAUAUAUCCGUUUAGUAUUUUUUAUACAGUGAUAAUACUCAAGUAUAAUUUACAUCAUAUAUCUUUUGAAGUACAUGAAACUAUGAAGAAAAAACCCUAAUUAAUCUGAUUAUGGGGGUUUUGUUUUAUAUCAAAAUAUUGCAGCAGAAGUCACACUUUGAAGAGUUCACGCUGCACAGAAAGACGAUGAAAUGCUAUCUGUUGAGUCCAUCAUUGCUCCAUUGGAGACAGAGCUGAAGCUUGCUGCAGGUGGUAUACUUUUGUUCUGCAAUAUGACCCCUUUAAUUUUAUUUUAAGACAGAUAGGGUUGAAAAGAAUUUAUGUAGUAUUUUUGUAUCAGUUUUGAAUGUCUAUUUUGACUUCCAUAUUUGGUCUGUACAUGUGAGGUAUAGAGUGUUCAAUAUGUAUUUGGUUUCUAUAUUGUUAAUGGAUCUUUUUUUUUUGUUUUUUAGGUAACCAAGUUGCAGGAUGAAAACAAAACACUUGAUCAGCAGGUAAACCUUCAAUUUCCAUAUGAAGUUUGCAUUUUUGUUGUUUCUGGAAUUUGAGUUUUUUGCAGGAUGAAAACAGAACACUUAAUCUGCAGGUAAACACUUGAUUUGUUAUUUCCAAGCUUUUCACGACUUUCGAUACCCAAUAGAGAAUAUGGAAACCCCAACUUUAAUUUUAUGAAUUUGUUUUGGUGCCUAAAAUGAAAUCUAGCAUAGUGAAAUCUUGCAUAAUGAAAUUAUGACAAAUUUCCCUUCAUCUUUACAUUUUCAUUUAGUUCAAAUCGUAUGGUUUAGGGUUAUUCAAUUCAUGAGUGAUCAAAUUAGGUUUUUAAUUCCUUCUUCUUUUGAUUUUCAGUUCAGCAUUGUCGUAUUUUGGAUGCCUUUAGUGGAAUAAAACUGAAUUUUUUUAACUUUGUAUAGUUGUAAACAUAAAAUACUCCAUGAGAUAGACUCAUAACUUUUGAAAACAAUCUUUGAGGAGGGCAUAACAACAUCUCCAACUUUUGUCAUGUAAUGUAUGAAUGUAAAUAGCACUUUGUAAACAUAUGUAUGUAAUAUAUGUAUAUAAACACCACUCUUUAGCAUAUAUAUUUUUCAAAACUUUCUACAUCUUCAACAAUGUUUCAAGCCCCGCGGCAACGGGCGGGUACACUUGCUAGUAUACAUCUAAAAUUAUAAGACUAAAUCCUUUAGUUCUUGGAUUCAUCUAAGAACUACUUAUUCCAGCAGAUGCUAUGCUUGCACUACUAGAAUUUAUGGCUUGCCCUGUCAACUAUUGCGCGACAGAAGAUUUCGUCGGUUUCACCUUUUUUAACCGACAGAAUAUAAGUUUAGUAGGGCAAAAUCAGUCAACAAACUGGGUUGAUUGAAUAAAUUUACAGGAUGGCUAGAGUUCGUAGGUUAAGACAUCGGUCGUUGGGCAAACAUUUGGAGCGAAGAUGUGAGUGUUUUAACUGACGAAUAAGCUGGUCGUCAUGUAGAUCUUCUUUCCCGACGGACGGUUCAACAGGUAGCUCUUUGGAUAAUAAUUCAUCUUCAAGGGGAACAGGUUGCCCCUCAGAUGAAUGGUUAGAGGCAAUUGUGAGACUAUAAUUUUCUAGGGCCGGAAUAAAAAAUACAUAAACCCUCACCUAUUCUGUCUCUGUAACCAUCCACCAAAUACCCAUUUUUCCCUUUCUAUUUCUCUCCUAGUAAUUUCCCCUGACCGAAUCACACAAUCCAACCAACUCUCUUUAAGCCUCCCUCACUGAUUCCAUGGAUUUCAUGGACUUAUCCCACCCUCUCUCCUUCCUUCUAUAUAUAGCAAGUCCCCUUGCCUCAGUGUCCCUGGCAACAGAAUUUAUGGCGUUUCUUCGUUCUUUCAAUUAUUUGAAAGCUUCCCUGCCCUGCAAUCUUGUAUAAAGGCGUAUGGUGUUUCAUCAGUUCCAUUUGGUGGUCGGGUGGGAAAUGAAAUUAAAACACUGCAUUUCAAAUGCAUUUCAAAUGGUCUAAACCAAAUUGAAUCAAAUGUGAAGCAAAGGGCAAGAGGUGUAGAUUGAAGAACAAUGGCACCAAGAGCGAAAUUGAACUUGUUGACAGGAGGAAACCAAGUAAGGAUAACACGUCUAAAUCUUAUUUUGAAUCCAUUCAGCUCAUGAUGUUUUGAAUGAUGAUGAUCGGUAUACUCUGCUACAUGCUGUGAUUUUUCCGCUUUCAUGUAAUUAACGGCUUAUAUUUGUGGUAACCAUAUUGAUUAAAAAAGGUCGUACCCAGUGCACAAGGCUCCCGCUUUACGCAGGGUCUGAAAGGUGAAUGUCGGCUAGCCUUACCCCCAUUUUAUGGAGAGGCUGCUCCAAAGUCUCAAACCCAAGACCUACCGCUCAUGGGCGAAGACACUUGCCAUCGCACCAAGUGCGAUAUUGAUUAAUUUCGAGAAAUGACAGUCUAAUUUUUGCAACUGUCUUUUGCAGGCAAAACAAAGACGUUUGCAAGGGUGAGUUGUGUAGGAGCUUUGUUUCAUGUCCAAAGGACACUUGAGAAUAAAUGUUUACACUCAUGGAUAAUAUCUAUCUAUUUGCAGGAGUAACCCUGGGUUCAUUUGUUCUGUAACUGCUGGUCAUUGCGGCAUAUCACGCCUAUAGCACUGACAAAAGUAAAAAGAGAAUCGAAUGAAAUUUGAUAAGUUUUCAGCGGACUACAAAGAUCUUAAGCCAAGCAUAUAUUCCCAUGCAGAUAUUAAGAGGUUUACAAAUCAAUUCAAGUACAAGUUGGGCCAAGGAGCAUACGGAACUAUUUUUAAAGGAAUGCUUUUUUCUGAAUGCUUUGUUGCCAUGAAGUACUUAACAAUGGGCCAUAUUCACCAUGUCAAUGUGGUUCACUUGGUUGGUUUUUGUGCUGAUGGAUUUAGAUGAGCUCUGGUUUAUGAGUUCUUUUCCUUUGGUUCACUCCAGGAUUAUAUUUCAUCAGUAGAUAGAUUUCUUUCCUUGGUUGGCAUAAGUUACAAGAUAUUGCUAUCAGCAUAGCCAAAGGAACCAAGGAUGUGAUCUACAAAUCCUCCAUUUCGAUAUCAAACCCCAUAAUGUUUUGCUCAACCAAAAAAUCACGCCAAAAAUCUCUGAUUUUGGUCUGGCCAAGUUAUGUUCCAAGGAUCAAUCGGCGUGACUAAAGCAAGGGGGACUAUGUGACUAAAGCACCCGAAGUGUUUUCCAGGAAUUUCGGAAAUGUGUCUUACAAGGCAGAUGUCUUGAAUGCUGCUGCUUGAGAUGGUAGGAGAAAAGAAGAAUAUUGGUUCAACCAGAGGACACGACAAAUGAAAUCUACUAUCCAAAAUGGAUUUAUAAUCUUCUAGAGGAAGGAAAUGACCAACAGAUCCCUAUUGAGGAAGAAUGUUAUGGUAAGAUUCCAAAGCAACUUGCAAGUUUAGGGCUCUGGUGCAGCCAGUGACACUCAGUGGAUCGGCGGUCCAUGAAAACGGUGGUUCGGAUGUUAGGAGGAGGAGAAAACUUGAUGAUGCAAGCAACCCUAAAAGCCUCAUACAGUUAGAAGCAAUUGCUGAAUUAGAGUAACAUACGUAUAUGUAUACGCACCAACACAAGUCGUUCUUAGAUGAAUCCAAGCCAAACAAUUACAGACAAUAGUUAUUCACUAAAUCACUUUAAGGCAAGAAUUUAAUUAAUAAUACAUUACUGCACUUUCUUAACCAUUUGACUAUCACCUAGCUGACAAUGAACACGUUAGCUCCGCGUUAGAACAUCUUGGGUUCAAUUCAUUGUCUUGAAUAUCACCCACUGUCACAGGCGUCUUUUGGGGGCAUAGAGAAGGCCUGAGAGGCAUUUGCAGACAUUCAACAUCUCCUCCAAGCAUUUUGACAACUUUGGACAUCGAAGGGCGAUCACUUGGUUUCAUUUGAAUACACCACAAGGCGGUUAUAACCAUCUUUCUUAUUACUUUCUUUUCCUCCUCUGUAACAUUGUCCAUUUCCAAGUCAUUUCCUACAAUAUACUGAUCGUAUACCCACAUUGGGAAGUAGAUUUGGCUUGAAUGCUCUACCGUUGGAUUCAAAUUCCUCCUUCUGCUUGCCAUUUCCAUCAACAACAUUCCAAAACUAUAGACAUCUGACUUAUAUGAGACGCCUCCAAUAUUUUUGUAGAACAACUCAGGAGCAAUAUAUCCCAGUGUACCCCGUGCUGCUGUCAAAGAGACAAUGCUAUUAUCUACAUGAUACAAUUUUGCAAGCCCAAAGUCAGAAACCUUUGCUUUAAAGUUCUCAUCAAGAAGGAUGUUAUGAGGCUUGAUGUCGAAAUGUAGAAUUUGCAUUUCGCAACCUUGGUGUAGAUAUUCGAUCCCUUGAGCCACUCCAAGAGAAAUCUCGUACAUGUUCUUGAUAGUUAAGGGGACACUUCCUUCUUUGGAAUAAAUGUAUUUAUCAAGAGAACCAUUAGGCAUGAAGUCAUAGACUAGAGCGCGUUUUGAUCCCUCAACAUAGUAUCCAACAAGUUGCACCACAUUGGCAUGGUGAAUCCUUCCGAUUGUAGCUAAUUCGCUAAUGAAAUCUUGGCCAUCAGCUUUGGGCUUGGCCAAAACUUUAACUGCUACAAAUCGACCACUGCGUAGCUUUCCCUUAAAUACAGAGCCAAAGCCACCUUUGCCCAACUUGUCCUUAAACUUGCGAGUCAUUUUCUUGACGUCCGAGUAAGAGUACCUUAUAGGCAUGAAGUUGUUAUUGCAUUGCAGAAAAUCUUCUAUUGUGCUAUACAUUGAUAAAUGUCUUCUGCGCCAUGUGUAGAUUAGAAAUGCAGUCACAAUUGGAACUCCAAAAACAAAUCUGGCUAGGAAAAAUAACCCUACAUGCAUUGACAUUAAUAUGUUAGAUCCACUGCGUACUACUUUUUCUUCCCUUUCUUUCCAAAUUACUUUGUCUUUGAUGUAAUUAAAGAGAGAAUGGGAAAUGUACAUAUGUUGAUAAUACAAUCUCGUCUUAGUCCUUACCGAUGCAUAUGAGUAUAAACCAUACACGUACUGCAACAAAAUCAAUCGACUAUGAGUUUGAAAAGUGCAUAAAGUGAAAAAAAAAUAAAAAAAAUCAAAGGGUGCCUUUAUUGACAUCCAAAUUUUAGUUAGUUUUACUCAACUAAAAAAUUUUUGUCAUCAAACUUUUUAAUUUGCCGUCGAAAUUGAGUUCACCCAACCCACAAAGCAGCAACUACCACUCACCAAAAAAACCAACAACACACAGCCACCAGUACCAUUCACCAAUAGAAAGAGAAGGAACACACAGACCCACCAAGGAGCCGGCAUCGACGCGUCUACGAGGGAGGGACCGGAGGGUGGUGUAGUUUUGUUGGGCGCGCGGUAGUGGUUUUGUCUGUUCAUUUUCUCUUUGUUUUGGUAGGUGGAGGCUGGUGUGGAUUUGGGCGAACUUAAAAAUGAGGGGAAACUAUGAAGUUUGACAAAAUGUUUUAGUUAGGUGAACUUCACUAAAAUUUGGGUGCCGAUAAAGAUACCCAAAAUCAAAAGACUAGAUGGACUAAUUAAAUGAAGCUCUUACCCAUAUAUAACGAUGGACGCAACUUGCCAGCUGCUGCAGUACAUACCACGGAAAAGUGAGCAAAGACAUACAGUUACUAGGUUUAAGAAGUACAGAUAGAGCACACAAAAAAUAAAAGAAGCUUUUGGGAAGAAACUUCUUACGCAAAUAGAUUUUUUUCAUGACCUACAGUAAAAAAAUGUCAAGAAGAAUACACAACAUUAGCAAUAGCUCACCCAGUCUUCAAAAUUUAAAAAAUCAAGUUUGUCGAUCGAAAACUUGUAAAUAAAACAAAAAGAGGACCCCUUACCGAUUUGUUGCCAUAGAUAUUGAAAGAAACCUACAAGAACAAAGAAAGAACAAGACCACAUGCAUUAGAAUAACAAGUGUGAGGUGUAUAAGCCGUUAGAAAAUAAAUUUAAAAUUCUAGUGCUGUCAAUACAUUGAUAAUAUAUAUAUAUAUAUAUAUAUAUAUAUAUAUAUGUAUGUAUGUAUUAUUUUUUCUGAAAAUUUAACUUUUCCCGUCCAAACUCAUUUUUCUAGUCUCUAGCCCAACAUAUAAUAUUUAUCUGAAUAAAACCAAAUGAUUAGGAUCCAACUAAGAAACUUACCAAAUUAAGUUUGUGUGUCCAUUUUUAUAUUUUUUGGAUCCCUAAUAUACCCCAUCUAAGCCAGUAUGGAAAGGUCUUGUAAUUUUGCUUUAAGUGAUUACGUGCAUUGAAUUUGGCAAGGUCUUAUAGCCAUGAAAUAUGGUUCUAGAUGGAGGAAUUAAUUUGGAAUUUUUUUUAAUUUCGACAACAAAUUUCAAUUUGAAUAUACCUAAUUUAGUGUUUAUUUUCAACAAUAAAUGUGCCUACUUUUUAAAUUUGUAACAAAAUUAAUUUACCUACUUUUUAUGGUAUUAGUGACACACCCUGUCCCGAAGGAGGGCAUGCUGGCCGUCACGAGAGAGUGACGUAACCAUUUGCACAGUACGGAAGCUUUAAGAUACAAUUUAUAAGUUGAUACACCCGAAGGUGAGUCCUAAUUUUUGUCCAAUCUGUCAGAACACCGUCAAAUUCCUCGUAGUCACCACACCUUUGUGAUUCCUGAACCUGGAGGGGCGCAAAACCAAAAUUGAGUGGGUCAGUAAAACAAUUCUUUUCCAAAUCCAAACAUUUCUCAAAACGUUGUAACCCUCUCCGUAAAACUUGUAUACUUUCCCAGAAAUGUAAAAUAUAAAUAUACAUAUAUAUUCUCAAACUUCAUUUUUACUAUCUCAACAUUUUUCUUUAUCAAACAUGCCAUGCCAUGUCUAAUUCAACAGUUAAGUAUGGAUGCAUCAACAAUAAUCAUAUCAGGUGCAAGAAAGUAAUCAACCGGAGGCCCUCUAAUAGCCCUGUACGGUUGAACCUAGAGCUCAAAAUCUAUCACUCUCACUCUGCCGGGAGUCACCUCUGUGACCUGUCCGGCCUUCUGCACACAAGUUACGCUCUAGUGCUUUCUCAUCAAUCAUCUGUGCACAUAAUCUAAGGUCACCCACCAGUCGAAAUCUCACUAACACUCUUCGACUGGCCCGUCGCACCCACUCCGCGUGGACUGUGCGACCAGCAUCUACUUGGAUCCAAGGCGAGCGUGCGAUGCGGUGAAUACUAUAAGCACUAAACCAUGGUGCAGGAUUUGAGCUCAAUAUAUAUCAACAUCAUCAUAACAGUACUUAAAUACUCACCUGAUACUCACCUGUGCGUCCGCCGCACCAAUUCAUACAUAUGCAUCAUAUUUCAAUUCAUAUCAUUUCAUGCAUGGCAAUUCGAUUCACAUUUCUAUAUACAUUUCAUAUACUUCUAUGCAUGACCUUUCAAUUCACGUUUUCAUAUAAUUCUAUAUACCUUUCAUUUAAAACAUAAUUUCAUUCUAAUUCAAUUUCUGGGAAAACGUCAAGUAUAUAUAUACGGAAAACAAAACUGCCCACUCACCUGGAGUUCGUCCAACAACUCCCUAGCACCACACAUCAAGGCGUCAUGACGAUCGCCGUCUAGAACAGUAAUCAAAUCCAGCCUCAGAAUUCAUAUCGAUAGAACAUAUAACUUAUAUAAAAUAUGUCACUACGUAGAUCGAUCCGGAAGAUCUGCCACUCAGAUUUUAAAUCCAUAACUUCCAGAGGUCCACAAUAUAUCUCUAGGAUAACAUCCUAAAAUUUCAUUACCAUCCAACGGUCGGAUCUCCGUCAAUUUCCAAAACUAAGUGACGGUUAACAUUUUAUUUUAUGAACUUACAAUUCUAAUUCCGGAAGAUCCGUAACUCGGAUUCCCAAUCCGUAAGUUCCAAUAAUCCUCAAAUAUUACGUAUUACAACGUAUCAAAGUUUGGUAACGAUCCAACGGUCGGAUCAUCAAUUCACAUUUUCACCUAAUGCGAAAACUAUAAAACGUUAUUCGAACACCUAACCAACAAUCCUUAAUAACUUUCUCAUACGGUGUUCAAUUUGGGUAUAUGAAUAUACCACAGUGAUCUACUCAUUAAAAUAAUUUUUUACUGUAGCACGCGCCCCCACGCGCCAAGGAAGGCACGGACCUACGCGCCCCCACGCGCACCUUCUUCUUCCUUGGGUCGCCGGACUGGUUUUUCCGGCGGCCGUUUUUCAAAUUGCCAUAACUUUGUCAUUUCUCAACGAAAUCAAGUGAUUCAAAAACGAAAGUUGUAGCCCUUGAAGAGACAAAGAGAAUGGUACCUUGCACAACACCUAGUUCGCCGUGGUUUGGCCGGAAACUGCUUCGAAAGCCUCGGAGGUCGCCAGAAACUGGGUAUUUUUCAAAUCAGUAUAACUUCUUCAAUACUCAACGAAAUUGAGUGAAACAAAAAGGAAAGUUGUAGUACUUGACGAGACGAAGAGAUUGAUACCUACCUCGACUCCUAACUCACCGGAUAUUCGCCGGAAAAUGCCUCGAAAGCUCCGGCCAAACUUUGAACUUGUCGAUCUCCGUGUUCUUACAUCCAAAAACUUCCAACGAAGCACUCCGAGCUUCCUUGGGACCUCACUAAGCUCGCUAUGAUCUUGUUUUAGCCUAAAACGUAGUCAUUUAGAAGAUCAUGAACAAUACCAUUUCACGGGAACUUUGAAACUAGGGUUUUCCGAAGCAAAACUUACCUGAAAUGGAUACCAUCGUGAUCGUGGAGGUUCCAGGAGUUUGAUGGUGGUCUUAACUCUGUCGUUGGUGGAAGUUUAAGGUUGUUUUGUGGUUGGUUUGUUCGAACGGAGAAGAAGAGUGACAGAGAGAGUGAGAGAGUCGUGAGGGAAGAGAGAGAGAGACAGCAUGCAGAAAAUAGGGAGAGGAUUGAGGGGUGUGGGGAUCCCACGUGGUCCUUUUCCAAUCCCCAACUCCAAACCAUAAAAUUUUAACCUAAAAAUCUAAGUUCAAUCCUUAAUAAAUUCCAUUUUAUUUUCAAAACUUAGGAACCUAGAUAAUUAUCAACUUGAGCUUCACAUACUUAGUAUUUCUUAAGGGCAAUUUCGUUCAUUCACAGCCACGAAUGUAAUAUUUUGGAACGGGCUGUGACAAUUAGUAUACAUAAAUGUAGAAUAUAUGUCCGUAUAUAUUUGAUCCAAUUAGUAUUAGGGAGAAUGACAAGUCAUCCAAGUCUGCUACUGUUAAUAAUUCUGUUACUGUAAAUUAACUGAUUGUAUUAGUUGUGAUUAGUUAAGAUAGUUAUAAAGUAGUUAGGGGUAUCUAUGUAAAUAGCCAAAGGCUAUAUAUAUUCCUACACAAUGUGUAAAGUUCUCAGUCAAGUAAAUACAAUCAAGAAAACUUACUGUUGAAGUUUUCUGUUUCUACAUGGUAUCACGCCAUUCCGCUUCACAGCUUCGAUCUUUCUCUUCGCUUGCUGCAUCGAUCGACUCUUGAUCGAUUUUUCUUCUCUGAUCUUCUCUUCGCUUGCUGCAUCGAUCGACUCAUGAUCGAUUUUUCUUCUCUGAUCGUCACUUCUUCCCUUCCGAUCUUGUAGUAUUUUCUUGAUUUCUGUCAGUAAUGGCGGCUCAAUCGACUGGUUCAUCUUCUCCGGUCAUCUCCCCCUCGAGCCCAAACCCUAAUUUUCUCUGGAAACCCUAAUUCCUCUGGAAAUCCGAGUCCUCUGACUUCCUACACUUCUCUCUCACAAUUCAUAACAUCGGCAGCAUGGUGCCGAUCAAGCUCAAAAGAUCCAAUUACCUACCAUGGCGCGCCCUGUUUGGCCCGAUUUUCCGGCGAUACAAGCUUCUUGGAGUAAUCGAUGGUACUGACGUCUGUCCAUCGCCAUUUCUGCCUGAUCGUAGCAUCAAUCCUGCUUUUGAGGACUGGUAUGAGAAAGAUCAAAAUCUUUUUGAUCUGGUUGAAUUCCACACUUUCUGAGGAAAUCAUCCCGUUCACGGUUGGGGUUUCAUCCUCUCGAGAACUUUGGGUAAAGCUUGAACAGCGCUUUGGUGGAAUUUCAGAGGCUCAUAUCCAUCAGUUGCGAUCGCGCCUUCAAUCUGUUCAGAAAGGAUCGCGUUCUAUCUCUGACUAUCUUCAAGAACUCAAGGAAAUUUCAGAUUCUCUGCAAGCUGCUGGUGCUUCUGUCUCUGAUCGAGAUCUUAUCGCCGCCACACUACAUGGCUUGCCUGAUGAAUUUGAGUCUUUCAUCGACUGUAUCAUGCUCCGAUUGUCCUCUACCUCUCUGAUGAACUUCAUGGCCUCCUUCUCACAAAGGAAUUGUCUAUGGCCAGACGCAAAACUGUCAGUUCAUCUCCUGUCCCUGAAUCUUUUCAGGCUUUCUCGGUGCAGUCUCAGCCUCAUCUCCUUCCUACUCCAUCUGCUUUUGCUGCUCAGAAUCUCCCUCUUCAAUCUGCAUCUCGGUUCAACUCUAAUCGUGGCAGGAACACUAAGGGCCAGUUCUUUUCCAAUCGAGGUCAUCGAGGUAAUCGUGGUAAUUUUCCUAAUAAACCGUGGCAAUCGAGGUUAUCAAGGAUUUCGCAGCAAUCAAGGCUCUUCUCACUUCAAAGUGCUUUGUCAAAUCUGUGGUUCUACCAGUCAUGAGGCUAUUGACUGCUUUGAUCGUAUGAAUCCUGACAUCUUGUGGUCGUAUUCCUCCAGCUAAGCUUGCUGCCAUGUGUGCCACAACAUUCUGCUAAACCAUCUCAGCCUUGGUUAAUUGAUUCAGGGGCAACCUCUCAUAUCACUAAUGAUGUUGCUAACCUCACCUCUCCUACUCCCUACACUGGCGAGGAUUAAAGUGUAUAUUGGAGAUGGUAAAGGUUUAUCCAUCCUCAAUGUUGGUUCAUCUACUCUGCACACCUCUCAUAAUUCUUUUCAAUUGCGAAAUGUUUUACAUGUUCCCCACAUAACCCAUAAUCUUAUCUGCUUAUCAGUUUUGUUAAUGAUAAUAAUUGUUCAUUGACACUUGACCCUUAUGGAUCCUAUGUCAAGGAUCGUAUUUCGGGGAAGAUGCUUUUACGGGGACCGGUUAGAGAUGGCUUCUAUCCUCUUCAAAGUUCCAGCAAUCUUCAUCCUCUUUCACAUACCGCUUUACUUAGUAUUAAAGCUCCAGUUACAAUUUGGCACAAGCGUUUGGGUCACCCUUCCUCCUCCAUUUUUAGAAGGCUCCUUUCAUCCAAUAAUCUUGCUUUACAAGGCAAGUCUACUGUGGACUUUUUCUGUUCGGAUUGUGCUCUUGCCAAGAAUCAUAAGCUUCCAUUUAAAGCUGCUACUUCAUCAUCAACUCACAGCCUUCAACUACUGCACUGUGAUCUGUGGGGACCUGCCUCAAUCACAUCAAGUAGUGGUUUUCAAUAUUAUUUGCUCAUUGUUGAUGACUAUAGCAAAUAUAGUUGGUUCUUUCCUUUGAAAUCUAAGUCAGAUGUAUUUUCUACAUUUGUUGUCUUCAAAUCAUAUGUAGAAAAUUCACUUGGAAAUAAAAUAAAGGUUCUGCGUUCAGAUUCAGGGGGUGAAUUUACUAGUCACUCUUUUGCAUCAUAUCUCAGCAAACAUGGCAUUCUUCAUCAGUUCAGUUGUCCCCACACCCCUGAGCAAAAUGGUUGUGCAGAAAGAAAGCACAGGCACCUUGUUGAAAACAGCUCGCACUUUGCUUCUUGCAUUCUCAUGUCCCUCAUAUUUUCUGGGUUGAAGCAUUCUCCACUGCUAUCUAUCUUAUUAAUCGCCUUCCUAUUUCUGGCAUUUCACAGUCCCCUUGGCAGUUGCUAUUUCACAACCAUCCAGACUACUCUAAGCUCAAAGUAUUUGGUUGCCAAUGCUUUCCUUGGCUCAAACCUUACUUUCAUAGCAAAUUGGAUCCCAAGAGCAAAAAGUGUGUUUUCUUGGGGUAUAGUCUUCAACACAAAGGCUAUAGGUGCCUUGAUCCUAUCACCAAUCGCAUCUACAUCUCUCGUCAUGUCUGUAUUCGAUGAAAGUACUUAUCCAUUUCAGUUGUCCCACAUUCAACACUCUUUUCCUGUUCCAAGUCCUCCAUCUUCCUCACCAACAAUUUCUUCCUCUCUGGAUCUUCAUUUUUUAGCAAACACAUUCCUCCUGUUUUCAGUCAGCCAUCUACAUCACCAUUAUGUGCUUCUGUGCCUGUUCCUAUUUCUUCAUCUUCAUCUUCCCCUGCACCUGUCUCAGUUGGCUCUUCUUUCCAGUUUUGUUCCUCCUUCAGCACAUUCAUCUUUCUCCCAAAAUCAACAGAGUCAUCCUCCUGCCCCUGUUAAUUCUCAUCCAAUGAUUACUAGAUCCAAGGCUGGUAUACUCACGUCGAGAGCCUGUGCAGCAACUAAGCACCCACUUCCGGUUGAUAUGGAUUAUGUUCCUACAACAUACUUGCAAGCUUCUAAGCAUGCUCAUUGGAGGCAAGCUAUGCAAGAUGAAUUUAAUGCCUUGCUAACCACUGGUUACUUUGGUCUCUUGUUCCUUCUCACCAUUCUCAAAACUUAGUGGGCUGCAAGUGGGUUUUCCGGAUUAAGAAGAAGCCCGAUGGCACUGUUGACAGAUAUAAAGCCCGGCUUGUGGCCAAGGGUUUUCAUCAACAAGAAGGUAUUGACUUUUCAAGAAAACCUUCAGUCCAGUUGCCAAACCGGUUACAAUUCGGAUCCUUCUUACCCUUUGCUGUGCAAUAUAAUUGGUUUCUCAAUCAAUUGGACAUUAGUAAUGCCUUUCUUCAUGGAGACUUAAAGAGAGGAUGUCUACAUGCAACAACCCCCUGGUUUUGUUGAUCCCUUUACCCUACAUUUUGUAAGUUGAGGAAAUCGUUGUAUGGUCUCAAACAAGCUCCUCGAGCUUGGUUUGAUAAACUGUUCCAAGCUCUUCCUCUCUUGGAUUCACCCAAUCAUCCUCAGAUGCUUCUUUAUUUGUUCUCAAUGGUCCUCAGUUUAGUCAUUGUCCUUGUCUAUGUUGAUGACAUUCUUGUCACCGGACCCUAUCCUUACCUCUGUCAACACUUCAUUCAGCAACUUGGGGCUCAAUUUCCAGUAAAAGACCUUGGUCCUCUUCAUUAUUUCUUGGGAUUAGAAGUACAUCGAUCUUCCCAGGGUAUAUUUCUCCAUCAAACAAAGUACUUAUUGGAUCUUCUCAAGAAAACAAAUAUGGAGGGUGCAAAACCUUGUUGUACUCCCCUUGGCUCUAAGAAAUUAGAUCACAGUGGCCCUCUUCUGUCCAAUCCUACUGAAUAUCGCUCCAUUGUUGGUGGUUUACAAUAUCUUACUUGGACUAGACCCGACCUUGCUUUUGCUGUGAACCAAAUCUGCCAAUUCAUGCAUGCUCCCAGGGAACAACAUCUCCAGGCAGCAAAAAGGGUUCUCAGAUUUCUCAAAGGCUCUAUCUCACAUGGUGUGUGGUUCACUAAAGGCCCUGUCCAUCUUUCUGCCUACUCGGAUGCCGACUGGGCUGGUUGCACAAUUGACAGGAGAUCAACCACUGGUUAUUGUGUAUUUUUGGGUUCCAAUCUUAUCAGCUGGAGUGCCAAGAAGCAAAGUACUGUUGCCAAGGUCCUCUACAGAGGCUGAAUAUCGCUCCUUAGCUCACACAGCUGCUGAGAUAACUUGGGUUUGCAGAUUCUCAAAGAUCUGCACUAUCCUCUCUCUUACAUUCCCUACUUUUGGUGUGACAACAUAUCAGCAAUAUCUUUAGCAUCUAAUCCUGUCUUUCAUGCUCGAACAAAGCAUGUUGAGAUCGAUUAUCNGAAGUUUUCUGUUUUCUACAUGGUAUCACGCCAUUCCGCUUCACAGCUUCGAUCUUUCUCUUCGCUUGCUGCAUCGAUCGACUCUUGAUCGAUUUUUCUUCUCUGAUCUUCUCUUCGCUUGCUGCAUCGAUCGACUCAUGAUCGAUUUUUCUUCUCUGAUCGUCACUUCUUCCCUUCCGAUCUUGUAGUAUUUCUUGAUUUCUGUCAGUAAUGGCGGCUCAAUCGACUGGUUCAUCUUCUCCGGUCAUCUCCCCCUCGAGCCCAAACCCUAAUUUCUCUGGAAACCCUAAUUCCUCUGGAAAUCCGAGUCCUCUGGACUUCCUACACUUCUCUCACAAUUCAUAACAUCGGCAGCAUGGUGCCGAUCAAGCUCAAAAGAUCCAAUUACCUACCAUGGCGCGGCCCUGUUUGGCCCGAUUUUCCGGCGAUACAAGCUUCUUGGAGUAAUCGAUGGUACUGACGUCUGUCCAUCGCCAUUUCUGCCUGAUCGUAGCAUCAAUCCUGCUUUUGAGGACUGGUAUGAGAAAGAUCAAAAUCUUUUGAUCUGGUUGAAUUCCACACUUUCUGAGGAAAUCAUCCCGUUCACGGUUGGGGUUUCAUCCUCUCGAGAACUUUGGGUAAAGCUUGAACACAGCGCUUUGGUGGAAUUUCAGAGGCUCAUAUCCAUCAGUUGCGAUCGCGCCUUCAAUCUGUUCAGAAAGGAUCGCGUUCUAUCUCUGACUAUCUUCAAGAACUCAAGGAAAUUUCAGAUUCUCUGCAAGCUGCUGGUGCUUCUGUCUCUGAUCGAGAUCUUAUCGCCGCCACACUACAUGGCUUGCCUGAUGAAUUUGAGUCUUUCAUCGACUGUAUCAUGCUCCGAUUGUCCUCUACCUCUCUUGAUGAACUUCAUGGCCUCCUUCUCACAAAGGAAUUGUCUAUGGCCAGACGCAAAAACUGUCAGUUCAUCUUCCUGUCCCUGAAUCUUUUCAGGCUUUCUCGGUGCAGUCUCAGCCUCAUCUCCUUCCUACUCCAUCUGCUUUUGCUGCUCAGAAUCUCCCUCUUCAAUCUGCAUCUCGGUUCAACUCUAAUCGUGGCAGGAACACUAAGGGCCAGUUCUUUUCCAAUCGAGGUCAUCGAGGUAAUCGUGGUAAUUUUCCUAAUAACCGUGGCAAUCGAGGUUAUCAAGGAUUUCGCAGCAAUCAAGGCUCUUCUCACUUCAAAGUGCUUUGUCAAAUCUGUGGUUCUACCAGUCAUGAGGCUAUUGACUGCUUUGAUCGUAUGAAUCCUGACAUCUGUGGUCGUAUUCCUCCAGCUAAGCUUGCUGCCAUGUGUGCACAACAUUCUGCUAAACCAUCUCAGCCUUGGUUAAUUGAUUCAGGGGCAACCUCUCAUAUCACUAAUGAUGUUGCUAACCUCACCUCUCCUACUCCCUACACUGGCGAGGAUAAAGUGUAUAUUGGAGAUGGUAAAGGUUUAUCCAUCCUCAAUGUUGGUUCAUCUACUCUGCACACCUCUCAUAAUUCUUUUCAAUUGCGAAAUGUUUUACAUGUUCCCCACAUAACCCAUAAUCUCUUAUCUGCUUAUCAGUUUGUUAAUGAUAAUAAUUGUUCAUUGACACUUGACCCUUAUGGAUCCUAUGUCAAGGAUCGUAUUUCGGGGAAGAUGCUUUUACGGGGACCGGUUAGAGAUGGCUUCUAUCCUCUUCAAAGUUCCAGCAAUCUUCAUCCUCUUUCACAUACCGCUUUACUUAGUAUUAAAGCUCCAGUUACAAUUUGGCACAAGCGUUUGGGUCACCCUUCCUCCUCCAUUUUUAGAAGGCUCCUUUCAUCCAAUAAUCUUGCUUUACAAGGCAAGUCUACUGUGGACUUUUUCUGUUCGGAUUGUGCUCUUGCCAAGAAUCAUAAGCUUCCAUUUAAAGCUGCUACUUCAUCAUCAACUCACAGCCUUCAACUACUGCACUGUGAUCUGUGGGGACCUGCCUCAAUCACAUCAAGUAGUGGUUUUCAAUAUUUAUUUGCUCAUUGUUGAUGACUAUAGCAAAUAUAGUUGGUUCUUUCCUUUGAAAUCUAAGUCAGAUGUAUUUUCUACAUUUGUUGUCUUCAAAUCAUAUGUAGAAAAUUCACUUGGAAAUAAAAUAAAGGUUCUGCGUUCAGAUUCAGGGGGUGAAUUUACUAGUCACUCUUUUGCAUCAUAUCUCAGCAAACAUGGCAUUCUUCAUCAGUUCAGUUGUCCCCACACCCCUGAGCAAAAUGGUUGUGCAGAAAGAAAGCACAGGCACCUUGUUGAAACAGCUCGCACUUUGCUUCUUGCAUCUCAUGUCCCUCAUAUUUUCUGGGUUGAAGCAUUCUCCACUGCUAUCUAUCUUAUUAAUCGCCUUCCUAUUUCUGGCAUUUCACAGUCCCCUUGGCAGUUGCUAUUUCACAACCAUCCAGACUACUCUAAGCUCAAAGUAUUUGGUUGCCAAUGCUUUCCUUGGCUCAAACCUUACUUUCAUAGCAAAUUGGAUCCCAAGAGCAAAAAGUGUGUUUUCUUGGGGUAUAGUCUUCAACACAAAGGCUAUAGGUGCCUUGAUCCUAUCACCAAUCGCAUCUACAUCUCUCGUCAUGUUGUAUUCGAUGAAAGUACUUAUCCAUUUCAGUUGUCCCACAUUCAACACUCUUUUCCUGUUCCAAGUCCUCCAUCUUCCUCACCAACAAUUUCUUCCUCUCUGGAUCUUCAUUUUAGCAAACACAUUCCUCCUGUUUUCAGUCAGCCAUCUACAUCACCAUUAUGUGCUUCUGUGCCUGUUCCUAUUUCUUCAUCUUCAUCUUCCCCUGCACCUGUCUCAGUUGGCUCUUCUUCCAGUUUUGUUCCUCCUUCAGCACAUUCAUCUUUCUCCCAAAAUCAACAGAGUCAUCCUCCUGCCCCUGUUAAUUCUCAUCCAAUGAUUACUAGAUCCAAGGCUGGUAUACUCACGUCGAGAGCCUGUGCAGCAACUAAGCACCCACUUCCGGUUGAUAUGGAUUAUGUUCCUACAACAUACUUUGCAAGCUUCUAAAGCAUGCUCAUUGGAGGCAAGCUAUGCAAGAUGAAUUUAAUGCCUUGCUAACCACUGGUUACUUGGUCUCUUGUUCCUUCUCACCAUUCUCAAAACUUAGUGGGCUGCAAGUGGGUUUUCCGGAUUAAGAAGAAGCCCGAUGGCACUGUUGACAGAUAUAAAGCCCGGCUUGUGGCCAAGGGUUUUCAUCAACAAGAAGGUAUUGACUUUCAAGAAAACCUUCAGUCCAGUUGCCAAACCGGUUACAAUUCGGAUCCUUCUUACCCUUGCUGUGCAAUAUAAUUGGUUUCUCAAUCAAUUGGACAUUAGUAAUGCCUUUCUUCAUGGAGACUUAAAGGAGGAUGUCUACAUGCAACAACCCCCUGGUUUUGUUGAUCCCUUACACCCUACAUCUGUUUGUAAGUUGAGGAAAUCGUUGUAUGGUCUCAAACAAGCUCCUCGAGCUUGGUUUGAUAAACUGUUCCAAGCUCUUCACUCUCUUGGAUUCACCCAAUCAUCCUCAGAUGCUUCUUUAUUUGUUCUCAAUGGUCCUCAGUUUAGUCAUUGUCCUUGUCUAUGUUGAUGACAUUCUUGUCACCGGACCCUAUCCUUACCUCUGUCAACACUUCAUUCAGCAACUUGGGGCUCAAUUUCCAGUAAAAGACCUUGGUCCUCUUCAUUAUUUCUUGGGAUUAGAAGUACAUCGAUCUUCCCAGGGUAUAUUUCUCCAUCAAACAAAGUACUUAUUGGAUCUUCUCAAGAAAACAAAUAUGGAGGGUGCAAAACCUUGUUGUACUCCCCUUGGCUCUAAGAAAUUAGAUCACAGUGGCCCUCUUCUGUCCAAUCCUACUGAAUAUCGCUCCAUUGUUGGUGGUUUACAAUAUCUUACUUGGACUAGACCCGACCUUUGCUUUUGCUGUGAACCAAAUCUGCCAAUUCAUGCAUGCUCCCAGGGAACAACAUCUCCAGGCAGCAAAAAGGGUUCUCAGAUUUCUCAAAGGCUCUAUCUCACAUGGUGUGUGGUUCACUAAAGGCCCUGUCCAUCUUUCUGCCUACUCGGAUGCCGACUGGGCUGGUUGCACAAUUGACAGGAGAUCAACCACUGGUUAUUGUGUAUUUUUGGGUUCCAAUCUUAUCAGCUGGAGUGCCAAGAAGCAAAGUACUGUUGCAAGGUCCUCUACAGAGGCUGAAUAUCGCUCCUUAGCUCACACAGCUGCUGAGAUAACUUGGGUUUGCAAGAUUCUCAAAGAUCUGCACUAUCCUCUCUCUACAUUCCCUACUCUUUGGUGUGACAACAUAUCAGCAAUAUCUUUAGCAUCUAAUCCUGUCUUUCAUGCUCGAACAAAGCAUGUUGAGAUCGAUUAUCACUAUAUUAGAGAAUUGGUUUUGGCUCAACUUCUCAAAGUCAAGUUCAUCUGCAGUGAAGACCAAUUAGCUGAUCUUCACACCAAGUCUCUGUCUAAAACCAGAUUUAAUUAUCUGUGUUCCAAGCUUCCCAUUGGUCUCAUUUCUGAUCCCCCUUCUCGCUUGAGGGGGUGUAUUAGGGAGAAUGACAAGUCAUCCAAGUCUGCUACUGUUAAUAAUUCUGUUACUGUAAAUUAACUGAUUGUAUUAGUUGUGAUUAGUUAAGAUAGUUAUAAAGUAGUUAGGGGUAUCUAUGUAAAUAGCCAAAGGCUAUAUAUAUUCCUACACAAUGUGUAAAGUUCUCAGUCAAGUAAAUACAAUCAAGAAAACUUACUGUUGAAGUUUUCUGUUUCUACAGGUUUUGGAUUGGAGGAGUUGACACAAAAUUAUAAAUAUAUUAAACAAAUUUAUCUAUUCUAAAGUUGGAGGGAAAUUGGCCUGUACAUUGCUACAGUAAUUUUUUUUUACCCAAUUUCACGUUAUUUACAACAAAGCUAUCAGAUUUGGGUUGGGUUGGAGGGUAAUUUGUUAAAAGUUAGGAGGGUAAUUUUGUGCAUAGGGUUUAGGUGCCCUCCUAUACAUGACCCUUGAUUUUACUUUAUUUACACCACUGCCAUCAAAUAUGUGGCUGAAUUGGAGGGUAUUAUUAAAAGUUAGGAGGGUAGUUUGUUCAAGGGGUGAGGGCGACAUUCGCAGACAGAGAGCGAUGGGAGCCAUGGCCAUUGCACAGAGAGAAAGGGAGUGAUGGGGGAAAUUACAGACAGAAAAGGAAGGGAUGGGGGGGAUUUGAUGGAUGGUCACAGAGAGAGAUUGGGUGAGGGAUGUGAGAGGAGAUUACAGAGAGAUAAAUAAAAGGGAGGGAUCGGGGGAUGUGAGGGAUGGUCAGGGAGAGAAAUAGUGAGGGAGGGAGGGAUGGGGGGGCUGAUUUUCGGUUCCUCCUUCCAGAUUUGUUCCGUAAAAACCUGUUGGGUAGAAUUCAAUUUCCUCCCCCUUUCCCCUGAACGAAAAAUUCGAAACCUACAACUCAAAACUCACUCAUUUGUCGUCCCUCCUUGGCUUUCCGCUUUACUCAUCUCCCGGUGGUUCUCUCUCCAUACGAUUCCAUUUCGGUGAGUUCUUCGUUGCCCUCAUGAUUUCCCACUUUUAUUUUUGGGGCGUCCUUAGUCGUCGUUUUUAUCUGGGUUUACUGCAUUGUUGCUUUUAGUUUCUGGAUUUUUAUUUUUUUGGCACUUGGAUGAAUCGUGGUUAAUAAUUUCACAUCAUGGGAUUUUCGCACUUCUGAUGGAAUUGAGCGCGGGGAUUCGGGGUGGGGUUUUACUGAUAAUUUGUCUUCAUUCAAACGAAGGGUUAAAAUUUAUGAGUAUUAACAAAUUUUGUAAAUUAUUCUUAUACAUUUUAUUGAGGGAUCUAAUCGAUUUCUUUCUGUAGUGGGAUUGAAAUUGGGGCUUUGUGGUACUCUCUCUCGCUCACUCUCUCUCCUAUGUGUAUGAAUUGAGUUCUGCAGUGAGUUUGCAGGUGGGCGCGUUCACUAACUAAGCUUUCAAGGGAACCGAUCAACGGUUUGCUUGCUGGGGGAAUUCGGAGACUACCAGUGUAUGAUUUAGUUAUCAUUAAUUUUUUUACUUAAUUUUAUCCAUAUAUAAUAUGUGGGUAAAUUUAGAGGUCGCACUUGGUGCGAUGGCAAGUUCCUUCGCCCAUGAGCGGUAGGUCUCGGGUUCGAGACUUGGGAGCAGCCUCUCCAUAAAUGGGGGUAAGGCUAGCCGACAUUUACCUCUCCCAGACCCUGCGUAAAGCGGGAGCCUUGUGCACUGGGUACGAUCUUUUAUAAUAUGUGGGUAAAUUUAUACUAAACAAUUGUGAUAAGCCAAUAUGCUAUACGACUUUGAAAGCAUUGAUUUUGUGUUUAGUUUGCAUUUUUGCAUUGUGAAUGUUGAAUUUUGUGUUUAAUUUGGAUUUUUGUGUUUGAAUUUGUAGCAUGAUCUUCCGCUGCAGCAUCCAAAUUUUGCAUUUGUAAAUUGUCAAAGAAAAACGAAGUAUGAGGAAAUUAUAGGAGAUUGUGUCGGCUUUGGCCAUGAAGGGUAUCAGCAGCUUGUUCCCCCAUACAGGUGAUUAAUCGCAGUCUGUUCUAUUUGGAUGAGAAAGUGAUUGAAAAAUAUGAUUUUUUAUUUGUUGGUUGAUUUUGUAUAACUCCGCCGUGUAAGUUUAUCUUACAUUGCCGGUCCCAAGCCCGGAUAAAGGAGGAGGGGGAGGGCGUCAGGUAGUCGACAGCUGGCACUCCAUGAUCACGUCGAAUCCUUAUGAAAAUGAAUCCAGAACGAAAUCGCGCUAAAGCUAGGGCGUCACCCAUAAGUGGCGCGCUGUGUGGCCCGAGCACAGUGAUAAGUGAGCAAGGGUCGUUGUAUCUCCAUCGGCACCCGGAUGCAGUGUUAAAUGAGCAAGGGGCUAUAGAAACUUCUUUUCGAACGACUCCACUCAAAGUUGUUUGGGAGCAUAUGCUCCUAUCAACUUUACACGGGACACACAAAAGAAGUACUUUGAUCCUAUUAGACGGGGAAGGGUGAAGAAGCUAGGACAGAAGGGUAGAGUUCAAGAGAGCAAAAUGCGUUUAGGAACGUGGAAUAUAGGAACCUUGAACGGGAAAAUCUAUGGAAGUAGUAGAAGUUAUGGUGAGGAGAAGGAUAAAUAUUAUGUGCCUACAAGAAACUAAGUGGGUUGGUCGUAAGGCAAAGGAUCUAGAAAACUCAGGGUUUAAACUAUGGUAUUCGGGCACAAAUAGAACGAGAAACGGUGUUGGCAUCAUCGUGGACAAGACCUUGACACAAGAUGUUGUAGAUGUCAAGAGGGUAGGAGAUAGAAUCAUGGCAAUCAAGAUUGUAAUAGGACAAGAACUUAUCAAUGUGAUUAGUGCGUACGCACCUCAAGUAGGGUUGGAUACGAGUUCGAAGGAGAAAUUUUGGGAAGACCUUGGAGACUUGGUGCAAGGAAUUGCUCAGACGGAGAAGUUAUUUAUAGGAGGAGAUUUAAAUGGACACGUGGGCAGGGAGACAGGCAACUAUGGAGGUUUUCAUGGUGGCCAUGGUUUUGGGGAGAGAAACGAGGAUGGGGAAGCUAUCUUGGAUUUUGCAAUGGCAUAUGAUCUCUUCUUAGCCAACACCUUCUUUAAGAAGAGAGAAGAACAUGUGAUCACCUACAAGAGUGGGUCGUCAAAAACACAAAUAGAUUUUCUUCUAAUGAGGAAAGGGGAUCGUAUAACUUGUAAGGAUUGCAAAGUUAUACCAGGAGAGAGCGUGGCUAAUCAACAUCGCUUGUUGGUGAUGGAUGUACAUAUCAAAAGAGUGAGAAAAAAGAACAAGACUUGGAAGUGCCCAAGGACUAGAUGGUGGAAUCUAAAAGAAGAAAAACAAGCCAUUUUCAAAGAGAAAGUAAUCACCCAGUGUGUGUGGGAUAGAGAGGGGGAAGCUAACCAAAUGUGGGAUUCCAUGGCUAGUUGUAUCCGAAAAGUAGCAAAAGAGGUAUUAGGAGAGUCCAAGGGCUUUGCCCCACACCAAAAGGAAUCUUGGUGGUGGAAUGAGGAGGUACAAACAAAGGUGAAGGCUAAGAAGGAAUGUUGUAAAGCCUUAUACAAGGAUAGGACCGAUGAAAAUGGUGAAAGGUAUAGAAAAGCGAAGCAAGAGGCGAAGAAAGCUGUGAGAGAAGCUAAGUUAGCGGCUUAUGACGAUAUGUAUAAGCGACUAGAUACCAAAGAAGGAGAGUUGGAUAUCUAUAAACUAGCUAGAGCAAGGGAAAAGAAGACAAGGGACCUAAACCAAGUGAGGUGCAUCAAGGAUGAGGAUGGAAAGGUUCUUGCUACAGAGAACGCGGUUAAAGACAGAUGGAAAGGUUAUUUUCAUAAUCUUUUCAAUGAAGGACAUGAAAGGAGUGCUUCUUUAGGGGAGUUGAGUAACUCAGAAGAGUGUAGAAACUACUCUUUUUAUCGUAGAAUCCGGAAGGAAGAAGUGGUUGUAGCUUUGAAGAAGAUGAAGCAUAGAAAAGCAGUAGGCCCAGACGAUAUACCAAUCGAAGUGUGGAAAGUUUUGGGAGAGACAGGUAUAACAUGGCUCACUGACCUUUUCAAUAGGAUUUUGAAAACGAAGAAGAUGCCAAAUGAGUGGCGAACGAGCACUUUGGUGCCUAUCUACAAGAAUAAGGGCGAUGUACAAAAUUGCAUGAACUAUAGGGGUAUUAAGCUAAUGAGUCAUACAAUGAAGCUCUGGGAGAGAGUCAUUGAGCAUAGAUUGAGGCAAGAGACACGGGUUUCGGACAACCAAUUCGGGUUCAUGCCAGGGCGCUCAACCAUGGAGGCAAUCUAUCUCUUACGAAGAUUGAUGGAAAGAUAUAGAGAUGGGAAAAAGGAUUUACACAUGGUCUUUAUAGAUUUGGAAAAAGCGUAUGAUAGGGUCCCAAGAGACAUUCUUUGGAGGAUUUUAGAGAAGAAAGGAGUACGAGUAGCAUAUAUCCAAGCUAUACAGGAUAUGUAUGAAGGAGCAAAGACUGCCGUAAGAACUCAUGAAGGACAAACCGAAAGCUUUCCCAUAACUGUAGGAUUACAUCAAGGCUCAUCCUUAAGUCCUUACCUUUUUGCGUUGGUAAUGGAUGAGUUAACAGGACAUAUUCAAGAUGAUAUUCCUUGGUGUAUGCUUUUCGCAGACGAUAUAGUGUUGAUAGAUGAAACUCAGGAAGGGGUAAAUGCAAAGCUUAACCUUUGGAGAGAAGUGUUGGAAUCUAAAGGUCUUCGCCUAAGCCGAUCAAAGACAGAAUAUAUGGAGUGCAAGUUCAGUGCAAAUGGAGGCCAAAACGAGUUAGGGGUGAGGAUCGGAGAUCAAGAAAAUACCAAAGAGCGACCGUUUUCGUUACCUAGGAUCUAUCUUGCAAAAGAACGGAGAAUUAGAUGGAGAUCUCAACCAUAGAAUACAAGCUGGAUGGAUGAAGUGGAAGAGUGCAUCCGGCGUGUUGUGUGACCGCCGUAUGCCACUGAAGCUCAAGGGAAAAUUUUAUAGGACGGCAAUAAGGCCGGCGAUGCUGUAUGGCACAGAAUGUUGGGCGGUGAAGCAUCAACACGUACACAAAAUGGGUGUAGCGGAGAUGAGGAUGCUUCGUUGGAUGUGUGGGCACACGAGAAAGGAUAAGAUUAGGAAUGAGGAUAUCCGGGGUAAAGUAGGAGUAGCCGAAAUUGAAGGAAAGAUGAGAGAAAAUCGGUUACGGUGGUUUGGACAUGUGCAAAGAAGGCCUACUGACGCUCCGAUUAGAAGAUGCGACUAUGGGACAGAGGUUCAGGGCCGAAGGGGUAGAGGAAGACCUAGGAAAACUUUGGAAGAGACCCUAAGAAAAGACUUAGAGUACUUGGAUCUAACGGAGGACAUGACACAGGACAGAACACAAUGGCGUUCUAAGAUUCAUAUAGCCGAUCCCACUCAGUGACUUGGAUUUUCCAAGUCUCCAACCGAGAAGUUUUCCUCACUCGGGAAAUUAAGGGAACACUACCUCAACCUACAUGCUCCACUCACAAAGCUUCAACAUACAAGCUUCAACAAAAGAAAAUUCAAAGAACUUAGCGAAGAAGGCUUUGGUGUAUUUAACACAAUACGUUGAAAUGAAGGAAAGCUUAUUUAUUGAUAUCCCCGAUAAGUUACAAAUAUGUACAUAUACUUGAGUCAAAAUAAACAAACAAGAGGGAGCCUUCACAAAGGUUGCUUAGGAGAAGUCUCAGCAGUCGGUAGAGCCCCAGAAAGAGAAGGCACCGGAGGGGGAUCAUUCGGAGCCUCAGUACUGGACAGAACCCUAGAAGGAGGAGGCAUCAGAGGUUGAUCAUUUGGAGCUUCAUUACGCGGUACAGCCCCAGAAGACGAAGGCAAUAAAUGCCUUUGGAACAAACCCACAAAUCUCUGAUGAUCAAGUAAAACCUGACCAUCAGAUUCCUUCAUCUGGUCAAGCUUCCUCUUCAUGUUUGUAGCAUAGUCAUGUGCGAGCCGGUGCAACUGUUUAUUCUCAUGCUUGAGCCCUCUAAUCUCCUGUUUGAGACUCAUCACUUCAGCCGCCAAUGAUUCAACUUGGCGGGUUCGAGCAAAUAGGCGUUGGGCCAUAUUAGACACAGAACCUGCACACUGAACACUGAGAGCCAGAGAAUCCUUAACAGCCAACUCAUCAGACCGUUUGGAAAGUAGUCUGUUAUCUUUGGGAGUGAGAAGGUUCCUGGCCACUACCGCAGCGGUCAUAUCAUUCUUCAUCACGGAAUCCCCAACGGUAAGAGGACCAGUAGGGGAGACGAAGGAUGGGCGCCAUAUGUUGUCUGGAGAAGGCGGGGCUGCCUCUUCAACAAGGUUCAAGUCAAAACGACGGUCGGAGGGGCCAGACAUUUUCAAAGGUGUUGAAGAGAGAAGAGGUCGGACAAAUCAAGAUCUUAGAAGUGCAAGAAUGGAGCUUCUACUGGUGGAUAUUCAAGUGUGCUUUGGAACUUAAUGUCAGCCCCUAUAAAAAUCUGCACUCGACGAAGCUUCAGAAAUCGAAGAGGCGCCUGCUCAGAAAUCGAAGAGGCGUUUGCUUUCUCAAAAGCUGGGCUGCUCAGAGACCACGAGGGUCGAUCUCAGAAAUCGAAGAGGCGUUUGCUUUCUCAAAAGCUGGGCUGCUCAAAGACCACGAAGGCCGAUCUCAGAAAUCGAAGAGGCUUGCUUUCUCAAAAGCUGGGCUGCUCAGAGACCACGAGGGCCGAUCUCAGAAAUCGAAGAGGCACCUACUUUUCCAGCCUUGUCAGCACCUGUCACACGCACACUCAGCUUUGCGGAAAUUAUGGGCAUUCUGUCGAAGAUUUCUGGCGAAGUAGAAAGCACAUGAAUCGUACUGUUCAAUCACCCACUUCCCACACGCAACAGUAGCUCAUGGGUACCACAGAUAACUUUGCCAAAGUUCUCUGACAAAGUUGAGACACGUGAAGCUUGCAGCUCCCACUACAUCGCUCUGACCAAGAAGGGUAAAAGAAUUAGCAAAGAAACAACACUAACAAAGUUUAGACACAUAAAUUUUGAAGGUCUAGCUACCAUAUUAUUACCCACAAGGGUAAAGGAACAGUACCACUGCUGGAUAAUUGGAAAGUCCCGGUGUGUCAACCUCUGUGCUUCGUGGCAAGGUAGACUAGCAAACAUGCCCAACCUUUACUCACAUUCGAGAAAACACUCCCAACAAGAUUGCUUGCUCCAAAAUCGAAGAGGCACCGCCCUCCGAAUCUCGAGAGCCAGACUCCCAACAUGAUUACUUUCUCAAAAAUCGAAGAGAGGGUAAAGGAACAGUACCACUGCUGGAUAAUUGGAAAGUCCCUGUGUGUCAACCUCUGUGCUUCGUGGCAAGGUAGACUAGCAAACAUGCCCAACCUUUACUCACAUUCGAGAAAACACUCCCAACAAGAUUGCUUGCUCCAAAAUCGAAGAGGCACCGCCCCUCCGAAUCUCGAGAGCCAGACUCCCAACAUGAUUACUUUCUCAAAAAUCGAAGAGAGGGUAAAGGAACAGUACCACUGCUGGAUAAUUGGAAAGUCCCUGUGUGUCAACCUCUGUGCUUCGUGGCAAGGUAGACUAGCAAACAUGCCCAACCUUUACUCACAUUCGAGAAAACACUCCCAACAAGAUUGCUUGCUCCAAAAUCGAAGAGGCACCGCCCUCCGAAUCUCGAGAGCCAGACUCCCAACAUGAUUACUUUCUCAAAAAAUCGAAGAGACACCGCUCUCCGAAUCUCGAGAGCCAGACCCCCAGCAGGAUUGCUUUCUCAAAAAUCGAAGAGGCAUCGUUCUCCGAAUCUCGAGAGCCAGAUCCCCGACAGGAUUGCUUGUUCGAAAACCGAAGAGGCACCACUUUCCCAACUUCAAGAGCUGGAUCUCCUUGGAUAAAGCUUGUCUGUAAUCUUCACACGCAACAUCAGCUUUCCAGAUACCACAGACCACUUUUUCAAAGUGCUCUGACAGAGUUAAAACAUGUGAAGCUGGCAGCUCCCACUACCGUGCUAUGACCAAGCAGGGUAAAGGAAUAGCAUUAUUACUUGAUGUUAGGGAGACUCCUAUAUAUGUCGACCUCCAUCCCCAACGGACAGGCAGACCUGCAAAAAUGCUCAACCCUUCCUCUUAUCUGAGAGGGCACUCCCAACGAAGCCUUUCGAAAUAUUCAGCUUUCUUUCCCCCCGAUAAUACCUCUGUAAACAAGCUAUACUAGAGCAAGAAUAUCUCAUAUCAUCAGGGUUAAAAGCAAGAGUAUCCCAUAUCAUGCUUUUUCCCUGUCUUUUCCUUUGGCCUUGUUCUUACCUGCAAGACAAGGAGAAAGAGAGCAAUCAGUCAGCACUUGGAAUCAAGCUUCCAGCCAGGAACUGACUGCCUGGAACCCCUUACCUGAUUACUUACCUGGCAUUGCUCUCGAGUACUCAUCUUCAACAUCUUAUGCUUCCAGGGAAGAUACCGCAUCUGCCUGAGGAACAGAUAGGGCAAGUGAGAAGGAUACAAGGAAGCAUGUGGAGACAAGCGUAACAGCACACGUGCCGAUACAUCCAUUACUCUGUCAAAAGCAAAAGUAUCCCAUAUCAGCAGGGUCGAACGUACUCUAGAUUUGAUGGACUUGUUUUGACCCUCAAAUUCUUCAGUCGGCCUUAUACUCUGGAGGAAACCAGAAAACCCUCCAGCCCAGUUCAAGAAUAAGCCUGUGGAAAGUUACUUCUUCAAAAGCAAAAGUAUCCCAUAUCAUCUCUUCUCAUUUUUCUUCUCUUUAUCCUUCAUGCUGCCUGCAAGAUAGGGAGAAUGUGAACAAUCAGCCGGAGCUCUGAUUGCUUACCUUGUCUGUCACCUCUUUCAGCAGAUCCCCUAGCUCGGCGACUUGGGGGACUCCUACUACAUGGUUUGUAUCGCGCUUGACCAAGCCUGAAACUACAAGUAAGCUUCAAGUGACAAUUGAUACAUUACCUUGUGCAUCUCCACCAGUUACAGAUACCACCCCUGGAUGGAGGAAGAGUACUUCCAGAGAAGAUGCCACAUCUACCUAUGAGACAGAUAAGGAAAGUCAAGACGAUACCACACUCCGGUACUUAGAAGUUUCGUGGUUACGAGAUCAUUCUCCCACAAUAUUUCCUAAUGUCAUUUGUACUAAAUCAUUCACUUGUACUCACUAAAGGAGAGCUUGAACCUAUGUACUUGUGUAAACCCUUCACAAUUAAUGAGAACUCCUCUAUUCCGUGGACGUAGCCAAUCUGGGUGAACCACGUACAUCUUGUGUUUGCUUUCCUAUCUCUAUCCAUUUAUAUACUUAUCCACACACUAAUGACCGGAGCAAUCUAGCGAAGAUCACAAAAAAGUGACCGUUUUCGCUACCUAGGAUCUAUCUUGCAAGAGAACGGAGAAUUAGAUGGAGAUCUCAACCAUAGAAUACAAGCUGGAUGGAUGAAGUGUAAGAGUGCAUCCGGCGUGUUGUGUGACCGUCGUAGGCCACUGAAGCUCAAGGGAAAAUUUUAUAGGACGGCAAUAAGGCCAGCGAUGUUGUAUGGCACAGAAUGUUGGGCGGUGAAGCAUCAACACGUACACAAAAUGGGUGUAGCGGAGAUGAGGAUGCUUCGUGGGAUGUAUGGGCACACGAGAAAUGAUAAGAUUGGGAAUGAGGAUAUCCGAGGUAAAGUAGGAGUAGCCAAAAUUGAAGGAAAUAUGAGAGAAAAUCGGUUCUGGUGGUUUGGACAUAUGCAAAGAAGGCCUACUGACGCUCCGGUUCGAAAAUGUGACUACUGGACAGAGGUUCAGGACCGAAGGGGUAGAGGAAGACCUAGAAAAACUUUGGAAGAGACCCUAAGAAAAGACUUGAGUACUUGGAUCUAACGGAGGACAUGACACAAAACCGAGCGCAAUGGCGUUCUAGGAUUCAUAUAGCCGACCCCACUUAGUGGGAAAAGGCUUUGUUGUUGUUGUUGUUGGUUGAUUUUGUAUGGACGAUGUAUUAAUUUUUUUUUUUUUUUGGGAUUUUGUGUAUUGGGUAUUGUGUAGAACCAGCAAUGCAGGAUCUGAUCAGUCACGCCCGAAAAGGGGUUUGUUUCUCAAAUCACAUUAAUUAAUUAGAUUAUUAAUGUGCGUUGGAAGGCUCUUCAAUAUGAUUUCUAAUUUCUCCUUUCCAGCAUUCUCUUUUUGGUUUUUGGAGUAUGUAUGUGAUUUGUAUUUGAUUAUAGAAUAAAAAUUAAUAAAACACGAGAUGCAGCAAUUAAUUUGCAUCCUUAUGACAACACAUAUAUGAAAGUGCAUUCAAUUUCAAUGUGCGAAUGUGUGACAGGACAGGAUGUGCCUGCCUGCUGGUGGUGGUAUGCUUGCUGUUGUUUCUUGCGUUGUUAAUUUUUUGUGUGUUGAUUUGAUUAACAAUUCAAGCGUAUCUUAUUUUUUUUGUGUUGGUUAGCAGCCAGUUUUAUGGCCCCGAUCUAGUGAUGCUUCUCAGUGACUGGUAAUUGCAGUUCAUUGCCACCAGUUGGUCAGCUACCUGCUCUGAAAGAGCUCUACGUAGAAGGGAUGAAAGUUGUUAAGAGUGUUGGUGUUGAGUUGUACGGGGGAAAUCAACCAUUUCAAUGUUUAGAGAAGGUAAAGUUUCGGGAGAUGCCAGAGUGGGAGGAAUGGCAGCCUAGUCCAAGUGGAUGUGAAAGUCCAGACUUUCCUCAUCUUAAGGAGCUGAGGUUAUCCGAAUGUCCGAAGCUGAGAGGAAACUUGCCCACUCAUCUUCCCUCCUUGAAAACACUUUAUGUGAACAAGUGUGAGGUUCUACAUAAAAACAGGGCCAGUAAUACCCUGAACGUGGAAUCCUUACGAGGAUCUCUUGAAAAACUGACAAUAAAUGGAUGCCCGGGUCUCUCAUUGUUACUAGAGUCGAUGGAGACGCUGCCGUCGCUUCAGAAGCUUGAUAUUGAUAGUGUUGGUGGGAAAGAGUUGUUGGUGCAAAUGGUGCACAACAGCAAUCGUCUUCAAAGUUUUGACUUUAUAUAAAUGUUCCUCACCCUUGUCGUUCCCUACAAAUGGUCUGCCCACCACGCUGACGUCACCGAGCAUAACAGAUUGCAAGAAAUUAGAAUUCCUAUCACGUGAGAUGAUGGCCAAAUUGACUUCCCUUCAGUCUUUGCGUCUAUCCAACAGCUGUGAAUGCAAAGGCUUGAGUAAUUUUUGUGAGUCUGCUGUUUGGUUUUUUUUUCUUCAUUUUAGAGAUUUUUCUACUGUUUGGUUUUUGGGUUUUGUCUAAUUUUUGUGGUCUGCUUUAUAGAUUGUUCUCUUUGGAAGCUUCUUUCCAGCCUUGACCUUCUUCUUGCCUGGUGCCUUCUCAUUGAGUAUUGGAGGAGCAUUAAAACACAGGUGUGUGUGUUUUGUCGAUGUAAGAGAUGAACGACAUAAAAACAUCCGUCUUUGUAUUUUUUUGUGCUUUUUCUAACCCAUCAAUUUCUUUUGAGUCAACCAAAUAGUCCCAAAUUGCAACUUAUGUUGUGAGGUAUUAUUGUCUAAAAUUAAGUAUGCAUGUAUAUUUUAUGUUUGUGCGCGCGCACACCUCCGCAUGGUGUUAAUCUCUGUGGGUCAUCUAUGUAUAUGUAGACAUAUCUAUAUGUGUAUGUGUGGAAUGCAACAUAUCGGAUUUAGGUUAUACUGUGCAUAGUUUUAUUGCCUGUUAUUAUCUACGAUAUCACUAUGCCAUUUCUAUGCAGGCUCUGAAAGUUAUCCAUGAGCUUUAUAAGCACUUACCAUAAUUUAAGCAGUCUGUUUUGGGUUCUUUUUCAUUAGGUCAUUAGCUACAGAUUAAUGGAGAAACGAGGACCAUGCAACUGAUUUGGGUUCUUUUUCUAAUUUUCUGAUUUUGGGGUUUUGCAGGGAGUACUGAUGUACUGAUUUUCUGGGAUUUUUUUUGUCCUUGCAGGAUUUUUGGUCUUUGGAAUGGGUAUGUGUUGUUUUUAACGUUUCAGUUCUAGCUUGUUCCGUUCUUCGUUGCUUCGUGAUUCUCAUUUUUUAGUGUUGGGUGAUGGAAAUUUGUUCAAGUAGUUGGUAGUUUUUUUAGAAAGUUGGCAUUUUUAGUUAUAUUUUCUGUUUAAUCCUAAAUGUUAGACUGGAAAAUCAUUGAAAUGACGGUUUUUUAAAAACUCAUAAUUUUUUUGUUCUGGGAGUUAAAAGCAUCUUUUCCAGAUUGGUUAUAAGGGUUAUGUUCUCUUCAAUUGGUUCACCUAAUUUUGAUUAGUUUUAAGUUUUGUCCUUUUAAGUUUUGUCUUUUAAGUUUUGUUCUUUAAGUUGUCUUUUAAGUUUGUUCUCUAAGUUUUGUCUUUUAAGUUUUAUCUUCUGUGCUGUAAUGAGAGAUUUCUGUUGGCCUUUCGGAUUUUGGCAUGGGAAAGUUCACUUAUUUGUCUAAUUAGAUUGUGUAUGCCUUCGAUUCUUUAUUUAAUUGUUCUGUUUGUGUUCAGGUGUGAUGAUCUAAAUUUCAUAUGUUUGGAAUUAUUCACUUAACACCAAUUUGUUACAUUCAGAUCUCCACCCCACAUUUCACUAGUUCAAAUUCCAUAGAAGUCGGUUACUGCAGAUUGCGUCUACAAUUAGAUCAGAGAUCAACUGCUCUUUUGUUAUCCUGCAGAAGAUUGCUUUUGGGAAGGAUCUGAAGUAGUUUCUUUCUGUAAGUUUAUUCCCAUGUAGCUCUGUCUUUUCUAAUUGAUGGUGUUGAUAUUACACUGUAAUUCAUGAUGAUGAUUUAAUUGUUUAUUGAUUUGUAAUUGUUUGUGAAUAAUGUGGCAUAUAUGACUUGCAAUAUGUGUUUGUAUGAAAGGGAUGACAUAUUAUGUUGCUGACUUAAUUGUUUAUGUUUUUCAUAUUUGCGAAUGGUGUUAUGAUCAAUUAGGUGAUUGCUGACCUGUGACUUUGUUUGGAGCUCAAAUUUUGUGAGCAUUACAUUGGAUUGUUUUGAUGUUGUUUUGGUUGACAAUGCAGGGAUAGGAGAAACAAAGAGGAUGACACUUAUAACUGCCCUUCCCCAUCGGCCGUCUUCAAAUUUGGAUCACAAGAAGGGAGCAACAUAGGUGUUUUCCUUCUUCAUUUAGAUAUGGUUAGUGUAAAUAAUUGGACAAAAGAGCCAAACAAACCCUGUUCUCUCAAAUGGAGUCGAUGAUGUGGUCGAUGGCCACCAGCCCCAACUCAAGAGUUUGGCCUUCAUAUAAUUGGAUUGUAGUAUAAUUUUAUUUUGGUUCAUUUCUUUUUUCCUUUAUAUAAGUGCAGGUGUUGUGAUGUUUUGAAUAAAGGGUGAUGAAAGGUGGUUCACACACUUCCUCCUUACUUAAAGCAAGUGGAGAUGAUGGGUUGUAUAAAAAGAAAAACUUGCCAGGUACUUCGAUUUUCUAUUUUAUUAAUUAUUGUUUGGUUUUCCAAAUGUUGUAUUCACAAAGAGAGACCAAUGAUGUCUUUGAGAAACAAGUUUCUUUGUCUACAUUGCGAGAAUUUGCAGUUUGCAACUUUCAUUGGUUAUUAUAUUUGAUUGAGUUAAACUUGGAUUUCUGGAUUUUGACUUUUUCGUUUGUUUCUUUGUUGUAGAGUUGGCUUCAUUUCAUUCCAGUAACUCUAUUCCAGUAACUCUCUAAAAUAGGGCCAAGAACUCACUAAAUAGGUAGUCAAGAGGAAUUCAGUUUUGCCUUCAAUUUUUGCCUUCUGUUUACAUUCUUCCUGGAUGCACUCUCACCGCUUCUCUCGCUUACCACUUUUGUCUCACUCACCGCUUCAUCUCUUCUGUUGCUUACAAGGUCGUGUCAUAUAUUUUUUUAAUUUUUGUGUGUUUAAUUUAUUGAAUAUUUGAAAAAAGAGAUAAAAUUUUCAAUUUACAAUUACUGAUAUGAUGUUUGUUUUGAAAAUCAUUAAGGUGAAUGGAGAGAUUUACAACCAUGAAGAGCUGAGGAGCCGUUUGCCAAAUCAGAUUUAUAAGGUCUCAUCAAUUAUAAAUAAACGACUUUUCAUUCCCAAUGACCUUUAUCGUUUUUCUUAAUGGGUUAGCUGAACAUGAGGUAGAUGCUGACUUUAUAAAAUAUGAGAAUGUUUUAGGAUUUCAUUCUAAUUUUUUGGCUGUUUGAUUACUUUGCUUUUCGUAAUUUGUUUUGCUUAUCGUCAAUUGGAUGGGACAACAUAUUUUUGUAACCAGUUUGUACUUUUUUUUUUUGUGGAAACUAACCAGUAUGUACUUUUACCAUCUCGGUUUUGAUGGAAUUGGAGCUUUCAGUAAUGGGUUCUGAGGGAAUUGGAGUUUUGAGUAAUGGGUUUUUUAACAACUAUAGUAUCAUUUGUGAUUCUUUUAUUUAUAAGAUAUUAUAUAGGAAACUGUUAUUAGCACUCUAAUAAUCUUAUUCUACACUCGCGACAAGUGUAUUUUUCUUUCUAAUUAUGGAAAGUUUGGAGUGCAAAAUGAGAAUUUUGGAGUGCCAAUAACAAUUCCCUAUUAUAUAUAGCUCUACUAAGAAGGCGACUGUAUAUGUCUUCAUCCUGUUAAAUUGUAUAUGGCUCUUGAUGUCGGCUGAAUUAAAUCAAAAUGAAAACCAAGCUGCUGAUCUUACCAGCCCAUAUCACUUAUCACUUAUUUAAAUUAUUUGAAGAUGCAUACGUGGAUUGGUGAUUUUGUUGGAUUCACUUAGCUCAAAUAUAUGUUAUCUGAGUCGCUACAUUUGAGAAUGUGAUUCUGUUCCUACCACCAUUUUGCCCACUUUUUGUGGAAAUUAUUCAUUCCUGUUGUGAAUAAUAUCCCCGGCAGCGAAGUGCGGGCGCAUUUUCUAGUUUAAGUUAAAUCACACAAUGGGUCAUCAAUAAUGACAAACUCGUCAUUUAUGCGAGUCAAACAUGAGACCACCUACCUACUAGUUUAGUGGAAUACCACAAGUGACAUGUUGAUACCUUUAAAUCUCAUAUAAUGGAUUGCAGAAUUAGGAUAUACCUAGUCUAAUUUAGUCAGUGCGUGAACCCGAACAAUUAACCAGGGUUUUAUUCUUGCUUGAAUGUUUGUAAUAUGUUCCUAGUUUGACAAGGCAAUUAUAUUUCCGACUACAAAAGUUAUUAAUUUAGUCGAGAAUUGACGCACCUGAAAUGGUGUGAGGAAAACAUGUAGACACAUCAGACGCGGUCCAUCCUGAGCAUUGUGUAUUAAGGAUAAAGCUCAAAGCCAUACAUGAGGGCAUUGUGUAUGUCUUUAUAAGAGAAGUUGCUGUAGUCCUCAACGUGGCCGGCAGCCAAACUCAUCCACUCUACACUGCAACCCUCAUCCAAAUCCCAUGCUUCCAACCUGCCCCCGACAUAGUCAUCGACCAUGACAUAGCUAUACGUUUUUGGUUGACUCGAAGAAGAAGAAGAAGAAGAAGUAUUAUUCAAGCAUGGAGCAGUGUCCACGUACAGAGAAGAAUUCGAUGGAUUCGAACACUUCAAGUAAUAUAUAGAUAGAGAAUUGAUGUCAUAGGUGGGCCAAUAUAGAGAAUCGAUGUCCUCGAUGGGCGGAAUAUUUUGAGACAUGGAAGAGCAAUUGUUGUUGUCAAGCCCAGGAUCUAGAAGUCGGAUUGUUUUGUUAAUGUAGUUGAUUGCCUGGACAUAGUAUUUUCCGGAAGAAGGUAGGUCUAGUACUGUAAUGUUGCUCUCACAGGACAGAGUAAACCUUACGUCGCCACAGUACUUUGGAUCAUCGUUCAGUCGAAAAGGAUGGCUUAUGUUGUGGAUAUGGCCGCAGGAUGAAGUGCAGGACUUGGCACUACUGUUGUCAGCGUUACAAGUUUCACUGCAAAAGCAAAGAAGAAGAAAGGCUAAACUUAAGGUGAAGGACCUGGUUCCACUGAUUUCCAUUGCUCUGAGAGAGAGAGAGAGAGAGAGAGGGCACUAUAGCUUAAACACCAAGGAGUUAUAUAAUAUGGGAGGGGUUAAAGCACCUCGCUUAAAGUUGCAGUAAGCCCGUCAAAUAUCCUAGGGAAAAGUCGGUCAAUGCUGUCCUAUAGAGAAAAGUCGGCCUUGAUGUUUGACACGGUCACACUCUCUCUCUCUCUCUCUCUCUCUCUCAUUGACGAGGGACACUGUAAUUGAAAAAAAAAAUUGUUAUUCAGAGAUAGAUCUUGAAAUUCUUAUUUUAUAUAAAAAAAAGGGGUAUUUAGAUUUUAGGACCUAUAUAAGAUAAUUUUUAGAUUAUAAGGUUUCAAAAUCUUAUUUUAGUCCCUAAUUUAAUAUUCAUCGCCACAUCAUAUUAUAAGAUACCUCUAUUACCUACCAUAUUUACAAACUUUGCCAUUUAAAUUGUCAACCUAUUCUAUAAUUAAGGCUUAAAUAUAUUCCGUUAAUAAACCAUUCGUCAAUAAGAUAAAUCCAACUAUGGUAAAUUAUACUAAUUUAUACUUGCUGACAAACAAAUUAAGUCUAUAGUAAUUUUAGGUCAGUCACCUUAAGAAGUCGAAGAUGAAAAAAUCAAAUACAAAACAAUAGGUUAAAAAAAUUAAAUAAUAACCCUUAAUAUAUAUAUAUAUAUAUAUAUAUAUAUAUAUCACAAAAAAAAAGUAUAACAACUCCUUAUUGUCUAUAUAUAGGAAUUGCAUAAGUGUCGGUACAUAUGUGUAGGUACAUACAUGCACAUAGGUACGGAAGUAUCGGUAUGGAAGUGCCGGUACAUACGUACACAUAGGUACGAAAAUAUUGAUACGUUAGCAUCGGUACAAAAGUAUCGGUGCGGAAGUGUCGAUACUUAUGUACAUAUAUAUAGGUACGCAAAUAUUGAUACAUAAACAUCAAAAGAAAAAAUCGGUAGAUUCGAUGUAUGAGAAGGUAAAAAUAAAUCAUCAACACUAGAAAAAAAUGAUAAAAGUAAAUCAUGCACUAUUAGAUGCAUAAGAAGAAGAAAUAUUAGAUGUGGAUGGUGGCCCUAGCCCUCUCUUCUAACACGGUUGAAGAUAAUUUUUUGGGUUGGACAAAAAGUUUCAUUUUUAAGGAGAACCAUUUAUGUUAGCAAUAAAACUGAAAAGUUAUAAAUAAAAUAAAUAUAAGACAUUAUAAUUCACUCAAGGAUAAUAUAGGAAGAAAAAAAUUACAUAAAAGGAAUUAACUCUGACAUUAAAUAUAAAUGCUGACUUGGACAUAAGUCAAAGGACUAUAAUUAGUUUUUUAUCUUGGUUAAGGUUUUAGUCUAAAGAUAAUCUUUUUCAAGGAUUAAUAUCUAGUUUCCUAUAAAAAAAAACACCUAAUAUUAAUCAUUCAAAUGAAAUUGUUAAAAUUAAGUAUAAAUAAUACAUAAUGAAAACUGAACACAUACAAUCAACGGUCACGACCAUGAAAUCCUCCGGAUCCUCAGAAAAAAAUCCGACGAUGAUCUUUUUCUGUGUAAAAUAAUUUGAGGGUAUAAUACUGGAUGUGCGAUUAAACCGAAGAACCCACCCACCUCCAUCUUCUCUGACCAACUUGAACCCAGCCACUACUACAUGUCAUCCCGACAACCCACUCUCAGCUUCCCAAACCGCCAUUUUUCACCCAAUGGAACAUUUAAAGAAAAAAUCCAUCUGCAAAUCGAAAACCACCGAAAAAAAUUAAAUCAGAUACAUUGGAAAAAACGCAAAACUCAAUGGAACAACACUGGCGUGGAAGAGAAAAAAAGCAGAAGGUGAGAAUGGAGAGAAAGAAGCGAACGGAAAGAAAAAGCAAAGAAGAGGUUGGAAACGGAACAACAGAAGAACAAUAGAAGAACAGAAAUGGGUAUGGGAAACGGAACAACAGAACAAAAAGCAGGCGGUGUAUAGAGCAAGAAAAGCAAACCUCACGAUGACCAACACGUGCUAAGAGAGGCCCCGGUUCACUGUGUAUCACAUUUUUUAAUAUUUUUUUUGGUCUUCCCACCGGCUAUACAUGGGAUUCCAAAAUUAAGAAGGUAUAAAUUUUUAUUGUUUCUUGUGCCACAAACCAUGUGGCCCAGUCUUAAUCACAUUUUUUAAAUAUUUUUUUUGCUCUUCCCAUCAGCAGUACAUGGGUUAAAAAAAUUAGGAAAGUAUAAAUUUUUAUUGUUUGUUGUGUCACAAACCACGUUGCCCGGUUUUAAUCACAUUUUUUUAAUAUUUUUUUGUCUGCCCACCAGCUAGGUUUAAAGAAUUAAAAAAGGACUAAAAGAAAGACUCCACAGAUGGAGGAACAUGGGAAUAGAAAGGGCAAAUUUGGGAUUUUACUGUACAAAAAAGACAAAAAGUAACUGCUGAAGACUAACUUGAGGGGCAUUUUGGUCUGCACACUGCCCUAGAACAGUAACCAUCGGAUUGGGUUUUAGUAUAUAUAGAAUAUGUUUAGAUAAGGACAAUAAACUUAGAAUUUUGCCAAAAGUCAGAAUUUAUAAAUUGAUACAAUCAAUUCAUUUGUUUGGAUUCAUAAACAUAGAAAUUUAGACUUUCCGCGUGAGAAAAAACUUGGAAUUUGGGACCUUCAAUUCUCAUGUUUAAAUUUCAUGUAAAUAGGUGUCAUUUAUAAAUUUCAGUAAGUGAGAGUUUAAAAAUAACAAACAUGUAUUCAAAUUUCAUUCCUCCUUUGGUUAACCAAAAAAGAAAAUUUAUAAAUUCUAGAAAAUAAAAUUUCUUUAUUUUAAUUUCUGUUAUUUUAAAAUUCUUAGGGCUUGUUUGGUAUUCUACUUGAAUCCAACUUUUUAAACUAAAAAAUAAUUUUCAAGUUUUAGGCCUUAAAAACUUAUUUGGUAGAACUAUUUAAAAAAACUGAACUUAAGACUAACUAAAAAAUAUAAUAUAUUAUCUAAAAACACAAAAAAUGAGUUUUUAGAAUUUUUAAACUUAAAUUCACUCAUUUCUUUUCUCUCCCUCCUCCCCUCUCACUCCAAAUCUCUCUCUCUCUCUCUCUUUUCUUCUUUCUCUCUCCCCUUCUCUUUUUUUUAACCUUUUUUUGUCUCUCAUCUAAUCCGCUCUCUUCAUUUUCUCGGUUCUUUCUCUCACUCAUAUUCCUCUCUAUCUCCUCCAAUUCUCUCUCUUCAUUCUUUUUCAACCAAUAAUUUCUUACUUUUUUCCUCUUCUCUCCUCUUGAUUCUCUCUCUUCAUUCUUUUUCAACCAAUCAUUUUUUACUUUUUUUCCUUCUCUCCUCUUUCUCCCUCGACUUCCUCUUUUUGGAUCUCUUUGUUCAGUUUGAGCUGUAAGAUUUAAAAUUAUUUUAAAUCGUAUACCAAACAAGUUUUUGAGUCUUAAAGAAAAUUGUUUUUCAAAAAAUGUUCUUAAGAAAUGUUUUGAGAAAUGAUAAAAAAUUUCAAAUAAGAUACCAAACAAGCCCUUAAUAAUCUUAAAUUUUCCCAUCCAAACAAAAAAUUUUCUUGUCAUAGAACUUUCAAUUGGAAUCAAAGAAGACAAUCUUUUCACAACUAAUUAUUCUCACCAAAAGCAAUUUUUAUUUUAAAGCAAUCAAUACCAAACUGCAAAAGCAAAGUAGGAAGGCUAAAAUUAAGGUGAAGAACCUGCUUCCACUAAUUUCCUUAGGAGGGAGAGAGAGAGGGGGAGAGAGAACCAAGCGAGCGAGCAGAGAGAGAAAACACCAAGUAGUAUUCUAAUGUUGGUGGGGUUAAGUCACCUUCCGUGAAGUUGCAGUAAGGACUUCUAUCCCAGAGAAAAGUCAGUAAAUGAUGUUGACACAGUCAACGACAAAGACAGAAUUGUGUAACCAUAAUUCUCUCUCUAUCUCUUUUUCAUUAUCGGAUGACAGUGUAACACUACUACGUAUAUAUCUCUGCUCAAUUAUUGAAAAGAAAAAUCCAUGUGCAUUAUUUUUAUUAUUAUUAUCUCAGAAAUGCAGAAAUUGAUCAUCUCUUCCUUUUGCAUAUUGAUACUGGUUUUCUUCAAACUAGUUGAAGCAAGUCAAUAUGUGUGCGCGAAAUCCAACUGUAGCAAUGAUCAAAGCGGGGCUAUCCAUUUCCCAUUAAACAUCAGGCGCACACAUCAUUGUGGUAAUUCUGGGCUUGAAUGCAAUGGGAGAUAUGAACAGCAAAUACUAAUAAAAUUAUUUGUCAAAGACAUAGAUUACAAGCGUCAGGAAAUCCAAGUCUAUUCCCCAAGUAACUGCCUGCUGCUAAAGCAUGUUGAAAUCCCAAACAUGCCACCCUCUCCCUUCAACGUGUCAGUCGAUGACUACAUGAGUAACCUUACCUUAUUCAGUUGUCCUACUUCUUUUGCAAGACGAGAUACGGAUGUGUAUCAAGUCCCCUGCCUCGGCGACCGUGGCAAGAGAACUUAUGCCAUUUAUUCUGAUUAUGGUUUUAGAACUCUCUUCCGGAAUCUACAAUCUUGUACAAAAAUGUAUGAUGUUUUAUCAGUUCCAAUACCCUCUGAAUAUUAUGUUCUUCGUUUCAAAUGGUCUAUACCAAAUUGCAGAAAAUGUGGAGAGGGAAAGAGGUGUGAAUGGCAGAACAAUGAAAUUAAAUGUAUUCAAUGGAGGAAACCAAGUAAGGAUAACAUAUGUAUUCAUUGCUAGUUUUAAACAUCUUUACAUUUGUUUCUCAGUAAUUAUUGUUUAAAACAUGUCCAAUCCAUUUUUACUAUGAAUAUUAACUGACAGUCUCAUUUGAAUUUGCCUUUAUCUUUUACAGGCAACACAUGGAAAUUAGUGGUCACAGGGGGAAUCCUGGGUUCUUUGCUUCUUGUUCUACUGAUGAUUGCAGCAUAUCGGGUAUAUAGCGUUGAUAGAAAGAAAAAAGAGAUUCGAUUACGAAUUGAAAGAUUCUUGGAGGAUUACAAAGCACUCAAACCAAGCAGAUACUCGUACGCAGAUAUUAAGAGGAUUACAAAUCAAUUCAAGGACAAGUUGGGCAAAGGAGCCUAUGGAACUGUCUUCAAAGGAAUGCUCUCUUCUGAAUUCUUUAUUGCUGUCAAAGUCCUCAACAGUUCCAAGGGAGAUGGGGAAGAGUUCGUAAAUGAAGUGCGAACGAUGGGUCAUAUCCACCACGUAAACGUGGCUCGCUUGGUUGGAUUUUGUGCUGAUGGAUUUGUACAAGCUCUUGUUUACGAGUUCUUCCCCAUUGGUUCCCUGCAGGAUUUCAUUUCAUCUGCAGAUAGUAAGAAUUCAUUUCUUGGUUGGGAUAAGCUGCAAGAUAUUGCCCUAGGCAUAGCCAAAGGAAUUGAAUAUCUUCACCAGGGAUGCGAUCUACGAAUCCUGCAUUUCGACAUCAAACCCCAUAAUGUUUUGCUAGACCAAAACUUCACUCCAAAAAUUUCUGAUUUUGGUAUGGCCAAGUUAUGUUCCAAGGAUCAAAGCUUGGUGUCCAUGACUACAGCUAGGGGGACCAUGGGCUACAUUGCACCUGAAGUGUUCUCCAGGAAUUUCGGAAAUGUGUCUUACAAGGCAGAUGUCUAUAGCUUUGGAAUGCUGCUGCUUGAGAUGGUAGGAGGAAGGAAGAAUAUUGGUUCAAUCACGGAUAACACUACAAAUGAAAUUUACUAUCCACAGUGGAUUUAUAAUCUUCUAGGGGAAGGGGAUGACCUACGAAUCCACAUUGGGGAAGAAGGAGACGGUAAAAUUUCAAAGAAACUUGCAAUUAUAGGGCUAUGGUGUAUCCAGUGGCACCCGUCGGAUCGUCCUUCCAUGAAAAUAGCGGUUCAGAUGUUAGAAGGAGGAGGAGAAAGCUUGAGUAUGCCGCCUAAUCCCUUUGUGCCUACUGGUUCUACAACUAGGAAUGCAAGACGCCUAGAGCUAGAAGCUAUUGCUGAAUUAGAGUAAAAUGUAUAUGCAGAUAUAUAGACGUAUAGAUAUAGUAAUAUUUACAUUGAAUAAGAUACCGUUUGAUAACCAUUUCGUUUUCAGCUUUUAAUUUUUAUUUUUCACUUUUUUGAAAACUGAAAACUAAAAUCUUGUUUGGUAAAUACUUUUAGUUAAAAAAAAAUGAAGACUGAGAACUAAAAAGUGAAAGCUCAAAGGAAGUAGAUUAAAAGUAGUUACCAAACAAACCGGAAUCUCAAUAAUAAAAAAGAUUGAAUUGCACAAUGCAAUCCAAACCAAUCAAAACAUUAAAAUAGCAAAAAAAUUAAAAUUCUAGUUGAUUAGAUUCUGAACAUAGUAAAAAUGAACAGAUCCGAUGAAAAAACAAAAAAUUCUCAGAUAAAAAUAGGGAUAAAGUAGAAUAUUUAUAAAUAGCUCAUUGUCUCUUAUGUCAUCAAUUAUUUCUAUAGUAUAUACAGGUUUUUGGAAAAAUUAGGUUCCCAUCCCUUAUUUUCAUAUUACAUUGAUUGAAAUCUUAUUAUUUUUCUAUUUUAGAUCAAGGUCCCUUGACUUAUUCCAUGUCAUCAUUUUAGUAUUUAAAAUAUUACACGUCAUCAUAAACGAAAUCUCAUCCCUUUCUGCAUUUAAGGCAAAAUAAACUAUAUAAGUAAGUUUAAAACAAGGAAAAUCCAUUUGAACUCCUCCAUUCUUCUUCUUCCCUUAUGCACAUCUGGAAUCUACAACACCCCAAACCCAAUUUUCUCCAUUUUUCUUCAUUCCUGAAUUGAUCCAAUGCAUAUAUGUUGAAUAAACCUAUUGUGAUUAAAAUACAAAUUAGCAUCAAUGAUUUUAUCGGCUUGUGAGAUUUGUGUGGCAUAGGCAAGGCAAUGCAGGCAUCGCUUUAUCAAAGAAUCUGGUUGAUUCAAACAUGCAGAGACUGUAGAGUGAGCGGGCUAUGUAAAAACUGUACCAUUUUGAAGUCAUUUUCUUUUGUUCUUUACAUUUUUUUUUCUUUUAUUAUUAUAUAUUAGUCUUGAUUAUUCAAUGUCUGGUUGGCUACACUUAUAUCCAUGGGUACAUUUUUAAUCUACAUGUUUCGUUCUAAUAUAUCUAUUGCUAUAAUAUGUUUUGGUUGGUUCAAAUUUGUUUUACAUAAAUAUAUGGGUACAAAGUUUUUGUAGAAUAUUAUGUAAAAUGGUUUUUAAGGUUGCUGCAUUUUACGUACCCACAUAUGCAUGUCUAUAAAACAAUGUGGUAUGAUGUACAUUCUUUUCUUUGAGUUUUUAAAUGUACCCAUGAGUUUUCUUGUAAAUUCGGUAUGUACCCAUAUGCUAUUUAUGUUAUGGGUACAUACAUUAUUUUUGGUCUAAGUUCAUGGGUACAUUACUUUUGUAUGUAUGAAUUCAUGGAGUACAUUAUUUCCCUUAAUACUACUCAAUAAAAUUCACAAAAAUAUGUGUAGCGUGCAUGAUUUUUUAUUGUAGAAAUUGUUUGUUUUUUUUAAGUCUCAUAAUUCAUGAAAUUUGUACAUAUAUGAUCACAUAAAUUUUUUAAUUUUAUUAAAUUUCUUUUAGACUUGAUCGAUUGAUUGAAUCUCAUAAUACUAGGAUUUUGAAUUACAUAAAUUCUUGGAUUUAAAUCCCUUAAAUGUUGAACUGCAAUCAAUAUUUUAAAUUACAGUUUUUUAUUUAAGAUAUCAAAAAGAUGACAUGGAAAUAUAGUAAUACUAAAAUGCUGAGGUGUACAAAGUCAAAGGACUUUGAUAAAAAAAUAAAAAACAAUAAGAUUUCAAUCUAACAAUUGAAUUGACUAGGGAUCGGAACCAAAAUGACCCUAGAUUUUUAUUGAGUUUAAUCUUAAUAAAAAAAAGACUUCUUGUAUCACAAAAAAUACAAGAACCAUUAUUUGAAUGAAAUAAAAGCUAUGGGAUGGAGAUAUAAAUGGAUCCUUUAUUUCACAAUUGGAUUAUAUUUAUUUGAUACACUGUUGUCAAUAUGAAUGCUGAGAAAAGACUACAAAAGAAAAAAACAAUUUAUAAAUAUAACUAACAAUUCCAAUUUCAAUCAAUUAGACAAUUAGAAUUAUAAGAAGAAAAAAAAAAGAAAUUUCAGUUUUCAGUUUAAAAAAAAUGAAAAAAAAAUGGUUAUCAAAGCCGUCCAAAUAAUACAAGUUUGUUUCCACUCUUUGUUUAAGCAUAGAUGCCAAUUUUUGUUUAUCAUUUUUUUAACCUUUAUUUUUUGUUACAGUAGAAGCCCUGGAAGGAAAUCGAGCACUGGACUUACCAAACUCUUAACUUAUUUCUACACACCAAGAGCUUGAUUUCGGUUCUUAUUUAUACUAUUUAAGCUAUAAGCCGUGACAAGAAUUAGAGAACUAUCAUUUGUUGUGAGCUUCAAUUGGUUAGCACUUUGUAUGUUUUCAUUAGAAUAUAUAUUUCACUUAGACUUUCUUAUUAAAAAAGGGAUCAGCUGGUGACUUUACCACGACAAUCCAAUUUUAUGGGGGUCAUGAAUACUCACAAAGGCAUUUCAGCCUCCCCCUAUAUCUACCGUCGCGUGAUUCACCAUUGUCAGAAAUCGAACCCAAGACGUGUUGUAUAGAAUACGGGCCUAAAAUUCAUUUCUAACCACUGAGUCACCCCGCGUUUGAUUAUAUUUCACUUAGACUUAUCUUGCGGUAUAGCAUGUCAUCCCCGCCCAAGUUUUUCCCUUCGCGUUGACUUUGGGAUACCAAAACUUGCCAAACAAAGUAGAUUGAUUAGUAAGCGAAGCUAAUUAUUCGACUAAACAUUGUUUAGAAUUUUAAUUAAAAGAACCAAUAUGAAUCUGUUUUUUUUUUUUUUGACAAACUAUAACGUUAAGGAGUUAAAUUGUUAGUUGUUAAGAGUACGGGGAUAGGUGAGGAUCGAACCUCCACCAUAGUGCAUAGACAUUAUUGGUUCUACAACUGCUGUAAAUCACAUAAAACAAAACGUAAUACUUUGAGGAUGGAAGACACUUCGUGGAUAGCGGGCAAUCAACACUAUCAGUUGCUAUCCAAAACUUGGAAUUAUGUUUAUUGUCCGAAGGAUUUUUCUUCCAUUAAAUUGCUAAGGAAGAUGAGGAUGGGUAGAGUGUCUAAAUGUCAAGGUUGAUAAGAACGUGUAUGGUGUUCAGCUUGCGAUUGAGAUUUGUUGAGUGGCACAACAAACCACAUAAAAUUUUCUAAAUGAUAAGCUUGAGUAUAAUUUUUUACCACGUAUUUAUCUUUAAAAUCAUUAUAAUUAGAUUUUCUCUUAAUUAAUAUAGACCGUUAGAUUCAUCUAAUGACCCAAGUUUUUUUCCUCUUUUCUUUCUACUCUUUUUUUCUUCUCUGAUUUUCCAUUCACCGUGUAGCAGUCGUUCUUCCCCAACUAAGUUUCUUAUUUUUCUUCACAAAAAAAUUGUAGAAAAUAUUAAGAAAAGAAAAGUCAUCAAUAUCAGACUCGACCAGGUAAUCGUUCCAACCUUCCCAGCAACUCUCAGUCUUAACAAGGCACCAAAUUUUCUCCGCCACCUAACUCGUCAUUCAUUUAUGGGUGUUUCAAGCUUGGUGAAAAUUGAUAGAGUUCCAUGUGUGUACACGGAUGUGAACAUAUUGGCCACUCUCUAAUGUGUUGGUUUAUCACAAAGAACCCAGAUACAAAAUUUUAAAAAGCAAACAAUUACAACUUCUCAAAUAUUAUCUAACAAACUUUCAAUGAAAUGUUGCUCAUAAUUGAAAAAAGGUUGACGAAGGACGGAGUUGGAGUUAUUUUAGAUGGGGAAGAGUUAAAAGAAGGAAGCACCAUUUAAUUAAUAAAAGCGAUUGGAGAAAUAGUAAUUCAAUGGUGGGCGUUUUUAAGGUGUGGACCUUGUAUCACACCCCGAUUCCAACAUACAUUGAGGAUCAACACGUGACAUGGGGACAUAGGGGACAUAAAUCUUAUGUAAGAUACAAAAUGAAAUACUAUAAAUAAUAUCCCAAAAUGAAUAUGAUAGUGGGUUCACCCCUAUAAAAUAUAUACGAGUUUGUACAUUCACAAAAAAAAAAAAAAAAAAAAAAAAAAAACACAUACACACACACAAAACUCUCGCUAGGCCAAGACUUGCCCAUGGUGCUCAAAGGAAAGUCCCAAAAGAAAGAGUACAAUGAAGGAUAAAGGGGUAACCUAAACACUCCAAGUCUCUGAUCUCUGCACUGCUACCCUCACCGGCUCCUCGUAAUCUACUCAGACCUAUCACAUGUACAAACAGUGCCUACAUUGUGGGAAUGGUGCAUCGGGCAAACAAAAACCCGGAUAAGCUGCAAAACUCGUGUGAGUGACAAUAAUGCAACAUAUGUGAUAAUCAAGAAAAACAUACCAUCGAUCGCAGUUUAUAAACCUCAAAUAUAACUUCAUACUUAUGAAAUCAUAAUCAAGUCACUGAAAACUUCGAAUGAGUCACCCAGACAUCCAACGACUUUUUAAAAUCAAAUCUCAGAGAUUCCAAAACUAUCAUUCACAAAUACACUAAAAACUAGGGCUAGAGUGACACAGUUCGGCCAAAGACUACAUAAGUAACCAAACAAGAAGUGGCCCCCCAUAGCGGAUUAACCAAGCAGAGCCACUCCUGAAAAAGUAACCAAGUAGGUAGUGACCCCCAUCACGGAUUAACCAAGCAAAGUCACUCCUACGAAACUGUUAGGUAGUGAUCACCCAUCGCGGAUUAACCAAGCAUGAUCACCCCUAAGUACGUAUGGCCAUACCUAAGAAAUAAGGAUCGCCCACCGCAGAUUAACCAAGCACGAUCCAAAAAUAUUAUGGGUCCCCUAUCACGGAUUAACCAAGCAUGACCAUCCAUGUACCACUACUACAUGGUGUAAAUUCGGUGUCACCUAACCUCGUGACACUAGGGUAACGGUCCUUUACUAGCCCUCACGUUUUUCAAACAUUUCAAAUAUAUAAUUUAAAACACAAUUCAUAAACAUUUCGAAUAAGGAAGUCACAUAGUGUUUAAUAAUGUAGGUCAAUGGAAAACUUUAAAAACAAUUAUUUAGCAUAAAACAUAUUUUAGAAAUCCAUGUUGUAUCCACAAAGUAUACUAGCAUGGGAGAUUUUCAGGGUAAUAACUCUAUCAUAUAUAUUAAAGUCACUCACCUGGAGUCCACACUAACGCACCCUAACACGAAUAUCAAGACGUCACGUACUAUCAUCUGUAACAUCCCACAUCAACCAACGGAGAGAGGGUGAUGUGCCUUAUAUGUACAUGCCCACCUCCAUAGCAUGAGACCUUUUGGGAGCUCACUGGCUUCAUAUUCCAUCGGAACUCCAAAGUUAAGCGAGUUUGGGCGAGAGUAGUCCCAGGAAGAGUGACCCACUGGAAAGUUCUCGUGUGAGUUCCUAGAAACAAAAUCGUGAAGGCGUGGCCGGGGGGGGGGGUUAAAGCGGACAAUAUUGUGCUACGACGAAAUUGAGACUGAGAUGUGACAGAAUGGUAUCAAAGCCACUCUGCCGUGUGGUGCGAGUGUGCCGACGAGGAUGUCGGGCCCCUAAGGGGGGUGGAUUGUAACAUCCCACAUCGACCAACGGAGAGGAGGUGAUGUGCCUUAUAUGUACAUGCCCACCUCCAUUUAGCACGAGGUCUUUUGGGAGCUCACUGGCUUCGGAUUCCAUAAGAACUCCGAAGUUAAGCGAGUUCGAGCGAGAGCAUUCCCAGGAUGAGUAACCUACUGGGAAGUUCUCGUGUGAGUUCCCAGAAACAAAAUUGUGAGGGCGUGGCCAAGGCCCAAAGCGGACAAUAUCGUGCUAUGGCGGAGCCGAGAUUGGGAUGUAACAUCGUCACCUAAGACAAAGUACAAGUCCACAUUUAAAGUUCUUCGUGUAUUCACAUAAUAAAAAAUUUCCAUAUGCCCCCUACAACUAAUGAAGAGAAAUCGAGACACGUUGACAAAAAGUCAACUGUUGAUCAACGGUAGGGUCCAUAACCCUACGUAACUCGAUCUGCAAGAUCCAGCCACUGUAUUUGUGAUUCAUAAGUUCCUAAGGUCCUUAAAUCUUACGUACAAUAACAUACUAAACUUUGGUGACGAUCUAAUUGUCGAAUCAUCAUUUGCUAUAAUGUUCAAAUGACGCAAAUUCAUCAAUCAGAUGUUAAAUAUGGAAUCGGUCAUCGAAUUUAGCUUAGGAAGGUCAAGUGGUGUCUCGAGCCACGUGCUGCCGUGCGCAGCAGCUGGCAACCCAAAUUCGUCGGAAAAAUCACCUAAUUCCAAAAUGAAUGUCGUUAGACGUGGAGUAAAUUGUAUACCUGUGAAGAAGCCCAAUUUGGUCGGGAAGUGGCCUGAAAUCACUUUAGACCGUCGGAAACCCUAAAAUAGGUGAAUCUCGAUUCGUCAUCUCCGGUAUUCCACCGUCCUCAAACUUGUUUAGGGUUUGCUCCUGGUCUCAAAAGAAUGCUAAUGAUGGUGGUGAUUGAAGGAGAAUGUUUCAGAAAUAAUGAAUCGUCGACGAGGGUUUCACGAAACCGACAUGGGUGUUCCUUGUGGAACUAAGACCAAAUCUCAACGGUUUUGGCUAGAAAUGGAUGCUGGGAUGUCGUGGUGAGGUUUGGUAGUGAUGGGAGGUCGAAGAAAGCCAAAAAAAUCGACGAAAAAACAGUCGUCGGAGUCGCAGGAAACGGGUUAGAAAAACGAGUCGCCAGGUCUGAAACGGGUCGAAGGCUUUUGGGACAGCUACUUACUCUCUCUUCUUUGAUUAGUCACUCCACUCACUCUCUCAUUUGAUUAGUCCAGCCUUCCCACAUGGUGGGAGUUCCCUCAUAUAGUAACCCAAAAUUUACUAUUUAAAUCUGGUAUCGAACGUUCGUAACUUUUUCGUUAUAGUUUCGAUUCGCAAACAGCUUUCGCCUACGCGCUCGUAUGAUCGAAUUAUACUCGAAAACAUUAAUUGUGACCUCGAAAAGGUCUACGAGUUUUAAAAGAUUAAUUACAAAAAUUCACACCUUGUAACUAUACGAUCCAAAUUCUAAAAUUAACGGAAUUAAAAUAAACUAAAAAUAAUGUAAACACGAAAUACAGACUUUAAUAAUGAAAUACGUAAUUAAUAGUAGUAUUCCGGGAACGGGAUUUCACACCUUGCGUCCGGACCUUGAGUGCGGAUCAGAAUCCAAAGGUCGUGAUCUGACAAGCUCAUGCAUAGAACGGAGUCGUUGUGACCCAAUGCAAUUCAAAACUUUUAUGUUUUUUAUUUGCUGGGUACGUUUUUGUAGGAGGAAAAGGGGAAGUCGAGGGAUUCUUUGCGCAUUAAAGAGGGAAAGAGAGAAAGGGGGAGCUAAGAGGUUCUUCGCGCGUUAAAUUUUUGCUUCUAAUUUUGCAACCUAGAAAUAAAGUAUUUUCUUUAUGGUUUAUGGUUCAAGAAUAUAAUGGAUGCAACCUAAAAAUGUUUCUUUUUUUAUUUUUUACUUUUUUUCUUCUUAUGUUGGCUUUUGGUUUAUUUUUAUAACGCACUAUAUAUUAACUAAAUUUAUAAACAUUUUGUAUCUUUGUUGCAGUCAAAUUAAUCAUAUGGGUCGGCAUGACUAAGUUCGACUGAGACAUACAGAUGUUUUGCAAUCUUAAGUCUAACCUGACACACCUCGACCUCAAUAUCCAGUGAACACCAAAAUUAAGGUGUGCUGGCCAUCAUCCGGAUGGGUGACGAAACCAUAAUAUGCAUGAAAACAUAACUAAAUUAUCAACCAAUAAAAUCUAUUGAAAAAUUUGGCAGAACAUCCCUUAAAAUAGGGAUAUGCCCAAAUUAAAAACACUUGCACAUGAUCACAAUUAUUCAAACACAUCCCGAAGGGCCACACUUAAUGGGACUUCGACCAUCUAUUACAUGCAUGAGAAUAUGUUCAGAGAAUAAUUACCCAAAUACGUCUUAUUAAAAUAUUGAGUAAAUACCAUACAAGAUAGAAUACGUCAGAGCUGUUGCAAAAUACCUCAACGUCGGAUGUAAUCACUGAUAGAAUUACUGAAUCAUGUAUAAAUGGAAAGCUGAUAAAUACAUGUAAUUUGAGUGGAUACUUACCAACAGCAUGGAUACAAUAUCAUCCACCAGUCGUAACUAGUGAAAACUGGAUAAUAUAAUCAUGUCAUUGCCGAGUAAUCUCAAGGCAAUGACAAGAUGAGAAUGUAACUGAGUAAUCAUAUCAUUACUAAAUAAUUUCAAAGCAAUGACAAGCUGAGAGUAUAACCGUAUAAUCAUGUCAUUACCGCGUAAUCUCAAAAUAAUGACAAGCUGAGAGUAUAACUGUAGUACCUCUUAUUAGUGCAAUGCAUGAUAUGAAUUCCAUCUCACAUAUAUAUGCAAGCCAUAAUCAAACCAAUAAACAUCCAACAAAAGCCACAAUCCUUUUAACAUUCGACCACAAGAUCAAUUUUCAUAUUUCCCAAACCUAGGUUCCGAAGCAUUGUUUCGAAUUAUUAAUACAAGAAACCACCACCACCUCAAUCAAUUCCUAUUCAUAAGUGUAAGCAAUUACUAAAUGCAUCACUUUCGACUCUAGUCUUAAUUAGAUUACUUGGGAUACUCAUUCACACCAUCAGAUCCACGUACAAUUUUGAUAAACUUUAAAUAGCAUGGUUAAAAUAAAUGAAACAUUUGAAUGAAACACUUUUAGAAAAUAAGUGAAGAUGUUGUUUACAAAUAUAGAUGCAUCUGUAUAUAAAAGCUUUGGCGGUUGAUUCGUAUACUUCCAGAGAUAUAAGCAAGUUCAUUGGAAUAUGCAUACAUGGUUAAUGUAUUACGGUAUAAUUAAUAAGAAAACAAUUGCAUCCCCUUCAGAUUAUAUAUAUAUAUAUAUAGACACACACACAUACACAUACAUACACACAGGCCCUUUAUGCAAAGGAAUUUCCAUUUUUUUUCAAAAAAUGGGGAUUAGUUGUGGGGCCCACGCUGCAUUGAACUUUAACGAUCCGAACAAUCUAUUUUGUAAGUCUCGAUUCAUAGAUCAUCCUUGCAAAAAUUCAAUUCAAUCCGAACCCUUUUGCCUAUUUAAUUAUCAAGAUAAAAUUUCAUUGUUUCUUAUAUAACAAAGUAUUCGUUAAUUUCUUUGAACUCAAUUAGAUAUCUUAAACAUUUCCGAUUUGGCUAAUAUUUUGCAAAGAUGAUCUAUGUGGUGCAACUUGAAAAAUAGACGAUUUCGAUUGUUAAAGUUCGAUGUGGUGUGAACCCUACAAUUAAUCUUCAUUUUUAUAAAAGAAUGGGAACCCCUCCCCUUAAAGGUUUCCUAUGUAUAUAUUUGUUCUUCAGACAUAUGCAAAAGGUAAUGUAAAACCAAUGAGAACUUAAAUAGAUAUUCCAUACAUAGGACAAUUCCAUAUAUGCUUUUUCAACAUUUAUAUCGAAAAGCCAAAUUGUUUUGAGGAAAUUAAUUGUAGUAAUGGUCCCUUAACUUUUAUCUUAUUGGAGCAAUGGUCUCUCAACUAAAAAUUCAUGACCAUUGGUUCCUUAACUCCACAAAACGUGUAGUUAUGGUCAUUUUCAUUAACUCCGUCAGAACUUUUGUUAAAACAAGUAAUGUUAGAAGAAUCAUUGCUACAAUCAGGUUAAAGUUGGGGACCAUUGCUCUAAUUGAAUUAAAGUUGAGGGAUCAUUACUCCAAAUUGCUUAAAGUUCAAGGACCAUUUCUACAAUUUUCUCAUCUAGUUUCCCAUAUUUACCCCAUGAUUCAGCUUCACAUGCAUUGCACAUGACUCAUUUUGACAAAAGUUUUAACGAAAUUGACGAAAAUGACCAUAAAUGCACGUUUUGAAGAGUAAGAGACCAAUGGUCGCAGAUUUUAGUUGAGGGAUCAUUGCUCCAAUUUGGUUAAAGUUGAGGGACCAUUGCUACAAUUUGCUCAAAUGUUUCGUAUGCGAAAAUAGGCAUUUGUAAAGUUUGGCUUGUUCAUGGCAUUAUUACUUUAGUCUAAAGUAAGGCUGGAAAUGGCACUGUAGAAAUGAAUAGUGUUCCAAUCCGAAUUUCAGUUUAAUUACAACAAUGCCAUUGCUCUUUGUGUUGCCUUUAGGUGAGCAACCCAACUUCCAGCCAGGCCCAAAUGUAUUGGUUUUAGCUGAGAAGCCCGACCUUUGGUCAGGCCCAAAACUUUAAAUUACAGUUUUGCCCAUACAAAAUAACAAUUUGAUUGUAUCGGGAAGGACAAUUUUGUCCUUUUAGUUUUGGGCGAGAUAGGGGGUAACCGGGUAGAUUUCAUUUGCUGUCGUUGAAUGAAGGUUUCGGGGAUGAAGGUUGUGUGUGUGUGUGAGGGAGAUGACGAUGGAAGGAGAGCGAAGGGGAGGGGAAGGGUUCUCGGCACUGUUGCUGCAUGUGGAUUUCACAAGUGGGUGAAUGGGUAUGGUUAGAGAAUACCAUAUAGGUUGUCGGGAUUUCAGGAAACGGGGUAGGGGUCAUGAAUGAACCCUGCUGAGAGUGGGUGCCGGAUCUUGCGCUGCAUGCCUCAAAUCAAAGAUAAGUUCAUUUUUUUAUUGUAUUCUUUAAUGGUAGCUUAGCUUUUGGAAUUGUUUAGUAUGUUAGGUCCAGUUUUGGGGGAUUUAUCUUUUAGAGAGAGAGAUGGACAGGGAGAUAAAGAUAGACAGAGAGAGAGAGAGGAGGAGGAGGCGGAGGAAGUAUGGCUGUGUGCUAUUUUUGGUGUUAAUUAAUGGGUUGGUGCGCAGGGUGAGUGACAGAGUGACAGAGUGACGGAGGGAUGUGUGGGAGGGUAUGGGUUUUUAGUUCUUUCUUUUGAUUCAAUAGGUUAUACACUGUUUGAAAAACCUUUUUUUUAUUUUUUUGUUCUCGUUUGCUUUGUUAAAACCAUCAUUUGAAUUUUUGGGUUUCACUGUGCUCAUUUCUCUGUUUCUUCAUAAUUUGUUGGUGUUUGCUUCUCAUCCCUCUGUUGGUAGAUCUUUUUCUCAUUUCUUGGUUCCUUAUGUAUUCUUUGGUACAAAUCUGUUUACUUUUUGGUUGUGUGAUAAUCUUAGCAGGUGAACUAUAUGAACGUUUUUUUGAAACGAGCACAGUGAAGCAAGCGUAGAUUGGGAGGCAACCCAAUAUUUCUAUUCAUUGCCUUUUUCUGUCAUUUUCAAUUUUCUUGCAUGCUAAACUGAAUUAUUUCUUUUCUUUGUAUUUGGGUUAUGUCCACCCUUGGAGUUGAUUGCGGAAUUAUAGUUUGGGGGUCAUCAUUUGAUUUCACUGCAAAUUGGGGAAGUUUUUAGUCCAAAUGCCGGAUCACUUCAAGUAUCACCUUCCAUUCGAAGUUCACUUCCAUGCCAUGGAACCUAUGGGAGUGUGACUGGAGGCAUCGUCCGGCUGCAAGACGUUAAAGAAAGCGCUUCUUGGGAGGCAACCCAAGCUUUCUAUCUUUCAUCUUUAUUUUGAAUAAUUUUAAAUGUUCUUGUUCUGUUUUUCUCUUAUUUUCUGGUUUUUGUAUUUAAGUCCUACUUUUGUUCCUUUAUGCAGGUAAUGAUUUUGCAAUCUCUACCACAACUUCUUGCAAGGUAGUUUUACAUUCAUAAAAACGAAAGGAACAUUAAGCAUAUAAAUACAAGAGGGAGCCUUCACAAAGGCUGCUUAGGAGAAGUUUCAGCAGUCGGCGGAGUCCCAGAAGGAGGAGGCAUCAGAGGUUGAUCAUUUGGAGCUUCAUUACGUGGUACAACCCCAGAAGACGAAGGCAAAUGCAAAUAAGGAAGAUCUAUGAAUCGCUUCACAAUCGAAAAGGAACAUAUGGUAGAAAAAUUCAAAGAUGAGCAUACAAACAAGAAGGAGUCUUCAUUGGUCAGGAGGUGUCGCAGCAGUCGAAGGAACAUCAGAAAGACGAAGUGUCAGAGCUUGAUUGUCCGGAGCACUUGGUGAAGCACCAGAUGAUGAAGGCAGAAGUUGCCUCAGGAGUAAAGCCAUAAACCUUUGAUGAUCACUCCGAGCCCGAACUUCAGCCUCUUGCAGCUGGUCCAACUUCCUCUUUAUGCUUGUUGAGUAGUUAGUUGCGAGCAUGUGCAACUCUUUAUCUUCAUGCCUCAGCGCUCUGACCUCUUGCCAAAGGCUAGCCACUUCAGCCAUCAACGACUCCACUUGACGAGUUCGAGCAAGAAGGCGUUGGCCCAUGUUUGAUACUGAGCCUGCACUUUGGACGCUGAAAGCCAAAGAAUCCUGAACAGCCUGCUCGUCAGACCGCUUAGAUAGCAUCCUACUGUCUCUUGGAGUAUGAAGAUUUCUAGCAACCACUGCAGCUGUUGCAUCAUUUCUCAUCACAGUGUCCCCAACUGUAAGAGGACCGUUGGAGGAUAUGAAAGAUGGCUGCCAAAUGUUACCUGGAGACGAGAGGUCAAUAUCUUCUUCGAUAUUCAGGUCAAAACGACGGUCGGAUGGGCUAGACAUUUUCAUAGGUGUUAAAGAAAGAAGAGGUCAGACAAGUCAAGAUAGUAGAAAUGCAAGAAGGGAGUAUUCACAGGCAGAAAUUCAUGUGUGCUUUGAACAUCCUGCGAACCUCUAUAAAAAAUAGCACACAAUGAGAUUUCAGGGAUCGAAUAGGCGAGUUCAGAGAUCGAUGAAGCGCCUGCUUUCUCCAAAGCUAGGCCUACUCAGGAAUCACAGGCUGAUCUCAGGUAGUGAAGACGCGCCUGUCUCUCUCAGCCCCGUCAGCACUUGUCACAUGCAGAGAAAACUUUGAGGAAAUCACGGGCAGUUUGUCGAAGCGCCGAUUCCAACCAUCUGUCUUUCUCAGCCUCGUCAGCUUUGAGGAAAUCACGGGCAGUUUGUCGAAGCGCCGAGUCCAACCGCCUGUCUCUCUCAGCCUCGUCGGCACUCGCUUUCUCAAAAGCUGGGCUUGAAAUCACAGGCCAAUCUUCAGUUUCUAAAUUUGUUCGCACUUGUCACAUGCAACCUCUGCACUCAACGAAGCUCAGAACUCGAAGCGCCAAUUCCGGAUAUUAAAGAAGCCUUUGCUUUAUCAGACGUGUCAGCAUCUGUCAAUUGCACAUCUGCGUUGCGUAAAUCACGCGCAAUCUGUCGAAGAUUUCUGGAGAAACGGAAUGCACGUGAAGUUUACUGUUAAAUUACCCCAGGCUUGCUGACACGAGUACUAGAACAAUGCCUUCCCAGCCAUUAAGAAAAAUUCUACAAAUGUUAAAGGCAACCUCACUCAACUUUCAGCCUCACUCAACCUUUCUUCCUCUCUGAGAAUGUAUUCCCGAAGAAGCCUCCCGAGUCACUCUGUGUUUCUCAUCCCUUGGGAUACCCCUGCAAACAACCCACCCAGAGCAAAAGUAUUUCAUAUCAUAACGGUUGAGAGCAAGAGUAUCUCAUAUCAUGCUUUCUCCCUGUCCUUUGUCUCGCCAGCACUUGGUAUCAAUCUUCCGAGCGGGGACCGACUGCCUGGAACCCAUUCCUGAUUGCUUACCUAACCUUGCUCUCGAGUACUCAUCCUUCUUAUGUUUCCUCUUCGUCUACCACAUAGGGGAAGUGAUAAUGAUACCUCGAAGCAUGUGGAUACAACGUGCUGAUUCAUCCUCAACUAAGGACAAGGGAGAAAGCAAGCAAGAUGUGGGCACUUGGAAAGAUUGAACAAAGAAACAGACUAACACCUCUACCUCGUGCCUGCCUACCGAGCAGAAGAAACAAGCAGAGAAGAAUGCAGACUGCACAAUCAAACAACCCAGGAACUCUGAUAUUCCUCGCUCAGGAUUCCAAACCAGUUUGAGAUUCGCCUACACAAAUUGGUGUGUUCUUUCCUUUUCUUUAUGUGUCUUUAUUUCAUUUUAUAUUUCUUUCCUUCCAUUUUCAUGUCUUAUUGUUCAAAAAUUCCUUUCAUUAUCAUUGGGGACAAUGCUAUAAUUAAGUUUGGGGGUAUUUGGAAAUAUAUUUCGUUAGUUUAUUUCUCUAUUAAAAAAAAAAAAAAAUUUUGCAUUUUUAUUGUUGUUUGUAGCUACUUCUCAAUUCAAUGAUGAGAUUUGAUUUUAAUUUCCUUCUUACUUUCAAGAAAGUCUAAGUUCUUUUCGUUGUCUUUGUGUUAACUGUGAUUUCCAGAAAUCAACUUGAAAAAAGAAAUGUGCCUAGUCUUGUCAAUGUGAAACUUGAGCAUGAUUUAGCGUUUCAUAUGUGAAUCAUGUGAGAUUAUGUAAACCUUGUGAGUUUUUUAGCCUAUACAUGAUUGAACCAUUAUGCAUCAAUCUCAUUCCUUCUUGUGCGUAUGAUCUCACUGUACAUGUAUCUCUAGAACUUGCUUUAUACUACUCGAUUCAUUAAUCAAUUCAUGUAAUAACUUGGAAGUGAUAUAGGCCAUCUUUGGAUCGUUUGAGCCUUUCAUGCCUACCUUAUAUGCUAUGUUUAUCCUUAGUAGCCCUUUGAGCCUUUAACUAAGCCAUUUCUUUGUUAACCACAUCUCUUUACCUUGCUCCAAUAUUGGAGUUGAGCCCAUACACAAAAAUCGAUUCCUUAUUGUUUUGAGAAAGUAUUACAUGGGUUGUGCUUUUGGGGGUUUCAUUUAUAUAGAAAGAUGGAUGGAGUAUGUGUAUACAAUGAAAUGUGAAUUUGAUGGGUGAUGUAGAUUUUGAAAAUUAUUUCAAAAGAAAAAAAAAACGAAAAAAAACGAAAAAAAUGAAAAUUGGAGAGUGUUGAUUUGUUGAAAAUGUGUCGGUAGAGUAUAAAUUUCCUUUUAAAGUUAAAUUUGGGGAGUAACAGGUGCUCGAGGUUUUAUUAUUUUGCUUUCAAUUUGAGGUGGUGUGAUAUUGAGGUGUUGGAAAACUACCAAAGUGUACUUUCUCAAAAUUUUUGAUUUCCAUAUCCUUUCUUUCAUUAGCCUAUCACCUUUAGCCCCAUUACAACCGUAAUAAAGUCCUAUUGAUCCAAGGUAUUACUUAAAUAUUGAUAAGCGAGUUAGGUGGACAAGCAAGCACAUGGCGGCAUGUACAAUGAGAUUACUUGAGUGAAACACAUUAACAAAAAAUUAUGAGUGAAUGAGCGUAUGUCUUGUGAGAAACUCACAUGUUUGCAUAUGAUGAUUUAAAGGAGCUUGGAAUUGCAUUGACAUAGCUAGCUCACACAUGGCAUUUCAACGUUUUGUUUGAAGGAAAUUUGGUUAACUAUUGGAUGAUGUUUUGAGCUCUUGCUUACUUCUUGGCAGUGUAUCUCAUGACUAGCACUUAUCUCUGAAAUCGAAAUUGAGAAGUUGGCUACUAAGUUGUUGAAUCUAGUCUUAGUUGAGUGGUUUUGUUUUGCUAGAGGACUAGCAAAAAUGUAAGUUUGGGGGUAUUUGAUCACUCAUAUAUUUCAUGCAUUUAUACCAUCCAUUUCUAAAGUCUUUGUGAUGUUUUUGUGUUAAAGUUGUGGCAUUUUACCUUACCUUGUGUUAAUGUACAGUUAAUUUUAUUUUAGGAUCAAUUUCAAAGAAAAUGGGCUGAAAAGAAAAUAAAAGAAAAGAAAUAAAUGGGACGGAAAGGAAGACACUGACAGAAUAAAAGAAUGAAGAAAGAGGUAGAACGGCAGAUAGAGAAGUGGGAAGAAAGUGGAGUGCGCAUGGGAUGGAAGUGGAACAAAAAGCAGGAGAGGGAGUGAGGAGUGCGGGAUAAAAGCAAAGAAAAAUAGAAGAAUAAGAAAGAAGUGGGAGGACACGGACUGAGUGGAAGAAUUAAAGAGAGAAGCAGGGUGCAGGCACGGACAGAAAGGAGAACUGAAGAAUAAAAGAGAAGACAGAGAAGCAGAAAAAAGAAGAGAAACUGACGUGAAAGCCAGUGCGCAGAGGGCGCAGAGAGAUAGGAGAGAUUGUGCGGGAGCAGAAGCACAGAAGCAGAGGGAACAAAAUCACAGACUGACAGCAGACGCAAGAGGCACGGCAGAGAGCAAAGCUUCACUCUAUUUUUCUUGGUUUUAUCUUCUCAAACCCAUGUUUUACUUUUGGUUUAAUUUGUGAAUUAUGUGUAACUAAAUUUUAAGUAGUUAGGGGCUGUUUUGAAGCCCCGAAUAUGAUUGUAAGUUUGUUGUGAUAUUUUGUUUGAAUGACUUUUAUGAAAGGAUGAAAAUUGUUUCACUACUUAUGUGAUUGAUAAAUUCUUUAUGUGUUUCUAUGGAUGCAUACAUAGUGAGCAUAUCUAGGAUUUUAAUGCUAUGAAUAUAUGUUUACCUGCCCUUGUUGAAUGAGGACCUACAUAUGUUCUAGAGUAGCACUUGUUAAUUGUGGUUAACAUGUGAACCGAUUUCUAGGAUAAGUAAGACAAUGCCAGUACUUAUCAUGCCUUGUGAUGACUCAAACUCUUUUCGUUCUUAAUGAUUUCUACUUGUUAAAUCUAUGAACACGACAUUCUAGAUUACAUGCUAGGGACUACGUUAAGUUGAAAACGCUAUUCUCUUAACAUACUACGUAAGAAAAAGUAAUAGGUUGUGUUCUAACAUUGAGCCAACUUGAGCAUCUUCAUCCGGAAAUAAAAGGAAUUUGAAUGAAACAUAACAUGUUUGCAUGAUUAUUUGGUGGUGGAUAGCAUUUCCCCUAAUUCGUUUUCUUAACUUGUGAAUUAAAAUCUAUUGGUAUUAUUUAAAACUGGUUGAGGUCCUGUUUUGUCCGAUUUAAUUUAAAUAGCUAAUCAACUUCAAAAAUCCCAAACAUUUGUGUGAGCAUAGCUUGGUGUGUCUAGUUUAUGUGUAUAAAAUUUCGUUGCAUUUGGAUAAGUGUAAGUUAGUCUAAUAAUUAUUGUUCGGUGGCUGGUCAGUGGAGACAACCAUCCUGUUUUUGUGACAUUUUAAGUGUUUGGAUAAAACAAUUUUCUGCGGAAAAGACCCUUAUUUUCAUAUGCUACAAUCGACAAAAUUUUAGUGUUAAUAAGGAAAAUCAAUAGGAUUAUUGUGGGCUACUUUGUGGUGCGUUAUAAUUACUACCAUGCUGUCAGUGGGUGUUAAUAUCAGGUACCCAUGUUCAGUUUUUCGUUUUGAUUUGAAGGAAUUUCUUGCGGAGAGGAGCAAGGGUUUCUUGGUGAGUUCUUCGGGUUGUGCAUAUGGGUAAUUUUCUUUUCGGUUUAACCCUCUGCUUCUGCUGCUCUCUCUCUUUCUCUCAUCCCUGCCUGCUCCUCUCCAAUUGUUUGCUGUUCUUAAAUAUUGUGUUCAUUGCCUGAUACAAGGGGCUGCAGCAAUCUGUUUUAUCCUACACGGGACAACGAGGCAAUGGCGUGACAACAGGUGAGCUUGGAUAUCCAAAGAAAAAGAACAGUUGGUUCAUCUGCUGGAGUCUGAGCUUAGAGAAGUGGAGGAAAAUUGCAGGUGUGCGAGAAAUUUUAUUUUGCUGAUAGGACUCCUUAUUUACUGAUGCAUUUUGAAAUAAUUGAAAAGUUGGAUUUGAGUUAACAGCUAUAAAAAUGUAGACAUGAUUGCUGAGAUUAUGCUAUGAAAGUGGAAUAAAAAAAUGGUAGUUUAUAAUAUUGCGUACCAAUUGUUUUCUCUCUUUUUUACCAAAUGAUAAGGGUGGUGGCUCAGGCCGCCCCCCUAAGCGUCCCCACUCUUCGACAAGUUGAAAUCGUGGUGAUAGUUUAUGGGCUGUGGUCUUGGGAUUCUGCAAAUAGAAUGAAAAACAGACACUUAACUAUCUUGUUAUUAAGCAUUUCUGCAUCAUUCAGUUGCUCUUGAUUUUCGUCUUUUAAGCGAUCUUAUUUCUGCGAUCUGACUUGAGGAGGGUUUUUAGACCUAUGGUUGUGGGUGUUUUCUCUGACCCCAUUAUCCGAGAUUUGUAGACUUGCGAUCGGCGGUCAAACAUUUUGUGAUUCUUGUUUUCUCUGCCUUUCGGUCGUUAAGCGCCGGCAGUCUUUAGAUCUUUGGCAAAUCAAUUUAAUACAACCGAGGUAUGUUUUAUAACUGCUGUCUUUCAAUUUUUGUUCUGUAUUUUUGUUAAUUUGGAUGAAGCUCUAAUAAUUUUGUUUUGGAUCAGUUGUGGUCCUCUGUUAGGAUUUUCCUGGCUAAGAGGGUAUUUGCGUUUUUGUUGCUUGGUUGGUCGAUCACAGAUUUACGAACAGCUGUGGUGGUCCUGUUAUUUUUUGGUAUGUUUUUUCUCCUUUUUGGUUUUUUUCCCGGUUUGAGCACCCAUUCUUGAAGAAUUAAAAUGUGUUUUAUAGUUUUUUCAGGAGAGAUUAGAAAAGUGAUUUCAAUUUGGGAAAAUUUAAUGUUGGUUAAAAUUUGUUUAUAAUUUUUGGGAAGGAAUGAGAGGACCCAUUGAAGUAUGUGUUGUGAUUAUUUUUUAUUCAUAUUUUUAACAAAUUGGGCAUGAAUUGGUAGGUUAACUGUGUGUGUUUAUUAUUUGAAUCGGCCAUGUUUGUCUUUCUAUGGUUCUAAAAAAUUUGUAAAGGCUGUUAACUUGGAAGAAAAUGGGAUCGAGGGUGAGGGGAAAACGGCAGAGAAAGCAUGGAAGAGAGAUUUGGGAUUAGGGGUAGGAAAACAGAUGAAAAGAAUAUGAUAGAGGAAUGGGUUCAGUUCAUUUUCACUAUUUUUUUUUAACUGAUUUGGAUUUUGUUUGGGUUUAACUCCGCCUAUGUCUUACAUGGCCGGUCCCAAGCCCGGAUAAAGGAGGAGGGGGAGGGCGUCAGGUAGUCGACAGCCGGCACUCCAUGAUCAUGUCGAAUCCUUAUGAAAAUGAAUCCAGAACAAAAUCGCGCUAAAGCUAGGACGUCACCCGUAAGUGGCGCGCUGUAUGGCCCGAGCACAGUGAUAAGUGAGCAAGGGUCGCUGUAUCUCCAUCGGCACCCGGAUGCAGUGUUAAAUGAGCAAGGGGGCCAUAGAAACUUCUUUUCGAACGACUCCACUCAAAGUUGUUUGAGAGCAUAUGCUCCUAUCAACUUUACCCGGGACACACAAAAGAAGUACUUUGAUCCUAUUAGACGGGGGAGGGUGAAGAAGCUAGGACAGAAGGGUAGAGUUCAAGAGAGCAAAAUGCGUUUAGGAACGUGGAAUAUAGGAACCUUAACGGGAAAAUCUAUGGAAGUAGUGGAAGUUAUGGUGAGGAGAAGGAUAAAUAUUAUGUGCCUACAAGAAACUAAGUGGGUUGGUAGUAAGGCAAAGGAUCUAGAAAACUCAGGGUUUAAACUUUGGUAUUCGGGCACAAAUAGAACGAGAAACGGUGUUGGCAUCAUCGUGGACAAGACCUUGGUACAAGAUGUUGUAGAUGUCAAGAGGGUAGGAGAUAGAAUCAUGGCAAUCAAGAUUGUAAUAGGACAAGAACUUAUCAAUGUGAUUAGUGCGUACGCACCUCAAGUAGGGUUGGAUACGAGUUCGAAGGAGAAAUUUUGGGAAGAUCUUGGAGACUUGGUGCAAGGAAUUGCUCAGACGGAGAAGUUAUUUAUAGGAGGAGAUUUAAAUGGACACGUGGGCAGGGAGACAGGCAACUAUGGAGGUUUUCAUGGUGGCCAUGGUUUUGGGGAGAGAAACGAGGAUGGGGAAGCUAUCUUGGAUUUUGCAAUGGCAUAUGAUCUCUUCUUAGCCAACACCUUCUUUAAGAAGAGAGAAGAACAUGUGAUCACCUACAAGAGUGGGUCGUCAAAAACACAAAUAGAUUUUCUUCUAAUGAGGAAAGGGGAUCGUAUAACUUGUAAGGAUUGCAAAGUUAUACCAGGAGAGAGCGUGGCUAAUCAACAUCGCUUGUUGGUGAUGGAUGUACAUAUCAAAAGAGUAAGACAAAAGAACAAGACUUGGAAGUGCCCAAGGACUAGAUGGUGGAAUCUAAAAGAAGAAAAACAAGCCAUUUUCAAAGAGAAGGUAAUCACCCAAUGUGUGUGGGAUAGAGAGGGGGAAGCUAGCCAAAUGUGGGAUUCCAUGGCUAGUUGUAUCCGAAAAGUAGCAAAAGAGGUAUUAGGAGAGUCCAAGGGCUUUGCCCCACACCAAAAGGAAUCUUGGUGGUGGAAUGAGGAGGUACAAACAAAGGUGAAGGCUAAGAAGGAAUGUUGUAAAGCCUUAUACAAGGAGAGGACCGAUGAAAAUGGUGAAAGGUAUAGAAAAGCGAAGCAAGAGGCGAAGAAAGCUGUCAGAGAAGCUAAGUUAGCGGCUUACGACGAUAUGUAUAAACGACUAGAUACCAAAGAAGGAGAGUUGGAUAUCUAUAAACUAUCUAGAGCAAGGGAAAAGAAGACAAGGGACCUAAACCAAGUGAGGUGCAUCAAGGAUGAGGAUGGAAAGGUUCUUGCUACAGAGAACGCGGUUAAAGACAGAUGGAGAGGUUAUUUUCAUAAUCUUUUCAAUGAAGGACAUGAAAUGAGUGCUUCUUUAGGGGAGUUGAGUAACUCAGAAGAGUGUAGAAACUACUCUUUUUAUCGUCGAAUCCGGAAGGAAGAAGUGGUUGUAGCUUUGAAGAAGAUGAAGCAUAAAAAAAGCAAUAGGCCCAGACGAUAUACCAAUCGAAGUGUGGAAACUUUUGGGAGAGACAGGUAUAACAUGGCUCACUGACCUUUUCAAUAGGAUUUUGAAAACGAAGAAGAUGCCAAAUGAGUGGCGAACGAGCACUUUGGUGCCUAUCUACAAGAAUAAGGGCGACGUACAAAAUUGCAUGAACUAUAGGGGUAUUAAGCUAAUGAGUCAUACAAUGAAGCUCUGGGAGAGAGUCAUUGAGCAUAGAUGAGGCAAGAGACACGGGUUUCGGACAACCAAUUCGGGUUCAUGCCAGGGCGCUCAACCAUGGAGGCAAUCUAUCUCUUACGAAGAUUGAUGGAAAGAUAUAGAGAUGGGAAAAAGGAUUUACACAUGGUCUUUAUAGAUUUGGAAAAAGCGUAUGAUAGGGUCCCAAGAGACAUUCUUUGGAGGAUUUUAGAGAAGAAAGGAGUACGAGUAGCAUAUAUCCAAGCUAUAAAGGAUAUGUAUGAAGGAGCAAAGACUGCCGUAAGAACUCAUGAAGGACAAACCGAAAGCUUUCCCAUAACUGUAGGAUUACAUCAAGGCUCAUCCUUAAGUCCUUACCUUUUUGCGUUGGUAAUGGAUGAGUUAACAGGACAUAUUCAAGAUGAUAUUCCUUGGUGUAUGCUUUUCGCAGACGAUAUAGUGUUGAUAGAUGAAACUCAGGAAGGGGUAAAUGCAAAGCUUAACCUUUGGAGAGAAGUGUUGGAAUCUAAAGGUCUUCGCCUAAGCCGAUCAAAGACAGAAUAUAUGGAGUGCAAGUUCAGUGCAAAUGGAGGCCAAAACGAGUUAGGGGUGAGGAUCGGAGAUCAAGAAAUACCAAAGAGCGACCGUUUUCGUUACCUAGGAUCUAUCUUGCAAAAGAACGGAGAAUUAGAUGGAGAUCUCAACCAUAGAAUACAAGCUGGAUGGAUGAAGUGGAAGAGUGCAUCCGGCGUGUUGUGUGACCGCCGUAUGCCACUGAAGCUCAAGGGAAAAUUUUAUAGGACGGCAAUAAGGCCGGCGAUGCUGUAUGGCACAGAAUGUUGGGCGGUGAAACAUCAACACGUACACAAAAUGGGUGUAGCGGAGAUGAGGAUGCUUCGUUGGAUGUGUGGGCACACGAGAAAGGAUAAGAUUAGGAAUGAGGAUAUCCGGGGUAAAGUAGGAGUAGCCGAAAUUGAAGGAAAGAUGAGAGAAAAUCGGUUACGGUGGUUUGGACAUGUGCAAAGAAGGCCUACUGACGCUCCGAUUAGAAGAUGCGACUAUGGGACAGAGGUUCAGGGCCGAAGGGGUAGAGGAAGACCUAGGAAAACUUUGGAAAGAGACUCUAAGAAAAGACUUAGAGUACUUGGAUCUAACGAAGGACAUGACACAGGAUCGAGCACAAUGGCGUUCUAAGAUUCAUAUAGCCGAUCCCACUCAGUGACUUGGAUUUUCCAAGUCUCCAACCGAGAAGUUUUCCUCACUCGGAAAAUUAAGGGAACACUACCCCAACCUACAUGCUCCACUCAGAAAGCUUCAACAUACAAGCUUCAACAAAAGAAAAUUCAAAGAACUUAGCGAAGAAGGCUUUGGUGUAUUUAACACAAUACGUUGAAAUGAAGGAAAGCUUAUUUAUUGAUAUCCCCGAUAAGCUACAAAUAUGUACAUAUACAUGAGUCAAAAUAAACACACAAGAGGGAGCCUUCACAAAGGUUGCUUAGGAGAAGUCUCAGCAGUCGGUAGAGCCCCAGAAAGAGAAGGCACCGGAGGGGGAUCAUUUGGAGCCUCAGUACUGGACAGAACCCUAGAAGGAGGAGGCAUCAGAGGUUGAUCAUUUGGAGCUUCAUUACGCGGUACAGCCCCAGAAGACGAAGGCAAUAAAUGCCUUUGGAACAAACCCACAAAUCUCUGAUGAUCAAGUAAAACCUGACCAUCAGUUUCCUUCAUCUGGUCAAGCUUCCUCUUCAUGUUUGUAGCAUAGUCAUGUGCGAGCCGGUGCAACUGUUUAUUCUCAUGCUUGAGCCCUCUAAUCUCCUGUUUGAGACUCAUCACUUCAGCCGCCAAUGAUUCAACUUGGCGGGUUCGAGCAAAUAGGCGUUGGGCCAUAUUAGACACAGAACCUGCACACUGAACACUGAGAGCCAGCGAAUCCUUAACAGCUAACUCAUCAGACCGUUUGGAAAGUAGUCUGUUAUCUUUGGGAGUGAGAAGGUUCCUGGCCACCACCGCAGCGGUCAUAUCAUUCUUCAUCACGGAAUCCCCAACGGUAAGAGGACCAGUAGGGGAGACGAAGGAUGGGCGCCAUAUGUUGUCUGGAGAAGGCGGGGCUGCCUCUUCAACAAGGUUCAAGUCAAAACGACGGUCGGAGGGGCCAGACAUUUUCAAAUGUGUUGAAGAGAGAAGAGGUCGGACAAAUCAAGAUCUUAGAAGUGCAAGAAUGAAGCUUCUACUGGUGGAGAUUCAAGUGUGCUUUGGAACUUAAUGCCAGCCCCUAUAAAAAUCUGCACUCGACGGAGCUUCAGAAAUCGAAGAGGCGCCUGCUCAGAAAUCGAAGAGGCGUUUGCUUUCUCAAAAGCUGGGCUGCUUAGAGAUCACGAGGGUUGAUCUCAGAAAUCGAAGAGGCGUUUGCUUUCUCAAAAGUUGGGCUGCUCAAAGACCUCGAAGGCUGAUCUCAGAAAUCGAAGAGGCGCUCGCUUUCUCAAAAGCUGGGCUCCCUAGAGACCACGAGGGCCGAUCUCAGAAAUCGAAGAGGCACCUACUUUUCCAGCCUUGUCAGCACCUGUCACACGCGCACACUCAGCUUUGCGGAAAUUAUGGGCAUUCUGUCGAAGACUUCUGGGGAAGUAGAAAAAACACAUGAAUCUUACUGUUCAAUCACCCACUUCCCACACGCAACAAUAGCUCAUGGGUACCACAGAUAACUUUGCCAAAGUUCUCUGCCAAAGUUGAGCACGUGAAGCUUGCAGCUCCCACUACAUCGCUCUGACCAAGAAGGGUAAAAGAAUAGCAAAGAAACACAGCACUAACAAAGUUUAGACCCAUAAAUUUUGAAGGUCUAGCUACCAUAUUAUUACCACACACAGGGUAAAGGAACAGUACCACUGCUGGAUAAUUGGAAAGUCCCUGUUUGUCAACCUCUGUGCUUCGUGGCAAGGUAGACUAGCAAACAUGCCCAACCUUUACUCACAUUCGAGAAAACACUCCCAAUAAGAUUGCUUGCUCCAAAAUCGAAGAGGCACCGUCCUCCGAAUCUCGAGAGCCAGACUCCCAACAUGACUACUUUCUUAAAAAUCGAAGAGAGGGUAAAGGAACAGUACCAUUGCUGGAUAAUUGGAAAGUCCCUGUGUGUCAACCUCUGUGCUUCGUGGCAAGGUAGACUAGCAAACAUGCCCAACCUUUACUCACAUUCGAGAAAACACUCCCAACAAGAUUGCUUGCUCCAAAAUCGAAGAGGCACCGCCCUCCGAAUCUCGAGAGCCAGACUCCAAACAUGAUUACUUUCUCAAAAAAUCGAAGAGACACUGCUCCCCGAAUCUUCGAGAGCCAGACCCCCAGCAUGAUUGCUUUCUCAAAAAUCGAUGAGGCAUCGUUCUCCGAAUCAAUCGAAGAGGCGCUCGCUUUCUCAAAAGCUGGGCUGCUCAGAGACCACGAGGGCCGAUCUCAGAAAUCGAAGAGGCACCUACUUUUCUAGCCUUGUCAGCACCUGUCACACGCACACUCAGCUUUGCAGAAAUUAUGGGCAUUCUGUCGAAGACUUCUGGUGAAGUAGAAAGCACAUGAAUCUUACUGUUCAAUCACCCACUUCCCACACGCAACAAUAGCUCAUGGGUACCACAGAUAACUUUGCCAAAGUUCUCUGCCAAAGUUGAGCACGUGAAGCUUGCAGCUCCCACUACAUCGCUCUGACCAAGAAGGGUAAAAGAAUAGCAAAGAAACAGCACUAACAAAGUUUAGACACAUAAAUUUUGAAGGUCUAGCUACCAUAUUAUUACCCACAAGGGUAAAGGAACAGUACCACUGCUGGAUAAUUGGAAAGUCCCUGUGUGUCAACCUCUGUGCUUCGUGGCAAGGUAGACUAGCAAACAUGCCCAACCUUUACUCACAUUCGAGAAAACACUCCCAACAAGAUUGCUUGCUCCAAAAUCGAAGAGGCACCGUCCUCCGAAUCUCGAGAGCCAGACUCCCAACAUGACUACUUUCUCAAAAUCGAAGAGAGGGUAAAGGAACAGUACCAUUGCUGGAUAAUUGGAAAGUCCCUGUGUGUCAACCUCUUUGCUUCGUGGCAAGGUAGACUAGCAAACAUGCCCAACCUUUACUCACAUUCGAGACAACAGUCCCAACAAGAUUGCUUGCUCCAAAAUCGAAGAGGCACCGCCCUCCGAAUCUCGAGAGCCAGACUCCCAACAUGAUUACUUUCUCAAAAAUCGAAGAGACACUGCUCUCCGAAUCUCGAGAGCCAGACCCCCAGCAUGAUUGCUUUCUCAAAAAUCGAAGUGGCAUCGUUAUCCGAAUCUCGAGAGCCAGACUCCCAACAUGAUUACUUUCUCAAAAAUCGAAGAGACACUGCUCUCCGAAUCUCGAAAGCCAGACCCCCAGCAUGAUUGCUUUCUCAAAAAUCGAAGAGGCAUCGUUCUCCGAAUCUCGAGAGCCAGAUACCACAUACCACUUUUUCAAAGUGCUCUGACAGAGUUAAAACAUGUGAAACUGGCAGCUCCCACUACCGUGCUAUGACCAAGCAGGGUAAAGGAAUAACAUUACUACUUGUUAGGGAGACUCCUAUAUAUGUUGACCUCCAUCCCCAACAGACAGGCAGACCUGCAAAAAUGCUCAACCCUUCAUCAUAUCUGAGAGGGCACUCCCAACGAAGCCUUUCGAAAUAUUCAGCUUUCUUUCCCCCCGAUAAUACCUCUGCAAACAAGCUAUACUAGAGCAAGAAUAUCUCAUAUCAUCAGGGUUAAAAGCAAGAGUAUCCCAUAUCAUGCUUUUUCCCUGUCUUUUCCUUUGGCCUUGUUUUUACCUGCAAGACAAGGAGAAAGAGAGCAAUCAGUCAGCACUUGGAAUCAAGCUUCCAGCUAGGAACUGACUGCCUGGAACCCCUUACCUGAUUACUUACCUGGCAUUGCUCUCGAGUACUCAUCUUCAACAUCUUAUGUUUCCAGGGAAGAUUCCGCAUCUGCUUGAGGAACAGAUAGGGCAAGUGCGAAAGAUACAAGGAAGCAUGUGGAGACAAGCGUAACAGCACACGUGCCGAUACAUCCAUUACUCUGUCAAAAGCAAAAGUAUCCCAUAUCAGCAGGGUGGAAAGUACUCUAGAUUUGAUGGACUUGUUUUGACCCUCAAAUUCUUCAGUCGACCUUAUACUCUGGAGGAAACCAGAAAACCCUCCAGCUCAGUUCAAGAAUAAGCCUGUGGAAAGUUACUUCUUCAAAAGCAAAAGUAUCUCAUAUCAUCUCUUCUCAUUUUUCUUCUCUUUAUCCUUCAUGCUGCUGCAAGAUGGGGAGAAGGUGAACAAUCAGUCGGAGCUCUGAUUGCUUACCUUGUCUGUCACCUCUUUCAGCAGACCCCUAGCUCGGCGACUUGGGGGACUCCUACUACAUGGUUUGUAUCGCGCUUGACCAAGCCUGAAACUACAAGUAAGCUUCAAGUGAAAUUGAUACAUUACCUUGUGCAUCUCCACCAGUUAAAGAUACCACCCCUGGAUGGAGGAAGAGUACUUCCAGAAAAGAUGCCACAUCUACCUAUGAGACAGAUAAGGCAAGUCAAGACGACACCACACUCCGAUACUUAGAAGUUUCGUGAUUACGAGAUCAUUCUCCCACAAUAUUUCCUAAUGUCAUUUGUACUAAAUCAUUCACUUGUACUCACUAAAGGAGAGCUUGAACCUAUGUACUUGUGUAAACCCUUCACAAUUAAUGAGAACUCUUCUAUUCCGUGGACGUAGCCAAUCUGGGUGAACCACGUACAUCUUGUGUUUGCUUUCCUAUCUCUAUCCAUUUAUAUACCUAUCCACACUAAUGACCGGAGCAAUCUAGCGAAGAUCACAAAAAGCGACCGUUUUCGCUACCUAGGAUCUUAUCUUGCAAGAGAACGGAGAAUUAGAUGGAGAUCUCAACCAUAGAAUACGAGCUGGAUGGAUGAAGUGUAAGAAUGCAUCCGGCGUGUUGUGUGACUGUCGUAGGCCACUAAAGCUCAAGGGAAAAUUUUAUAGGACGGCAAUAAGGCCAACGAUGUUGUAUGGCAUAGAAUGUUAGGCGGUGAAGCAUCAACACGUACACAAAAUGGGUGUAGCGGAGAUGAGGAUGCUUCGUGGGAUGUGUGGGCACACGAGAAAGGAUAAGAUUGGGAAUGAGGAUAUCCGAGGUAAAGUAGGAGUAGCCGAAAUUGUAGGAAAGAUGAGAGAAAAUCGGCUCCGGUGAUUUGGACAUGUGCAAAGAAGGCCGAAUGACACUCCGAUGUGACUACGGGACAGAGGUUCAGGGCCGAAGGGGUAGAGGAAGAUCUAGGAAAACUUUGGAAGAGACUCUAAGAAAAGACUUAGAGUACUUGGAUCUAACGGAGGACAUGAUACAAAACCGAGCGCAAUGGCGUUCUAGGAUUCAUAUAGCCGACCCCACUUAGUGGGAAAAGGCUUUGUUGUUCUGUUGUUGUUGUUGGAUUUUGUUUGGGUUUGAGGCCAUCAUUGGCGUUAAGACGUUUAUUAUCAGAUCGUGUGUUUUUUGCUAACUUUUAUUGGUAAUUUUAAUGUUGUUCUUAUGAUUUUGUGUGGUAGGGUUUCUGAUUUUUAUCGUUAUUCAUUUGGUUUUUUGUGUGUGUUGGUUUGUUUAUUUUGCAGGUUGUGUUUGUGCUGGGACAACAUUUUCCACCUUCUGUUUGCACUGGGAUGAUUGCGUUUUAAAACUGUUGGGGUGAGAUUUACAUAUGGAAUCAUUCCAUUUUUUUUCUUCCAAAUAUGUGCAUUUAGUUCUCUUUUAUUUUAAAUUUUAAAAAUUAAAUCGUUAUUUGAGUAAAAUGUUUUAUCAGUUUAUGUUAUGUGUUGUGACCAGGAAUUCUGUUGGAUUUGCGAAUUUUGGUUUGAUGAGAGAAAUGAGGAGUUUUUUUUGUUUGAAUUUUUUAUUGGACCGAUUUUCAAUUGGAUUGCAUUCUGCCUUUUUGCACCAUUCGUAUGCAAGCAAUUCAUUGUUUUAAAUACAAUUUGAAGAGAGCUGGGUUGCGGGUUGGAUAUAAAAUGUUAAGGUGAGAUAAAAUCGAGAUACCAAGGGUGGAAGAAUGAUUCAGAAUUGGGGGAGGAAAACAGAGGGAAGAUAGAAGAGUAUAAGAGAAGGAUAGGGUUGACCUCAUUUAGAGUUUUUAUUUACUUAUUUUUUUUUAUAAAUUGAUUCAGGACUUGCAUAUCAUUUCUAAAUUUCUAACAUUUUUGUUUAAUUUGACUCCAGUUGAUGGAAAACAGAGCUCUUACUCCUAUCAAUCAGUUGGUCCCGUACAUAAAUGCAGAAAAAUCAAGGUUCGAGUUUGCAGAGUAUGCAGACCAAGGUUUCCCGAAACUACUGGUGCAUAUUCAGGCUUGCAUUGUAUAUUACUUACCUAUUAAAAAUUUGUUUGGAAUUUGCUUUUCCCACAGAGGAGAAGAGCUGACAGUUACGCUGUGGGCAGAUGUUGCUCGAAGUAUUGCUUCUUUAUCCAUUGAAUCAUUGUCUCUGCCGAUCAUUGUGGUUUUCACAAGUUUAAAGGUCAAGCUGUACCUAGGUAUUUGACUUAGUUAAAAACUAAUCUAUUUACUAUUAAUUUUUCUAUUAUAUUCAAACGUUAUUUAAUAUAUACUCUACUAAUAUUUUCUUAACAUGUCACACAAACAUAUUCACUUCUUUUGAUCAAUUUUUUACAGCGUUUCAUAUAAAAGCUAACAUUUAGUUGAAAUUGAUUAGCAACUCUUUUCUUGCAUGUAUACAUACGAAUUAAACAAUAGUAUUAAACUAUUUGUUAUCAUUCUCAGUUUUUGUUUUAGAAUUAGAUUAAUAUAUUUAACCUGUUUUAGAAUUAGAAUUAUUUGGUAUCACUCUCAGUAUUUGUUUUAGAAUUAGAAUUAGAUUAAUAUACUGAGAUUAUUUAGACAAAUCUAGCAUUUUCUCAAAAUAUUUGACUUUUAAACUUAGAUUAAUAUAUUUAGCAGUUUUUUAACAUGCAAUUUUUCAUUAAUUUUUCAACACACAGACAAGAUAGUCUUGAACACCAUUGGUUCAUCACUUUUCUUCAUUGAUCUAGAUAUUCUGGAAGUAAAUUCAUACAAAUCAGUGUAAGUGUGUUUACUUUGUUUAAAAAAAUAUUAUAUGCUCUCACAAUAAAAGAAGGGCUAUUCUCACAAAAUUUAUGAACUAAUGUUCUGUUUUAACCUCUACAGCUUUUCCAAAUGCACAGAACCUCUAAAAAUACUGCCACCUUUUACAAAACAGGCCCGUGAAGCUCAAAUCUUGCAGACAGCGAAGGUCACAAUUGCAGACGCUGAAAUUUUCAUGCCAAAAUAUGAUGUGGAGGAUGAGAAAUUGUUUGCUGUUGUUCUCUUUUCAGUUUUGCAGGCGAUGAUCUUUUACCAAAUGUCGAGGAGCUUCCAUGGGACAUGCUCUAUGCUCUCGCUUCCCAGUUGCCUCUGUUGGGGUUGGAAAAGCUACAGAUCACAAUGUAAGUCAAAAACAGUAAAGUUCCCAAGAUGUUCUGUGCUGGAGCAGAUUUAAAGGUACGAAUUUUUAAUUUUUUUGUGAAGUCGAUGUUUUGUUUUAAAAGGAGUUAUAAUGGAUUGAUUGGACAAGUACAGAGUGUUUGUUUGUUUGGUUGAAUGUAAAAAGGAAUUGGAAGAAUGAUGAAAGUACUUGCAUUUGGUUGUAGUUGGUCAGGCACUGAAGGACCGGUCAAUACGAAGUGCAUCUGUGGGACAAUAGUUGAAAGAAGGCCAGAGCAGGAAGAGAAGGCAAGGUUUGUGAAGAAAAACAGUAAAAGGUCGUACCCAGUGCACAAGGCUCCCGCUUUACGCAAGGUCUGGGAGAGGUGAAUGUCGGCUAGCCUUACCCCCAUUCUGCUUUUGUUUAAUUAGAAGAAAUGUGCAUUUUUUUUUCCCAGUCAAAUUCUGCUUUUGUUCUGACUAUUUUCCUUACUGUAUGCUGAUUUUAUUAUUUAAUUUUUGGUUUUUCCUUGAUUGGCUUGGGAAUUACAAUCAAAUGAUGAAUCUUCAGUUUACUUGGGUAAGCAUUUUUUAACAUAUAAUUUAGCUGACCAUUUUAACUGUCAGACCAUGUUGUUUUUGGUUAUCUAAUCAUUCCAAGAUGGCAAGUUAGGAUUGGAAGGGUUGCUAGAAAUAAGGAUUAUAUCUUGGGACAUUCGGUGAGUGAUUUUUCAAACUUUCAGUUUUACAAGACAAAAUAUCUAUUUUUGUGUGUAUUCUUCAAGCAUGUUAUCAUUAUUUAGGUUGUAGGAAAAAAAGAGAGUGACUUGAGGUGUUUUUAGAUAUUUUUGUGUGUAUUCUUCACAAUGUAUUAAAAGCGCGAGGCGUGGGCGAGGCGUCCGAGGGAUAGCCCACGCCUCACGCCUUACGGGACCUAAAUUUUUUAAUAUAUACACUGAGCGUACACAUAUAUUAUAUUAAAAAAAAUUAUUAAUCAAUAAUCACCCUGAGCACACAUAUAUAUUAUAAAUACAUAUAUACACAUAUAUAUACAUAUAUAUACAUAUAUUAUGUUAUAUAUAUAUAUAUAAAAUAGAGGAUGAAAAGCACAAUGAGCACACAUAUAACAAUGCAUGCAGACAGCACACAAUAUAGUGCAAGGAAUAGGUAUGAGGUAGUUAAAACCCUACCCAAAAUCUGGGUUUGGGAGUAAAAAUAAAAAAAAAAAAAAAAAUUGCAUGAGGCGCGCCUAGACGGCUCCGACAACGCCUUCCGGCGCCUUCCGCCCACUCCCUCAAAACAAAGGCGGCAACCCUCAAGUCCAGCCUCACAGGGUGCCUAGGCGCACCCUGAGGUGAGCCUUUUAAAACAUUGAUUCUUCAAGCAUGCUAUCAUAAUAUUUGUAACUAUAAAAAAUAAUAUACUAUUAUACCUCUGUUUCUCUUUUCUUUGUUUUCAUGAGAAAUUAAUUGCCAUUGGCAGCACUAUAGAAAGCCAUCUUUCUCCAUUAUUCUCCGCUUCAUGCAUAAUUACAUAAUUCUACUAUCACAGUUGUCAGUCCUGAACAAUAAUGCAAGUCUAGUGGCAAAAACCACCUCAAUGAACAACUCACACACACACACAGACACUGAUCAUACAUCUCUAACUCUCUUUUUCAAAUAACACACUCUGAUCCAAAACAGGGUAAAUAAAAUGCACAUCCUUAUACAUUUCUAACUUUGUUUUUCGAAAUCCAAAAUAGGGUAUUCUAACUCUCUUUUUCAUUCAUUUCUUACAAACCAAUCAUACAUUUAAAAUAGGCUUUGAAUAAAAAUAGGGUAUAUAAUUAUAUACCUCAAAAUGCCUAGGAACCAACUUCCCCCUCCAACGAUUCAAAUUCUUGAAAUUGCCAACACAGUAAAUCCAUUAGUACUAUAUAAAUGAAAACACAAUUGAAACCCAUCAAACAAAACAAUCCCACAAUUUAAAUGAUUCAAUCCUACUACAAUUGAAAUUCACAGAAAGAAUGAAAAACCAGAACAAAACUGCAGCACCUAAAAAGUUGUCAUACAAAAAAAAACAUGGAAUGUAAAAAUAUGUUAAGAAAUCUAGUUCGUUAAUUUCCAGCUGCUAAGUGGCAUUAUGUAACUUUAGUAGUAUAACUAAUUAACUACUUAUCUGGUGGGUUGCACUUUUAUCCAAUUGGUAAGGAAAGGAAAAUAAAAAUCAACCCCUUGGUCUUAGUUGUGGCUGCAAAGUGCAGGCCACCACCAAGUCUCAGUGUUUGUGUUUUAGCAAAACACUUAAAUAAAUUAAAUUCUGAAACGUAAAUUAUAUUCCUAUAACUUUAAGAUGCACAUAUAGUAUUGUUGAAGUCGAACUGAAAGCACUGACAAUUCCAAGCAACAAAGCAGCAAUUAUUAAGAGCCAAAACUCAUUCCUAGUCUCCUCAUCCUGGUACUCAACUCCGUAAUCUUCUGUCAGCAUCAUUGACUGAAAUUAGGAGAGAAAAAGAAAAGGAAUUUCAGAAAUUGUCUAUGAAGCAAAGGAUACUGCAGUUACUUCAAGACAUGUAAAUUGCAUAUGUAUAAAGUAAUUUUCUACAUAAAGUAAUGAGGCAUAACUUUCUCUCUCCUCUUCAAACCCUAAACAGAGCAAAGCAAACUUUACAGAGAUUAGAAUGAGAACUGGAACUAAUCGAACAAUGACUGAAAAGUAACAUACUUGAGGAGUGAAUGAUUUAGUGUUUCCAUCAUCGGAAGCCGGAGUAAGUCGCUAAGAGAGGUCGCAAACAGCCCAAAGGGACAAACCCAGAUCCCCGGCCCCGAUCCAUACCCUUCCCCCUCAAAUCCCGACGGCCCCCAUACUUUUCUCUGACUGUACCCCCUCUCCCACUCAUGAAAUCGAGGAUCUGUCGCAAUGGUACUGAGAUCCCCACUCCUCCCUCUCCCUUUCUCUCUGUCGCUCUGUCUCCCUCUCCCUCUGUCUGUCUAUCUUUAUCCCAGAGCGGCAUGGCCUCCCAUCCCUGAAACCCUCACCGAAAGUUGGCAAUUUUGUAAAUAACUUGAAAUCCACCAACAGCAGGGGUAGAGAAUUGAAACAAACAUUUAGGCUCGUUCGAUAACCAUUUAGGCCAAAACUGAGCACACCUAAACCAUUCCUACUCGUGCCAAAUGUUAGUGGGGAAGCAAGAUGAUGACUUUAUUAUUCAAAACCAAAAGAAAAAAAGAGAGAAAACAAAAUAACAAAUGUAAUGGUUGUAGUGUAAAAGCUGAGAACGUAAAUAAACAUGCAGGGAAAAAAAUUGAAGAUACAAAGUAGCUGCAUCAUGAACACUUACUCCAAUUAGACGCAAAAAGUGAUGGUGAUGAGAAGAGAGAGAAAAUGCAGUCGUUUUGAUUUUUCUGGCUUUUAAAGGGAGCAGCUUUCUUCGACCACCAAAAAAAGGAAGCUGCUUUUCGUGUGGUUGUGAUUUCCUGAGUGUAUGUGAGCGGGUCUAUGGCACUUGCACUGUUUGUGUCGGUUACGGUAACCGGGCGAGCUGGACACGGCAGCGUGGGACUGAAUUCGGAGAGGUGAGAAAAAUUAAAAACACAAAAAGAAGGUGUUCAUUUUGUCACAUUUUUAUUACGAAAAAUUCAAUAAAGUACAUUCAUUAGUAUGGUAACUUAACUAUUUAAUUCCAUCUCAUUAAACUAAAAAAAACAAUUACAAAAAAAUAAGGAAAACCUUGUCCAGAGAGACCUGAGAGAAAGUGACGACUUCUCCUCUCAUUCAACUCCAUACUUGAUCUCUAAAGUCCAUUUGGCAUGUAAUUGAUGUUCACUUUCAAAUUUAGUGGUAGCAAUUAGCAAAGCUAAUGAAAGAAUCAAAUAAAAUGAAAGAAAAAGCAUCAUGAAAUAAAUCAAGAUGAAGAAUGAAAUUUUGGCAACUCGCCAUUCUCUUCUUUUAUAUAAAAGAUACAUCCUAUUUGUAGUGAAAACAGAUCCCGACAAACCCAGUUAUCCUCAAGAAGUAUUUUGUAUGACUUUAAAAACAUAAUCCGUGAAAUUAUCUCUUGGCUGAGAACAACAACAAAUCUUCAUGCAUAGCUUGUAGAGAAAGACAUCAGGCAUACAAAAGAACACGCAAGCAUAAAAUAAACGAAGCAGGGAAAACCAAAAAUACAAUUGAAUACGCUGUCAAAAGAACAUGAAUAAAUGAAAAUACCAAACAAAGCAGUGAUGAGAAACCAAAGUACCCAUUUCAUAAUCUAAUUGCUUUUUAGUUUGCUUGCCAUUUUUAGUUCUUCAAUUUAGAGAGACACCAUAAUUCAGCACAUGAAUAAAGUGAAAACGUAAAAGAUAUGUGGGAUAGGCUGACAGCCAUCCCUGAGUAAUGCAUUCACUUCUGAACCCCAAACACACUGAAACAAAAAUUCACACACAUGAACUACAGCUCCGCUUUGUAACAAGAAUUAAAAGCAUCUCAAAACAAAAUGGCAAACUAUAAGAGCAUUGUAAAAGUAAAAUUGCAAGAAAUCUAAUACUUGGAGGGCAAGUACUCAUCAGACGAAAAUGAAAGAUUGAACUACCUCGCGUGGAACUGUGCCUUGGUUUUUUCCCAUGCUUACAGGAAGCUUUGCACUGAGCUCUUAUAGUCCAAAUUUUCUCUGAAGGAAAAAAACACAAUUUUGAAAUAAGAUUUUCGUAUUAUACCUUAAAGAGAAGAAUUAGACAACAAAAUAGAGAACAAUGAGUACUAUUCAUCAUAUAUUGUUAGAGUAUGUGGCCCUCUGGUCCAAUGGUCCCGCAGCCAUAUUUCCUUUAUAACUCUUUCUUUUAAUCUAAAAAACAUCUUGAAUCUCAAAUUAGUAUGAAUACGGAUUCAUACUUUAUAACUAAAGAUCUUACUGCUCUUGAUAAGAUGAACAAUACGCCAUUUCUCGCAUGCAUUGCAUUACAAUCACAAUGCAACAUCUCAUUAGAAAUCCCCACACAAAUUUUUUUUAUUGCUACUUUGAUUUUAGUUUAUAUUUUUUCUGAAGCAUGAGGGAGCUAAUUUUUUUUUUUAAAUUUUUUAUUCCAAUAAUGUUAUAGGGAGGGUUGCAAGGAUAUUAUCAAUUGUAUUUGAUUGGUGGAACUUCUACAUCUAUAUUUUAGGUUUUCAAUUUUAGCACUGGGAGAGUCAUUCAUAAAAUGUUUGACAGUGAGAUUACCUCCAUGGACUAUGCUCACAAUGGACAGCUCAUUUUCCGCGGUGAUGGGACAAUAUAUUUCAGUCAUUCGCCAUUCAAUCAAUUCAAACUGAGGAACAUGCAACAUCAAGAAGAGGAUCUACCAUGUCAGGAUCACUAUCGUCCAAUUAAUACAAAAAAAUCUAGAUAAAAACGAUCAAUUUACAUAAAAGCCCUUCAUUUUCUCAGCAACCAAGCAAAAGAAAAUACCUAUCCGUUAAACACUCGAUUUGGGAGUAAAUGUUGCUGAAACUGGACUUCAAUCCCCUCAACCGCAACAACCGAAUCGAGGUGUGCAAGUCAUUGAAAAACUCACCCAAGAUUUCAAAAUCUGCAUAGAGAAAUAAAUAAGCACAUAAAUUAGCCCAACCCAUAAAUCAAAGAAAUCAAAAUCCACCCAGAAUCAAAGAAAUCAAAAUCCAUCCAGAACCAAAGAAAUCAAAAUCACACACAGAUAUGCAAGACAACGCAAAUUUGAAGCCUUACUUUUCGGGUAGCUUGGCGGCUGACAUGAGUCUUCUUCAGAGUUUCAUCCAUCCAUGGAUCCAUUUGGUCCGCCCGUCGCUUCUGGGUCGUACAAUCUUAAAAUCUGCAAAAUGAAUUUAAAGAAUCAAUUUUUACGAUUGAAAAGCCAAAAGUGCUACAAACUCCAAAUUGCUGAGAACCAAAGUGGAGUAACAGUUACAGGUCACGAGAUGAGAUGAGGACAUUGUCGGAUUUCAGGGCGAACCUGACUCUGGAAAUUGCAUCUCGGAUCGGGCUUUCGAACUUCAAAGGAGCUCCGCUCAUUGUGGUCCUUGCAGACCGAACUGGCCUAACAAUCAGCGAGAGAAAGGAGACGGCGGCAAGAUGAGGGAUACAAUGGAUGCGAGAUCGUCUGUAUCGUUCUCGCGGGGGGUUUGCAAGACGGACGAGGAAAGUAGGGUUUGAUGAGGCAUUGUCUUCGCGCGGGGUAUGUGUCCUUCCCAUUCCAUGAUUAUCAACACGUGUGCAUCAACAGAAGCGGCAGAGAGAGGCAUUAUUGUAAAUAAAGUGAAAUCGAAGGGCAAUGGCCCUUUUUUUUUUAAGGUAAUGGCAUGGCCAUAAAUAGAAUGAAAUCCAGAUCAAAACACUGUCAUUUGUACAGUACAAUUUCUCCAUCUUCUUUAGACUAAAGUAAUGUAUAUGUUAUACGCACCAACACAAGUCCUUCUUAGAUAAAUCCAAGCCAAACAAUUACAGACGAUAGUUAUUCACAAAAUCACUUUAAAGUAAGAAUUUAAUUAAUAAUACAUUACUGCACUUUCUUAACAAUUUGACUAUCACCUAGCUGACAAUGAACAUGUUAGCUAUGCGUUAGAACAUAUUGGGUUCAAUCCAUUGUCUUGAAUAUUACCCCCAGUCACAGCCGUCUCUUGGGGGCAUACAGAAGGCCUGAGAGGCAUUUGCAGACAUUCAACAUCUCCUCCAAGCAUUUCGACAACUUUGGACAUCGAAGGGCGAUCACUUGGUUUCAUUUGAAUACACCACAAGGCGGUUAUAACCACCUUUCUUAUCACUUUCUUUUCCUUCUCUGUAACAUUGUCUAUUUCCAAGUCAUUUCCCACAAAAUACUGAUCGUAUACCUACAGCGGGAAGUAGAUUUGGCUUGGAUGCUCUACCGUUGCAUUCAAAUUCUUCCUUAUGCUUGCCAUUUCCAUCAACAACAUUCCAAAACUAUAGACAUCGGCCUUGUAUGAGACACCUCCAAUAUUUUUGUAGAACAACUCAGGAGCAAUAUAUCUCAUUGUACCCCGUGCUGUCGUCAAAGAGACAAUGCUAUUAUCUACUGGAUACAAUUUUGCAAGCCCAAAGUCAGAAACCUUUGCUUUAAAGUUCUCAUCAAGAGGGAUGUUAUGAGGCUUGAUGUCAAAAUGUAGAAUUUUCAUUUUACAACCUUGAUCUAGAUAUUCGAUCCCAUGACUCCAAGAGAAAUCUUGUACAUAGUCUUGAUAGUUAAGGGAAGACUUCCUUCUUUGGAAUAAAUGUAUUUAUCAAAAGAGCCAUUAGGCAUAAAGUCAUAUAUUAGAGCGCGCUUUGAUCCCUCGACACAAUCACAAUCACAAUCACAAUCACAAUCACAAUCACAUUCCAACAUGGAAUCCUCAGACGACAUGCCUACUGCAGAACAAGUUUCAUCCUUACUUAACUUCUAUUUAGUCCACUUCCUGUUUAGAUUGUAAUCCUAGUUCUGCGUGUGUUUGUAUAGUACUCCUAUAAAUAUCAAUGAAAACCGCUCACUCUAAUUAGGAGUUGAGAUUCUGCAAAUCAUAUUUACUAUCUUUCAUGGUAUCACGAGCCAAGGUCUAACGACAACGGUUCCUGUUAUAAUUUUUUUCUCUUUUGUAGAUCCUAAACUAUGGCAUCUUCUUCCUCCUCCGAUGCUCCCUCCGUCACAAAUUUUCUUACGAUCAAGCUCGACCUCAACAACUACCCUCUCUGGCGUGCUCAAUUUCUUCCCUUGCUGCGCAGCCGCAACUUACUCUCUUAUGUUACUGGCGAAACUCAAUGCCCAUCUGCCUUUGUUCUUGAUGACAAUGGUAAAUUCACAGACAAAGUCAAUCCAUUAUAUAAUGAAUGGAUCCAGACUGACUAGAUGAUCCUAUCUUGGAUUACGAGUUCUCUUACUCCCAAGGUUCUUGCUACGAUCGUCAACAAAAUUGAUUCG
This 178353-nucleotide long non-coding RNA is filed under the name Malus domestica (apple). Lineage: Eukaryota; Viridiplantae; Streptophyta; Magnoliopsida; Rosales; Rosaceae. The record is from RNAcentral.